This 336505-nucleotide long non-coding RNA is filed under the name Vitis vinifera (wine grape). Its description in RNAcentral is "long non-coding RNA (VVIN_LNC002835)". Lineage: Eukaryota; Viridiplantae; Streptophyta; Magnoliopsida; Vitales; Vitaceae. The record is from RNAcentral.
GUACAUCAUUAAAAUAAAACUCAUUUUUUUCAUUAGGAUUCAAUUAACCCAAUGGAUCAUAAUCAAAAUUAGCUGCAUAUGAACAAAAGCAAUAAGAUUAUCAUUUUGUACAUCUUUACUUUCAUUUGAGUUCUUAGCCCUACAAUCAUCAAACAUGGAAUUACUCCAAGUCACCUACAUAGCCUUCAUACCUAAUGUUUUUAAGGCAAGGACAAUCAACAACCAUGUGUCCCAUUCCCCCAAUGGUUCACUACAAACAAGGUACAUAUGUUAUGCUUUCUUUGUUUCAUAGAGAUUAGAGAGGAUAAAUAUUGUAUAAAAAAAAAAAGUUGUCAUAGUUAAUGUAAGCUAAAACUAAAAAACUUGUUUUUUCAAUUGUGUAAGCAUGUUUUGUUCUUGAUUAAUAUUUACAACAUUCAGAGUUACUAAUGUUUAUAAUUCACAGAGACCUCAUUAACAAGAAGUAACAACUAAUUGCAAGUAACCAUGAAAAAAAAUAAGGAGAAAAAUAAAGGAAAAUCAAGGAAAGUGGCAAAUUUUUUCAUCCCCAUAAAAAAUGCUAAGGAAGAAAAAGGUGAAGAAAGUUUAAAGAAAGUAUAUUUUUCAAAAAUUGAAUUUUCUUUCCCUUAAAGUUGGUAUGGAUAACCAAACAAGAAAAUGAUUUUGAAAUUCUUUUUUGACCUUUUUUUAACAUUCUUUUUUUUUCCCUACUCUAUUUCCUUUCCCUCAAACUUUCUAGGUAGUAAACAUUACCUAAGAUAAAUAGGGAAGAAAAUAUUUUAUCAUUUAUUUAUUUAGUAUUUUUCUUACCUUUUUUGUAUGUUAUCCAAAUAUAAGAAAACUAUUUUUCUUUAUUUUUUCUUUUCCUUGUUGCUUUUCAAGAAUCAAGCAUACUUUAAACUCUAAUUAAGAGUUACAUAGAUUUACGAAGAAACAAUGCAACUAGUAACAAAAAAUUAAGGAAAUUUAAUUUUUUGAGAGUAAGGUGGUGUUUGUUUUUUUACUUAAUUCUAAAUAGAACCUUAAUACUUAAUAGUAUUAAAUAUUAGGUUGUUUGUUUUUGUAGUAUUUUAUUUCUAUUAAGUAUUAAAAAGUAAAAAAAACCAUUGUGUUAUUUUUUUCUAUUUAGAAAAAGCCACAUAUUUUGGCUUUUUCUAUUUAGUAAAAAGUUUAUAAUAAGUCAUGAAAAAGUAAAAAACAAACAACCUAAAUUCUAAAACUAAAUGGCUUUCAGCAAAAAGACAAAAAAAACAAACACCACCUAAGUAUAAUGAGAUUGGUUUGUUUGAUACAAAAUUUGAAUAAAAAUUCUUUCAAUGAAAAUUCAAGGAAAGGAAAAAAAAAACAACUUUAUCUCUAGACUAUAAUACUAAAUCACUUAAAAAAAUAUCCUAACAUCGUUUAUGUUCAUCUUUCUUUUUAUGGAUUUGAAAAACCCAAUAAUUUGGAGAAAACUGAUUCAAGGAAGAAUAAUUUUUAGAAUAAAAUAUUAUUAUUUAAGAAGAUCAUAAAUAUUAUAGUCAUUGUUGAAUAUGAUAAAUGAUUAAAAAAAAAAAAGGUAGUUGGAAAUUUAGAUACUUUUAUAAGACAAAUGCAUUUUUCUAGUAUGGUAUGAAAAAAGGUAAAAUGAUAGGCUUUGAUCAUUUUUUAAGGUAGUUUGUUUAAAUCAUUUUAAUUUAUUUUGAUUUAAUAACAAUAACUUUUAUUACACUAGUUAUUUUGAUUUUCUUUUGAUAGAUUUUGCAAGCUUAAGCAAUUUGGAGGUAUUGGAUUUGAGUGAUAAUUCAUUUAGUGGGAUCGUUCCAUCGUCUAUAAGAUUGUUGUCUUCUCUCAAGUCUUUAUCCCUGGCUAGAAAUUACCUCAAUGGUUCCUUACCAAAUCAAGGUACAUAUAUUGUGAUUACAGGUUUUUCUGUUAUCUUUUUUAAUAUCUUGUUUGUUCUUUAUACCAACUAAGUCAUGCAUGUCUAUUAAUUUUUGGUAUUUAAUGAAAAACAUUAUUCUUAAUUCAUAAAGACAUCAUCAACUGUAAGUAACAACUAGUUGUAAGUUUGGGGGCAUUGACAAGACGAGGAGAUGAUUGGUUACAUGCCUUAUUCUCUUUUGUAGGCUUCUGCCAAUUGAAUAAGCUUCAAGAAUUAGAUCUUUCUUACAACUUAUUCCAAGGGAUCCUUCCUCCAUGUUUGAAUAAUUUGACAUCUUUGAGGUUAUUGGAUCUUUCUUCCAACCUAUUCUCCGGAAAUCUUUCUUCCCCUCUGUUACCUAAUCUCGCAUCCCAGGAGUACAUCGAUCUCAGUUACAAUCAGUUUGAGGGUUCAUUCUCUUUCAGCUCUUUUGCUAAUCACUCCAACCUUCAAGUGGUCAAACUUGGAAGGAAUAACAACAAAUUUGAGGUAGAAACUGAAUAUCCAGUUGGUUGGGUUCCCCUGUUUCAGUUGGAAGCUCUUAUGCUAUCCAACUUAGUGGUGGUUGAUCUAUCCCAUAAUAACUUGACGAGAAGGUUCGCCAAUUGGUUGCUUGAAAACAACACAAGACUAGAAUUUCUAGCCCUGAUGAAUAACUCUUUAAUGGGUCAACUACUUCCCCUGAGACCUAAUACUCGUAUCAGUUCAUUGGAUAUCUCACACAAUCAGUUGGAUGGACAACUUCAAGAAAAUGUGGUCCAUAUGAUUCAAAAUAUUAUGUUUCUAAAUUUAUCCAACAAUGGUUUUAAAGGUAUUAUCCCAUCCUCAAUAGCUUAAAUGAGUUCCUUAGGGUCGUUGGAUUUGUCUGCUAAUAGUUUCUCAAGGAAAGUACCAAAGCAAUUGCUUGCGGUAAAAUAUUUGUGGCUUCUGAAAUUAUCAAAUAAUAAAUUUCAUAGUGAAAUAUUUUCAAGGGACUUUAACUUGACUCAGUUAGGGUUUUUGCAUUUGGACAAUAAUCAGUUCAGGGGAACACUGUCAAAUGUAAUCUCCAGAAUCUCUAGGUUGUGGGUGUUAGAUGUGAGUAACAACAACAUGUUAGGUGAAAUUCCAAGCUGGAUAGGUAACAUGACCGAUUUGACUACACUGGUGUUGGGCAACAAUAGUUUUAAAGGCAAAUUACCACCUGAGAUUUCUCAAUUGUCGGGGAUGAUAUUUCUUGACGUUUCUCAAAACGCUUAAGAGCAUGAAGUAUUUAGAGCAUUUACAUUUGCAAGGGAACAUGUUUACAAGAUUGAUACCCAAAGAUUUUCUCAAUUCCUCAUAUCUAUUGACUUUGGAUAUCAGAGACAACAGGUUAUUUGGAAGUAUUUCCAAUUCAAUCUCUAGACUUUUAGAGCUAAGAGGAAACCUUUUAAGUGGUUUCAUUCCAUAUCAGCUUUGUCAUUUGACUAAAAUAAGUUUCAUGGAUCUUUCAAACAAUUUUUCUGGGUCAAUUUCCGGAUGCUUUGGUCAUAUCGGAUUUGGAGAUUUCAAAACUGAGCACAAUGUGUAUAUACCGACGUUGGAUUCGUAUUCAGAAAGCAAUCCUUCUAUAUAUACGGGUUACUUAAUAAAAUAUUUAUUUUUCUCUAGUGAACUCCCUGAUGAAGUAGAUGAAGUUGAGUUUGUUACCAAGAAUAGGUAUAGCUCCCACAGAGUAGAUAAAAAUAUUUGUUGGGAAUUUAGAUAUUUUUAUAGGAAAGUAGGCAAGUAUUCUAAUUUAUAAAAACAAUGCAUUUCUUUAGUUUGGUAUAAAAAAAAAAUGAAACGAUAGGUAUUGGUAAUUUUUUUUAAAGUAACAAACGUUUUAUUUUAUUUGUAUUUAAGAAAGAUGUCUUUUCUUAUACUAGUUAUUUUAAUUUUCUUUUGACAGUUUUUGCAAGCUUAAGCAAUUUGGAGAUACUAGAUUUGAGUUCUAAUUCCUUAAGUGGGAUUAUUCCAUCAUCUAUAAGAUUGAUGCCUCAUCUCAAGUCUUUAUCCCCGGCCGGAAAUUAUCUCAAUGGUUCUUUACAAAAUCAAGGUACAUAUGUUAUGAUUUGUUUGUUUCAUAUAGAUUAGAGAAGAUAAAUAUUGUAAAAAAAAAAAAGUUGUAGUUAAUGUAAGCUAGAAAUAAGUAUCUUGCCUUAUAAAUUAUAUAAGCAUGUGUUUGUUCUUAAUGAAUCUUUACAACAUUUAGAGUUACCAAUGUUUAUAAUUCAUAAAGACCUCAUUAACAGUGAAUAACAACUAAUUGUAAGUAAUUGUGGAAAAAGUAAGGAAAACAAAAUGAGGGAAAAGCAAGGAAUUAGGAAAUUAUUUUGUUCCCAUUAAAAAAUGUUAAGGAAGAAAAAGGUAAAAGAAAGUUUAAAAAAAGUAUAUUUUUCAAAAAUUUAUUUCUCUUUCCUUUAAUUUUGCUAUGGACAACCAAACAAGAAAAUUAUUUUAUAAUUCCUUUUUUAUUUUUUUCAUUCUCUCUCUCUUUUUUUCCCUACUCUAUUUCUUUUCCCUCAAACUUUCUUGGUAGUAAACACAACCUAAGAUAAAUGGGGAAGAAAAUUUUCAGUUUUAUUUUUUUAUUUUUUUAGAAUGUUUUCUUACUUUUUAGUAUUUUAUGCAAAUAUAGGAAAAUUAUUUUUUUUUUCUUGCUCCUUUUCAUACAUGAAUCACACUUUAAAAGAAAAUUAAUUUUUAAUUAGGAGUUAAGAUAAAUUUAAGGAGAAACAAUGAAUCACGAAUAACAAAAAAUUAAGGAAAUUGAAUUUUUGAAAGUAAGUAUAAUCAAAUUGCUUCAUUUGAUACAAAAUUUGAAUAAAAAUUCUUUCAAUGAAAAUUCAAGGAAAGGAAUAAACAUUUUUGUCUCUAGAUUAUAAUACUAAAUCAUGUAAAAAAUCUCUUAACAUCAUUUAUAUUCAUAUUUCUUUUUAUAGAUUUGAAAAAUUCAACAAUUUGGAAUAAACUUAUUCAAUGAAGAAUAAUUUUUAGAUUUAAAGAUUAUUAUUUAAGAUCAUAAAUAUUACCAUCAUUGUUGAUGUCUAAGAAGAUCAUAUUCAACAAUUUUUUUAAUAUGUUGUUUUUUAUGGUAAUUAAUUGAUGUCUUGUAAUUUUUAAUAUUUAAUGAAAAACAUUAAUUUAAUUCAUCUAGAGCUCUUAAUUCAUGAAGACCUCAUUAAUGUAAUGGUGAGUAAUAGUUGGCUGUAAGUUUGGAGUCAAAGACAAGUUAAGGAGAUGAUUAGUUACAUGUCUUAUUCUCUUUUGUAGGUUUCUGCCAAUUGAAUAAGCUUCAAGAGUUAGAUCUUUCUUACAACUUAUUCCAAGGGAUCCUUCCUCCAUGUUUGAAUAAUUUCACAUCUCUGAGGUUAUUGGAUAUCUCUGCCAACCUAUUCUCCGGAAAUCUUUCUUCCCCUUUAUUACCUAAUCUCACAUCCCUGGAGUACAUCGAUCUCAGUUAUAAUCAGUUUGAGGGUUCAUUCUCUUUCAGCUCUUUUGCUAAUCACUCCAAGCUUCAAGUGGUCAUACUUGGAAGGGAUAACAUCAAAUUUAAGGAAUUUGGAAGGGAUAACAAAAAAUUUGAGGUAGAAACUGAAUAUCCAGUUGGUUGGGUUCCCCUGUUUCAGUUGAAGGUUCUCUCUCUAUCCAGCUGUAAGCUCACCGGUGACCUUCCUGGUUUUCUUCAAUACCAAUUCAGGUUAGUGGGGGUUGAUCUCUCCCAUAAUAACUUGACAGGAAGUUUCCCCAAUUGGCUGCUUGAAAACAAUACGAGACUGGAAAUUCUACUCCUGAGGAAUAACUCUUUAAUGGGUCAACUACUUCCCUUGGGACCUAAUACCCGUAUCAAUUCAUUGGAUAUCUCACACAAUCAGUUGGAUGGACAACUUCAAGAAAAUGUGGCCCAUAUGAUUCCAAAUAUUACGUCUCUAAAUUUAUCCAACAAUGGUUUUGAAGGUAUUAUCCCAUCCUCAAUAGCUGAACUAAGAGCCUUACAGAUUUUGGAUUUGUCUACCAAUAAUUUCUCUGGAGAAGUACCAAAGCAAUUGCUUGCAGCAAAAGAUUUGGAGAUUCUGAAAUUAUCAAAUAAUAAAUUUCAUGGUGAAAUAUUUUCAAGGGACUUUAACUUGACUGGGUUAUUGUGUUUGUAUUUGGGCAAUAAUCAGUUCACGGGAACUCUGUCAAAUGUAAUCUCCAGAAUCUCUUGGUUGUGGGUGUUGGAUGUGAGCAACAACUACAUGUCAGGUGAAAUUCCAAGCUGGAUAGGUAACAUGACAUUAUUGAGAACAUUGGUCAUGGGCAACAAUAAUUUUAAAGGCAAAUUACCACCUGAGAUUUCUCAAUUGCAACGGAUGGAGUUUCUUGACGUUUCUCAAAAUGCUCUUUCAGGAUCUCUUCCUUCUUUGAAGAGCAUGGAGUAUUUAGAGCAUCUACAUUUGCAAGGGAACAUGUUUACAGGAUUAAUACCCAGAGAUUUUCUCAAUUCCUCAAAUCUAUUGACUUUGGAUAUUAGAGAAAACAGGUUAUUUGGAAGUAUUCCCAAUUCAAUCUCUGCACUUUUGAAGCUAAGGAUUCUUUUGCUGAGAGGGAACCUUUUAAGUGGUUUUAUUCCAAAUCAUCUUUGUCAUUUGACUGAAAUAAGCUUGAUGGAUCUUUCAAACAACUCUUUUUCAGGGCCAAUUCCUAGAUGCUUUGGCCAUAUCCGAUUUGGGGAGACGAAAAAGGAGGACAACGUGUUUGGACAGUUCAUGUAUUGGUAUGAACUGAAUUCUGAUCUUGUAUAUGCAGGUUACUUGGUGAAACAUUGGGAGUUCUUAAGUCCAACAUAUAAUGAAAAAGAUGAAGUUGAGUUUGUCACCAAGAACAGGCAUGACUUCUACAGAGGUGGCAUCCUUGAAUUCAUGUCUGGAUUGGACUUAUCAUGUAACAACUUGACAGGUGAAAUUCCUCAUGAACUUGGAAUGCUAAGUUGGAUUCGUGCAUUGAACUUGUCUCACAAUCAAUUGAAUGGCUCCAUUCCAAAGAGUUUCUCCAAUCUUUCUCAAAUAGAGAGCUUAGACCUUUCUUAUAAUAAACUGGGUGGAGAAAUUCCUCUAGAGCUAGUUGAACUCAAUUUUUUAGAGGUGUUUAGUGUGGCUUACAACAACUUCUCUGGUAGAGUUCCAGAUACCAAAGCACAAUUUGGGACAUUUGAUGAAAGAAGCUAUGAAGGUAAUCCUUUCCUUUGUGGGGAACUAUUAAAGAGGAAAUGCAACACAAGUAUUGAGUCACCAUGCGCACCAUCACAGUCUUUUGAAAGUGAGGCAAAAUGGUAUGAUAUCAAUCAUGUUGUUUUCUUUGCAAGUUUUACUACUUCAUAUAUCAUGAUCUUGUUAGGAUUUGUUAUCAUCCUUUACAUCAAUCCUUAUUGGCGUCAUAGAUGGUUCAAUUUUAUCGAGGAAUGUAUAUAUUCCUGCUAUUAUUUUGUUUUUGAUAGUCUUUCCAAGUUAUCGGCAUAUUUGUAUAAUUAGAUACUUUUAAUUGGAUGAUAUUUGCAUAAUUAACUACUAUUUGUUUCCCUGGGAUAGAAAGAAAUGGGAUGUAUAAUGCUAUGAGCUGAAACUUACAUACUUUGCUCAAAUUCUAACAUCUUUUGAUUUUAUUUUCAAGUUCCGUUAUUUAUUAUGUAUUGUUAAAUUCAAGAUUUAACCAUAUUACGUUACUCUUAUAAAAGAAAAUUCAAAUUUUUAGGAACUUUUAGCAUUAAAAUAAUUUCAUAGUCAGAUUUUAAAAAAUAAAGAAGAAAGAAAAUAAUAAAUAAUUGGAAAAACAAUUCAAGGAAGUAUUAAAUUAUUAUCUUAGAAUUGUUUGGCGUAGUAUGGGAAUUCAAAAAUAAUCUUUCAAUUUGUUAGAAAUGUUUAUUUAUUUAUUAUAGCAAUGAUUGAAAUAUCAAUCACAAAGUAAUGUUUUCUUUUCUUUUGUAGGGCACUAACACUUUUUCUUUGAUUGUAAUAAUUGAUAAAUAUAUUACACAAUUAUUUGUUUUAAAAAGGGGAGGGAUGACAAACAUAAUAACAUGUAAAAUAUUUCUAAAACUGUGAUGGGAAAUAAACCAUCUAAUUAGGGUGCAAUAUUAUUCAUUUUAAUUUAUAUGAAUUUACUUAUUUUUAUUUGCAUCAUAUUCUGAACUAUUUUAUGAAAUUAAGAGAGAUUAAAACAUCAUGAAUUUCUUAGUUUAAUUUAUAUUUUUAAUAAUAAAGCAUGAAAUAUUUAAAAAAAGAAAAACAAAAUCAUGAAUUUCUUUAAUUCAUUAGGAAACCAAUAUAUAAAAAAAGUUGAAUAUAUUAUUAUUUUAUGUUCUAAAUUUCUAAAUUUGUUCAUCACGUAUUUAUUUUUAUAUUAAAUUUAUUAUCAAUAAUUAUUUAUUAUAUAUUAUUAUUUUAUGUUUAAAAAUGUUCAUAAAUAAUUAAAAUUAAUAAAUAUAAAAAAUGAAAUAUUAAAAAAAUAAAUUAAAAAGAUUUCAUCAAGCUAACAAAUUUUUAUAAAAAAAAAAAAGAGUAAAAAAGAAGAUGGGGAUAUUAUAGAGGUGGGGAAAAAGAUAAAAGAAAAAUCAUGUGGUAUAAUAAUUGCCACGUGUUAAAGUUAUUUUCUUUAAAAAUUAAUUAUAGUAAUGAUGAACUCAUUUGUCUUAUCAAAGUAAAUAAAAAUAAAUAAAUAAAAGAAAAAAAGAAAAAGAAAAAAGGUGGUAGUUGGCUGGAGGUUAGAGAGGAGGGUUUGAAGGUAAAUUUGGAAUAUUGAUUAUUUUCACUAAGUAGAUAUUUUGAAAGUUAUUUUGCCUGAAACCCAUAUUGUUUGAAAAUAAAAAAUCAAAGUUUAAAAAAAAUACAAUUUUUUUGAAAUGAUGCAUGAUUACAUCAUUCCCCUGAUAGAUUAUUUAUUCCUUUAAACUUUACUUCAAAUAAAAUAAUUUUAAUUAUUUUCUUUUUGGAAUUAUAUUUAACAUAUUAUUAAAAAUAUAAAAAAACAUUUUAAUAAUAUUGUUAAUGAGUUUUUUUUAUAUAUAUUUUGUAAAAUAAUUAAAUUUAAAAAUAUUUAAAUUUAGUUAUGGGCUGCCCAUUUCAAAAUAAUAAGAAUCUAGUAACCUAAUUUUUCCAAAUUCCAGGUAAAUAUGCUAAUCUAAAAAUAAAUAAAAAAAUAAAAAUUAGUUUUUAUGUGCUGAUUGGGUUUUUUUUCCUUUAAUUAAAAAAAAAGGAAAAAAACAAAAGUGUGUGAUCCUCUUUCUCGAGUCUUCACAUUUAGAGACACUGAACCCAAAUCAAAAUUAAUCCUUCAAAUUAAUUUUCACCUCCAAACAUAGCUAUCCGAAAAACCCUAACCUCUGCCUCCUCUUCCUCUUAUCCCGGAAACCUAAAUUCCGUGACCCUAACCCCUUCUCUUUCCGAAAACCCUCCGGAAUCGGAAAAUUCAUAAUUCUUCAGAAUUAAUUUUCACCUCGAAGCCAAACCCUAACUGCCUCAUCUUCCUCUCAUUCAUAUCCCAAAAGUAGCUUCAACAGUCAGGCCUGUAGCCAUGAAAGCCGUAGUGAUCACUACUUCCGGUGAUCCCCAAGUUCUCCAAGUGCAAGAAGUCGAAAACCCUGAAAUUGGAGAUGAUGAAGUUCUAAGUAGAGUGGACGCCGCUGCCAUUAACCGAACAGAUACGCUUCAGAGGAAGGGCUUGCACCCUUCCUCAAAGGCGGCAGUCCCUACCCGGGUCUCGAAUGUUCUGGAAUCAUCGAAGCUGUUGGAAAAGCCGUCGUUCGAUGGAAGGUUGGCGAUCAGGUAUUUCAAUUGCCUAAUAUUUUGAUUUCGUUUCUGUUCCUCUGUUUUUCUCGGCUAUCAAACACUAGGAACGUGUAAAUAAGGAGGUUAGUUGAUUGCGAAAACGGGAAUUUUUUGUUCGUGUCUGUGUUAAGGAGUCUUUGUUGAGAAUUUUGGGGAAAUUUAUGAUAAGUUUGUGAUUUUAUGAUUAAUUUUGUGUAUCAAUAUAGGUUAAAUUAUUGAGCUUAUUGGUUUUCAAAUUUAUGGUUGUAAGAAAAUUGGUCAGUGUAAGGUUAUGGGAUCAUUACCAAUUUGCUUACUGAAAAUUUUUCCAGAUAUUGUGGACCGGUUUGGUAGCAGAAAUAAGAACUGUGUUUUGUUUUUCAAAACGGAAAUGGAUGCAGAAAACAUGUUUUUCUUUCAGAACUUGUUUCCGAAAAUAUUUCCUGAAAAUGAAUUAUUUCAGAACUUGUUUUAAAAAAAUUCAAACACUUUAUCAAUUUAAAAGGUUCUGAAAUGGACAUGUUCAUGGUCUUCAUUUUUUAAAAUUAAAGCUUUUAUGAAAAAACCAUUUUCCCUUCUACUAAACAAACAGGCUCUAUAUUGUAACAGAUCGAUUGGCCAUUUCCUUUGUCAUGUUUUGUGAAUCAUGGCAACACUGGAAUCCACUCCAUUACCAUCUGUUAGUGAUUAGAAGACAAAGCACCAAUUUUAAUGAUAUCCUUUAUGUGAUUUUGCUUCCUCCUGAGUACAAGUUCAUAGUAUACAUGGUACAUGGUGAAUCUGUAUGACAGUUCAUGGUAUACAGGUGUGUGCUCUUCUUUCUGGUGGAGGGCAUGCUGAAAAAGUGGCUGUUCCAGCUGGGCAAGUUCUCCCUGUCCUAUCUGGUGUUUCUCUGAAGGAUGCUGCUGGAAUUCCUGAGGUUGCAUGUACUGUUUGGUCAACUGUUUUAAUGAUGAGCCGACUGUCUGCAGGAGAAACAUUCCUGGUGAAUUUUUUGUCUUUUUUAUUUUCUGAUGCCUGAUAUAUUUACCAGCACAAAUUUACCCUGUUGCUGUUUAAUGUGUGUGCAUCAAUAUUGGAUUAGGGAGGUAGAAGAGCCAUGGUUCUAAUUAAAUCAUUACAUCAUCAUAUUCUUAUUUAGAUACAUUGUAUCCCACAAUUUCAUUGCAUCCAAGGCUAUGUUGUUUUUUAUUGCACGGUUUGUGUCAUGGUAAUUUCUCAACCCUUCUCUGGAAAAUUAUGUUGGAUGGCUGCUAUUAAUUACCCCAAAAGAAGAAAUUUUAUGUUGAAGUAAGAUGAGUAGCACAAAGAGUUACUUGUGGUUGAUCCUAUCAUCAAAUGGGCGAUUGAUGCACAAUCCAAAUGGUAAAUUUUUUUCCCCCUUUAUCCAGAUGGAAUUUUUAUGCAUGGUUGAAUAGUGAAAUGAGGACUGAUAAUAUUUCAGGUUCAUGGGGGUUCAAUUGGAAUUGGUACCAUCUAUUCAAAUAGUGAAAUACUGAGGAGCAAGGGUAUUUGUUACAGCAGGUUUGCCAUCACUGUUCUACCUCAUCUCACAGAAUGCUUAUCUCAUGGCACCAAUUCCUUUUCUUCACAUGUUUUCAACCAUUUUUUCCACCCAGGAACGAGGAAAAAUUAGCUGUUUGUAAGGAUCAUUGAGCAGAUGUGUGCAUCAAUUACAAGACUGAAAACUUUGUUGCAUGGGUGAAGGAGGAAACAGGAGGGAAAGGUAUAAUCUAUUGUAUCUUAACGAUAAUUUCAAUUGAAGGUGGAAUUGCUUUUUAAUUUUUAGUGCACCAAAUCCACUAGUCUGGAAUGUUUGAAAAGAUAAAUAGUCAUCUUCCACUUGAUACCGAUUGUGAAGAUCUAACCCCAAAAAUGUUGAAUGACAGGUGUUGAUGUUAUACUGGAUAAUAUUGGAGGGGCCUACUUUUGGGGAGACAUCAAUGGUUUAAAUGUUGAUGGAAGGCUUUUUAUUAUUGGUUUUCAGGGUGGAACAGUGGUACAAGUAAAUCUUUCAGGUUUACUUGCAAGGCGCCUUACAGUGCAAGGUACCGCUUUCUCUGUAGUUUUGGAGUUGAAUCAAUUUGAUUAAUCUCAUCCAAGUUCAGAACUGAGGUGGAUUCUGGCAAGCCAAGGAAAAACCAAAUUACCAUAAAUUCUUUUUUUCUUGGAAAUCCUGUUUCUCAAUCUGGUCAGUAUAUGGAAAUUCCAAGGAAAAUAUGUUUUACAUUUUCCAUAAGGCUCAAUGGGUUUUAACUCCACUCAGCUACUUUAUGUCUUGUAUUUAAUAUUGCAAACCAAAAUAAUAAUACGUAGAGAUUGAGCUUGGAGGCCAAUCUAGCAAAUGUGGAGAUUAGAAAUAGUUUACCAUCUAGAUAGUCAAGCAUAGCAAUUUACCAAACCCUUACCAACCAUCCAUACUAACCAAUUGUGGUUAAAUGUUUACAAAAAUGUACAUUAAAUCAAAGAGAAAAAAGAUUAAAAACGAACAAGAGAGAAGAAGUACGUCACCUAAUUUUGGUAAUAAAUGAAAUUAAAAUAAAUUCAUAAAUUUUUUAAAUUAAAAUGAAUUUGAACUCUAGAGAUUUGUGUAGAUAUCUUAUUAAAAAACCAAAAAGUUUGUUGCAUAUAUAAUUUCAACAAUGCAUAAAUAAUUACAACAUACGCAAUACAAUAAUAUUACACAACUAUAUUUUCAAAUAUAGUAUAAGAUCAUUAAAGUGAUAAAUUGUAGUUGUAUAAAAUAUUUAUACAAGUAAAGAAGAAAUUAUGAGAUUGAAAUGCUUGUUGGAUUCUAAGUAAAAAGGAAAUGAGAUAUAGAGAUUGUCCCAUCAGACAUAGAAUUUCAUAUACAUAAUUUUCCCUUCAAGAAAAUUUAGGGUCAAAUUGAAAAAUUUUCAUUCAUAGAUUUUGGUAAAACCUCUAUCUAGUCCUCCAAAUCUUGUAUACAAAAGGAAAUAACAUUGGUAUGAGGGGUUUGAAUGCUUAAUUUUAGAUUGAAAAUGCUUGAGAUAAUUUUUGAUCGACUUCACAUGUGUUUUUGAUAAACUUGGAACAUUCAAACUUGUAUUUGAAGAAUCUUCAAAUCUUCAAUUUGAUCUUAAAUAAUGUUGAAACCUUCGAAAUUUGAAUAGAAGAAUCUUUAAGCAUUUGAAUUUUGGUUUAAAGAAUUUUGAAAUUUGAGAUUGAAGAAUCUUCAAAUUUGGGCCUGAAGAUCAAAGGCUAAGCUUGAAGAGUUCUUGAAGCUUGAGUGGUAUCUCCGAUUUUGUUUUGUAUUUCAUAAAAACUUUUAAGUAUACUAUAUUUAUAGGUUUGAAGAGACAUUGAGAUUUUGUAUACAUGUUUGGAGUUUUAAACCUUGAAAUAUUACUCUUUUAUGAAAUUAACAUUUAUAAAAUUUGGAAGAACAUAAUUAGAUAAUAUUCUAAGUUAUUUUUAAUGAAAAUUGAUAAUUACCUUUUAAUUAUCAAAUUCACUAUUUCUAUUUAUUUUUGUAAUAUAUAUUAAUUACUAAAAUCAUUUAUUUCCUUUAUUUAGUUUGAAAGCAAUUAUAUAUCUUUUGUUUGUGUAGAGCUCAUGUGACACGACAAAUUUUAUUUUGUAACUUGCUCUGGAUGAAUGGCCAUUAUAAACUUCAUUUUAUCCUCAUCUGAUUUUGAGGUGGGAAUAGGAGAGAUGAGGAUUUGACAUUUGGACCUAAGCCUCAGAGGGUUUUAACUCCACUCAACUACUUUAUGCCUUGUAUUUAAUAUUGCAAACCAAAAUAAUAACAGACAUGAUCCUUUUCAAAAUUUUUAUAAUAAUAGAAGUGUAAAUAAUAUAAGUAAAAAUAAUAUAAUAUUUUUUAAAAUGAUAAAAUAAUAGGUUAUAUAAAUUUUAAUAUAUAGGUAAAAUUAAUUAAAUUUUAACAAAUACCUUCACACUUAAACAUUACAUAUCUUUUAUUUAAUAAAAUGUUAAAAUAUUAAUAUAUUUAAAAUUGUAUAAUUAUUUUUUAUUUUAAUACUAUAUAAAUUAUAUAUUUAUGAUAUUACUGGUUCAACUAUAAUUCAAUCACUGAUCCAACCAUUGAACCAUGAAUUAGUAAAUUUUUUUAUUCAAUGAUAGGUUUGAUUCUAAAAAUAUUAUGACUAUGUUUGGUUCCAGAAAUUUUUUUUUGAUGGAUUACAUCAAUCUAGAUAAUGACAAAGAUAUUACCAAUUUGAUAUCACCAAUUGAUAACACAAUUAAAAAAUAAUAUGCAUUUUAACAUAUUUGAAUUCAUUGUACUCAUAUCCAUGACCUAAUUUUACACAUCCUUAAAUCAUGGUUGAUUUAUGAAACAAAUCUAUACCAUCAAUAGAAAAUAAAUAAAUAAAAUAAUACAAAAAAAUAUAUAGAUAGUCAAGCAUAGCAAUUUACCAAACCCUUAGCCACCAUCCAUACUAACCAAUUGUUGUUAAAUGUUUACAAAAAUAUACAUUAAAUCAAAGAGUAAAAAGAUUAAAAACGAACAAGAGAGAAGAAAUACAUCACCUAAUUUUUGUAAUAAAUGAAAUUAUAAUAAAUUCAUAAUUUUUUUAAAUUAAAAUAGAAAUUCAAAUACAUGUAACUAUUGUUUUUGUCUUGUAAAUCAUCCAAUUUUUCAAUGAAUUUAAACUCCACAUAUUUGUGUAGAUAUCUUAUUAAAAAAAACAAAAAGUUUUCACUAAAAUCAUAAAAUUUAGAUUAGAAAUGAUUUACUAUAUUAGUUCAAAAUUCAUCUCCACAAAAAUUGAAAUAAAUUAAUUAUCUUGAUCAAUUCAAAUAAAAUUUCUCCAAUUAAAUUUCCAAAUAUGUGCCUUAAUACCUAUAAUGGAAUUAGUAAUUUUAAUUAAAAAAUAAAUAAAAAUAAGGAUUUGAUCUUUUUCUUACCAUUUGAUGAAAAUUAUAAAAUAUACUAAAAUGACAAGUGAUCAGACAUUUGAAAUUUGCAUCAUUUCUACCAUUGCAAACACCACCAACUCCAUAUUUCCCAUUUUUCUACCUACUGCCAAUUCACUCAUCUCUCUGGGAAGAUUUUUGAGGUUAUCGCCAUGCUUGAGAUAAUCCAGAAAGUUGAGCGGCAUCACUCUCUGAAAGGUGCCUUACAGCAUGGGUAAUGUAUGGGAUACAUCUGAUAGCUUGCCAUAUCCAUAAACCACUAUAUUAAACCAUGGUUCAUAUCCCCAACGCCACACGAGAAUCUGUACUCAUCCCAAGCAGCUUGGAGAUCAUAAAAUUAGGUUUUGAGGGCCUCCCGAGACAUGCACAGCUUCACCUUUGUGCAUUCCUUUGAUUUGGAAAAUUUCUUCUGUAAAAUCCCCCAUUAUCAUGCCCUGAACCAAGACAAUUUCACAAUAUCCAAUAGCAUAUCAUUUACUUCCAUUUUGUCAAUGGGAAUUACCAUUUUGCAUGGGAAGCACCAACGGAGAUAGGGGUUUUCAAAUUGGAUCACUAGCAAAGAAACCCACCGCAACGAUCUGAAUAAUUGAGCACAACAUCCACUUUAGAGAACCCCUCCUGAAGGCGAAAUCGUCAUCUUGGCUAAACGUAGUCAUAGUUGGGUUGUGAGAAAUGGAGAUGAAUCACAGAAGGCUUUCAGUUUGAUAGCAACGAAAAGGUAAAUGUACUCUAGAGAAGUUUUGACCUUGGGAGAAGCGCUUUUGAAUCCAAGUCAAGGUCUGUUCUGGAUCCCUUUUCGACUCUCUCUAUUAAAGGAAGAUAAUCUGCCCAGGAUUUGGAUGCAAGCCUACAAGGCCAUGUUUAGGAGACUUAUGCAAAAUAUUUAUCCAUAGCUCCCCGCCUGAAACAUCUACAUAAAGCGUCUUCCAAGUGUGAACCAUCGUCUUGGGUCCUUGAGAUGAACAAAAACUGAGACAUGUCGUGAGUUAGAUGCAUUGCCUGAAAAUGCCGAGCAGUAGUAUGGCCUUCUUUCUGAUCAACUGUUUUGUCAAAUUCUAGAGCUCUCAUUCCAAAUCCAUCAGUUUUCUCAAAUGAUUGGCCAGUGGAGAUCCAUGGAUAUAACAUAUGAAAUGUGCACAAUAAAAGUAAUCAAACGGUUGGUUGGUUUGGCUGAAUCCCACAAUCGCAAAGACUUAUCAUAUGAAACUGUUACCAACUGAGUUGAAUUUGGCCUAAAAAGGAUAUCCGUUACUACAAACUAGCGUUCUUUCGUGGUGCUCUCUCUUUGCAGGCUAUCCAUGUUCCAAAGAAAAACUCUCUUGUCAUGUCUGGCACUGGGCACUGAUUAGAGUGUGGGACGUUCAUUCUCCAUUAUCACCAAACACAUGCAGGAUAUAUAUAUAUCAAUUCAUUCAAAAUAUGCCUUUAUUUUAUGGAACAUACCCGAAUCCAUUUUGUUUGUGUUGAAGAGGUAUAGAUCUUCUAAGGCUAUGGAGGGCACCACCUUUUCUCAGAAUUCUCUCUGACGAUGGGAAGCCGAAGAGAACGGGUUUUGUUUUUAUUUUGAAAACGUUGUUAUCCUUAAAGAACAAACACUAUUCUUUGGAUUUAUACCCUCCUACCUUAGGGACCAUACCGUUUGGCUACUGGGCCUCACGAGUCUUAGGCCCAUCAUCUAAGGCCCGUGAUGGCACUGGGCUCUACACAUAAGGUGGCCCAUACUCUAGAACGAAUAGAAAUCAUAUGUAUAUAUAUGGAUAGCUAAAUCCUGAAUAAUGGUUAAUAUGAUGUCGGUCCACAUUUAUUCUAUCAAUCUCCCACUUGGACCACAUAUAUUACAAAACAAUGUUCAUGAUAGUACUUUAUUGAGCUCAUCUUUGCUAUCCUAUCUUAAUAUCCUUAAACAAUCUGGUCUACUAGUUAUGCUAACAUAGGAUCAAAGUGGCCUUCAUUAAUCAUAAUUAUAACUAGACCCAUCAAUGAUCACAACAUUAACAAAAUUAGCAACAUAGAUCAAGUAUGGAUGUGUAGCAUGAAAAUUACAUAAAAUGUGAUCUUUAUUAUGUCUAUUUCCAAUUGGUCCUACUUUAUGACUAAAAAAUAGUCAAAUUCCACUUUCAACACUUGAUGCUAAACUGCUUCUGAAAGUCAUCAUUUCAAUUCAGAGAAUUCAAAUACAAUAGUCUUUAAAAUCAAGGUUUGUUGCGUACAUUAUUGGAAUGUUCAGCAAAUAUUUGAGUAACCCAAGUAUGGAUUACUGGAAAAAGGCAAAAUAGGUUAUGCGGUAUUUACAAAGAACUAAAGAUUAUAUGCUCACAUACCGUAGAUCCAGUCAUUUAGAGAUCAUGGGAUAUUCGGACUCCGAUUUCGCGGGAUGUCUUGACAACAAGAGAUCCACUUCAAGCUUCAUCUUCAUGUUGGCUAGAUGAACAGUUUCAUGGAAAAGUGUUAAACAAAUACUUAUUGCUUCUUUCACCAUGGAGGCAGAAUUCAUAGCCUACUACAAAGCAUCAAACCAUGGGAUAUGACUGCGGAAUUUUGUCACUCAGUUGCGAAUCGUUGAUGAGAUUGAGAAAUCAUUAAGAAUAAAUUGUGAUAAUAAAGCCAUAGAAUUGUAAUUCUAAGAACAACCGAAGUUCGUCAAAGUCCAAACACAUUGACAUCAAGUUCUUGGUUGUGAAAGAAAGAGUUUAGAGUCUUCAAGUAUCAAUUGAACAUACAAGCACAAACUCCAUGAUUGCGGAUCCGCUCACUAAGGGUUUGCCACCCAAAGUAUAUCAUGAGCAUGUCACACAUAUGGGUGUUGUACAUAUUGAUGAUGUUCCAGUAUAGUGGGAGUUUGUAUUUAGAUUUUGUGUUUGUUUUCUUGAUAUGAUGUUAUAUUGUGUUAUCGUGUACAAACUUGUGCAUACAUGAGACUUCCUAUUGUUGAGGCAUAGGGAAACCUCUUCAUAUCCUUCUUUUUAAGUUCAUUUUUCGGACAUUGGUGCAAACUAAAUUUAUCGCCUUUUGCUACAGGCAUGUCUCCUGGUGUACAAUUGCUCAUGCCAAAUCUACUCAACACCUUAUCGAUGUAGGCCUUUUGUGAUAACCCAAGUAUACCUCUUAAACGAUCCCUAUAGAUCUGUAUACCUAGCAAAAAAGAUGCAUUACCAAGAUCCUUCAUGUCAAAUUUACUAGACAAAAAUAGCUUAGUUUCAUGCAAAAGUCCCACAUCACUACUUGCAAGUAGAAUAUCAUCAACAUAUAGCACCAAGAUAAUGAAUUUGCUCCCACUAAACUUGAGAUAUAUGCAUUGAUCAAUGGUGUUUUCCUUAAAACCAAAUGAAGUAAUCACCUGAUUAAACUUUUGGUACCAUUGUCAAGAUGCUUGCUUUAAACCAUAUAUGGACCUUUUUAAUCUGCAUACAAGUUGCUUUAAAUCAUUAGACUCAAAGUUCUCCGGUUGCAUCAUGAAUAUUGUUUCAUCAAUGUUACCAUUAAGAAACGCAGUUUUAACGUCCAUUUGAUGCAACUCUAAAUCAUAAUGAGCCACAAGUGCCAUGAUGAUUCUAAAGGAGUCAUUUGACAAAACCGAUGAAAAAAUCUCCUUAUAAUCAAUGUCUUCCUUUUGAGUGAAACCUUUUGCGACUAGACGUGCCUUAUACCUAACAAUGUUGCCUUUUGAAUCCCACUUGGUCUUAAAAAUCCAUUUACAACCAAUCGAUUUUACACUUUCAGGCAACUUUACUAGGUCCCAAACACCAUUAUCUUUCAUUGAUUUCAUCUCAUCUUUUAUGGCUUCUAUCCACUUUUCAGAGUCAGAACUUUGUUUGACUUGACUAACUGAAAUUGGAUCAUCUUCCAAACCCAUGUCAAACUCUUGUUCCUGGAGAUGUACAACAUAAUCAUCUGAAAUUGUACUUCUCAUUUCUCUAGUGGAUCUCCUUAGUGGCACUUGUAUUUGAGGUUCUUGAGGCUGUUGAGUUACCUCUUCAUAAACUUGAACCGGUUCCAUAACUUGAGCAGGAGGAAUCUCAAGUGUGUUUUGAAUCUCUGUUAUUGAUUGUACAAUCUGGAUAGUGUCAUCAAACAUAAUAUGACCAUGUCCAGUCGUAAUAAUAGGAAUACUAACAGAUUCCUCUUCAAAUACCACAUUUCUUAACGGUUCUCUCCCAUUUAACUCAACAUCCUCAAUAAAUUUAGCUUUGCCCGUUUCAAAAAAGGAUCUAGUUGAGGGGUCAUAAAACUUGAAACCUCUCAACCUUUUAGAAUAUCCUACAAAGUAGCAGCUCACUAUUCUAGAGUCCAAUUUCUUUUCAUUUGGUUUUUAAGGCCUAUCUUCAGCUGGACAACCCUAGACAUGCAAGUGCCUAAUACUAGGUUUCUUGCUAGUUCAUAACUCAUAUGAGGUUUUGGCUACUGCUUUGCUUGAGACUCUAUUCAAAAUAUAAAUUGUUGUUUUGAUGGCUUCGCCCUAAAGUGAUUCUGGUAAGGUGGAAUGACUGAUCAUACUUCUUACCAUAUCCUUAAGAGUACGAUUUCGCCUAUCUGCUACACCAUUUUGGAUUGGAGUCCCCAGCAUGGUGUAUUGAGGAACGAUACCACACUCCAUCAAAUAUUUGGCGAACAGCCCUGGACGUUGUUCACUAGAUCCGUCAUAUCUACCAUAAUAUUCACCUCCACGGUCAGAUCUGACGACCUUUAUUUUCUUGCUUAGUUGGUUCUCAACUUUAGCUUUGAAAUUCUUGAACACAUCUAAUGAUUGAGACUUCUCAUGAAUCAAAUAAAGAUAGCCAUAGCGCGAGUAAUCGUCAAUGAAAGUGAUAAAAUAUUAUUGUCCAUUCCAAGAAGGGGUAGGAGAUGGACCACAAAUGUCCGUAUGUAUCAAUUCAAAGACGUCACUGCACUUGUUAACAUCAUUUUUUUUCUCAUAUUUGUUUGUUUACCCUUAAUAUACUCUAUACAGACUCGAAAGUAUAAGAAAUUAAGUGGAUCAAGAAUUCAUUCUGACACAAGCCUUUGAAUACGUUGAUUUGAAAUAUGACCCAAAUGCCUGUGCCAUAACAUCGAUGAAUUCUCAUUUGUUAAUUUCCGUUUAAUGUCAUAAUUACUUGAAUUCAAGGUUUCAUUUUCAUUAGUGGUCUUUAUGUUUAAUUUGUAUAAUUUGUCUGUUAGAUUACCUGUACCAAUAACAUUUGAAUUUAGAUAAAGACUAACCAUUCCAUUUCUAAAUGAACAAUAAUAUCCAAAGUACAUCCAGAGUCUAACUGUAAUCUAAAAAGACCAAUAGUCUUGACUGCAACCUUGUUGCCAUUUCCCGCAUAGAUGUAUCUUUCACCAUCAAUUGGCAUUCGGCUCCUUAGGCAACCCUACAUCGUGACACUUAUGUGAGUAGUUGCACCCGUAUCUAUCCACCAAGUGUCAGUAGGCACUACGACUAAAUUAAUUUAUGAACAAACAAAGUUGAGAAGUGUACCUUUCUUUUCACGCCAAGCAGCGUAUUUGGUACAUGUCUCUUCAUAUGACCAACCUUCUUGCAAAAGAAACAAGUCAUCUCCUUAUCUUGUUUCUUCUACACCUUUUGCAUUGAUGUCCCAAAAAUUGCAGUUUGUUUUUCUUUAUUGUCCCUUUUUCUUUUCUUGUUGGUACCAAAUCCCUGAGAUGUGGAAGCCAAGUGAGCACUUUCUAUCUUUUCUUGUUUCAAUCUCUCAUCCUUUUGUGCACAUUGAGCAAUAAGCUCAUUCAAAGUCCAUUUUUCUUUUUGUGUGUUGUAACUGAUUUGGAAUGGACUGAAUUGUGUAGGCAGAGAGAUCAAGACCAAGUGCACGAGUAUGUCUUCUGAAAACUCUAAUUUUAGUACCUUUAGUCUAGUCACAAGAUUAGACAUUUCCAUAAUAUACUCCCUUAUAUUCUCUUUCCCUUUGUACCGCAUAGAGACAAGCUUACUAAGAAUAGUGCUUGUCUCAACCUUUUCAUUUGUAGUGAAUCGGUUUGCUAUCUGGUCUAAGAAUGCCUUGGCUCGAGUUUUCUCAGGUAUUGCACUUCUUACAGCUUUUGGAAUUGAGUGCUUUGUUAUCAUUAGAGUCAUGCGAUUGGAUCGCUCCCAUUUUUCCAUAGUAGAACUUUGCUCAGCAGUGCUGGCACUAGUAAGAUCUGGAGGGCGAUCCUCUCUUAAUGCAUAGUCUAAAUCCAUGCACCCGAGCACAAUUAUAGCGUGUUUCUUCCAUUUCUUGAAGUUUGUGCCAUUAAGUGCAGGAAUGUUAUUAACAUUUGCAGAUAUAGAAUAUGUUGAAUUCAUAAUAAUAAAGCUCACAAUCAGUCACAUAAAUAUCAUACAUACAUGAAAAAUAACAUCAUACAAGAUACUUAGCACAAACAUUAAUAUUCUGUCUUUGGACAAUAAAUAUUAACUUGUAAUUGGUAUCCUUAUUCAAAAUUAUUCAUAAAUAUUGACAAUAAAACCAAAAACAAUAUGCUUGUCUUUAGACUAACAUAUCGAAUGCAAGAUAAACUUUAUAUGUCACAUAUUUAUGACUACUUUAUUUAUUAUUAUAUUAAAAUAAUCUUCCUUUGGGCCAAUUAUUUUAAAUAAUAAUAAUAACAUGUUUAGAUAUUAUAAAAUAAAUAAAUUAUAUAAUAUAAGUUACUUUGACAACUAACAUACAUAAUUCAUUUAUUUUAAAAUAUUAAACACAAACAUAACAAGAAAUAAUAAAUUCAAUUAAAAUUAUUUAUUUAUUUAUGCAUAAACCCAUGUAUAUAUAUAUAUAUAUAUAUUAAUUGAAGCAUAAAAAACCAUCUACAUGUGUAUAUAUAUCAAUUGAAGCAUAUAUACAAGCUUUAGUCUAAUGGUUUAAGCAAAAAAUAGGCCAUGGUAAAGGGUUUAAGCCAACCCGCCCCUUUAGUUUGGUUUUUGUUUUUUUUUUUUUGUUUUAAUUUCUUUUGGGCUACUGACCAUGCAUUCUCUCAUGGCCCAACGACCACUUAUGGUCACUUACAAGCCAAGCCCCUUCCAUAUAUAUAUAUAUAUAUAUAUGUUUUUAUUUAUUUAUUUAAAUUUUGUCCAUUGCAGCCCAAAGCGACCAUCCCUUGUAAUGGCAUCAUCAACGGUGCCAGAGCUGUCCUCGAACGACACCGAUAGUGAAACGCUGCCACCAUCACCGGAACGGUGAUUUCCCAUCGCCAAACGACGGUGUCACUACCGGAAUGAUGCUGUAACAGCAUCGCUGGGAAGCAACCUAACUUGUGGCGUGACACCAUGACAAGCAAUGCCACUAGCAGUGAAACGCUGUCGCCAUCACCGAAACGGUGAUUUUCCAUUGCCAAACAAUGGCGCCACCACCGGAACAACGUUGAAACAACAUCACUGGGAAGCAGCCCUACCCGUGGCACCAAAAUGGCGCUUGGAUGGCAUUUGGAACACUUGCAACAACGUUCAAAUCAGCGCUUCUCACUGGCAAAUGACGCUUGAACGACAUCUGGAAAUAAUGCCUACAACGCCUAAAAAUUGUGCUAUUUUGAACUCUUAAAACAACGUUGAAAUGACGUCUACCAAAGUCUGGAAUUGCACCGCUGUCUAGAACGAUGCCAUGAUGGUGUCUCACUCGCCUUAAAUGGCACCAACCACCAUGACUUGCAACCUAAAAAAUGGCACUUGAACAGCGCCUGAAGCGUGCCUGGAACGACGCUACAAACGAUGCCUGAAAUGGUGCCUUUUGUAUGCCUGAAAACGACAUAGGAAUGACGCUUAAACUACGUCCAUUUUGAACGCCUGAACGGUGUCCUAACGGCGCCUGAAACGAUGCCUGAAUGACGCCUGGAAUUGGCCCAGAUUUAUUUUAUGUUGUUUCCUUCCUCUUGGAUCUUUUGUUUGUGUUUUAAAAAAAAAAAUGUUUUGGUGAAAAUGGGAAAUGCAACCAGGCUCUGAUACCAUUUUGUGGGACGUUCAUUCUCCAUUAUCAUCGAACACAUGCAAGAUAUAUUUAUAUAUAUCUAUCAAUUCAUUCAAAAUAUGCCUUCAUUUUAUGGAACAUACCCGAAUCCAUUUUGUUUGUGUUGAAGAGGUACAGAUCUUCUAAGGCUAUGGGGGGUACCACCUUUUCUUAGAAUUCUCUAUGACGAUGGGAAGCCAGAGAGAACAAGUUCUAUUUUUAUUUUGAAAACGUUGUUAUCCUUAAAGAACAAACACUAUUAUUUGGAUUUAUACUCUCCUACCUUAGGGACCAUACCCUUUGGCUAUUGGGCCUCACGAGUCUUAGGCCCAUCAUCUAAGGCUCGUUAUAGCACUAGGCUCUACACAUAAGGUGGCCCAUACUCUGGAAAGAAUAGAAAUCAUAUGUAUAUAUAUGGAUAGCUAAAUCAUGAACAAUGGUUAAUAUGAUGUCGGUUCACAUUUAUUAUAUCAUAGAGACUUCCCAUAUGAAGAAAAUCGACAGCAGGUAGCUUUGCCAUUCUUAGUCUGUAUACAACCAACCUUAGCAAGGAUUGAACCCUUUUAUGCUUAGUUGUGCCAUAAAGAUCCUUACCACUGCCUAUAACAUGUAAUCAAAAUGAUUCGAUAAUAUCAUCUAGUGAACCAAUACCUCCAAAUGAGAGACCAUUGCCUUGGUAACUAGGGCUCAUGACUGAGAAUUGCUUGAACCCCUUUGCUUGGGUUGGAGCUUGACUGAUGCACAAAAUAUUCAUAGGCCUCUUCCCAUAACUGGCACCUUGUGUUUGCAACAUAAUUGAACAUGUAUUGAAGUGAGUUUUUUUGCAUCUUUUUGUAAGAAAAUUCUAAACAACAGAGAUUGCUUAGUGUGCCCGGCUCCUCGGGGAAUCAAGGUUCAUUCCUGUAGGGCCAAUUUUUUCACAGUCGAACUAGAUAACAUGGAGAGUAUGUUGCAAUGCUUCAACGGGGUAUUUCUUAGGAAAAUCCACCUGAAGCUAGUACAAUUCGUUGGCGUACUGAGUUCCUGGAGCUCUAUUGACUUCAAUCACCCAUCUUUGUAGAUUAUCGGUGACUUAUGCUCGGAUCCUGUAGGAGGAUUGACCUGACAUUCCACUAGCUCUUUCUGGAAGGCGAUCUUGUUUAACACCUUGUGAGAAGAGGCAAGGGAACUGGUCAUUGUUUCUUCGAGAAGAUCAGUGGCCGAGGAUGGGUUUGGAUCAGAAUUGCUAUAUGGGUUUUCUUUGGGUGAACCAAUUAGUGAAGUGGGUGGCUAUAUAGCAACUGAAGGGUAGUCAUACUAACGAGGAACUAUUAUUUCAUGCAUGUGGAGAGGAAAUGAGUAGAUUCUUCAGGGAUAUAUGAUUAUUCAUCUCUAGCUUACGUUGAAUAUCUCCUAACAAAUUUAUGCUUUGAAGCUCCCUUAGUUUCAUUACAGCUAACUUGGCCAACUUGGUUUCAUCAUGUUUCCUACAACCUCUAAGCAAAGCACGCCAGAUCACCAAAUCAGGUUCUAUUCGCAUUUUGUCCAUAAACUCCUUUGCCUAUUGACAAUAGACUGCCCCUCAAAAUUUGAUGAGAUAACAUCAACGCUGACAGGUUGGCCAUCCCCAUAAGCAUCUUUAUAGAGAUUGAUUCUAUGUUUAGAUAUUUCUCUCUCCUCAAGUGAGUUCAAUUUUUUUGUAACAUCCUUCUCCUUCUCUACUAAUAGUCUUAGCUGAACAUCCAACCUAUGUUCCUAAAGUGCCAGCAUCUCAUAUCUGAUGACAAGCCAACAACCUUGCCCUUGCUGAGACCAAUGUUUUUAAGGCGUUUGUGGGGCGCGCCUUGAGGCGAGGCGCAGCGAAAACGUGUUGAGGCGUUAAAAAUAAAAUGAAACACCUGAAAGGCGUACGCUUUUCCGAUGAGGCGUGAUUGAGGCGUGCUUUGAUCGCGCCUUUCACACUCCAAGAAGAAGGUGUAUGCUUCCUCGGAUCUGAUGUGGCAAUGAACAGAGAUUUAAAAAAAAACCCUAAGUAAUCCCUAAAACCCUAGUCCCGACUGAAAACAAACCCAAAACGAAACCCUACCUCCAACGACUCAAGUGGCGACGGAGUGCUCACCCUCGGCUGCGACCAAUCGCAAUGCAUCUUCUCCGGCGACGAUCCCUCUCAUUCAUCUCCAGGUAUGUUGCGAACUCCUUCUUCCAUGGUUUCUCCCUCUUCGUUUCUCUUUCUGCAAUCCACACGGGCUUCGUCGACUCUUCAUCCAAAUUUUUUUUUUAUCAAAUCAGUUAUGUAUAUCUAUUUAAAUUUUAAACCCUUUUUUCUCUCUCUUACAGUAUAUCUAUUUAAAUUCUUUCUCGGCAAUCCACAGCCCACACUUCCAGUCCACACUUUUCUCUCUCUCCCAAUAGGCUUUUCAUUUUCCUUUUUUUUUUUUUUUUUUUUUUAAAUUAUCAAAUCAAAUGUGCCUUUUGUUAAUAAGAUUUUUUUUGAAGUUUUUUAUAUGUUUGCUUAUAGUAUCAACAAAAAAAUAUAAUUAAAAUUAUAUAAAAGACAAUUAUUUGUGAAUUUUGAAUUUUUUAUUUCUGGUUUAAUUUUAAUUUUCACCUCAAUUUUCUUUAUUUCAUUAUUAAAUUCCAAUUAAAAUUUAUGUGUAUAAUUUUUAAACUCUUUUAAAAAAAAUUGGUUUUUUUUUAAUUUAAACCAAUUAAAUUUUGUAUUUCAUUUUUAAAUUUCUUUCAAUUGUGCUUUGUUAUUAUUUUUUUAGUCAAUUAUAUUGUUAUAUGGAAAUUUGAAUAUUAUUAUUGGUGAUUUUUUUUAGAAUGAGUUCCUCUGAUUCAAAAAAUUCAAGAAAGGAUUUUGUGUGGAAGUAUGUGAUGGAAGUUUCUAGAGAGCAAUAUUUAAUAUGUAAAUUUUGCAAUCAAAGAUGUACGGGAAGGGUGAAUAGACUAAAACAUCACUUAGCCGGAACUCAUCAUGGUAUGAAACCAUGCAACAAAGUUAGUGAAGAUGCUAGAUUGGAAUGUAAAGAGGUAUUGGCUAAUUUUAAGGAUCAAAAAACGAAGAGAAAUGAAUUGCUCCAAGAAAUUGGUAUGGGUCCAACUUCAAUGCAUGAAAGUGCCUUGUCUAAAAUAAUAGGGACAUUAGGGAGUGGGAGUGGGAGUGUAAGUGGGAGUGGGGAACCUAUUCCUAGGGGACCCAUGGAUAAAUUUACCACUUCACAACCUAGACAAAGUACUUUGAAUUCAUAGUGGAAGCAAGAAGAAAGGAAGGAAGUGUGUAGAAAAAUUGGUAGGUUUAUGUAUUCAAAAGGUCUCCCAUUCAACACUGUGAAUGAUCCUUAUUGGUUUCCUAUGAUAGAUGUUGUUGCAAACUUUGGGCCCGGGUUUAAGCCUCCAUCUAUGCAUGAAUUGAGGACAUGGAUUCUUAAAGAAGAGGUGAAUGACCUAAGUAUCAUUAUGGAAGAUCACAAAAAAGCUUGGAAACAAUAUGGAUGUUUAAUUAUGUCAGAUGGUUGGACAGAUGGAAAAAGUAGGUGUCUUAUCAAUUUUUUGGUGAAUAGUCCUGCUGGAACUUGGUUUAUGAAAUCAAUUGAUGCUUCUGAUACAAUAAAAAAUGGGGAAUUGAUGUUCAAAUAUCUUGAUGAGGUGGUUGAAGAAAUUGGAGAGGAGAAUGUUGUGCAAGUCAUCACUGAUAAUGCCUCUAAUUAUGUGAAUGCUGGAAUGAGGCUUAUGGAAAAAAAGAGUAGAUUGUGGUGGACUCCUUGUGCUGCUCAUUGCAUUGAUUUGAUGUUAGAGGAUAUUGGAAAGCUAAAUGUUCAUGCUACUACACUUUCUCGAGCUAGGCAAGUUGUGAAGUUUAUAUAUGGGCAUACUUGGGUUCUUAGCUUGAUGAGAACAUUUACAAAAAAUCAUGAACUUAUUCGUCCAGCAAUUACACGGUUUGCUACUGCAUUUCUUACUCUCCAAAGUCUUUAUAAGCAAAAGCAAGCUCUUAUAGCAAUGUUCUCCUCAGAAAAAUGGUGUUCAAGCACAUGGGCUAAAAAGGUAGAAGGUGUGAAAACUCGAAGUACAGUGUUGUUUGAUCCAAAUUUUUGGCUUCAUGUUGCUUUUUGCAUAAAGACCACUGUUCCAUUAGUUAGUGUCUUGAGAGAGGUUGAUUCAGAGGAAAGACCAGCCAUGUGUUAUAUUUAUGAGUUGAUGGAUUUAGUUAAGAAGAAGAUUGCAUUUAAUUGUCGGGGCAUGGAGAGAAAAUAUGACCCAAUUUGGAGAAAAAUUGAUGCAAGAUGGACUCCGCAACUUCAUCGACCUUUACAUGCAGCAGACUAUUAUCUUAAUCCUCAAUUGCGGUAUGGAGAUAAGUUCUCUAAUGUUGAUGAGGUGAGGAAGGGAUUAUUUGAAUGCAUGGAUAGAAUGUUGGAUUAUCAAGAACGUUUAAAAGCUGACAUUCAGUUGGACUCAUAUGACCAAGCAAUGGGUGAAUUUGGGAGUCGUAUUGCAAUUGAUUCUCGAACAUUAAGAAGUCCUACAAGUUGGUGGAUGCGUUUUGGGGGUUCAACACCGGAGUUGCAAAAGUUUGCUAUUCGAGUCCUUAGCCUUACUUGUAGUGCUUCGGGAUGUGAAAGAAAUUGGAGCACAUUUGAAUCGGUAAUACUUCUAUUUUUGUAAAUUUUUAUACAUAUAUUUCUAUUUCAAUGUUAGAGAACUUUAUUUCAUUUUAACACAUAAAAUUGUUUCUUUUAUUAUUUGUAGAUCCAUACAAAAAAAAGAAAUAGACUUGAACAUCAAAAGUUGAAUGCUCUAGUGUAUGUAAGGUACAACACUAGAUUGAGAGAGUGAAGUCUACAAAGGAAACAAAAUGUUGAUCCAACCUUGGUAGAGGAGAUUGAUUCUGAUGAUGAAUGGAUUGCGGAGAAAGAAGAUCUCCUCCUCCCCCUUGAUCUUUGUUGGCUUCAAGAUAAUGAAUUAUUCAAUGUUGAUGCCAUUAGAGUUGUGUCAUCCAACUCCCAAGAGACGCAAGCAUCAUCGGAUCAUAUGGUUUCUUCACAUUCCUACAAAAGGAAACAUAAUGAAGUACCAAGUAAGUACUCAAAAAUUGAAAUCAUAAAUUUGAUUAAAUUUAAUAAAAAAAACUUUUAAUAUUUAAACAUAAUUAAUACUUUAUGCUAGGUACAAGUGGAGGCAAAGGCAAAGAGAAGGAAUUGAAUUUGACACCAAUUGAUGAAGAUGAAGAUUUAGAUGAAAUGGGGAUACAUGAUAGUGGACAUUUUCCUACUAUUGAUACAUUGGAUGAGGAUGAUGAUGACCUUGGAGAGGAGGAUUUAAGUUGAAACAAUUUACUCUAGUUGUUAUUUCAUGACUUAGUUAUGGAUUUUUUGUAAAAGUUUAGAACUAUUAUUAUGGUUGACUCUAUUUUCUAUUUCAUGACUUAGUUAUGGCUUUUUGUUAAAGUUUGAAACUAUUAGUAUAGUUGAAUCUAUAAUCUAUUUUAUGAAUUUGUUAUGGUUUUUUGUGAAAGUAAGGAACUAGUAUGUUUUUUUUUAUGAUUCUAAUGAAUUGUUUUCAUGUUUUUAUUUAUGCUAUUUUAUUUUAUAUAUUUUAAAAUAUUAAUUAAUUAUAUAAUGUGAGGCUCAAAAAGCUUACGCCUCAAUGCCUCGAGGCUUACGCCUCGCCUCACGAACACAAAAACGCCUCGCCUUACGCUUUCGCCUUUAAAAACUUUGGCUGAGACCCAAAUAAGUAUCCAGAACCAUCAUCAUCAACCCUUUCACAAGCCUUUGUAUUUGAAGGUCAGAUUGGGAUUGCUUUGAAUGCACUGACACUGACACUGCAAUACACAAUUGUUUCUUCUCCAAUAAAAACACCACAAAGAGGUGAGGGGACUGGUAUUAGCAAAGAAGUGUUGUUAUCUAUAUUGUUCUGAGCCCGAGUACCAAAAACAAAAUCCUCAUCCUCAUCUAUACUCUUCCAUUACAUCCCUAGGCUUUUCAAUGUGAUCCACAUGGCUUACAGGAAUCCAGAAAUAUCGGUCUGUAUAAAAGUUGCUCUUAUGUGGCUCUCCUAGAAAACAUCCCAAUCAAGAUGAUCAACCUAGCUUAGAUGCUCAACACCCCAAACUUACGAGAAAUAGAGGAAUAAAAAGCAAGGAUAGGAGCCAAAGUAAAAACUGAGGGAAGAGCAAAUAGGAAAUCAAGCAAAACAUGAAUGUACAGAGCCUCAUUUCAGGUGACAUCUUUGGGCUAAUAAUAGGUGGAAUUAACAAAGUAGAUAAGCAUGAUUGUUAUAAAUAUCAAGUUCAAGGAUGAAGUCGUGCAUCAGCUACUUAUAGGGGGAGUCAAGGAAACCAAGAUAAGAUCAAAGAGAGCAUGUAUGCAAAUAAACAGAUUUGACAAAAUAGACCAAACAGCUUGUGAAUAUCCUCCUACAAAAAACUACUACACGUGGCAAAAAGUGAUGAAGCAAAAAGAGUCGGGUCCGCAUAUACAUAUCCUAUGCUAUCCUAUUCCUUCAAAUCCAAAGCAACCUGUAUUUUCAAUGGGAUUUGUUGUGAUGAAUUUUACUGGAUUGUAACAUGUAAAUAUGUUAAAAAAGGCUUGGGACAUUCCUAUAUAGUAACGCAUAAAGGUACUUCCAUUGUGAAGUUGUCAAAAUUGCAAAUUUAAAUUACAAAAUUUGAAAACAUAGAGAUGAAAGAUGAUGAAACCUUCUUUGAAAUUUUAUAUUGAACUCAUUAAUAUUAUUAAUUUUCAUUUCAGUCUAAGGGAAAGAAUUCUUUACUCUAAAGUGGUCACAAAAAUAUUAAAAUUCCUUGUCGAGAGAUUUAGAUCUAAAGUGAUCAAUAUAGAAGAAAGUAAAAAUAUUCUAAGUGUAGGUAAACUUGUAGACUCAAAUGACUCUACCUUCUCAUAAAAAAUCCUCAAUUUUAUAAAUUAUAUAGAUUUCUUCAUUUGAUACAAAAUUUGAAUAAAGAUUUUUCAAAUGACAACACAAGGAAAGGGAAAAAAAAAAUCUAUCCAGAUCAUAUUAUUUAAUCACUUAAAUUAUUUAAAAAUAAAAAUGUUUACUGCUAACAUUAUUUAGGUUCAUCUUUCUUUUGAUGGAGGUUAAAAUUCAUAAUUUUGAGGAAAAAGAUGAGGAUUCUCAUUUUUUUUUUCCAUGUAUGAAUGGGAUUCUCAUUGUGUAUAUGUGGGUUACUAAAUGGCAAAUUUGGGGGCCAAUAUGAGGGAAAAAAUGAAGUUGAGUUUGUCACCAAGAAUAGACAUGGUUCCUACAAAGGUGGCAUCUUUAAUUUCAUGUUUGGAUUGGACUUGUCAUGUAACAACUUAACAAGUGAAAUCCCUCAUGAACUUGGAAUGUUAAGUUUGAUUCAUGCAUUGAACUUGUCUCGUAAUCAACUAAAAGGCUCCAUUUCAAAGAGUUUUUGCAAUCUUUCUCAAAUAGAGAGCUUAGACCUUUUUAAUAAUAAACUAAGUGGAAAAAUUCCUCCAAAAUUGGUUAGACUAAACUUUUUAGCAGUGUUCAAUGUUAGCAUAUUCGGAAGAGUUUUAGAUAUGAAUGCAUAAUUUGCAAAAUUUGAUGAAAGUAACUAUGAAGCUAAUCCUUUCCUUUGUGGACCACCAUUAAACAGAAAAUGUAGCAUAAAUGUUGUUGAACCACCUUACCAACCAUUAGAGUCUUCAGAAGAAAGUGAUGCAAAAUGGUAUAAUAUCAAUCUUGUUAUUUUCUUUGCAAAUUUUACUACAUCAUAUAUCAUGAUAUUAUUAGGAAUUUCAACCAUUCUUUACAUUAACCCUUAUUGGUGUCAAAUAUGGUUCAAUUUUAUCGAGAAAUAUAUAUACUUUUGCUAUUAUUUUGUUUCCUAUACUCUUUCCAAGUUAUUAACAUAUUUUGAAUAAUUAGAGAUUUUUGUUUUCAAUAAUAUUUACAUAAUUAACUACUAUUGGUUUCCAUGACAUGGAAAGAAAUGCGGUGAAGGCAACAACCACUUUUUUUUCUCCUCUACUAGUGCAUGAUUGAUAUGAGUUAAAACUUGCACCCUUAUCUUUACUUAAAUUUUCUCAGCUUUUGUUUCAAUUCUUAAUUAUCAUUUCUUUUAUGUAUUGUUUAAUACAAUAUCCUAAACACAUUGCUUUGAAGGUUACUUAUUUAUUAAGCAUGAUAUUUAUUUUCAUAAAGACAAAUUCAAGUUUUUUAGGAAUUUUUAGAAUUAUUAUAAUUUGGAGUUCACAUUAGAGGAAAAAAAGGAAAGAAAAGAAUAGAUAAUUAAAAAAACAAUUUUAGUAAGUAUAAUUUGUCAUCUUCGGUAUAACAAAUGGGAAUUCCAAAAUAAUAUUUCAAUUUGUUAGUCUAUUCCUUAUAAUAUUAAUUGAAAUAUCAAAUAAGGAGUCACGUUUUGAUUUUUUUAUUAGCUUGAAUUGCAUGUCACAUAUAUUUUAAAAUCAAGCAUACCUCAGCAGGGAAGUUCUUGUAACAUGCAUGAACAUGAUAUGAUGAAUUAAAUAAUUUUCUUAAUUGUGUGAGACACAAACCCUCUUUGUUUAAUAAUAAUAAUAAUAAUAAUAAUAUACUACACAUUAUUAAAUCAUAUAUGUAUAUUUAUAGUCGUAUAAUAUAUUUAUAUAAGUAACAAUAAAUUAUAUUGUAUAAGGUAUCGGUAGGAGUUUUCAAUUCCCUCAUAUAAUAAUAUCUAUCAAUAAUUGGAUUGGACACCUUGCUGGCCAUGAGAAUGGACUUGACAUUAACACAUAGCCUUGAGUGGUGUUGAUAUUAUUACUUUGAACCAGAACUGCAGUCAUCUCAAAAACUAUAUUAUAUAGAAAAGCAAAAUAAAAACAUUAGUUAAAAAAAAUGUCAAGAUCCUUGAAAUCACGUUUCAAUAUGUUAAAUUACCAUUUUUUUAAAUAAAUUUUUGAUAGGUUGUGUGAAUAAAUAUAAUUGCUAUGAAGGGUUUCAAUUUAAUUUUACUAGCAAAUCCAUAAUAGGUGAAAAGACAAAACUACCAUUUUUGUUUUUUUUCUUUAUUUACCUUUUUUCUCUCGUAACCUUACUCCUUUCUCCUUUUUGUUUUUUCCUUUUUUAUUAUUAAUUUGUCUUUUUCCUUUUUCUCAACUAACUAUUUUUUUUCUUGUAAUUGUUAUUAUCAUUCUUAUUAUAAAUAUUAUAACCUUAUAUUAUAAAUUUUUAGUUUAGAUUAUAUUUAAACUAACUAAUGUUGUGGUUUUAAUUGACAUGGAAAAGAAUGUGGUUAUACAUGUGAUUGUCGCCUUUUUUUUUUUCAAUUAGUUAACUAUUGAUACAAGUUAAAAGUAAAAAUUGCAAUAUUAUCUUUACGUCAAUUUCACCGAUCUUUUGUUUUUAUUUUCAUGUAUCAUUCCUUUUUUGGUUAUUUAAUUAAAAGGAUUAAAAAAAAAUCACAUAUUCACAAUAAUAACCUUCAUAUUUUAAAAACAUAAAAUAAACAUUUUUUUUUUUUUAUAAAAAUACCCUCCAACUAUAUUUUUUAUAUCCCUAUUUCAAAUCCAAACACUUCUUUUAAAAAUAAUAAUAAUAAAUAAGGGCAAAAAUGUCAAACUGGGAUUAUAUUUAUAAUUUUCAAUAAUUAGAGGUUGUUUUUCCAAUGUAAAAAUUAUUUUGUUCCUUUGGCACAAAUAUUUCUUUCUUUUAUGUAUUUUUUUUAUUCAAAAUAUUAAACACAUUACCCUCAAGGUUACUAUUUAUUAUGAAUGGUGUUUACUUUACAUAACGAGAUAUUCAAAUUUUUUAGAAUUUUUUAAUGUUAAAAUAAUUUGGAGCUUAAUAGGGAAAAAAAAGAAGAAAGAAUAGAUAAUUAGAAAAGCAAUUCAAAAAAAUAAAAUUUAUCCUCUUAAAUUGGUUUUGUGUAAUACUAUAGAAGCCAUUUCUUGAGUUUGAUAUGGUAGAAUUUGGAUUCAUAUUUAUUUUAAAAUCAAGAAAUUCAAGUGUUGGUAGCAUCAAUAGAAUCUUAACAAAUUUGAAAAAAAAUAUUUAGGUAGAUCACAUUUAAAUAUAGCUAAUAGAAUAAAAAAUUAGUAUUAUUAGAAAGACAUGAUCAAUUAAAUCUUUUUUCUUAUCUAUGACACCGACUUUAUUUUUUUACAUAGUCAAUACAAUUUAUUACAACUUAUAUGUCAUUAAAUUAUAUACGUUUAUAUUAAAUAUAAUAUAAGACCAUUAAUGGAAUAAUUAUGCAAGUAAUAUAAAUUGUAUAUAAUAUAAAAAAUUUAAACUCCAUCAAACUAAUGGAAUCUAUUAUAAUAAGUAGACUAGACACCAUGUUGGCCCGAGUUGCAGGCCUGGGCCAGAUUUUAAAGGCUGGGCUUUGAGUUGCCCGUGGGCCUGAGCCAAGGCCUUCUCUUGGUAUCAUCAUUUUGAAGAAAUAAAUUGCUGAUACAGAGAAAAAAACUAUACUAAAUAGAAAAAUAAAUAAAAGCAUUGACUAAAAUGAAGGUCAAGGUCCUUGAAAAAUAAUCUUUAAAUUGUUGCAUAUAUAAUUUCAAUAAUGCAUAAAUAAUUGCAAUAUAUAUGAUAUGAUAAAGAAUUUGGAAUUAAAAGAAGAUUGAUCUAUUUUAAAUGUGGUUGGAAUAUUUCUAAAUUUGUGAUGGGAAGUUAGACAGCCAAUUAGGGAUCCAUAUUAUUUAUUUUCAAUGAUAUGAAUUUAUUUACUUUUAUUAAUAUUCUUAAUGCAACAAUAUAAAAUAUGUCAAUUUUCUAAAAUUUAAAAAGUAAUUGUAAAAGAAUUUUUUUUAAUUAUUUUUCUGAAAUUGAGUUUAUUAUAACAUUUUUCUUUACAUAAAUUUCUUUUUUAUUUUUAUUUUUUUUAAAAUGAGAUAUGAAAAAAAGAGAUCAAUAUUAGUACAAGUAAAACCCAAUAUAUAUAUAAAAAAAAUGAAUAAAUGUUUAUGAAAUAUUUUUUCUCUUUUAAUUCCUAUUCAAUUCAUUACACAAAAUAUUUUUGGUUUUUAUGCUAAAAUUUAUUGUUUAUUCAAAAAUUCUAGUAUACCUAGCUAUCAUAGAAGAGCCCCAAAAUUUUAUUGUUUAAGAGAAUAUGUGUUGCCACUUUAAAAGAUUUAUAUGCAAAAGGGAUUGAUAUUUUUUUCCUUUGGAUAUAUUUAGUUCCCGGAAAAUUUGAGGGAAAAUGUGAGGGAAGAAAAAUAGAGAAGAAAAGUAUAACGAAAUAAAAAGUGAAGGAAAAUGAAAAAUAGAUUUAAAGUUAAUAAAUUAUUUUCAUUGGUUUUUUCAAACUUAUUUUACUUAUUUUAUUCUAUUAAAUAAAGAUUAGCUAAUUUUAAUUAUAUUUGGUUUGAUUUUUAUUAUUUUUCAAAGCAAAACCAAAUAUGAAAAAAAAAACAUUUUUUUUGUUCAUUUUUUCUUUCCUUAUUACUUUUCAAAACUCAAACAUAGCUUUUAGAUUUGGAGCAUGGAAAGAUAAGAGUAUUGAAUAAAGGUUCUAUAUAUGCCCAUGCCCAUGAUACCAUUGAAAAAAAUGGAGAAAGGGUGAAACUUUUUCUCUUCAAUGGAAAUCAAAUAUAAUUAUUUUUAUCUUGUAGUAAUUGAAUGUUAUACUCCAUAAACUCAAAAUUAAAAUAAAUAAAAAAUUUAAAAACUAGGACAAUCCCAUUUUUUUUUUCAAUUUCUUAAAAAGAAAUUAAAUUACAUUUAUUUAUAUCUAUUUUCAUCCCUACCCAAAAAAAUAAAAAAAAAAUUAACAAGGUGGGACAUGUAUGAGAAAUUCUCACACUAACUCUCUCUAGUUUAUUUUUUAUUUUUUAAAAAAAAUCAAUUUCUUUUAAAAAAAUUAAACUAUAUAAAAAAUAAAUAUAAUUUAAAAUAAAAUAAUUUAACAAUUUUUUUUUUAAGAAAAGUAAAUUUCUUAUUUUAUAUAUGUUAAAAAUAAAUAUAAUCUUUUAUUUUUUUAUAUAUAUAAUCGGGUAAGGUAGAGUGGGACAAAGAAAUAAUCCCCUUCGAUUCCAAUAUGAAUUUUUAAAAUAUAAAAUAAAAAUCUUAAACUCAUCCCUAAUCCAUUUAUUUUUAAUCCUAAACUCGUCUUAUUAAGAAUAAGGCAAAGUGAGUACAUGAAAACACUUCUUUUAUCAUCAUCUCUACAAGUUCUAAUGUUUAGACUGCAAUCCAUAUCAAAGAUUUAUAAAGAAAGGACAACGAUGAAUUUCAUAAACAUUUGAAAGCAUAUACGUACAAAGUUUUAAAUAAUAUUGCUUGAGGUGCAAAUAUUAUUUGGCGCACAUAUUGAGGGACUUCAACUUGUUUUUUACAUUAGUAAGUAAUCUUGAAUAUCUAGAGUAACUUGACCAAAAUCUCUUUAAUUUUAUUUUCUUUGAUGGUUGUAUGAUGAAUUAGAAUGCUUAUAUAACAUGAUUAAAAAUUUUAAGAAAAAAAAAACUAAGAAGAAAGAAAGAAGCACCGAUCUUCCAAAUAUUGCUUCCACUUUAAUAUCUAGAAGGCUCUAAGAAAAGAACUUUUUUCAUGAAUCAUAACCCAAGUCGAAAAUAAAUUGAACCCAUUUUCUAAGUUAAAUUUUGAAUUUUUUACUAGUGAAUGCAAAUUGGGAAAAUGUAUAUAAAUAUAAUUAAACUAGAAUAGUAGGUUAGGUUUGUAGGUGGAGUUUGUUUGAAUUGUUGGAACUUCCAAGUCGUUGUGGGUCUAGUGGUCCCAUAGCUCUCUAUUAAUUUCCACCAUCAAUUUUCUGCAAUAAAGUCAAGUCAUUCCUAACCCCUAUAUUAAGUUGGCCUUAAAAGUCAAGUCAUUGAUCAUAGUUACAUUCAUGAAUCACAACCUAAGUCGAAAAUAAAUUGAACCCAUUUUUCAAGUUCAACUUUGAAUUUUUUACUAGUGAAUGCAAAUUGGGAAAACAUAUAUAAAUAUAAUUAAACUAAAAUAGUAGAUUAGGUUUGUAGGUGGAGUCUGCUUAAAUUGUUGAAACUUCCAAGUCAUCGUGGGCCCAGUGGUCCCAUAGCUCUCUAUUAAUUUCCACCAUCAAUUUUUUGCAAUAAAGUCAAGUCAUUCCUAACCCCUAUAUUAAUUUGGCCUUAAAAGUUCAGUCAUUGAUAGCUAAAUCCCAACCCAAGUCAAAAAUAAAUUGAACCCAUUUUCUACGUUCAACUUUGAAUUUUUUUUAAUUGGAAAAAUGUAUAUAAAUACAAUUAAACUAGAAUAGUAGAUUAGGUUUGUAGGUGGAGUCUGCUUGAAUUUGUGAAACUUCCAAGUCAUCGUGGGUCUAGUGGUCCUAUAGCUCUCUAUUAAUUUCCACCAUCAAUUUUCUACAAUAAAGUCAAGUCAUUCCUAACCCCUAUAUUAAUUUGGCCUUAAAAGUCUAGUCAUUGAUAGCUACGUUCAUGAAUCCCAACCCAAGUCAAAAAUAAAUUGAACCCAUUUUCUAAGUUCAACUUUGAAUUCUUUUAAUUGGGAAAAUGUAUAUAAAUACAAUUAAACUAGAAUAGUAUAUUAGGUUUGUAGGUGGAGUCUGCUUGAAUUUGUGAAACUUUCAAGUCGUCAUGGGUCUAGUGGUCCCAUAGCUCUUUAUUAAUUUUCACCAUCAAUUUUUUGCAAUAAAGUCAAGCCAUUCCUAAACCAUAUAUUAAUUUGGCCUUAAAAGUCAAGUCAUUGAUAGUUACGUUCAUGAAUCACAACCCAAGUCUAAAAUAAAUUGAACCCAUUUUCCAAGUUCAACUUUGAUUUUUUUACUAGUGAAUGCAAAUUGGGAAAACGUAUAUAAAUAUAAUUAAACUAGAAUAGUAUAUUAGGUUUGUAGGUGGAGUAAGCUUGAAUUGUUGAAACUUCCAAGUCAUCACGGGUCUAAGGGUUCCAUAGCUCUCUAUUAAUUUUCAUGGUCAAUUUUUAUGAAUUAAGAUUUAAAAGUGAGAAGGGAAUAAAUUUUUUCUUUUUCAAUUCAUUACAAAAAAUAUUUUUGGUUUUUAUGCUAAAAUUUAUUGUUUAUUCAAAAAAUUAAAGUAUAAAUAUAUAUAUAUAUAUCUUGCUAUUAUAGAAGAGCUCCAAAAUUUUUGUGUUUAAGAGAAUAUGUGUUGCCACUUUAGAAGAUUUAUAUACAAAAAGGAUUGAUGUUUCUCCUUUGACUAUGUUUGGUUCCCAAAAUUUGAGGGAAAUAAAAAAAAAAUAGUAAAAAAGAAAAAAUGAAAGAAAAUAAAAAAUAGUUUUAAAGUUAAUAAUUAUUUUUAUAUGUUUUUUCAAACUUAUUUUACUUUUUUUUUCAUUAUAUAAAGAUUAAAUAAUUUUAAAAUGCAUAAAUUUCUAACUAAUUUUAAUUAUAUUUAAUUUUUCUUUUAUAUUUUUUAGAUAGGAUCCGACACAUGAAAAAUCCUUUUUUUUAGCAUUUUUUUUUCUUUUCUUAUUACUUUCCAAUAACCAAAUAUAACCUUUAGAUUUAGCCUUUAAACUUGGAGUAUGGAACGAUACUGAGUAUUGAAAGAAGGUUUUGUAUAUGGCCAUGAUACCAUAGAAAAAAUGGGCGAGAGAGAAAAAACCUUUAUUAAAUGAUAAAUUAUUUUUUUCAAUGGAAAUCAAAUAUAAUUAUUUUUAUAAUAAUUACUUUAUUUUUUUUAAAAAUAAUAAUUUGUUGUUGCAUUAAGUAUUCUUGCAUUUGGAGAAGCAUGUUACUACUUACUACAUAAAUAGAUAUUCAUGGAGUGCAUUCUCUAAAAAGCUCCAGUCUCAUGAAAAUGGAAAGAUGGACCGGCCGGUGAACCGGUUCGAGUUUGGAUUUAUUGGCUGCCUCAGCCUUACACGCAUGAUAGGCUGUUGCAGGUGAAGAACUAAUUAAUUUAAAGCCUUCUUCUAUCCUCUCCUAUUCCUCUAUCACUCCAAAUGUUCCACAUGAUAAUGACAAUUCUUUUGUUAAAUGGUAAAAAAAAAAUUUAAAUAUUAUUUAAAAUUUUUUUUAAUUCUAAAUCCAAUGGAAAUUCGACUCUAAGGUGUGUAGAAGGCCCUAGUGCCCAUGUUGCUAAUUUGAUGAUAGUUAAAUUGUCAUUUUGGGAGAUUCCACACACUAGUAUUCUCAUUUAUAAAAUCAUGAACUUUGGCAUCCUAAUUAAUGCAAUUUAAACUUUUUUUGUUUACAAAUGAAAUAAGAGGCAACAUAUAAACCCAAAAGUUAAUUUUCCUACCAUCUCUAUGCACCAUUUUAGCUUUACUCCAAUAUAUUUUCUAUGAUUAAUUAUUUUCAUUCAAACAAUAAUAUCAAAAUAUUUUAAAAUUAGACAUAUCAUAAUCAAAUACCAUUAUAUUAUUACCGAAUAAUAUUUAAUGUAAUUUAAUUAUCAACGUAUACUUAUAAAAUUUAUAUUUUUUAUUAAUGCAUAUAAUAUUAUUAUCAAAUAUGAUAAAUUAUAUAUAUAUAUAUAUAUAUAUAUAUAUAUUUCUUCAACAAAACAACUUUAAAAUAUCUAUUAUAUUUCUAAUUUCAUUUCUAAGAAGUUUUUUUUUUUUUUUUACAUUUUUAUAAGUUUUGAUCAAUUGUAGGCUAACUGAUAUUUUUUAUAUCAAAAUAUCCACCAAUAUAUCUCUGAUAUAUUAGAUAUAUCCGUAAAAUCGAAAUACCAAUAUAUCCGUGAUUAUCGAUAUUUUUAUCCUUGAGGGAUAAUAACUAAUCUAGUUUUUGCACUUAUUGAUAUUUCUCAACAUUUAGAUUGAUUUGACCAAAAUCUUUUUAAUUUUAUUUUCUUUGAUGGUUAUAUGAUGAAUUAGAAUAGUCAUAUAAACAAAUUUAAGAAAAAACGAUAAAAAAGCUCACAUUUUUCAAAUAUUGGUUUCAACUUUGAAUAUUUUUAUUGGUAAAUGAAAAUUGUGAAAAACCUACUAAUGCUAAUACUUUUCACCACAUAAUUAAAUAUAAUAAACUAGAAUAGUGAUUCAUUGAUGUCUUAUAAAGCUACAUGCCUACUUUGACUUGUUAGUUGAUUUUUGUAGGCAGAGUCCAUUUCCAUAUGAAUUGUUGAAACUUCCAAGUCCUUGUGGGUCUAGUGGUCUCUCUAAUAAUUCCCACCAUUAAUUUUUUGUGAUGAAGUGACGUCAUUGAUAGCUACUAUAUCAAUUUGCUAUUAAAAGUCAAGUCAUUGAUAAUUACUAUUCAAUCUUUUUCAAUAUGGAAAUUGGAAUCUCUACUCUUCUCAUUGUUCAUUUUUAGGUAAUGUGAGAAUGUGAGAAUGUGUGAACAUAAAUGUCUUCUAAUCAACCAAUUUUUUUUGAAAAAAACAUGUACAAAAUUGCAAACUUGCAAAAUCAAACUUUCUUGUUGAAUAACCAUAGCUUGAUGGUUUUGAAGAAUCAAAGGAUGAAUCAUAAAAGGGUAUUUGAUAAAAAAUAAAAAUUAAAAAAAUUAAAAGACAACUACUCCCUUAGGUGUAAUAAGUGUAUUUGGUAGCACAAAUUUCCUACCACUUAUUAUUUUUUCCUUUCUUAAAAAAUUAUUUACUCUAUUAAAUAAACUAACCUUGGCUUAUCACUUAUAGCAAAAUAGGUUAAGUACUUUUUAAAAUUUUAUAAUAUUAGAUUUACAUUUUUAUCCUUCAAAAUUUCAUUAAUGUUAGAUUCUUCUAUAUGCUUAACUAAUAAAUAAUUUUUAGCAUUUUUCUUUUCUUAUAAACAUAAAAAAAUAAAAAUAUUAUUAACUUAUUGGUAUAUUUUAAAAUUUUAAUUAGAUUUAAGCUUUUAUUUAUUUGGAUUACCAAUUAUACAUAUAAAUCCUUUAUUAUUAUUGUUAUUAUUGAAAGAAAGGGGUUGAAUAGGUAGUCCCUCAAUCCCCAAAUUAAAUUCUUUAUUGCCUACUUUUGGUUUAUUCCUUUACAUGAAUUCCUUGGUGAGAGUAAACAUUUCAUUAAUAGAUAAAUAAAAUUGAUUCCAUAUCAUAGGGUAUAAUGUGGAAAAAUCACCAGUCUCAUGUGUUCCUUAGUGGAUCCUUUGGAGCCCUUAUCAAAGUUUCAUGAUGAAACCAUUGACUUUUGUUUAACCCAAAUGUGCUUUCAAGACAAAUCUUGAAAUAUUUGAGAGAUGGAGGUUCAAGUCUUUUAUGAACGACCAUGUUCUCUUAGGGUUCAUGAAAAUUCACACCUUUUGAUAAAUAAAACUUAUCUAUUUAUACGUCUAAAACCCAGUAUUUAUUUAUUUAAUUAUAGAAAGUUUCUUAGUUUUAAAAACAUUUCAAAAAUCAUUUUUAGAAUCAAAUAAUAAUUUUAGAGAUAAACACAAUAUUAAAAUUUAACAAAAACAAAAUUUCGAAUUAAAAACACAAUAUAAACUAAAUUACAAAAUAUAAAGGAAUUUUUAUCCUAAUUUCUUGUUUCAAAACCAAAUGGAACACCUAGAAGGGGAGUGAAUGGGUGAUUUUAAAAUUUUUCAAUAAUGAUUUAUAAGUUAUACCCAAUUCUUUUACCCUGCGAGUUGUUAGGGACUAUCAAUUCUUUCCUUUUGGCAAUUCAAACAAUAUAUCAAAUAAUAAAAAGAUAUAAAUAAUGAGACAUAAAGAUUUUUACAUGGAAAACCCCCCACACUAACCAUGGAGAUAAAAAGCCAUGGAGUCUAAGACCUAUUAAUCUAAAUUCACUGUACGAAAUCAAGUUACACAAAUUUAUUUGAUAGCUUUAACUUAAAGACUUACUCUCCGGUACUGACAACUUGAUUCACAUCCACAACGUAGCAACCCUCAAUUACUCCAAUGGAUCACUUCAAGCUUACUAAAAGGAUGAAGGCCUUCAAACCAAGAUUCAAAAAUCAAUUCCUUGAAUGAAAGAUCAGGGAUGGUGUGCCACUUUAGGCUUUCUCUCUAAGAACUCUAAAAUGAUCUCCUCAAUGAAAACCUCUUAAACAAAAUGAGAUAUUUCCCCACAAUCUCUAAUCCUCAAGGGGUUAUAAUGAGAUAUUUAUAAGCAACUAAGUUGAAGAGUUUCAGUUUUGGAACAUGACCGCUCGAGCCAACACACUUCCUACUUGAGCGUUUCGGGCACUUGAGCGGUAAGGCUCGCUUGAGUUGUCCUAAGCGCUUGAGCAUUCCAAGCUACUUGAGCAAUCUUGCUCUAUUUCAAAAGUUAAUUUUAAAUCAUUUUAAGUUCAAAACAAAAUUGAUUCCCUUUAUACCUCAAAGUAGCCUAACUUACAAACCAAACUUUUUUAGAUAUACUUGUGACUUCCUGGUUGGACGAACAACUCUUAAUCUUCAAUGGAAAGCAAGUCAUUAUCUAAAAAGAUUUAUAUGGUCAAACAUAAAAAAACAAAAACAAAAAAAUUGCCAACAUAACAACAAGACUCAAUGUCCUAACAAUCUCCCCCUUUGGCAAUUUUAUGACAAAAACAACAUUACAUAUACCCACUUGAACUCUCAUAAUGGAGUUUAAUAAUACACAUUAAUGUUCAAUUAAAAAUAAACUAAGGGAAUACUUUGUAUCACUUUGUAGUAUUUGUCUUCCAACUUUGUAACCUACACACAUAUAGAAAACUAUACCAAAGGUAAAGCAAUGUGUAGGAUAAGAUAUGAUCAAGAAAGCAAAAUAGGAUAAUUGAAAAUUUUGCUUGAUGCCUUGUGAAAGCAUGAAAAGGGAACAAAUUCAUAUAGUAAUACCAAGGGACAAAGCAAAACUAGAGAAGAAUAUAUAUGUAUGCAAAUCAACCAAACAUAAUAAAAGCUACAUAAGAUGCAAUAGAUCAAUAAUAAUGCCUAGGGGUCUAUCUCCAACCAGAAAAUAGGGAGUGAAAAUCAUAGGAAGAACCUUCUGUGACUUAGAAAGGUUCUAGAGAGAUAGUCAAUUCAAACAUAAAUAUCUUGCUAGAAACAUCUAUGUUAUGUAUCUCUCUAAACCUUCUAAGUUAUGCUUUCAUUAGUUGAUUUGGUUUUUCUCCAAUGUCUCAGGUUUAAUUUCCUCUAAUAUUUCAAUUAGAGAGAAAUUGGUAGUCGAUUGACUUAGUGGGUGUUUGGUAAAACUUAAUACUUAUUAUUUAAUGAUUAACUUUAAGUUAAAUUGUUCUUAAGUUAUUAAUUUAAAAUUUAUUACUUAUUUUGUAUUUAAGUACUAGGGUUAUUUGAAAAAAUCGACUUAAAAUUUAUUCUAAAUCAUCAAAAUGACACAUUUACCCUUAUUAAUUUUAACUUAUAUUUAUUUUCAUUAAUUUUAAACAAUAAAUUUAUUCAUAAAACAUCUAUAUUUUUGUAGAUACAUAACCAUAAAAUAUUUACUAUAAAAAAUGAGUCAUGGAUGUAGAAUUAUAAUUCUAAAAUAUACACUUAUGAGUGUGGGUAAAUAAGGCAAAAAUGAUUUGAGAUUAAGAGUAAAGUUAAUUAUUUUGACUUAAGACUUCAAGUUAAAAAUAACUUUAAGUUGCAAUAUUAAGUUAUUUUAUCAAACAUGCUUAAUUUACUUAACAACUUAAAUUAAGUUAUUAAGUUGAAUUAUCAAACACCCCACUAGUAGUAUGUUGAAAAUUCACACCUUUUGAUAAAUAAAACUUAUCUAUUUAUACGUCUAAAACCCAGUAUUUAUUUAUUUAAUUAGAGAAAGUUUCUUAGUUUUAAAAACAUUUCAAAAAUCAUUUUUAGAAUCAAAUAACAAUUUUAGAGAUAAACACAAUAUUAAAAUUUAACAAAAACAAAAUUUCGAAUUAAAAACACAAUAUAAACUAAAUUACAAAAUAUAAAGUAAUUUUUAUCCUAAUUUCUUGUUUCAAAACCAAAUGGAACACUUAGAAGGGGAGUGAAUGGGUGAUUUUAAAUUUUUUCAAUAAUGAUUUAUAAGUUAUACCCAAUUCUUUUACCCUACGAGUUGUUAGGGACUAUCAAUUCUUUCCUUUUGGCAAUUCAAACAAUAUAUCAAAUAAUAAAAAGAUAUAAAUAAUGAGACAUAAAUAUUUUUACGUGGAAAACCCCCCACACUAACCAUGGAGAUAAAAAGCUAUGGAGUGUAAGACCUAUUAAUCUAAAUUCACUGUACGAAAUCAAGUUACACAAAUUUAUUUGACAGCUUUACCUUAAAGACUUACUCUCCGGUACUGACAACUUGAUUCACAUCCACGACGUAGCAACCCUUGAUUACUCCAAUGGAUCACUUCAAGCUUACUAAAAGGAUGAAGGCCUUCACACCAAGAUUCAAAAAUCAAUUCCUUGAAUGAAAUAUCAGGGAUGGUGUGCCACUUUAGGCUUUCUCUCUAAGAACUCUAAAAUGAUCUCCUCAAUGAAAACCUCUUAAACAAAAUGAGAUAUUUUCCCACAAUCUCUAAUCCUCAAGGGGUUAUAAUGAGAUAUUUAUAAGCAACUAAGUUGAAGAGUUUCGGUUUUGGAAGGUUUCUUAAUUGAAUUUGUGUGAAAAACUCAACAGAAUCAACAUGACCGCUCGAGCCAGCACACUUCCCACUUGAGCAUUUCGGGCACUUGAGCGGUAAGGCUCGCUUGAGUUGUCCUAAGCGCUUGAGCAUUCCAGGCUACUUGAGCAAUCUUGCUCUAUUUCAAAAGUUAAUUUUAAAUCAUUUUAAGUUCAAAACAAAAUUGAUUCCUUUUAUACCUCAAAGGAACCUAACUUGCCACAAACCAAACCUUUUUAGAUAUACUUGUGACUUCUUGGUUGGACGAACAACAACUCUUAAUCUUCAAUGGAGAGCAAGUCACUAUCUAAAAAGAUUUAUAUGAUCAAACAUAAAAAAACAAAAAAAUUGCCAACAUCACAACAAGACUCAAUGUCCAUGCAUGGUCACCUGAAAGUUGACUCCAACCACAAUAUAAUGCAUGUUCUCAUAGAACAUGUGAACAAGAUGGAGAUAGAAAGUCCCUUAGAGAGAAAACAGAGUCUUCUAACCCUACUCUUGAAUGAUGAUAGGGAAGACAGUGUCCUGAAAAGCUUAGAGGUUAAUGGCAUGUUGAGGCUCGACACACCGAUAUGUGAAAGAAGCGUAAUAAUGGUCCCAUGCCACCUGGCAGUGAAAGCGCUCAAUCGAAAGUGCAUCUAGGUUAAAAAGACCCUAGAGUGGGAUGCCCUAGACGGUUUUCAGUGACCUAGGAAAGGUCACCUCCCUCUGAAAUCUAUGACUAGCCAUAUCUAAGGUAUAUAAUAUGAAAAAAAAAAAGCUAAAGAAAAACUAAAGAAAAUCCAAAGAAAAGCUAAACCACUAAAAAUGUUAAACUCAAUGCGUCGAACAAUACUAUACAAAUGGAAAUGAAAAAUAUGAAGCGAACUGACCUCAGAAGACAAAAGGACAGUUACCCAGAGGGCUCGAAGAGGAAUAGGAAAGUUUGAAAUGAAUAUUGUGUGAUGGAUGACCUUUAUAUAGCUUAUAGGAGUGCUUGAUGCAGAUUAGCACUUGAGCGUCAUGACUAACUUAAAUCAAAUUAUUUAUUAAUAUGGAAAUAUUUUAUAAGUUUCAAAGGAAGUAUUCAAUUUAGAACCUUUUUAGAAUUUUUUUGAAAGAAACAAAAAUAAAGCGUGAAAUAUUAUGUGUUAAAGGUGUUAGAAGACAAUAUUGUCUAAUCAAAAGCCUUACACAUUCCCAAAAAAAAAAAAAAAAAAGGAAAAAAAAAGAUACUAUAUAAGAUUUUGAUCACAUCUAAUAGAAACUAAUAUUUAGCAACAUAUCACCAAGCACUAUCUUAUCAGAAAGCUCUAACAUGUUGGAAAUUUAUGUAAGGUUCCAUAACAACUAACAACUUUUUAUGACGACUCGGUAAUGGACCAUUUGCACUUCAACUACAUUAUUAAAUUUAAAUCAUAUUAGAAUAUAAUUGACUUCUCUUUUGUGAGGUUACAUAUCUUGUAGGAUGGGAUAGGUGAUUCAUUUCAUAUAUGAAAUUUUCUUAAUUUAGUAAUGCUUCCAAGUUCAUUAUGAAUCUAAUGGUAUCACAACUCCUUGAAUAUUUGUAAUCUGUAAUCUUUGCUUCAACUUCUCAAGUCUAGUCAUUUUAUCGGCAUAACUAGUUUGCUUCAAUUAUCUCUCAACUUUAUUAUAAAACUAAGGGAAAGGAUUGUCACUCAUUUUAUAUUAACUUAACCAAACAUCUUUAUAUAUAUAUAUAUAUAUAUAUAUUGUAAAUUUAGGAAAAAUUCAUCCAUUAGCCAUAGUAAGUAAGAAUCAAAUAAGGGAUAUGUAAGCCAAUGGUGAUAUUGAUGGCGUUAAAUCAAUGACAUAGUAGAAAAGUGGAUUGUCUAUUUUCAAACCUUUAUAUUUUCAUGCAAUAGUAAAAAGGUUAAGGCAUCACUUGAAAAGUAGUUCGUUUUUUACCUUGGACUAUGAUUUAUGAAUAAAGUUCUUCUGUUGUAUACCUUUUGUGAUGCCCCAACCUAAUUUAGGGGUAAAAAAAUAAUUUAGAAAAAAAUAAAUAAAAAGUUAAAUAAAUUUAAUUAAGGUAAAAAUGUAUUUUUGUAUUUAAAAUUCCUAGGUAUCAAUUAUAUAUUUCUUGUCUUCUCUAUUCAAAAAACCAUAUUACACAAAAAUCAAAUAUCAGAGAACAUAGGACAACGCAGGGUUGAAGAUUUGGAGGUUUAGGGUUGAAGAUUAGUUUUCCAGGUAAGAUUCUAACCCUUAAAUUAGUAUUUUAGAUUCGUUAAUUAGUUUGAACACUUUAGAUAUUCUUUGAAAAAUCUGAAUAUACAUUAGGGUUUGUUAAUUUAAUUUUUAAAUAAAAAAGAUUGAAAAUUUAUGAACAUAAGUAGAGUUAUUAUUAAAGAUUGAAAAUUUUUGAAUAUUUGAAUUAAAAAUCUAGAAAAAAAAGAAGAAAAUAAAUUAUAGCUUUGGACGUGGAAAAAAAUUAAUAUUAAUUAAUAAAUAAAACCUAUGAGUAUGGAAGUAGAAAAAUAUGAGAGUUGAAAGCAAAGAAAAAAAAAGAGAAUAAGGUUUUGUGGUUGUACAUGCCUCCUUAGUGGAAAAAAAAAAUACAAGGUUGCUUGCAAUAGGAUAUGACAAAGAGAGAGAGAUAAAUGCUUAGAUGUUGAUUUUUGUGGGGAAAAAAAGAUUGGGUAAUGUAGGAGAGAAAUAGGUAGCACUUUUAGAGUCGGUGGAGUUGUUGUAAAAGCUCGUAGGGGUAAUUGUUAGGUAGUAGUAGGGUAUGAGAUUAAUUGUUAGGAAACAUUAGGACUUGAAAUAAUAAUAAUUGCUUCUAGUAAAAGUUUUAAUUUAGUUUAAGUAUAUAAAAGAAAUAGAUGAUUAGAAUAAGAUUUGGAAGGAAUAUGAAUUCAUAAAAAUUUCAAAAUUUACUAAUUUAGAUUAUUAUUGUUUUGGAAGUUGAAUAUAAUAUAGGUGAUAAUAUUAUUAAUAUAGGAAAUGAUUAAGAUUCUCAAACCUACAAUUUUAGAUAAAUAGUUAAUAGUAAUAGUUGAUUUUUUAUUUUUUUUUUAUUUUUUAUUUUUUAUGUUAUGUUAAGUGAAUAAUGGAUUCUUUGAUUAAUUCUCUAAGGUUUCUAAGUGCUUCUUUAAGGUAAGGGAUAUUAAUACUGAUUUUGUAAAUGAAAAUAUUUCUUUUUAUAAGUUAUUUUAAAUUAUGAAAAUUUUUAUUUUUAUUUAUGCAUGGAUCAAAUAUAUAUUUUUUCAUGAGAAACAUGUUUGGGCAAUUUCUUUGUUUAUAAAUAAAUAAAUGAAAACUUUGGAAAUAUAAUGUUUUGUUUUGUAAGUUUAAAAUAAUGAAAUAAAGUUUUUGACUCUGGUUUAUAUGACCUUAGUUAAUAGGUUAUAAUUGUUGACAUUUUCAGCUCCAGUCAACGAUUAUAAUUGUUGACAUUUUCGGCUCUCCAAUCAAUGAUUAUAAUUGUUGAGAUUUUCAACCCUAGCCAACGGGUUAUAAUAGUUGACCUUAUAGCCCUAGUCAACAGAUAUAAUUGUUAACCUUUGGCUUUUCCCAUCUUAAAAAGAACAAAUUUAAGGCUAGCCAUUUAUUUGUAAAGUCCCACCUAACUAAGUACCAUUUGUUAUUUAAUAACCAGAGUAAAGAUAUUUUGAAUGUAUUUGAUGUGAAAUUGUUGUGAUAUUAAUAUGAAAAUGUUUGGUUGAAAAGUUCAAAUGUUUAAUGCAUGUUGAAUUCAAAAGUUUUUAUGAAAAUGAUUAUAUGUUAUAUCUCUUAUUUGUAAGUUUGAUCCAUGAAACUGUAUUAAUAUUCCUUAUUGGACUUUGAGCUCAUUCCCCUUUAUUGAGAAUUUUUUUUCGUAUUCUCAGUUUGGGCAAGGAGUGAUGACUGGGUUGGGGAAUUUUCUUUACUAUGGUUUUGCUUCAAUCUUAUUUUGGACAUUGUUUAGAUGUUAAAAUUUAAUUCCCAUUUAAAUUAUUUGGGUUUGGAGUUAUUUGGACGAUAAAACUUUGAUUGAUGUGUUAGUUUUAAAGUUGAGAAUUGAAAAUUAUAGAAUUUAUUUAUCUUACUACUUUGAACAGAAAUUUAGUAAUUGGAGAUCAUCCAGUUACAAGAUGAAUAUUUGAGUCGUUUCAAGUCGUUUCCACUUUGAGUGUUCAGGCUUAGGGUGUGAAAUGAUCGUUAUGCCCUUGGAGUGGGUAUAUUGUUUAUUUGAAUUUAAUGGUCCCCGAACUCCUUAAUUACUCAUAACUUUAUAUCAGCUUCUCAAAGUUAAGUUGUUUUACAACUACUAUCUAGCUACUUUUCUCUACUAUGACAACUUUAUUACAUAGUGAUUAAUUGAAAGAAUCUACAUGUCUUAUUUCAUAGGAUAGUUGAUUUUUUUACUCAAUGAAUUUUGCUUUUAUUAUUGAAAAUUUCAAAUCAUUGUAGUCCAACAAUUUCCUAUCCAUUGGUAAUUUCAUAUUACAUUUCCAAAGUCUAAUCAUUUAAAAACACUUGUAGUUAAUAUAUUGGCAAUUGCAUUGUGGGAAGUUGUUCACUUGAUUUUAAUGUUGAAACUUUCAAAUUUUUGUAGUCCAACAAUUCCCUAUCCAUUGGUAAUUUCAUAUCACAUUUUCAAAGUAUAAUACUUGUAUAUAGUAUAUUUGGUGAUUGUAGAGUGGAAAGUUGAUCAUUUUCAUGAAGACCUCUAAAAUAGAAUUUUUUUUCAUUCCAUUUAUUAAAGAAUUUCAUUAAUUGAACAUAUAUGUUUUUUUAACCGAAAAGUAGAGGCCACAUUAUACGAGGCCUUAGGUGACAAUACUAGGUGAGGGCUUUUUUUUUUAAUUUAUUUAUUACGAAAUAUAAAUAAUAUUAUUUAUUGUAUAAUAAAGAUUAUUAUAAUAUAUUUUUUAUAGAUGAAAAAAAAUAUUAAUUGAGUUUUAUUUUUUUAAAUAAUUGUUUUCAAUAAAUAACGUAUUUGUAAAAAGAAAACUAUAAAAUAUAUGCAUUUGAAAAAUAUUUAAUUUUUAUUUGAUUUAGUAUCAAUUAAUAUUUGUAAUAUUUUUUAAUAUUAUAGAAGUUAACAUACUCAAUUAAGAUAUUCAAGAUCAAGAGAAUAUUUGAGAUUGAAUUAAUUUCUUUAUUGUUUAUGUUUUAGUAAAUUUUUAUAUCCAUUAAAAUUUUUUUAUUGUUUAUUUUUCAUUCAAUGUUUGCAUUUUGUAAUAGAUAUUAAAACAAAUUUUUUUCUUGUAUGUUAAAAAAAUAUUUCAAUGUCUUUAAAAAUAAAAUAUUGUAGUAAAAUCAAAAUUACAUUGUGAAACUUUAAGCGAAUGUUUUAUACUAAAGAAGUGCCAAUUAAAGUAAGCAUGCAUCUACAAUUGUAAUUUAGAUGUCAUAUUGAAACAAUAGUUCUCUUUGACUAUAUCAUAAAAUUUGGUUCGAAUUACUUUAAGUCAUCUUGUAGAUUUUCAAGUUCCAAUGAUAUGCAUCAAGUAUGUGCAACAUACUUGAUAUGACUAAUAUUUUCUUAAGUAAUUGGACACUUUUUUCUAUAAAUUUACUUGAUUAUCAAUGAAUACUUUUAUGUAAGGUAUUGAUAUAAUUCGAUAAAUAUUUUAAAAUAGUAUUAGAAUAGCUUUGCUCUUUCCUAAUUAACAAAUUUACUAAAUUAACUUAUAUAUAUUUGUUUAUUUUAAUUUACUGGUAUUUGACUCAAUUUGUUAUUAUUUUUAAAAUUAUAGGAAAACCAUUAUUUAUAGAGUUUAAUUAUAUUUGGUAAAUUAUCUUUUUAAGUUUGACUAGGAUUAGGAAACUAUUAAUUUAAGAUUAAUCCAUAAGGCUCUAUAAAUUUGCAGUUUUAUAUAACAUUUAAAAAAAGAAAGAAAAAGUAAGAAAAAGUGAAGAGAGAUAGGCAAAGAGUGCAUUGGGUUUUAGAUAGAGAAAGGUCGAGAGAGUUUUGAUUACUACUCAAAAAGAACAUAUUUUAGAUAGUAAUUCUCAUGGGUUUCACAUCUUUUGAGUAUUAAUUAUGCCUAAAAAUGCUCAAUUAACAUGUUGUUGCCCUUGCAAGAGUUACUAAUAAGUUUUAUAAAGUUUUGGAGUCAUUUCAAGUUAUGAUUUUAAUAAAUUGGUGAUGAAAGAGAUGAAUUGAUUUGAAGAAGGAAAAUAAUAUUGAUGAUGAUCCAAAUGCAUAAUGAAAGAAGCAAUAUAAUUAGUUUGAUCGGGAUUUGCUGCUAAUUUGGAGGUAGUUAAGGUGGAGUCAAAAGAAGAAAAUGGAAGAAAUGACAAAGAGGAACUUAAAAACCAAAUGUUGCAGAUUUGUAUGAUCAUUCAAAAAUUACAUGACUAUGCCAAAUGGAUUAGAGAAGGAAAAUUGACUAUAGUAUAAGGAGGAUGCUUAAGUUGAUUUAGCAUGAACAUGAGAAAAUUUCGCAUGAACAUGCGAAAAUUUUGCACAAUCAUGCGAAAUGGUCCAGAAAGCUCUCUAAUGUUGUUGUUGCUCCACUAAUUUCGCACCACCAUGCGAAAUCGAUCUUUUCAUGCAAAAUGGCUGAAGCUCAUGUGAAAUCAUGAUUUUGAUGCUAAACUCCAGAUUUGUGAAUUUGGAAGGUUUUAGAAGACCAAUGAGAGGUUGCCAAGUGUCCACUUGACCUUGGUCUAUAAAUAGAAACUUGAAUUUCCCAUGUAAAGAGCUUUGUGAUACUUUUGAUUUUAGAUUUUUCUAGAAACUCUUUCUCUAAAUAGAAUUCUAUAUUUUCUUUAAUUUUCCCUCAUUUUCUCAUUAGCCAAACAUGCCUAGUGAGACCAAAUUUCCAAGUAUGAGUGACUAAAUCUCGUUUUUCUCAGAGGAAUGAGGAUCUAGAGGCAAGAUCUAUGGUGAAUUAUAGAAAUGAGUUUUAAUUGCAAAUGUAAUUUGAUUCAAUUGAUUGAUUAAUUGAAAUUCGAGGAUUUUUCUCUUCAAAUUGUCCUGAAUGACAAUUACAUUGCAAACUAGGCAGAUUAAUUAAAUUCUUAAAGUUAGAUUUAAUGAGACUGAAUAGUUGCAUUGUAUGAAUCAUUGGAAGAUGAUUUAAGAUGAAUUGAAUAUAUAAUUUAAAUUCAUAUCUUGGAUUAAAUAACCUAAUUUGAAGAGAAAUUAGGUUUAGACUUAAAGGGAAAUCUAAAAUCGGUUUAGAUAAGAAUUUAGGUUUUCAAUCUAACUUGAUGAAAAAUAAAUCUCAACAUUUAUUCACCAUGGAAAUUGUUUUCUAAAAAAUAUUAACUCUGAGAAUUCCUUUUCCUUAUCAGUUUUCUUAUAUUCUACAUUAUAUUAUUCUUUUCGAUUAGAAAUCAUUGUUAUUUUGAUUUUUCGUGAAUUGUCAAAUCAAUUUCACUUGACCAUAAUCAUUUCUUUUCCUCUCAUUUAAACCUUAAUUAUCGAGAAUAAUCCAUCCCAAUAGAAGACACCUAAGACCACUAUACUACUGUAGCUUUUGCUAAAAAACCUUUUUGAUCGGGCAAGAGUUACCUUAGCAUAGUUGAAUUAGGUUAUAAAUUUUUUAUCCAAUAAACAACAAAAAAAUCAAUUGAUCAAGUUUACAUUGUGUAUUCUUGAAUUUUAUUAAUAAAUUUGAUCCCCUUUUUUGAAGCGAUUACACCAAACCAAGUAAAUAUUUUAUCUACUUCAUUUGCUUUAUUUUUUCUAUUAAGUUUAGGUGUUGCAAUUUUUAAGAGUCAUGGUGAGAAGAUUGUGGGAAAAAUUAUUUUAAGGAUGGAGUCGAACAUAAAAUAUGAAAUUGAGUCCUUUGAUGGAAAUAAUAAUUUUAAUAUUUGAUAGAGUAUUAUUAAAGAUGUUUUGAUACAACAAAGACUUCUCAAAGCAUUACAAGGCAAAAAAAACUAGAGAGCAUGACAAAUAAAGAAAUGAAAGAAUUACAAGCAAGAGUUGUAAGUACUAUUUGUUUAAGUCUUAAAAAUGAAAUACAUUGUUUUGAAUGAAAAAAAUAUUCUUUUAGGGGUGUCAAUUGCUCUUUUAGAGACCAAAAAUAUUAAGCAAUCAAGUAGUUCAUCUCAUAUUGGACAAACUGUUAUGAUGAAUUCUAAACCAUAUCAUCAUAGGAGUAAAUCGAAAGAAAAGUAUCUGAUAGGAGGAUGAUCAUUCCAUUCACACUUAUAGAGGAAUAUGAAGUAUUAUUNNNNNNNNNNNNNNNNNNNNNNNNNNNNNNNNNNNNNNNNNNNNNNNNNNNNNNNNNNNNNNNNNNUAGUGAUUGUUUUAUGUUGAAGAAAGGCUAAUUAAAGUAAACAUGCAUCUAAAAUUAUAAUUUAGAUGUUGUACUCAAAUAGUUGCUCUCCUCGAUUAUAUCAUAAAAUUUGGUUUGAAGUCUAAGUCAUCUAAUAAUUUUCUAGUUCCAAUUACAUGCAUCAAACAUGUGUGUUAGGAAGUGUUGCAAAUUACUAAUUAGUAUAUAUUCUUUUUUUUUUAAGAAUAUUGUAUUAAAUAUUUCUAGGUUGAUAUAUUAUUGUAAUAUUAGACUUCUUUAUAGAAUAAGGAAGGUUGUUGAAAAUAUCCCUAUAAAUAUUCUAGUUCAUAAGGGGAAAAAGUUUUGAGAUGAAGAUGGACCCAUAAAGACUAUACAAGGUGGAUAGAGAUGUGAGGAAGAACGAGAGGUACCCGAUGGAGCGAGAGGGCUCGUGGUAGGGUAUAGGUACGAAGAGUGAGGAAACAUGGGAUGUUUUGGGAACUCAAUAUUUGUAUCUAGUUAUGUCCUCUAUAAGUUCUAGUUCUGUCAUCUGCAUUGUUCUCUAUUUUAUAGUGGAAUGAUUCUCUCUUAUCUGUGGACGUAGGCAUGGUUUUCGAACCACGUUAAAACCUUGUGUACCGUUUGUGUUGAUUUUUUUUAUCUUUAUUUUCUUGAUUAAUGAAGUUUGCAUCAAAGCUUCUGUCAACGUAACAAACUUGUAUCAAAGUUUGGGAUAAAGAUUUCUAGAAGAGUAAAAGAUCAUAGAGCACACAAGAUGAAAACAAAAGGAAUUUUUAGUGAAAAAGGAGUCAAUUGCUCUCUCGUGGUGAUAUGAUAUAAAAAGUUUAUGUCAUGGAAAGUUUGAAGAUUUACUUCAUGGAAUCUGGUCCAAAAUGGAGAUUGUUAAUAAGUGUCCCAAAUUCCUAAUUAGUAUAGAUUUUUUUUUUUGUAAAGAAUAUUGUAUAGAAUAUUUCUAGGUUGAUAUAUUAUUGUAAUAUUAGACUUCCUUAUAGAAUAAGGAAGGUUGUUGAAAAUAUCUUUAUAAAUAUUCUAGGUCAUGAGGGAAAAAAGUAUGAGAUGAAGAUGGGCCCUAUAAAAACUAUAUGAGGUGGAUAAAGAUGUGAGGAAGAAUGAGAGGUACUCAAUGGAAUGAGAGGGCUCGUGGUAGGGUAUGGAUACAAAGAGUGGGGAAAUAUGGGAUGUUUUGGGAACCUAUUAGUUGUAUCUAGUUCUGUCAUCUAUAAUGUUCUAGUUACGUCCUCUAUAAUGUUCUCUAUUGUAUAGUGGAAUGAUUCUCUUUCAUCCGUGGAUGUAGGCAUGGUUGUCGAACCACAUUAAAACCUCGUGUACUAUUUGUUUUAUUUUUAAAUUUUUUUUAAUCUUUGUUUCUUGAUUAAUGAUGUGUGCAUCAAAGCUUCCAUCUACGUAACAAACUGGUAUCAGAGCUUGGGUUGAAGAUUUUUGGAAUAGUAAAAGAUCACAAAGCACACAAGAUGAAAACAAAAGGAAUUUUUAGUGAAUGUGGAGUCAAUUGUUCUCUCGUGGUGAUAUGAUACAAAAAGUUUGUGUCAUGGAGGGUUUAAUGAUUGACUCCGUGGAAUUUGGUCCAAGGUAGAGAUUGUUAGGAAGUGUCCCAAAUUCCUAAUUAGUAUAGAUUUUUUUUUUUUAAAGAAUAUUGUAUAGAAUAUUUCUAGGUUGACAUAUUAUUGUAAUAUUAGACUUCCUUAUAGAAUAAGGAAUGUUGUUGGAAAUAUUUUUAUAAAUAUUUUAAGUCAUGAGGGGAAAAAUUUAUGAGAUGAAGAUGGGCCUAUAAAGACCAUAUGAGAUGGAUAGAGAUGUGAGGAAGAAUCGGAGGUACCCAGUGGAGCGAGAGAGUUCGUGGUAGGGUGUGAAUAUGAAGAGUGGGGAAACAUGGGAUGUUUUGGGAACCCAAUAGUUGUAUCUAGUUCUGACAUCUAUAAUGUUCUGGUUCUGUCAUCUAUAAUGUUCUGGUUUUGUCCUCUGUAAUGUUCUUUAUUGUAUAGUGGAAUUAUUCUCUCUCAUCUAUAUAGGCAAGUUGCUAAACCACGUUAAAACCUCGAAUACCUUUUGUGUUGAUUUUUUUUAUCUUUGUGUUCUUGAUUAACGAUGCUUGCAUCAAAGCUUCUACCAACGUAACAAUGUGCAACAUAUUUGAUAUAACUUAUAUUUUCUUAAGUAAUUGAACACUUUUUUCUAUAAAUUUACUUGAUGAUCAAUGAGUACCUACAUAUACGGUAUUGACAUAGUUUGAUAAACAUUUUAAAAUAGUAUUAGAAUGGCUUUUCUUUUUCCCAAUUAACAAAUUUAUCAAAUACACACACACACACACACACACAAAAUACUCAUUAGUAUGUCUUUUAUGAAAAAACUAUGUUUGUUUAUUUGAAUUUAGUAGCCAUUCAAUUCCUUAGUUACUCAUAAACUUUUUAUCACCUUCUUAAAGUCAAGUCAUUUACAAUUAUUUUCAAGUCAUUUACAAUUAUUUUAGCCUUCUCCAUUAUGACAACUUUAUAAGAUAGUGAUUGAUUGGAAGAAUCUACAUGCCUUUGUUGAUAGUAUAAUUGUUUUUCUUUUUUUUCGUAUUCAAAGAAUCUUGCUUCUGUUAUUGAAACUUUCAAAUCCUUUAUGUCUAGUGGUCUUAUAAUUCCCUAUUCAUUGGUCUUUCAUAUUACCAAUCAUUUUGCAAAUGAGUUAAUUUCAUUCACAUCCUCUGAGAUUUGAUGUAAAUUCGCUUAGUUACCAAUGAUUUCAAAUUUCAUUAAUUAGUACCCCUACAGAUAUAAUUCGUGUACAAAAUUUAUUUUUUAAAAGAGUUUAGGUAAAAAUAUUUUAGGUAUAUGUCUUUAACAAUUCUCUAAAAUAAAUUUUACUUGCUAAAAAAUAACUUAUAUAGAUAGAAUACAUCUACAGGAGUUCUAACUAACGAAAUUUAAAACUAAUGGUGGUUUAGUGUAUUUAAACUAAACAUUAGGAAGGGUGACUGAAAUUAACCCUCUAGGUAUAUAUGUUUAACAAAAUUUUUAUUGUUUAUUUUUCAUUUAAUGUUUGCAUUUUUCAAUAAACAUUGAAAAGGAAUUGUUUUUCCAUAUGUUAACAAAAAGAAAUUUGAAUACCUAUAAAAAUGAAAUCUUGUAGUAAAAUUGGAGUUACAUUAUCAGACUUUUAACGAGUGUUUAUGUUUAGAAAGGCCAAUUAAAGCAAGCAUGCAUCUAGAAAUUGUAACUUAGAUGCAUCAAACAUGAGCAACAUAUUUGAUAUAACUAAUAGUUUCUUAAGUAACUAAACACUUCUUUUUCUAUAAAUUUACUUGAUUGUCGAUGAAUACUUACAUACAUUUACAUAGUUUGAUAAAUAUUUUAAAAUAAUAUUAGAAUAACUUUGUUUUUUCUCAAUUAUAUUAGAAAAUAAUAUAAAGUUACUUAUAAACUUUAUAUCAUUUUCUCAAAGUCAAGUCAUUUACAAUUAUUUCUAUCUAGUCUUCUCCAUUAUGACAACUUUUAUAUGAUAGUCGUUGAUUGGAAGAAUCUACAUGUCUUUUUUGAUAAGAUAGUUGUUUUUAUUAUUUUUAUUUUUUUUAUUCCAAAAAUUUGCUUCUAUCAUUGAAACUUUCAAAUCUUUUAUGUAUAUUACCAAUCAUUUUACAAGUGAGUUAAUUUCACUUAGGGUAGAUAUACUUAGCCACACCCCUAUAGAUGUAAUUUGUGUUUAAAUUUUAUUUUUUAUUUAGGUAAAAAUAUCUUAGGUAUAUGUGUUCUACAAUUCUCUAAAAAAUAAAUUUUCUUAUCUAAAAGUUUAUAUAGACAAAAUACAUCUAUAGAAGUCCUAACUAAUGAAAUUUAAAAUCAAUGGUUGUUUAGUGUAUUUACAUUAAACCUUAUGGGGUAUGAUUGAAAUUAAGUCUUUUACAAGCACUUGUAGCUAAUAUGUUUGUAGUUGUAGUCUUGGAAAUUGAUCAUUUUCUUGAAGGCCUCUAGGAUAUUGAAAAUAUUGCCAUAGUUUUAGACUUUUUUUUUAUUACACCUAAUAAAAAAUAUUAUUAAUUUAACAUAUAUAUUCUUGACUUAAAAGUAAAGUCUCUCCAUAUUGUAUAAGCCCUUAGGUGGCAAUAUUAGGUGAAGUUUUUCUUUCGUUUAUUACAAAAUAUAAAUAAUUUAUUAUUGUAUGAUAAAAUUUUAUGUAAUAUAUUUUUAUAGAUGUAAAAUUAUUAAUUGGGUUUUGUUUUUUUUUACUAAAUUGUCAUUUCAAUAUAUAAAACUUAUUUGUAAAAAGACAAUUAUAAACUAUAUGAAAUUGAAAAACAUUUAGUUUUUUUAUUUAAUUUAGAAUUUUAUUUGGAUUAAUAAUUGAUAUUUGUAAGAUUUUUGAAUAUUAAAAAAAGUUAGCAUACUUAAGAAAGAUAUUCAAGAUCGGGAGUGUUUGAUAUCGGAUUAAUUUCCUUAUUUUCUCUAUUUUAAUAAAUUUUCACGUCCAUUACAAAAUUUUUGUUGUUUAUUUUUUACUUCAAUAUUUUUAUUUUGUAAUAGAAAUUUGAAAAGAUUUUUUCCUACAUGUUAAAAAAAAAAAAGAUUUGAACACUCCUAAAAAAGAAAUAUUGCAAUAAAAUUAAAGUUUACACUGUAGGACUAUUAGCAAAUGCUGCAUACUUAAAAUAGACCAAUUAAAGUAGAAAUACUUCUAAAAUUGUAAUUUAGGUAACAAUAAUAUAAAAAGACAAUAUUUUUGAAACAAUAGUUCUCUUGGAGUUUUGGGUACAAUGGACUAGACUUUAUGUAACAAUAGAUAUACAAACUUUCCAUUAACAUCUUGAGAGACAUGAUGAGGAGCAAAGUCAUCCAAGAAGGUACCAUAGAGGUACCUUAGCUCAAUUCAUCUAGACUACAUAAUGUUUAAAGAUCAAAUUCAAUGACUAGAUUUCAAAAAUCAAUAUAAGCUUUCUCAUAUUCUACUCUAUAUAAGACAAUGGUAUGAUACCUCUCUUGUGUCGUAGAAUGCACCAUGAAAACCUUAUCAUUUUAACAUCAGUUUGAAACUUAAAAGUCACUUAGCACAUUCUAGUUAUUAAUUUAAGAGCAUUAAAAGAAAUAUAUAAAAAAAAAGUUACUUUAUCCUUGUGAUUUUGAUCUAGGACUUUUAAUGAUAUUAAAAAAAAAAACAGAAAAAUAAAUGGAAAUAAAAUCAAUAAAUUAAACAAUUGAAUUAAGUUAGUUUAAUUUUUGAAUCGUUAAAUGGGUAAAUAAAGAUCUUAGAUUUGAUAUUAAUAUGAACAUCAUGACUUCAGUGAAUCUUACAAGAAAAUUUUAGUUUGAAAGACUUCAUUCAUUAAACGUGUGGCACAUAUUAAAGUAAAACUAAGUCUUCUCUAUAAUUUGUACCUAUCAUAGUUUCUUUCCUCAUAAAUAGCCUUUUUUGAAUAUAAUAUAGACUUCAACAUGCAUGGUGGGGCCAAUCAAACUACUAGUCAAGACAACUCAUGGGCAACAACGAUGUACCAACUACAUUUAAAUACUCUUCAUAUAUUUGCAUAUCAAGAGUAAUUUAGUAGUGUCUUUCUUAUGUACCUCAUAUCUAGACUUUCAAUGGAGAGUUCUUCAUCUAAAAAUUUGACUUGGGUUUUCAUACUAGUUUUGGUUUAGACAUGUGGAUGCAAAGGUUGCAUCAAAGAAGAGAAGUAGGCUAAAUCAUCUUACAAAUUUUCAAGUUCAAAUUAGAUGCACCAAACAUAUGCAACAUAUUUGAUAUAACUAAUAUUUUCUUAAGUAAUUGAAUACAAUUUUUUUUUAUAAAUUCACUUGAUUAUUAAUGGAUAACUAACUACAUGUAUGGUAUUGACACAACUUGAUAAAUUUUUUAAAAUAGUAUUAGAAUAACUUUGCUAAAAAAAAGUAAAAAUAAAAAUAAAAAUACAUCUAUAUAUAUAUAUAAUUAAAUAAAAUUAAAAAUUAAUAUAUAUAUAUAUAUAUAUAUAUUCUGUGUGUGUAUGUGUGCAUGGUCUCACAAGUCAUUAGCUACUCAUAAGCUUUAUAUCACUUUCUCAAAGUCAAGUCAUUUUGUAAUUAUUUCUAUCUAGCCUUCUCCAUUACGACAACUGUAUAGGAUAUUGAUUGAUUGUAAAAAUCUUCAUGUCUUUUUUUAUAAGAUAGUUUUUUAUUAUUAUUAUUAUUCAAAGAAUUUUCUUUUAUUAUUGAAACUUUCAAAUCCUUUAUGUCUAGUGGUCCUACAAUUCCCUAUUCAUUGGUAUUUCAUAUUACCAAUCAUUUUACAAAUAAGUUUAUUUCACCCGGUAAAUAUACUUAACUACCAAUGGUUUCAAAUUUAAUUGAUUAACACACUUAUAGAUGUAAUUUGUUUUUAAAUUUUAUUUCUUUUAGAAGAAUUGUAGGUAAAAAUGUUCUAGGAAUAUGUGUUCAAUAAUUCUCUAAAAACAAUUUAUAUAGAUGGAAUACAUUCAUGGAAGUUCCAACUAAUGAAAUUUAAAACCAAUGACGAUUUAAUGUAUUUGCACUAAAUCUUAGGGGAGGUGUACUAAAACUAGCCCUUUUACAAAUAUUUGUAGCUAGUAUAUUUGUAGUUAUGGUGUUGGAAGUUGAUCAUUUUCUUAAAGGCCUCUAAGAUAUUGGAAAUAUCGCCAAAGUUUUGAACUUUUUGUUUCACCUAAAUAAAAUAUCAUUAAUUUAAUAUAUAUACUCUUCGCUUGAAAGUAUAGUUUCUUCAUAUUGUAUGAAGUUGUAACUAGGUGACAAUAUUAGGUGAAAUUUUUUUUUGUUUACUACAAAAUAUAAAUAAUAUAUUUAUUAUAUGAUAAAAUUUUGUAAAAUAUAUUAUUAUAGAUGCAAAAUUAUUAAUGGAGUUUUAUUUUUUACUAAAUUAUCAUUUCAAUAAAUAAGAACUUAUUUGUUAAAAGAAAAUUAUAAAAUAUAUGCAAUUGAAAAAAAUUUAAUUUUUUUAUUUAAUUUGGUAUUUUAUUUGAAUUAAUAAUUGAUAUUUGUAAAAUCUUUUAAUAUUAAAAGAAGUUAACAUACUUAAAAAAGACAUUCAAAAUCAAGAGAGUAUUUGAUAUGAAAUUAAUUAAUUAUUUUUUUUCUAUUUAAAUAAAUUUUUACAUCCAUUAAAAAAAUUUUCUUGUUUAUUUUUCACUUCAAUAUUUUUAUUUUGUAAAAUAAAUAGAAAUAAAAUCAACAAAUUAAACAAUUGAAUUAAGUUAGUUUAAUUUUGCCACCGUUAAAUUGGUAAAUGAAGACUCUUAUAUUUGAUAUUAACAUGAACAUCAUGACUUCAUUGAAUAUUCUCACAAGAAAAUUUUAGUUUGAAAGAUUUUAUCCUUUAAACAUGUGGCACAUAUUAAAGUGAGACCAAGUCUUCCCUAUAAUUUGUAUCUAUCACAAUUUCUUUCCUAAUGAAUAACCUUUUUGAAUAGAAUAUAGACUUUAGCAUAUUACCAACCAUUUUACAAAUAAGUUAAUUUCACUCAGUAAAUAUACUUAACCACCAAUGGUUUCCAAUUUGUAGCACUCUUAUAGAUGUAGUUUUUUUUUUAAAUUUUAUUUUUUAGAAGAAUUGUAGGUAAAAAUAUUUUAGAUAUAUAUGUUCAACAAUUCUCUAAAAACAAUUUAUAUAGAUGGAAUACGUUCAUGGAAGUUCCAACUAAUGAAAUUUAAAACCAAUGAUGAUUUAAUGUAUUUGUACUAAAUCUUAGGGAGUGUGGACUAAAAUUAGCCCUUUUACAAAUAUUUAUAACUAGUAUAUUUGUAGUUGUGGUAUUGAAAGUUGAUCAUUUUCUUAAAAGGUUUACCAUUGAAGUUAGUUGAAUAUAAAGUUAGGUGAACUUUACCAUUGUUUAAUUGGUAAAUGAAGACUCUUAGAUUUGAUACUAACAUGUACAUCAUGACUUCAUUGAAUCUCUCACAAGGAAAUUUUAGUUUGAAAGACUUCAUCUUUUAAACAUGUGGCACAUAUUAAAGUGGACCAAGUCUUCCCUAUAAUUUGUAUCUAUCACAAUUUCUUUCCUCAUAAAUAGCCUUUUUUAAUAGAAUUAAUAUAGACUUUAGCAUGCAUGGUGGGCCCUGUCAAACUAUUAGUCAAGAUAAUUUGUAGGUAAGAACGAUGGACCAACUAUAUUAAAUAUUCUUCAUCUAUUUGCAUAUCAAGAGCAACUUAAUAUUGUCUUUCUUUUGUACUUCAUGUUUGAACUUUCAAUGGAGAGUGUGUCAUCUAAAUAUUUGAUGUGGGUUUUUAUACUAUUCUUGGUUCAAAUAUGUGGAUGCAAAGGUUGCAUCGAAGAAGAGAAGAUGGGUUUGCUUGAAUUCAAGGCUUUUCUUAAAUUGAAUAAUGAGCAUGCAGAUUUUCUUCUCCCUUCAUGGAUAGAUAACAACACUAGUGAAUGUUGUAAUUGGGAGCGGGUUAUUUGCAAUCCCACCACAGGUCGAGUUAAGAAGCUUUUCCUCAAUGAUAUUACGCAACAACAAAGUUUCUUGGAAGACAAUUGGUACCAAUAUGAAAAUGUCAAAUUCUGGUUACUAAAUGUCUCCCUAUUCCUUCCUUUUGAAGAACUUCACCAUCUAAACUUGUCUGCAAACUCAUUUGAUGGGUUUAUUGAGAAUGAAGGUAUGUUACCUCUCACCUUUAAAAUUUCAUUUCACUUAUACUCCAAACAUUCUAAAGGAACUACUAGCAUAUGUUCUUAAAAGUGUUCAGGUGGAGACCAAAUGGUCACUAGUAACUAUUGAAUUUAAUAUAAGAACAAUUACUAAUUAUUAAAAUUUAUAAUGUAAAUUAACAUUUAAACAGAACAAUAAAAAAAUUAUUAUUUUAGAAAACUAUAGAUUACAUUAGCCUUAUAUAUAUAAGCAUACUUGUUAUUUAUGCCAUCAUUUCACACUCAACCCAAUAAGUGGGAUUCAACUAAGAGUGAGCAAUUUCACAAUUAUUAAUUAACAGGAACACUUAGUCUCCCAUAUCCUUAUCCUUUUUGUUGAAUUGUCUUUCCUUAUCUUCCAUUCCUAAAAAGCUUGAUUUCUAUAUUCUAAAUUGAUAAAGAUUGGUUAAAGAAAGGUGAUCACAAAAUUUGACUAUUGCUGUCAAAUAAGGAAUCACCAUCUUCAAAGUUUCACAUUUACAAAAAAAAAAAAAAAAAAAAAAAAAAAAAAAAAAAACCCUAGCCUUGGGUAAGGUCCAAGCCUUAUUGUUUUAAGCUGAUGUCGGGUUGGUUUAAUAAUAAACAAAAAAAAUCCUAACCCAUGACCAUCUACGCAUUUCCAAAUUCCACCCAUCCACAACCCAUUAAUAUGACAUUUUCAAGGACAAAAUUUAAUCAAUUAAACCUAUUAGAUGGAUUCUCCAUACAAUGUUAAAAUGAAUAUAAAAACUUUAAUUCAAAAAAUAAUUUCCUUUAUUUAGUUAGGAUUCAAAUUAUAGGGGCACAAAACAUGAAAAUUUUCAUGUUUAAAAUUCACAAAGAUCACAAAAGCUCUUUGAAGCUCUAUGGACUUUUUUAUUUCUAACAUUUAAACACAAAAAUCACCAUAUUUAAUUAGAGAUUUGGAUACAUAUUCUUAUAUUAAAGACAUGUAAGCUUACAUAUUUAAAUAUGAAGAUCUCAACUUGUAAUUACAUGCUUCUAAUUAAAGUUAUAUUACUCUAUUUUAUAGGAUUUAAAGGGUUAUCAAGUUUAAAGAAAUUGGAGAUCUUAGACAUAAGUGGUAAUGAGUUUGAAAAAAGUGUCUUAAAAUCUUUGGACACAAUAACAUCACUCAAGACAUUGGCUAUUUGCAGCAUGGGACUGAAUGAAUCUUUUUCCAUUCGAGGCAUGUUAUAUGUCCACAUUGUUUCUUUGAAAUUAAGUAAAAUAUAUUUCUAACUUUUAAUGUUCCUUAGUUAAUCUCUCUUUUGAUUCAUGUUUGUUGCAGAAUUAGCUAGUUUGAGAAAUUUGGAAGUGUUGGAUCUAAGCUAUAAUGAUUUGGAAAGCUUUCAACUAUUGCAAGGUACUUCAUUAACUUGCUAAAAAAACUUAUGAUAUUUUGUUAUUAAAUUAAAGGUAAGAUUAACAAACAAUUUCUUCUCAUUAGUUACUUUUCUUUGUAAUAUCAUUAAAUUUGAUAUAAAGUAGUCUAAAUCAUCCUUUCAAUUUAUAAGUUUUAAUUAAAACGCAUCAAGCAUGCACAAGAUGUUUAAUAUAACUAAUAUUUUCAUAAGUAAUUGAAUUUUUUUAUAUGAAUUAAUUAACUUGAUUAUCAAUAAAUACUUACAUGUAUAAGAUUAAUAUAGUUUCAUAAGUAUUUUAAAAUUGUCUUACAACACACACACACACACACACAAGGAAAAUGAAAGGUAUGUGAUAUCUUUAUGCUAUGUUUGGUUCCCAAAAAAAUUGAGGGAAAAUGAAAGGAGAAAAAAGUAGAGACGAAAAGUAAAAGAAAAGAAAAAAAGUAAAGAAAAAUAUAAAAUUGAUUAAAGUAAAUACAUUAUUUUUAUAUGUUACUUUAACUUGUUUCACUUAUUUUAAUUCUUCAAUGUAAAGAUGAAAGAUUUGAAAAUGCAUAAGUUUCUAAUUAUUUUUUAUUUUAUUUUAUAGUUUUUACAAUACAACCAAACAUAAUAAAAUCAUUUUCUUUAAUUUUUUUUCUUUUCUUAAUACUUUUCACGAACCCUUUAAGUUAUGUUUGUUUGCAGAAAAUAUGAGGAAUAGAAAAUAGAAAAGAAAAUUAGAAGGAAAGAAAAAGUGAAGUAAAAUAAAAAUAAAUUUAAAUUUAAUAAAUUAUUUGUAUAUGCUACUUUAAACUUAUUUCACUUAUUUUAAAUUAUUUAAACUCAUUUCUAAUAAAUAAUAAUGGAAAUUGUAGAGAAGUUUGUGUUAUUCAAGCUUUGCAAUGACUUUACAAGGUGAAGGAAAAUAUUCUUGCUGAAAUUGAAAAAAGAAAUACCUUCUUAAAUAGCCUAUUGACCGAAAACACAUUACCCUAACAUAUACACACACCUUUAUUAUUUAUACAAUCAUUUAAUACUUAAUCCAGUUAGUGGGAUUCUAGUGGUUGUUUUUAUCUUGGUUUCCAAUAUUUCUGAUUGAUAGUGUUCGAUUAAUGAAAUAUCAUAAAUUUUGACCCUAAUAAGGACCAAUCCCUAUUAAAUGUAAUUGGGUUGACCUAAGACUAAAUGUUAGAUCCAACUAAUAAAAACCCAUCUAUUUGUUGGAGUGUAAAUAACCCGGCCUUAGGUAGGGCCCAUGCCUUAUUAUUUUAAGAUGUAGUCCAACUGGUUUGACACUAGAUUGAGUAAAGCCCAACUUAUGAGCAUCUAUGCAUUUCCAUCCAUCCACAACCUACUGGCAUGGACAAACUUUGGUCAAUUAAACCUAUUAUAACUGCAUACAAAAUUUUAAGUUCAAAAGAUAAUUUUCCUUAUUUAGUUAGGAUUCAUAUUAAAAAGGCACAAAGCACGAAUUUUCAUGUUUAAAUUCACAAAUAUCACAAAAGCUCCUUCAAGCUCUAUGGACCAUUUUAUUUGUAACAUUAUAUUACUCUUAAUUAUCAAAUUAACCAACAAAUUCUUCUCAUUAGUUAUUUUUCUUUAGUAAUGUCAUAAAAUUUGAUAUAAAGUAGUAUUGGUCAUCAUUUCAAAUUUUAGGUUCCAAUUAGAUGUAUCAAGCAUGUGUACCAUAUUUGAUAUAACUAAUAUUUUUAUAAGUAAUUGAAUUUUUUUUUCUAUAAAUCAAUUAAUUUGAUUAUCAAUGAAUACUUUCAUACAUGAUAUUGAUGUAGUUUCAUAAAUAUUUUAAAAUAGUCAUAGAAGUCUUUUAUCUGAUUCACUAGAAAGAAAAAUAAACUAUUCUAAUGAAAAGACUUGAUGAUUUGAAGUGAUUGCUUUUGAUUUUAUUUGAUUGCUACCAUUAUUAAUUGUUAGAAAUUGGCAACAAAUACCCAUUUUGCAUCACUUCUAUAUGCAUCGGGGGAAUGAAUUAUAUUUCAUAGAGCUAAUAGGGCAAAACUCAAACUUUUGGAAUUAUGGAAAAGGUUGCUAGAAAGCUAAUUAACCAUUUAUAUUAUGAUUAAGACUAGUUGGGUUAGAAAUAAUUCAUAUGGAGAUUAAAAAAAACUAUGUAAUUUAGUUUAGUAGCUUGGGUGCUAUUGUAAUGAUUAAUGAUCUGCAACUUGAACACAUCUACUAGUGCUUUCUACUUGUAUAGCUAAAUUUAUGUUACCACUUUGAACUACAGUACUUACAUGAGAAGAAAGUUUUUCCUUAGUGAUAAUGCAAAAGAAAUUAAGUAUCAAUUUUUGUUAAACUAACAAGUGAUAGUUUAGAUAUGGUUUGAAUACACUUCCUUUCUUCUAUAUUUUUAUUUUGAAAAAAAAAAACUCUUUAAUGAAAUAUAAGAAAUCUUAUAUGUAUAAAAAUUAAAGACUUAAACAAAAAAAUUCUUCAAAUUUGAAAAUUUUCGAGAAGUAUUUUUAAGAAUUUGUAUUUUCAAUAUAAUAAUUCAUAUAUUUUGUAUAAAAGUUUUUGUUUAAAAAAAUAGAAGUGUGUCCAAAUUACAAAUUAAUUGUUAAAUUAAGAAUGUUUCUCAGAUCAAGAGAUGAUGAAAGUUGUAGAGAGUUUGCAUUACUCAACCUUUGCAAUUACUUUUUGAAGGUAAAAGAAAAUACCUUCCUACAUAACAUACAAUGGCAGGUUCUGGUUUGUAAGAAACUAAUAAAUGAUUAAGAAUAUGAAUAAGACUUCCUUUAUAAUGGAUAUGUAGAGAAGAAUAGUGGAUGAUAGGAGGUGAAAAUCUUGUAAUAAAAUAUCAAUAUCAGUUAUAAGAUAAUCAACAUUUUCUCUAUUUCUUGUACCUAUGUGAUUAAGAAUCUUGUAGCUCCCUUAUUGAAAUAUAAUAUAAAAAUAUAAAUAAACUAUUUAGAAGUGCAUGUAGUUUUCAACAUGAGGAAGUUCAAAAGCAAGUUAAUUAUGAUAAUUUUCUAUAGUCUAUAUUGAACACAAAUUAUUUUUACUAAAGGUUCAAUCGUUCUAUGAAGGUUAAAAGUUUGAAUUGUUUACAUAUGCAAAUGGACAACCAAACAAGAAAAUGAUUUUGAAAUCCUUUUUGGACCUUUUUUUAUCAUUCAUUUUUUCCCCUACUCUAUUUCCUUUCCCUCAAACUCUCUAGGUAGUAAACAUUACCUAAGAUAAAUAGGGAAGAAAAUAUUUUAUCAUUUAUUUAUUUAGUAUUUUUCUUACAUUUUUUGUAUGUUAUCCAAAUAUAAGAAAACUAUUUUUCUUUAUUUUUUCUUUUCCUUGUUGCUUUUCAAGAAUCAAGCAUACUUUAAACUCUAAUUAAGAGUUACAUAGAUUUACGAAGAAACAAUGCAACUGGUAACAAAAAAUUAAGGAAAUUUAAUUUUUGAGAGUAGGUAUAAUGAGAUUGGUUUGUUUGAUACAAAAUUUGAAUAAAAAUUCUUUCAAUGAAAAUUCAAGGAAAGGAAAAAAAAAACAACUUUCUCUCUAGACUAUAAUACUAAAUCACUUAAAAAAUAUCCUAACAUCGUUUAUGUUCAUCUUUCUUUUUAUGGAUUUGAAAAACCCAAUAAUUUGGAGAAAACUGAUUCAAGGAAGAAUAAUUUUUAGAAUAAAAUAUUAUUAUUUAAGAAGAUCAUAAAUAUUAUAGUCAUUGUUGAAUAUGAUAAAUGAUUUAAAAAAAAUGGUAGUUGGAAAUUUAGAUACUUUUAUAAGACAAAUGAAUUUUUCUAGUAUGGUAUGAAAAAAGGUAAAAUGAUAGGCUUUGAUCAUUUUUUAAGGUAGUUUGUUUAAAUCAUUUUAAUUUAUUUUCAUUUAAGAACAAUAACUUUUAUUACACUAGUUAUUUUGAUUUUCUUUUGAUAGAUUUUGCAAGCUUAAGCAAUUUGGAGCUAUUGGAUUUGAGUAAUAAUUCAUUUAGUGGGAGCGUUCCAUCAUCUAUAAGAUUGAUGUCUUCUCUCAAGUCUUUAUCCCUGGCUGGAAAUUACCUCAAUGGUUCCUUACCAAAUCAAGGUAUAUAUAUAUUGUGAUUACAGGUUUUUCUGUUUUCUUUUUUAAUAUCUUGUUUGUUCUUUAUGCCAAUGAAGUCAUGCAUGUCUAUUAAUUUUUGGUAUUUAAUAAAAAACUUUAUUCUUAAUUCAUAAAGACCUCAUCAACGGUAAGUAACAGCUAGUUGUAAGUUUGGGGGCAUUGACAAGACGAGGAGAUGAUUGGUUACAUGUCUUAUUCUCUUUUGUAGGCUUUUGCCAAUUGAAUAAGCUUCAAGAAUUAGAUCUUUCUUACAACUUGUUCCAAGGAAUCCUUCCUCCAUGUUUGAAUAAUUUGACAUCUUUGAGGUUAUUGGAUCUCUCUUCCAACCUAUUCUCCGGAAAUCUUUCUUCCCCUCUGUUACCUAAUCUCACAUCCCUGGAGUACAUCGAUCUCAGUUACAAUCAUUUUGAGGGUUCAUUCUCUUUCAGCUCUUUUGCUAAUCACUCCAACCUUCAAGUGGUCAAACUUGGAAGGAAUAACAACAAAUUUGAGGUAGAAACUGAAUAUCCAGUUGGUUGGGUUCCCCUGUUUCAGUUGAAAGCUCUUGUGCUAUCCAACUGUAAGCUCAUCGGUGACCUUCCUAGUUUCCUUCGACACCAAUUAAGAUUAACCGUGGUUGAUCUCUCCCAUAAUAACUUGACUGGAAGUUUCUCCAUUUGGCUGCUUGAAAACAAUACAAGACUAGGAUCUCUAGUUCUGAGGAAUAACUCUUUAAUGGGUCAACUACUUCCCCUGAGACCUAAUAGUCGUAUCACUUUAUUGGAUAUCUCAGACAACCGACUUGAUGGGGAACUUCAACAAAAUGUGGCCAAUAUGAUUCCAAAUAUUGAGUUUCUAAAUUUAUCCAACAAUGGUUUUGAAGAUAUUCUCCUAUCCUCAAUAGCCGAAAUGAGUUCCUUACAGUCAUUGGAUUUGUCUGCUAAUAGUUUCUCAGGGGAAGUACCAAAACAAUUGCUUGUGGCAAAAUAUUUGUGGCUUCUGAAAUUAUCAAAUAAUAAAUUUCAUGGUGAAAUAUUUUCAAGGGAGUUUAACUUGACUCAGUUAGGGUUUUUACAUUUGGACAAUAAUCAGUUCAAGGGAACACUGUCAAAUGUAAUCUCCAGAAUCUCUAGGUUAUGGGUGUUGGAUAGGUAACAUGACCGAUUUGACUACCCUAGUGUUGGGCAACAAUAGUUUUAAAGGCAAAUUACCACCUGAGAUUUCUCAAUUGUUGGGGAUGAUAUUUCUUGACCUUUCUUAAAACGCUCUUUCAGGAUCUUUUCUUUCUUUGAAGAGCCUGGAGUAUUUAGAGCAUCUACAUUUGCAAGGGAACAUGUUUAUAGGAUUGAUACCUAGAGAUUUUCUCAAUUCCUCAUAUCUAUUGACUUUGGAUAUCAGAGACAACAGGUUAUUUGGAAGUAUUCCCAAUUCAAUCUCUAGACUUUUAGAGCUAAGAGGAAACCUUUUAAGUGGUUUCAUUCCAUAUCAGCUCUGUCAUUUGACUAAAAUAAGCUUCAUGGAUCUUUCAAACAACAAUUUUUCUAGGUCAAUUCCUGGAUGCUUUGGUCAUAUCAGAUUUGGAGAUUUCAAAACUGAGCACAAUGUGUAUAUACCGAUGUUGGAUUCGUAUUCAGAAAGCAAUCCUUCUAUAUAUGCGGGUUACUUAAUAAAAUUUUAUUUUUCUCUAGUGAACUCCCUAAUGAAGUAGAUGAAGUUGAGUUUGUUACCAAGAAUAGGUAUAGCUCCCACAGAGUAGAUAAAUAUAUUUGUUGGGAAUUUAGAUAUUUUUAUAGAAAAGUAGACAAGUAUUCUAAUUUAUAAAAAUAAUGCAUUUCUUUAGUUUGGUAUAAAAAAAAUGAAAUGAUAUGUAUUGGUAAUUUUUUUUAAAGUAACAAACGUUUUAUUUUAUUUGUAUUUAAGAACAAUUUUUUUUCUUAUACUAGUUAUUUUAAUUUUCUUUUGACAGAUUUUGCAAGCUUAAGCAAUUUGGAGAUGCUAGAUUUGAGUUAUAAUUCCUUAAGUGGGAUUAUUCCAUUAUCUAUAAGAUUGAUGCCUCAUCUCAAGUCUUUAUCCUUGGCCAGAAAUCACUUCAAUGGUUCUUUACAAAAUCAAGGUACAUAUGUUAUGAUUUGUUUGUUUCAUAUAGAUUAGAGAAGAUGAAUAUUGUUAAAAAAAAAAAGUUGUUGUUAAUGUAAGCUAGAAAUAAGUAUUUUGCCUUAUAAAUUAUAUAAGCAUGUGUUUGUUCUGAAUGAAUCUUUACAACAUUUAGAGUUACCAAUGUUUAUAAUUCAUAAAGACCUCAUUAACAGUGAGUAACAACUAAUUGUAAGUAAUUGUGGAAAAAGUAAGGAAAACAAAAUGAGGGAAAAGCAAGGAAUUAGGAAAUUAUUUUGUUCCCAUAAAAAAAUGCUAAGGAAGAAAAAGGUAAAAGAAAGUUUAAAAAAAGUGUAUUUUUCAAAAAUUUAUUUCUCUUUCCUUUAAUUUUGCUAUGGACAACCAAACAAGAAAAUAAUUUUAUAAUUCCUUUUUUUUUUCAUUCUCUCUCUCUCUCUCUCUUUUUCCCUACUCUAUUUCUUUUCCCUCAAACUUUCUUGAUAGUAAACACAACCUAAGGUAAAUGAGGAAGAAAAUUUUUAGUUUUUUUUAUUUUUUAUUUUUUUAGAAUGUUUUCUUACUUUUUAGUAUUUUAUGCAAAUAUAGGAAAAUUUUCAUCUUUCUUUUUAUGGAUUUGAAAAACCCAAUAAUUUGGAGAAAACUGAUUCAAGGAAGAAUAAUUUUUAGAAUAAAAUAUUAUUAUUUAAGAAGAUCAUAAAUAUUAUAGUCAUUGUUGAAUAUGAUAAAUGAUUUAAAAAAAUGGUAGUUGGAAAUUUAGAUACUUUUAUAAGACAAAUGAAUUUUUCUAGUAUGGUAUGAAAAAAGGUAAAAUGAUAGGCUUUGAUCAUUUUUUAAGGUAGUUUGUUUAAAUCAUUUUAAUUUAUUUUCAUUUAAGAACAAUAACUUUUAUUACACUAGUUAUUUUGAUUUUCUUUUGAUAGAUUUUGCAAGCUUAAGCAAUUUGGAGCUAUUGGAUUUGAGUAAUAAUUCAUUUAGUGGGAGCGUUCCAUCAUCUAUAAGAUUGAUGUCUUCUCUCAAGUCUUUAUCCCUGGCUGGAAAUUACCUCAAUGGUUCCUUACCAAAUCAAGGUAUAUAUAUAUUGUGAUUACAAGUUUUUAUGUUUUCUUUUUUAAUAUCUUGUUUGUUCUUUAUGCCAAUGAAGUCAUGCAUGUCUAUUAAUUUUUGGUAUUUAAUAAAAAACUUUAUUCUUAAUUCAUAAAGACCUCAUCAACUGUAAGUAACAGCUAGUUGUAAGUUUGGGGGCAUUGACAAGACGAGGAGAUGAUUGGUUACAUGUCUUAUUCUCUUUUGUAGGCUUUUGCCAAUUGAAUAAGCUUCAAGAAUUAGAUCUUUCUUACAACUUAUUCCAAGGAAUCCUUCCUCCAUGUUUGAAUAAUUUGACAUCUUUGAGGUUAUUGGAUCUCUCUUCCAACCUAUUCUCCGGAAAUCUUUCUUCCCCUCUGUUACCUAAUCUCACAUCCCUGGAGUACAUCGAUCUCAGUUACAAUCAUUUUGAGGGUUCAUUCUCUUUCAGCUCUUUUGCUAAUCACUCCAACCUUCAAGUGGUCAAACUUGGAAGGAAUAACAACAAAUUUGAGGUAGAAACUGAAUAUCCAGCUGGUUGGGUUCCCCUGUUUCAGUUGAAAGCUCUUGUGCUAUCCAACUGUAAGCUCAUCGGUGACCUUCCUGGUUUCCUUCGACACCAAUUAAGAUUAACUGUGGUUGAUCUCUCCCAUAAUAACUUGACUGGAAGUUUCCCCAUUUGGCUGCUUGAAAACAAUACAAGACUAGGAUCUCUAGUCGUAUCACUUUAUUGGAUAUCUCAAACAACCGACUUGUUGGGGAACUUCAACAAAAUGUGGCCAAUAUGAUUCCAAAUAUUGAGUUUUUAAAUUUAUCCAACAAUGGUUUUGAAGGUAUUCUCCCAUCCUCAAUAGCUUAAAUGAGUUCCUUACAGUCGUUAGAUUUGUCUGCUAAUAGUUUCUUAGGGGAAGUACCAAAACAAUUGCUUGCGGCAAAAUAUUUGUGGCUUCUGAAAUUAUCAAAUAAUAAAUUUCAUGGUGAAAUAUUUUCAAGGGACUUUAACUUGACUCAGUUAGGGUUUUUACAUUUGGACAAUAAUCAGUUUAGGGGAUAUUUCUCCAGAAUCUCUAGGUUAUGGGUGUUGGAUGGGAGAUAGUUUUAAAGGCAAAUUACCACCUGAGAUUUCUCAAUUGUCGGGGAUGAUAUUUCUUGACAUUUUUCAAAACGCUCUUUCAGGAUCUCUUCCUUCUUUGAAGAGCCUGGAGUAUUUAGAGCAUCUACAUUUGCAAGGGAACAUGUUUAUAGGAUUGAUACCCAGAGAUUUUCUCAAUUCCUCAUAUCUAUUGACUUUGGAUAUCAGAGACAACAGGUUAUUUGGAAGUAUUCCCAAUUCAAUCUCUAGACUUUUAGAGCUAAGAGGAAACCUUUUAAGUGGUUUCAUUCCAUAUCGGCUUUGUCAUUUGACUAAAACAAGCUUCAUGGAUCUUUCAAACAACAAUUUUUCUGGGUUAAUUCCCGGAUGCUUUGGUCAUAUCGGAUUUGGAGAUUUCAAAACUAAGCACAAUGUGUAUAUACCGAUGUUAGAUUCGUAUUCAGAAAGCAAUCCUUCUAUAUAUACGGGUUACUUAAUAAAAUAUUUAUUUUUCUCUACUGAACUCCUUGAUGAAGUAGAUGAAGUUGAGUUUGUUACCAAGAAUAGGUAUAGCUCCCACAGAGUAGAUAAAAAUAUUUGUUGGGAAUUUAGAUAUUUUAUAGGACAAUAUACAAGUAUUCUAAUUUAUAAAAACAAUGCAUUUCUUUAGUUUGGUAUAAAAAAAAUAAAAUGAUAGGUAUUGGUAAUUUUUUUUCAAAGUAACAAACGUUUUAUUGUAUUUGUAUUUAAGAACAAUGUCUUUUCUUAUACUAGUUAUUUUAAUUUUCUUUUGACAGAUUUUGCAAGCUUAAGCAAUUUGGAGAUACUAGAUUUGAGUUAUAAUUCCUUAAGUGGGAUUAUUCCAUCAUCUAUAAGAUUGAUGUCUUGUCUCAAGUCUUUAUCGUUGGCCGGAAAUCACCUCAAUGGUUCUUUACAAAAUCAAGGUACAUAUGUUAUGAUUUGUUUGUUUCAUAUAGAUUAGAGAAGAUAAAUAUUGUAAAAAAAAAAAAAGUUGUAGUUAAUGUAAGCUAGAAAUAAGUAUCUUGCCUUAUAAAUUAUAUAAGCAUGUGUUUGUUCUUAAUGAAUCUUUACAACAUUUAGAGUUACCAAUGUUUAUAAUUCAUAAAGACCUCAUUAACGGUGAAUAACAACUAAUUGUAAGUAAUUGUGGAAAAAGUAAGGAAAACAAAAUGAGGGAAAAGCAAGGAAUUAGGAAAUUAUUUUUUUCCCAUAAAAAAAUGCUAAGGAAGAAAAAGGUAAAAGAAAGUUUAAAAAAAGUGUAUUUUUAAAAAAAUUAUUUCUCUUUCCUUUAAUUUUGCUAUGGACAACCAAACAAGAAAAUCAUUUUAUAAUUCCUUUUUAUUUUUUUCAUUCUCUCUCUCUUUUUUUCCCUACUCUAUUUCUUUUCCCUCAAACUUCCUUGGUAGUAAACACAACCUAAGAUAAAUGGGGAAGAAAAUUUUCAGUUUUUAUUUUUAUUUUUUUAGAAUGUUUUCUUACUUUUUAGUAUUUUAUGCAAAUAUAGGAAAAUUAUUUUUUUUUCUUGCUCCUUUUCAGACAUGAAUCACACUUUAAAAGAAAAUUAAUUUUUAAUUAGGAGUUAAGAUAAAUUUAAGGAGAAACAAUGAAUCACGAAUAACAAAAAAUUAAGGAAAUUGAAUUUUUGAAAGUAAGUAUAAUCAAAUUGCUUCAUUUGAUACAAAAUUUGAAUAAAAAUUCUUUCAAUGAAAAAUCAAGGAAAGGAAAAAACAUUUUUGUCUCUAGAUUAUAAUACUUAAUCAUGUAAAAAAUCUCUUAACAUCAUUUAUAUUCAUAUUUCUUUUUGUAGAUUUGAAAAAUUCAACAAUUUGGAAUAAACUUAUUCAAUGAAGAAUAAUUUUUAGAUUUAAAGAUUAUUAUUUAAGAUCAUAAAUAUUACCAUCAUUGUUGAUGUCCAAGAAGAUCAUAUUCAACAAUUUUUUUAAUAUGUUGUUUUUUAUGGUAAUUAAUUGAUGUCUUGUAAUUUUUAAUAUUUAAUGAAAAACAUUAAUUUAAUUCAUCUAAAGCUCUUAAUUCAUGAAGACCUCGUUAAUGUAAUGGUGAGUAAUAGUUGGCUGUAAGUUUGGAGUCAAAGACAUGUUAAGGAGAUGAUUAGUUACAUGUCUUAUUCUCUUUUGUAGGUUUCUGCCAAUUGAAUAAGCUUCAAGAGUUAGAUCUUUCUUACAACUUAUUCCAAGGGAUCCUUCCUCCAUGUUUGAAUAAUUUCACAUCUCUGAGGUUAUUGGAUCUCUCUUCCAACCUCUUUUCCGGAAAUUUUUCUUCCCCUCUGUUACGUAAUCUCACAUCCCUAGAGUACAUAGAUCUCAGUUCCAAUCAGUUUGAGGGUUCAUUCUCUUUCAGCUCUUUUGCUAAUCAUUCCAAGCUUCAAGUGGUCAUACUUGGAAGGGAUAACAACAAAUUUGAGGUAGAAACUGAAUAUCCAGUUGGUUGGGUUCCCCUGUUUCAGUUGAAGAUUCUCUCUCUAUCCAGCUGUAAGCUCACCGGUGACCUUCCUGGUUUUCUUCAAUACCAAUUCAGGUUAGUGGGGGUUGAUAUCUCACAUAAUAACUUGACAGGAAGUUUCCCCUAUUGGUUGCUUGAAAACAAUACGAGACUAGAAUCUCUAGUCUUGAGGAAUAACUCUUUAAUGGGUCAACUACUUCCCUUGGGACCUAAUACUCGUAUCAAUUCAUUGGAUAUCUCACACAAUCAGUUGGAUGGACAACUUCAAGAAAAUGUGGCCCAUAUGAUUCCAAAUAUUAUGUUUCUAAAUUUAUCCAACAAUGGUUUUGAAGGUAUUCUCCCAUCCUCAAUAGCUGAACUAAGAGCCUUAUGGAUUUUGGAUUUGUCUACCAAUAAUUUCUCUGGAGAAGUACCAAAGCAAUUGCUUGCAACAAAAGAUUUGGGGAUUCUGAAAUUAUCAAAUAAUAAAUUUCAUGGUGAAAUAUUUUCAAGGGACUUUAACUUGACUGGGUUAUUGUGUUUGUAUUUGGGCAAUAAUCAGUUCACAGGAACUCUGUCAAAUGUAAUCUCCAGAAGCUCUUGGUUGGAGGUGUUGGAUGUGAGCAACAACUACAUGUCAGGUGAAAUUCCAAGCCAGAUAGGUAACAUGACCGAUUUGACUACACUGGUGUUGGGCAACAAUAAUUUUAAAGGCAAAUUACCACUUGAGAUUUCUCAAUUGCAACGGAUGGAGUUUCUUGACGUUUCUCAAAAUGCUUUUUCAGGAUCUCUUCCUUCUUUGAAGAGCAUGGAGUAUUUAGAGCAUCUACAUUUGCAAGGGAACAUGUUUACAGGAUUAAUACCCAGAGAUUUUCUCAAUUCCUCAAAUCUAUUGACUUUGGAUAUUAGAGAAAACAGGUUAUUUGGAAGUAUUCCCAACUCAAUCUCUGCACUUUUGAAGCUAAGGAUUCUUUUGCUAGGAGGAAACCUUUUAAGUGGUUUUAUUCCAAAUCAUCUUUGUCAUUUGACUGAAAUAAGCUUGAUGGAUCUUUCAAACAACUCUUUUUCAGGGCCAAUUCCCAAAUGCUUUGGCCAUAUCCGAUUUGGGGAAAUGAAAAAGGAGGACAACGUGUUUGGACAGUUCAUUGAAUUUGGGUUUGGAAUGGUUUCUCAUCUUGUAUAUGCAGGUUACUUGGUGAAAUAUUACGGUUCCCCAACUUUAGUAUAUAAUGAAAAAGAUGAAGUUGAGUUUGUCACCAAGAACAGGAGUGACUUCUACAAAGGUGGCAUCCUUGAAUUCAUGUCUGGAUUGGACUUAUCAUGUAACAACUUGACAGGCGAAAUACCUCAUGAACUUGGAAUGCUAAGUUGGAUUCGUGCAUUGAACUUGUCUCACAAUCAAUUGAAUGGCUCCAUUCCAAAGAGUUUCUCUAAUCUUUCUCAAAUAGAGAGCUUAGACCUUUCUUAUAAUAAACUGGGUGGAGAAAUUCCUCUAGAGCUAGUUGAACUCAAUUUUUUAGAGGUGUUUAGUGUGGCUUACAACAACUUCUCUGGUAGAGUUCCAGAUACCAAAGCACAAUUUGGGACAUUUGAUGAAAGGAGCUAUGAAGGUAAUCCUUUCCUUUGUGGGGAACUAUUAAAGAGGAAAUGCAACACAAGUAUUGAGUCACCAUGCACACCAUCACAGUCUUUUGAAAGUGAGGCAAAAUGGUAUGAUGUCAAUCAUGUUGUUUUCUUUGCAAGUUUUACUACUUCAUAUAUCAUGAUCUUGUUAGGAUUUGCUAUCAUCCUUUACAUCAAUCCUUAUUGGCGUCAUAGAUGGUUCAAUUUUAUCGAGGAAUGUAUAUAUUCCUGCUAUUAUUUUGUUUUUGAUAGUCUUUCCAAGUUAUCAGCAUAUUUGUAUAAUUAGAUACUUUUAAUUGGAUGAUAUUUGCAUAAUUAACUACUAUUUGUUUCCCUGGGAUAGAAAGAAAUGGGAUGUAUAAUGCUAUGAGCUGAAACUUACAUACUUUGCUCAAAUUCUAACAUCUUUUGAUUUUAUUUUCAAGUUCCGUUAUUUAUUAUGUAUUGCUUAAUUCAAGAUUUAACCAUAUUACGUUACUCUUAUAAAAGCAAAUUCAAAUUUUUAGGAACUUUUAGCAUUAAAAUAAUUUCAUAGUCAGAUUUUAAAAAAUAAAGAAGAAAGAAAAUAAUAAAUAAUUGGAAAAACAAUUCAAGGAAGUAUUAAAUUAUUAUCUUAGAAUUAUUUGGCGUAGUAUGGGAAUUCAAAAAUAAUCUUUCAAUUUGUUAGAAAUGUUUAUUUAUUUAUUAUAGCAAUGAUUGAAAUAUCAAUCACAAAGUAAUGUUUUCUUUUCUUUUGUAGGGCACUAACACUUUUUCUUUGAUAGUAAUAAUUGAUAAAUAUAUUACACAAUUAUUUGUUUUAAAAAAGGGAGGGAUGACAAACAUAAUAACAUGUGAAAUAUUUCUAAAACUGUAAUGGGAAAUAAGCCAUCUAAUUAGGGUGCAAUAUUAUUCAUUUUAAUUUACAUGAAUUUACUUAUUUUUAUUUGCAUCAUAUUUUGAACUAUUUUAUGAAAUUAAGGGAGAUUAAAACAUCACGAGUUUCUUAUUUUAGUUUAUAUUCUUAAUAAUAAAGCAUGAAAUAUUAUAAAAAAAAAAAUCAUGAAUUUCUUUAAUUCCUUAGGAAACCAAUAUAUAAAAAAUUGAACAUAUUAUUAUUUUAUAUCCUAAAUCUCUAAAUUUGUUCAUUACCUAUUUAUUUUUAUAUUAAAUUUAUUAUUAAUUAUUUAUUUAUAUUAUUAUUUUAUGUUUAAAAUGUUCAUAAAUAAUUAAAAUUAAUAAAUAUAAAAAUAAAAUAUUAAAAAAUUAAAUUAUAAAGAUUUCAUCAAACUGACAUAUUUAAAAAAAAAAAAAAGCUAAAAAAGAUGAGGAUAUUAUAGAGGAGGGGAAAAGGAUAAAAGAAAAUUCAUGUGGUAUGAUAAUAUCACGUGUCAAAGUUAUUUUCUUUAAAAAAUAAUAAUAGUAAUGAUGAACUCAUUUGUCUUAUCAAAGUAAGUUAAAAAAAAAAAAAAAAAAAAAAAAGAAAAGAAAAAGAUGGUAGUUGGCUUAUUUGUUCUUUGAAAAUAAAAAAUCAAAGUUUUAGAAAAAUACAAUUUUCUUUUAAAUGAUGAAUGGUUACAUCAUUUCCCCUUAGCUUAUCUGUUCCUUUAAACUUUAGUUUGAAUAAAAUUAGUUUUAAUUAUUUUCUUUUUGGAAUUAUAUUUAAUCGUAUUAUUAAAAAUAUAAAAAACAUCGUAAUAAUAUUGUCAAUAAGUUUUUUUAUAUAUAUUGAAAAAUAUUUAUAUUUAAAAAUAUUUAAAUUUUGUCAUGGGCUGCCCAUUUCAAAAUGAUAAGAAUAUAAUAACCUAAUUUUUCCAAAUUCCAGGUAAAUAUGCUAAUCUAAAAAAAAAAAAUUAUUAGGUUUUUAUGUGCUGAUUGGGUUUUUUUUAUACCCAGUAUGCUCUCCAAUCUACCACUUAAGCAUCCGACAUGGCUAAAAAUAAAUUUUUAAAAAAAAGAAUAAAAAAGGAAAAAAACGAAAGUGUGUGAUCUCUUUCUUGAGUCUUCACAAUCUGAGACACUGAACCCAAAUCAAAAUUAAUCCUCCAAAUUAAUUUUCACCUCCAACCCAAACCCUAACGACUGCCUCACUUUCUUCUCAAACAUAGCUAUACGAAAAACCCUAGCCUCUGCCUCGUCUUCCUCUUAUCCCGGAAACCCAAAUCCCGUGACCCUAACCCCUUCUCUUUCCGAAAACCCUCCAGAAUCGGAAGAUUCAAGUGAUCGAAUUAAUUCUUCAGAAUUAAUUUUCACCUCGAAGCCGAACCCUAACUGCCUCAUCUUCCUCUCAUUCAUAUCCCAAAAGUAGCUUCAACAGUCAGGCCUGCGGCCAUGAAAGCCGUAGUGAUCGCCACUUCCGGCGAUCCCCAAGUUCUCCAAGUGCAAGAAGUCGAAAACCCUGAAAUUGGAGAUGAUGAAGUUCUAAUUAGAGUGGACGCCGCUGCCAUUAAUCGAGCGGAUACGCUUCAGAGGAAGGGCUUGCACCCUCCCUCAAAGGCGGCAGUCCCUACCCCGCUGGAAUCAUCGAAGCUGUUGGAAAGGUCGUCGUUCGAUGGAAGGUUGGCGAUCAGGUAUUUCAAUUGCCUAAUAUUUUGAUUCCGUUUCUGUUCCUGUAUUUUUCUCGGCUAUCCUUUAUGUGAUUUUGCUUCCUCCUGAGUACAAGUUCAUAAUAUACAUGGUACAUGGUGAAUCUGUAUGACAUUUCAUGGUAUACAGGUGUGUGCUCUUCUUUCUGGUGGAGGGCAUGCUGAAAAAGUGGCUGUUCCAGCUGGGCAAGUUCUCCCUGUCCUAUCUGGUGUUUCUCUGAAGGAUGCUGCUGAGGUUGCAUGUACUGUUUGGUCAACUGUUUUAAUGAUGAGCCGACUGUCUGCAGGAGAAACAUUCCUGGUGAAUUUUUUGUCUUUUUUAUUUUCUGAUGCCUGAUAUAUUUACCAGCACAAAUUUUCCCUGUUGCUGUUUAAUGUGUGUGCAUCAAUAUUGGAUUAGGGAGGUAGAAGAGCCAUGGUUCUAUUACAUCAUCAUAUUCUUAUUUAGAUACAUUGUAUCCCACAAUUUCAUUGCAUCCAAGGCUAUGUUGUUUUUUAUUGCACGGUUUGUCAUGGUAAUUUCUCAACCCUUCUCUGGAAAAUUAUGUUGGAUGGCUGCUAUUAAUUACCCCAAAAGAAGAAAUUUUAUGUUGAAGUAAGAUGAGUAGCACAAAGAGUUACUUGUGGUUGAUCCUAUCAUCAAAUGGGCGAUUGAUGCACAAUCCAAAUGGUAAAUUUUUUUCCCCCUUUAUCCAGAUGGAAUUUUUAUGCAUGGUUGAAUAGUGAAAUGAGGACUGAUAAUAUUUCAGGUUCAUGGGGGUUCAAUUGGAAUUGGUACCAUCUAUUCAAAUAGUGAAAUAUUGAGGAGCAAGGGUAUUUGUUACAGCAGGUUUGCCAUCACUGUUCUACCUCAUCCCACAGAAUGCUUAUCUCAUGGCACCAAUUCCUUUUCUUCACAUGUUUUCAACCAUUUUUUCCACCCAGGAACGAGGAAAAAUUAGCUGUUUGUAAGGAUCAUUGAGCAGAUGUGUGCAUCAAUUACAAGACUGAAAACUUUGUUGCAUGGGUGAAGGAGGAAACAGGAGGGAAAGGUACAUUCUAUUGUAUCUUAACGAUAAUUUCAAUUGAAGGUGGAAUUGCUUUUUAUUUUUUAGUGCACCAAAUCCACUAGUCUGGAAUGUUUGAAAAGAUAAAUAGUCAUCUUCCACUUGAUUCCGAUUGUGAAGAUCUAACCCCAAAAAUGUUGAAUGACAGGUGUUGAUGUUAUACUGGAUAAUAUUGGAGGGGCCUACUUUUGGGGAGACAUCAAUGGUUUAAAUGUUGAUGGAAGGCUUUUUAUUAUUGGUUUUCAGGGUGGAACAGUGGUACAAGUAAAUCUUUCAGGUUUACUUGCAAGGCGCCUUACAGUGCAAGGUACCACUUUCUCUGUAGAAGAUUUUUCUGUAGUUUUGGAGUUGAAUCAAUUUGAUUAAUCUCAUCCAAGUUCAGAACUGAGGUGGAUUCUGGCAAGCCAAGGAAAAACCAAAUUACCAUAAAUUCUUUUUUUUUUUCUGGAUCGUUUUACUUCUUGGAAAUCCUGUUUCUCGAUCUGGUCAGGUAUAUGGAAAUUCCAAGGAAAAUAUGUUUUACAUUUUCCAUAAUUGGAAACACUCAGGAAUUUAAUAUUUUCCUCUGAAAUAGCAAUGGUUUUCUAAUUACGACAUUUGUUUUUCUUGUAUCAUCCCAAAAUAUUUUUUAGGUGUUUGUUCUCUCUUGACACAGCUUUUAAUUGGGUCUGUCUUGCUUUUUGAUAGAUCUCUUGACAAGUUGCUUGUAUAUCAUACUUUCUUUAUUGUUUUCGGAUCAUGAACCUUGCUUCUGUCAGCCCUGUUAUCACUACCCAAACUAGUAAAUUUAUGCACAAAACUCCAUGUGUCAGUAACAGUGGUUAUUUGAUUGUAUUAAAUAAUUUGUAAAUACAGUGGAUAAGUUUGUGCAUAGAUUGAAGGCGAAUGAAAAACGUGCAUAGAUUGAAGGUGUGCUGCUUGAGUUGAUUGUAGUUUGAGCAUGAAAAUUUGAAGAUCCAGAACAGCAAAUGAGGAAUGCCUAUCAAUUUGAAACCAGCAUGGGUGGAUGAAUGGAGAGGUUCUUCACUGAAUUUGUCCAUGAAGCUUUUUAGCACUCUAGGGCAAGGGUCUCCAAGCCUAGCUGUUGAUUGCACAUCCCUCCUGCGCAAUACUAAGAACAGAGUGAAAUGCAAAUGCAGGAAAGGGUGUUUCUUAGCUGUUCAACAACUGACAAUACAUUGGCAUGACAAUUCCCUGGAUCGAAUGCCACAAUGCCCUCUUGGAGUUCCAAAGCUUGUUCACAGGUCAAACGAACUUGAGGGUUUUGGGACAUGAACUCCAAGUUUGGUUGCCAAGAAUCUCCAGGUGGAGGAUCAGCUUCUGACACGUGCACACACCUCUUGGCCAGUUUGUGUUAUUGCAAUUUUUAUUAAAUUGCUAAAAAAUUUAUCGCGAACAAUUUUUUCUUUUUUCUUUUUUCUUUUUUUCUUUUUAAACAAACUGCAAAAAUCCCUUUUUUUUUUAUAUAAAAAAAAAAAAAAUUCUCCAACAAAGUGAUUUUUUUUUGUGGCAUGACUCGGUUUGACCACUAACUCGGUGAACUGGUCUAUCGGCUCAAGUUUGGAUCCCUUAAUUUUGUGGCAAAUUGGGCAUCAAGCCCAACAACCUAACUUCCAUGCGGGCUAUCUACUGGAUCUCACCCAUUGUAACUUGCUCUGGGUGAAUGGCCAUUAUAAACUUCAUUUUAUCCUCAUGUGAUUUUGAUGUGGGAAUGGGAGAGAUGAGGAUUUGACAUUUGGACCUAAGGCUCAAUGGGUUUUAACUCCACUCAGCUACUUUAUGUCUUGUAUUUAAUAUUGCAAACCAAAAUAAUAAUAGACAUGAUUCUUUUCAAAAAAUUUAUAAUGUAAUAUUUUUUAAAAUUAUAAAAUAAUAGGUUAUAUAAAUUUUAAUAUAUAGGUAAAAUUAAUUAAAUUUUAACAAAUAUCUUCACAUUUAGACAUUACAUAUUUUUUAUUUAAUAAAAUUUUAAAAUAUUAAUAUAUCUAAAUAUAAUAUUAAAAAUGAAAAAUAAAAUAGUAAUAAUUUUUAUUUUCUUUAUAUAUUUAAAAUUAUAUAAUUAUUUUUUAUUUUAAUAACAUAUAAAUUGUAUAUUUAUAAUAUUAUUGGUUCAACUGUGAUUCAACCAUCACUCCGAUUAUUCAAUUAUGAAUUAAUAAAUUUUUUAAUUCAAUGAUAGGUUUGAUUAUAAAAAUAUUAUGUUUUUUUUUAUGAAAAGUACUCAAGAAAUAUCAUUAAUCACUAAGAUCACGUGGUUGGAUUAGGUGUAUCCGAAACAUAGGUAUUACUCUCUUCCUUAGUUAGGGCUUAGCUUUUGAAAAUGUAGAUAGGUAAAGUGGAUGGAAAGUCUAUAACUACGUAGAGAUUGAGCUUGGAGGCCAAUCUAGCAAAUGUGGAGAUUAGAAAUAGUUUACCAUCUAGAUAGUCAAGCAUAGCAAUUUACCAAACCCUUACCAACCAUCCAUACUAACCAAUUGUGGUUAAAUGUUUACAAAAAUGUACAUUAAAUCAAAGAGAAAAAAGAUUAAAAACGAACAAGAGAGAAGAAGCACAUCACCUAAUUUUGGUAAUAAAUGAAAUUAAAAUAAAUUCAUAAAUUUUUUAAAUUAAAAUGAAUUUGAACUCUAGAGAUUUGUGUAGAUAUCUUAUUAAAAAACCAAAAAGUUUGUUGCAUAUAUAAUUUCAACAAUGCAUAAAUAAUUACAACAUACGCAAUACAAUAAUAUUACACAACUAUAUUUUCAAAUAUAAUAUAAGAUCAUUAAAGUGAUAAAUUGUAGUUGUAUAAAGUAUUUAUACAAGUAAAGAAGAAAUUAUGAGAUUAAAAUGCUUGUUGGAUUCUAAGUAAAAAAGAAAUGAGAUAUAGAGAUUGUCCCAUCAGACAUAUAGAAUUUCAUAUACAUAAUUUUCCCUUCAAGAAAAUUUAGGGUCAAAUUGAAAAAAUUUCAUUCAUAGAUUUUGGUAAAACCUCUAUCUAGUCCCCGAAGUCUUGUAUACAAAAGGAAAUAACAUUGGUAUGAGGGGUUUGAAUGCUUAAUUUUAGAUUGAAAAUGCUUGAGAUAAUUUUUGAUCGACUUCACAUGUGUUUUUAAUAAACUUGGAACAUUCAAACUUGUAUUUGAAGAAUCUUCAAUUUGAUCUUAAAUAAUGUUGAAACCUUCAAAAUUUGAAUAGAAGAAUCUUUAAGCAUUUGAAUUUUGGUUUAAAGAAUUUUGAAAUUUGAGACUGAAGAAUCUUCAAAUUUGGGCCUGAAGAUCAAAGGCUAAGCUUGAAGAGUUCUUGAAGCUUGAGUGGUAUGUCCGAUUUUGUUUUGUAUUUUAUAAAAACUUUUAGGCUAUGUUUGGUUCCCAGAAAAUUUGAGGGAAAAUGCGAGGGAAAGAAAAUACAAAGGAAAAGUAGAAGGAAAGAAAAAGUGAAGGAAAAUAAAAAAAUAGAUUAAAAGUUGAUAAAUUAUUUUUUUUGUUACUUCAAACUCAUUUUAUUUAUUUUAACUCAUCAAUAUAAAGAUUAAAUAAUUUAAAAAUAUAAAAGUUUUUAAUUAGUUUUAAUUAUAUUUAAUUUUCUUUGAUAUUUUUUAUAAGACAACCAAACAUGAGAAAAUCAUUUUCCUUAGCAUUUUUUUUCUUUCCUUUGUACUUUCCGGGAACCAAACAUAGCCUUAAGUAUACUAUAUUUAUAGGUUUGAAGAGACAUUGAGAUUUUGUAUACAUGUUUGGAGUUUUAAACCUUGAAAUAUUACUCUUUUAUGAAAUUAACAUUUAUAAAAUUUGGAAGAACAUAAUUAGAUAAUAUUCUAAGUUAUUUUUAAUGAAAAUUGAUAAUUACCUUUUAAUUAUCAAAUUCACUAUUUCUAUUUAUUUUUGUAAUAUAUAUUAAUUACUAAAAUCAUUUAUUUCCUUUAUUUAGUUUGAAAGCAAUUAUAUAUCUUUUGUUUGUGUAGAGCUCAUGUGACACGACAAAUUUUAUUUUGUAACUUGCUCUGGAUGAAUGGCCAUUAUAAACUUCAUUUUAUCCUCAUCUGAUUUUGACGUGGGAAUAGGAGAGAUGAGGAUUUGACAUUUGGACCUAAGCCUCAGAGGGUUUUAACUCCACUCAACUACUUUAUGCCUUGUAUUUAAUAUUGCAAACCAAAAUAAUAACAGACAUGAUCCUUUUCAAAAUUUUUAUAUUAAUAGAAGUGUAAAUAAUAUAAGUAAAAAUAAUGUAAUAUUUUUUAAAAUGAUAAAAUAAUAGGUUACAUAAAUUUUAAUAUAUAGGUAAAAUUAAUUAAAUUUUAACAAAUACCUUCACACUUAAACAUUACAUAUCUUUUAUUUAAUAAAAUGUUAAAAUAUUAAUAUAUUUAAAAUUGUAUAAUUAUUUUUAUUUUAAUACUAUAUAAAUUAUAUAUUUAUGAUAUUACUGGUUCAACUAUAAUUCAAUCACUGGUCCAACCAUUGAACCAUGAAUUAGUAAAUUUUUUUAUUCAAUGAUAGGUUUGAUUCUAAAAACAUUAUGGCUAUGUUUGGUCCCAGAAAUUUUUUUUUGAUGGAUAAUGACAAAGAUAUUACCAAUUUGAUAUCACCAAUUGAUAACACAAUUAAAAAAUAAUAUGAAUUUUAACAUAUUUGAAUUCAUUGUAAUCAUAUCCAUGACCUAAUUUUACACAUCCUUAAAUCAUGGUUGAUUUAUGAAACAAAUCUAUACCAUCAAUAGAAAAUAAAUAAAUAAAAUAAUACAAAAAAAAUAUAUAGAUAGUCAAGCAUAGCAAUUUACCAAACCCUUAGCCACCAUCCAUACUAACCUGUUGUUGUUAAAUGUUUACAAAAAUAUACAUUAAAUCAAAGAGUAAAAAGAUUAAAAACGAACAAGAGAGAAGAAAUACAUCACCUAAUUUUUGUAAUAAAUGAAAUUAUAAUAAAUUCAUAAUUUUUUUAAAUUAAAAUAGGAAUUCAAAUACAUGUAACUAUUGUUUUUGUCUUGUAAAUCAUCCAAUUUUUCAAUGAAUUUAAACUCCACAGAUUUGUGUAGAUAUCUUAUUAAAAAAAGCAAAAAGUUUUCACUAAAAUCAUAAAAUUUAGAUUAGAAAUGAUUUACUAUAUUAGUUCAAAAUUCACCUCCACAAAAAUUGAAAUAAAUUAAUUAUCUUCAAUUCAAAUAAAAUUUCUCCAAUUAAAUUUCCAAAUAUGUGCCUUAAUACCUAUAAUGGAAUUAGUAAUUUUAAUUAAAAUAAAAAUAAAAAUAAGGAUUUGAUCUUUUUCUUACCAUUUGAUGAAAAUUAUAAAAUAUAUUAAAAUGACAAGUGAUCAGACAUUUGAAAUUUGCAUCAUUUCUACCAUUGCAAACACCACCAACCCCAUAUUUCCCAUUUUUCUACCUACUGCCAAUUCACUCAUCUCUCUGGGAAGAUUUUUGAGGUUAUCGUCAUGCUUGAGAUAAUCCAGAAAGUUGAGCGGCAUCACUCUCUGAAAGGUGCCUUACAGCAUGGGUAAUGUAUGGGAUACAUCUGAUAACUUGCCAUAUCCAUAAACCACUAUAUUAAACCAUGGUUCAUAUCCCCAACGUUACACGAGAAUCUGUACUCAUCCCAAGCAGCUUGGAGAUCAUAAAAUUAGGUUUUGAGGGCCUCCCGAGACAUGCACAGCUUCACCCUUUGUGCAUUCCUUUGAUUUGGAAAAUUUCUUCUUUAGAAUUCCCCAUUAUCAUGCCCUGAACCAAGACAUAUCAUGAUUGGAUGGGCCCCUUCACCAAUUUCACAAUAUCCAAUAGCAUAUCAUUUACUUCCCUUUUGUCAAUGGGAAUUACCAUUUUGCAUGGGAAGCACCAACGGAGAUGGAGGUUUUCAAAUUGGAUCACUAGCAAAGAAACCCACCGCAACUAUCUGAAUAAUUGAGCACAACAUCGGCUUUAGAGAACUCCUCCUGAAGGCGAAAUCGUCAUCUUGGCUAAACGUAGUCAUAGUUGGGUUGUGAGAAAUGGAGAUGAAUCAUAGAAGGCUUUCAGUUUCAUAGCAACGAAAAGGUAAAUGUACUCUAGAGAAGUUUUGACCUUGGGAGAAGCGCUUUUGAAUCCAAGUCAAGGUCUGUUCUGGAUCCCUUUUCGACUCUCUCUAUUAAAGGAAGAUAAUCUGCCUAGGAUUUGGAUGCAAGCUUGCAAGGCCAUGUUUAGGAGACUUAUGCAAAAUAUUUAUCCAUAGCUCCCCGCCUGAAACAUCUACAUAAAGCGUCUUCCAAGUGUGAACCAUUGUCUUGGGUCCUUGAGAUGAACAAAAACUGAGACAUAUCGUGAGUUAGAUGCAUUGCCUGAAAAUGCCGAGCAGUAGUAUGGCCUUCUUUCUGAUCAACUGUUUUGUCAAAUUCUAGAGCUCUCAUUCCAAAUCCAUCAGUUUUCUCAAAUGAUUGGCUAGUGGAGAUCCAUGGAUAUAACAUAUGAAAUGUGCACAAUAAAAGUAAUCAAACGGUUGGUUGGUUUGGCUGAAUCCCACAAUCGCAAAGACUAAUCAUAUGAAACUGUUACCAGCUGAGUUGAAUUUGGCCUAAAAAGGAUAUCCGUUACUACAAACUAGCGUUCUUUCAUGGUGCUCUCUCUUUGCAGGCUAUCCAUGUUCCAAAGAAAAACUCUCUUGUCAUGUCUGGCACUAGGCACUGAUUAGAGUGUGGGACGUUCAUUCUCCAUUAUCACCAAACACAUGCAGGAUAUAUAUAUAUCAAUUCAUUCAAAAUAUGCCUUUAUUUUAUGGAACAUAACCGAAUCCAUUUUGUUUGUGUUGAAGAGGUAUAGAUCUUCUAAGGCUGUGGAGGGCACCACCUUUUCUCAGAAUUCUCUCUGACGAUGGGAAGCCGAAGAGAACGGGUUUUGUUUUUAUUUUGAAAACGUUGUUAUCAUUAAAGAACAAACACUAUUCUUUGGAUUUAUACCCUCUUGCCUUAGGGACCAUACUGUUUGGCUAUUGGGCCUCACGAGUCUUAGGCCCAUCAUCUAAGGCCCAUGAUGGCACUGGGCUCUACACAUAAGGUGACCCAUACUCUGGAACGAAUAGAAAUCAUAUGUAUAUAUAUGGAUAGCUAAAUCCUGAACAAUGGUUAAUAUGAUGUCGGUCCACAUUUAUUCUAUCAAUCUCCCACUUGGACCACAUAUAUUACAAAACAAUGUUCAUGAUAGUACUUUAUUGAGCUCAUCUUUGCUAUCCUAUCUUAAUAUCCUUAAACAAUCCGGUCUACUAGUUAUGCUAACAUAGGAUCAAAGUGGCCUUCAUUAAUCAUAAUUAUAACUAGACCCAUCAAUGAUCACAACAUUAACAAAAUUAGCAACAUAGAUCAAGUAUGGAUGUGUAGCAUGGAAAUUACAUAAAAUGUGAUCUUUAUUAUGUCUAUUUCCAAUUGGUCCUACUUUAUGACUAAAAAAUAGUCAAAUUCCACUUUCAACACUUGAUGCUAAACUGCUUUUAAAAGUCAUCAUUUCAAUUCAGAGAAUUCAAAUACAAUAGUCUUUAAAAUCAAGGUUUGUACAGAUAACACAAUAUAACAUCAUAUCAAGAAAACAAACACAAAAUCUAAAUACAAACUCCCACUAUACUGGAACAUCAUCAAUAUGUACAACACCCAUAUGUGUGACAUGAUCAUGAUAUACUUUGGGUGGCAAACCCUUAGUGAGCGGAUCCGCAAUCAUGAAGUUUGUGCUUGUAUGUUCAAUCGAUACUUGAAGACUCUAAACUCUUUCUUUCACAACCAAGAACUUGAUGUUAAUGUGUUUGGACUUUGACGAACUUCGGUUGUUCUUAGAAUUACAAUUCUGUGGCUUUAUUAUCACAAUUUAUUCUUAAUGGUUUCUCAAUCUCAUCAACGAUUCGCAACUGAGUGACAAAAUUCCGUAGCCAUAUCCCAUGGUUUGAUGCUUUGUAGUAGGCUAUGAAUUCUGCCUCCAUGGUGAAAGAAGCAAUAAGUAUUUGUUUAACACUUUUCCAUGAAACUGUUCAUCCAACCAACAUGAAGAUGUAGCUUGAAGUGGAUCUCUUGCUGUCAAGACAUCCCACGAAAUCGGAGUCCGAAUAUCCCAUGAUCUCUAAAUGACUGGAUCUACGGUAUGUGAGCAUAUAAUCUUUAGUUCUUUGUAAAUACUGCAUAACCUAUUUUGCCUUUUUCCAGUGAUCCAUACCUGGGUUACUCAAAUAUUUGCCUAACAUUCCAAUAAUGUACGUAAUAUCUGGAUGCGUACAAACUUGUGCAUACAUGAGACUUCCUAUUGUUGAGGCAUAGGGAAACCUCUUCAUAUCCUUCUUUUUAAGUUCAUUUUUCGGACAUUGGUGCAAACUAAAUUUAUCGCCUUUUGCUACAGGCAUGUCUCCUGGUGUACAAUUGCUCAUGCCAAAUCUACUUAACACCUUAUCGAUGUAGGCCUUUUGUGAUAACCCAAGUAUACCUCUUGAACGAUCCUUAUAGAUCUGUAUACCCAGCAAAAAAGAUGCAUUACCUAGAUCCUUCAUGUCAAAUUUACUAGACAAAAAUCGCUUUGUUUCAUGCAAAAGUCCCACAUCACUACUUGCAAGUAGAAUAUCAUCAACAUAUAGCACCAAGAUAAUGAAUUUGCUCUCACUAAACUUGAGAUAUAUGCAUUGAUCAAUGGUGUUUUCCUUAAAACCAAAUGAAGUAAUCACCUGAUCAAACUUUUGGUACCAUUGUCAAGAUGCUUGCUUUAAACCAUAUAUGGACCUUUUUAAUCUGCAUACAAGUUGCUUUGAAUCAUUAGACUCAAAGUUCUCCGGUUGCAUCAUGAAUAUUGUUUCAUCAAUGUUACUAUUAAGAAACGUAGUUUUAACGUCCAUUUGAUGCAGCUCUAAAUCAUAAUGAGCCACAAGUGCCAUGAUGAUUCUAAAGGAGUCAUUUGACGAAACCGGUGAAAAGGUCUCCUUAUAAUCAAUGCCUUCCUUUUGAGUGAAACCUUUUGCGACUAGACGUGCCUUAUACCUAACAAUGUUGCCUUUUGAAUCCCACUUGGUCUUAAAAAUCCAUUUACAACCAAUCGGUUUUACACUUUCAGGCAACUUUACUAGGUCCCAAACACCAUUGUCUUUCAUUGAUUUCAUCUCAUCCUUUAUGACUUCUAUCCACUUUUCAGAGUCAGAACUUUGUUUGAAUUGACUAACUGAAAUUGGAUCGUCUUCCAAACCCAUGUCAAACUCUUGUUCCUGGAGAUGUACAACAUAAUCAUCUGAAAUUGUACUUCUCAUUUCUCUAGUGGAUCUCCUUAGUGGCACUUGUAUUUGAGGUUCUUGAGGCUGUUGAGUUACCUCUUCAUAAACUUGAAUCGGUUCCAUAACUUGAGCAGGAGGAAUCUCAGGUGUGUUUUGAAUCUCUGUUAUUGACUGCACAUUCUGGAUAGUGUCAUCAAACAUAAUAUGACCAUGUCCAGUUGUAAUAAUAGGAACACUAACAGAUUACUCUUCAAAUACCACAUUUCUUAACGGUUCUCUCCCAUUUAACUCAACAUCCUCAAUAAAUUUAGCUUUGCCCGUUUCAAAAAAGGAUCUAGUUGAGGGGUCAUAAAACUUGAAACCUCUCAACCUUUUAGAAUAUCCUACAAAGUAGCAGCUCACUGUUCUGGAGUCCAAUUUCUUUUCAUUUGGUUUUUAAGGCCUAGCUUUAGUUGGACAACCCCAGACAUGCAAGUGCCUAAUACUAGGUUUCUUGCUAGUUCAUAACUCAUAUGAGGUUUUGGCUACUGCUUUGCUUGAGACUCUAUUCAAAAUAUAAAUUGUUGUUUUGAUGGCUUCGCCCCAAAGUGAUUCUGGUAAGGUGGAAUGACUGAUCAUACUUCUUACCAUAUCCUUAAGAGUACGGUUUCGCCUAUCUGCUACACCAUUUUGGCUUGGAGUCCCCAGCAUAGUGUAUUGAGGAACGAUACCACACUCCAUCAAAUAUUUGGCGAACGACCCUAGACGUUGUUCAUUGGAUCCGUCAUAUCUGCCAUAAUAUUCACCUCCACGGUCAGAUCUGACGACCUUUAUUUUCUUGCUUAGUUGGUUCUCAACUUUAGCUUUGAAAUUCUUGAACACAUCUAAUGAUUGAGACUUCUCAUGAAUCAAAUAAAGAUAGCCAUAGCGCGAGUAAUCGUCAAUGAAAGUGAUAAAAUAUUGUUGUCCAUUCCAAGAAGGGGUAGGAAAUGGACCACAAAUGUCCGUAUGUAUCAAUUCAAAGACGUCACUGCACUUGUUAGCAUCAUUUUUUUCUCAUAUUUGUUUGUUUACCCUUAAUACACUCUAUACAGACUCGAAAGUCUAUGAAAUUAAGUGGAUCAAGAAUUCAUUCUGACACAAGCCUUUGAAUACGUUGAUUUGAAAUAUGACCCAAACGCCUGUGCCAUAACAUCGAUGAAUUCUCAUUUGUUAAUUUCCGUUUAAUGUCAUAAUUACUUGAAUUCAAGGUUUCAUUUCCAUUAGUGGUCUUUAUAUUUAAUUUGUAUAAUUUGUCUAUUAGACUACCUGUACCAAUAACAUUUGAAUUUAGAUAAAGACUAACCAUUCCAUUUCUAAAUGAACAAUAAUAUCCAAAUUUGUCUAGACAUAAAACAGAAAUUAAAUUCCGUCUAAACGACGAUACUACAAAAGUCUCUUCCAAAUCCAAAGUACAUCCAGAGUCUAACUGUAAUCUAAAAAGACCAAUAGUCUUGACUGCAACCUUGUUGCCAUUUCCCACAUAGAUGUAUUUUUCACCAUCAGUUGGCAUUCGACUCCUUAGGCAACCCUACAUCGUGACACUUAUGUGAGUAGUUGCACCCGUAUCUAUCCACCAAGUGUCAGUAGGCACUACGACUAAAUUAAUUUAUGAACAAACAAAGUUGAGAAGUGUACCUUUCUUUUCACGCCAAGCGGCGUAUUUGGUACAUGUCUUCUUCAUAUGACCAACCUUCUUGCAAAAGAAACAAGUCAUCUCCUUAUCUUGUUUCUUCUGCACCUUUUGCAUUGAUGUCCUAAAAAUUGCAUUUUGUUUUUCUUUAUUGUCCUUCUUUCUUUUCUUUUUGGUACCAAAUCCCUGAGAUGUGGAAGCCAAGUGAGAACUUUCUAUCUUUUCUUGUUUCAAUCUCUCAUCCUCUUGUGCACAUUGAGCAAUAAGCUCAUUCAAAGUCCAUUUUUCCUUUUGUGUUGUAACUAAUUUUGAAUGGACUGAAUUGUGUAGGCAGAGAGAUUAAGACCAAGUGCACAAGUAUGUCUUCCGAAAACUCUAACUUUAGUGCCUUUAGUCUAGUCACAAGAUUAGACAUUUCCAUAAUAUACUCCCUUAUAUUCUCUUUCCCUUUGUAUCGCAUAGAGACAAGCUUACUAAGAAUAGUGCUUGUCUCAACCUUUUCAUUUGAAGCGAAUCGGUUUGCUAUCUGGUCUAAGAAUGCCUUGGCUUGAGUUUUCUCAGGUAUUGGACUCCUUAUAGCUUUUGGAAUUGAGUACUUCGUUAUCAUUAGACUCAUGCGAUUGGAUCGCUCCCAUUUUUCCAUAGUAGACCUUUGCUCAGUAGUGCUGGCACUAGUAAGAUCUGGAGGGCGAUCCUCUCUUAAUGCAUAGUCUAAAUCCAUGCACCCGAGCACAAUUAUAACGUGCUCCUUCCAUUUCUUGAAGUUUGUGUCAUUAAGCGCAGGAAUGUUAUUAACAUUUGUAGAUAUAGAAUAUGUUAAAUUCAUAAUAAUAAAGCUCACAAUCAAUCACAUAAACAUCAUACAUACAUGAAAAAUAACAUCAUACAAGAUACUUAGCACAAAUAUUAAUAUUUUGUCUUUGGACAAUAAAUAUUAACUUGUAAUUGGUAUCCUUAUACAAAAUUAAUUCAUAAAUAUUGACAAUAAAACCAAAAACAAUAUGUUUGUCUUUAGACUAAUAUGUCGAAUGCAAGAUAAACUUUAUAUGUCACAUAUUUAUGACUACUUUAUUUAUUAUUAUAUUAAAAUAAUCUUCCUUUGGGCCGAUUAUUUUAAAUAAUAAUAAUAACAUGUUUAGAUAUUAUAAAAUAAAUAAAUUAUAUAAUAUAAGUUACUUUGGCAACUAACAUACAUAAUUCAUUUAUUUUAAAAUAUUAAACACAAACAUAACAAGAAAUAAUAAAUUCAAUUAAAAUUAUUUAUUUAUUUAUGCAUAAUAUAUAUAUAUAUAUAUAUAUAUAUAUAUAUAUAUAUUAAUUGAAGCAUAAAAAACCAUCUACAUGUGUAUAUAUAUCAAUUGAAGCAUAUAUACAAGCAUUAGUCUAAUGGUUUAAGCAAAAAAUAGGCCAUGGUAAAGGGUUUAAGCCAACCCGCCCCUUUAGUUUGGUUUUUGUUUUUUUUUUUUUUUUUUUUAAUUUCUUUUGGGCUACUGACCAUGCAUUCUCUCAUGGCCCAACGAAUAUAUAUAUAUAUUUGUUUUAAAAAAAUUUUGUCCAUUGCAGCCCAAAGCGACCAUCCCUUGUAAUGGCAUCAUCAACGGUGCCAGAGCUGUCCUCGAACGACACCGACAGUGAAACGCCGCCACCAUCACCGGAACGGUGAUUUCCCAUCGCCAAACGACGGUGUCACUACCAGAAUGACGUUGUAACGGCAUCGCUGGGAAGCAGCCUAACCUGUGGCGUGACACCAUGACAAGCAAUGCCGCUAGCAGUGAAACGUUGUCGCCAUCACCAGAAUGGUGAUUUUCCAUCGCCAAACGAUGGCGCCACCAUCGAAACAACGCUGAAACGACGUCACUGGGAAGCAACCCUACCCGCGGCACCAAAAUGGCACUUGGAUGACAUUUGGAACUCUUGCAACAACGCUCAAAUCAGCGAUUCUCACUGGCAAAUGACGCUUGAACGACGUCUGGAAAUAAUGCCUACAACGCCUAAAAAUUGUGCUCUUUUGAACGCCUGAAACAACGUUGAAAUGACGUCUACCGGCGUCUGGAAUUGCACCGCUGUCUAGAACGAUGCCAUGAUGGUGUCUCACUCACCUUAAAUGGCACCAACCACCGUGACUUGCAUCCCCAAAAAUGGCACUUGAACAGCGCCUGAAGCGUGCCUGGAACGACGCUGCAAACGAUGCUUGAAAUGGUGCAUUUUGUAUGCUUGAAAAUGGCACAGGAAUGACGCCUACACUACGUCCAUUUUGAAUGCCUGAACGGUGUCCUAACGGCGCCUGAAUGACGCCUGGAAUUGGCCCAGAUUUAUUUUAUGUUGUUUCCUUCCUCUUGGAUCUUUUGUUUGUGUUUUAAAAAAAAAGUGUUUUGGUGAAAAUGGGAAAUGCAACCAGGCUCUGAUACCAUUUUGUGGGACGUUCAUUCUCCAUUAUCAUCGAACACAUGCAGGAUAUAUUUAUAUAUAUAUAUAUAUAUCAAUUCAUUCAAAAUAUGCCUUCAUUUUAUGGAACAUACCCGAAUCCAUUUUGUUUGUGUUGAAGAGGUAUAAAUCUUCUAAGGCUAUGGGGGGUACCACAUUUUCUUAGAAUUCUCUAUGACGAUGGGAAGCCAGAGAGAACAAGUUCUAUUUUUAUUUUGAAAACGUUGUUAUCCUUAAAUAACAAACACUAUUAUUUGGAUUUAUACUCUCCUACCUUAGGGACCAUACCCUUUGGCUAUUGGGCCUUACGAGUCUUAGGCCCAUCAUCUAAGGCUCGUGAUGGCACUAGGCUCUACACAUAAGGUGGCCCAUACUCUGGAACGAAUAGAAAUCAUAUGUGUAUAUAUGGAUAGCUAAAUCUUGAACAAUGGUUAAUAUGAUGUCAGUUCACAUUUAUUAUAUCAUAGAGACUUCCCAUAUGAAGAAAAUUGACAGUAGGUAGCUUUGCCAUUCUUGUCCGUAUACAACCAACCUUAGCAAGGGUUGAACCCUUUUAUGCUUAGUUGUGCCAUACAAAUCCUUACCACCGCCUACAACAUGUAAUCGAAAUGAUUCGAUAAUAUCAUCUAGUGAACCAAUACCUCCAAAUGAGAGACCAUUGCCUUGGUAACUAGGGCUCAUGACUGAGAAUUGCGUGAACCCCUUUGCUUGGGUUGGAGCUUAACUGAUGCACAAAAUAUUCAUAGGCCUCUUCCCAUAACUGGCACCUUGUGUUUGCAACAUAAUUGAACAUGUAUUGAAGUGAGUUUUUUUGCAUCUUUUUGUAAGAAAAUUCUAAACAACAGAGACUGCUUAGUGUGCCCGGCUCCUCGGGAAAUCAAGGUUCAUUCCUGUAGGGCCAGUUUUUUCACAGUCGAACUAGAUAACAUGGAGAGUAUGUUGCAAUGCUUCAACAGGGUAUUUCUUAGGAAAAUCCACCUGAAGUUGGUACAAUUCGUUGGCGUACUGAGUUCCUGGAGCUCUAUUGACUUCAAUCACCCAUCUCUGUAGAUUAUCGAUGACUUAUGCUCGGAUCCUGUAGGAGGAUUGACCUGACAUUCCACUAGCUCUUUCUGGAAGACGAUCUUGUUUAACACCUUGUGAGAAGAGGCAAGGGAACUGGUCAUUGUUUCUUCGAGAAGAUCAGUGGCCGAGGAUGGGUUUGGACCAUAAUUGCUAUAUGGGUUUUCUUUGGGUGAACCAAUUAGUGGAGUGGGUGGCUAUAUAGCAACUGAAGGGUGGUCAUACUAAUGAGGAGCUAUUAUUUCAUGCAUGUGGAGAGGAAAUGAGUAGCUUCUUCAAGGAUAUAUGAUUAUUCAUCUCUAGCUUACGUUGAAUAUCUCCUAACAAAUUUCUGCUUUGAAGCUCCCUUAGUUUCACUACAGCUAACUUGGCCAACUUGGUUUCAUCAUGUUUCCUACAACCUCUAAGCAAAGCACGCCAGAUCACUGAAUCAGGUUCUAUUUGCAUUUUGUCCAUAAACUCCUUUGCCUAUUGACAAUAAACUGCCCCUCAAAAUUUGAUGAGAUAACAUCAAUGCUGACAUGUUGGUCAUCCCCAUAAGCAUCUUUAUAGAGAUUGAUUCUAUGUUUAGAUAUUUCUCUCUCCUCAAGUGAGUUCAACUUUUUUGUAACAUCCUUCUCCUUCUCUACUAAUAGUCUUAGUUGAACAUCCAACCUAUGUUCCCAAAGUGCCAGCAUCUCAUAUCUGAUGACAAGCCAACAACCUUGCCCUUGCUGAGACCCAAAUAAGUAUCCAGAACCAUCAGCAUCAACCCUUUCAUAGGCCUUUGUAUUUGAAGGUCGGAUUGGGAUUGCUUUGAAUGCACUGGCACUACAAUACACAAUUGUAUCUUCUCCAAUAAAAACACCACACAGAGGUGAGGGGACUGGUAUUAGCAAAGAAGUGUUGUUAUCUAUAUUGUUCUGAGCCCGAGUACCCUCAACAAAAUCCUCAUCCUCAUCUGUACUCUUCCAUUACAUCCCUAGGCUUUUCAAUGUGAUCCACAUGGCUUACAGGAAUCCAGAAAUACCAGUCUGUAUAAAUGUUGCUCUUAUGGGGCUCUCCUAGAAAACAUCCCUAUCAAGAUGAUCAACCUAGCUUAGAUGCUCAGCACCCCAAACUUACUAGAAAUAGAGGAAUUAAAAGCAAGGAUAGGAGCCAAAGUAAAAAUUUAGGGAAGAGCAAAUAGGAAAUCAAGCAAAACAUGAAUGUACAGAGCCUCAUUUCAGGUGACAUCUUUGGGCUAAUAAUAGGUGGAAUUAACAAAGUAGACAAGCAUGAUUGUUAUAAAUAUCAAGUUCAAGGAUGAAGCCGUGCAUCAGCUACUUAUAGGGGGAGUCAAGGAAACCAAGAUAAGAUCAAAGAGAGCAUGUAUGCAAAUAAACAGAUUCGAAAAAAUAGACCAAACAACUCGUGAAUAUCCUCCUACAAAAAACUACUACACGUGGCAAAAAGUGAUGAAACAAAAAGAGUCGGGUCCGCAUAUACAUAUCCUAUUCUAUCCUAUUCCUUCAAAUCCAAAGCAACCUGUAUUUUCAAUGGGAUUUGUUGUGAUGAAUUUUACUGGAUUGUAACAUGUAAAUAUGUUAAAAGAGGCUUGGGACAUUCCUAUAUAGUAACGCAUAAAGGUACUUCCAUUGUGAAGUUGUCAAAAUUGCAAAUUUAAAUUACAAAAUUUGAAAACAUAGAGAUGAAAGAUGAUGAAACCUUCUUUGAAAUUUUAUAUUGAACUCAUUAAUAUUAUUAAUUUUCAUUUCAGUGUAGGGGAAAGAAUUCUUUACUCUAAAGUGGUCACAAAAAUAUUAAAAUUCCUUGUUGAGAGAUUUAGACCUAAAGUGAUCAAUAUAGAAGAAAGUAAAAAUAUUCUAAGUGUAGGUAAACUUGUAGACUCAAAUGACUCUACCUUCUCAUAAAAAAUCCUCAAUUUUAUAAAUUAUAUAGAUUUCUUCAUUUGAUACAAAAUUUGAAUAAAGAUUUUUCAAAUGACAACACAAGGAAAGGGAAAAAAAAAAUUCUCUCCAGUUCAUUUCAUUUAAUCACUUAAAUUAUUUAAAAAUAAAAAUGUUUACUGCUAACAUUAUUUAGAUUCAUCUUUCUUUUGAUGGAGGUUAAAAUUCAUAAUUUUGAGGAAAAAGAUGAGGAUUCUCAUUUUUUUUUCCAUGUAUGAAUGGGAUUCUCAUUGUGUAUAUGUGGGUUACUAAAUGGCAAAUUUAGGGGCCAAUAUGAGGAAAAAUAUGAAGUUGAGUUUGUCACCAAGAACAAACAUGACUCCUAUAAAGGUGGCAUCCUUAAUUUCAUGUCUGGAUUAGACUUCUCAUGUAACAACUUAACAGGUGAAAUCUCUCAUGAACUUGGAAUGUUAAGUUUGAUUCAUGCAUUGAACUUGUCUCGCAAUCAACUAAAGGGCUCCAUUUCAAACAGUUUUUGCAAUCUUUCUCAAACAGAGAGCUUAGAUCUUCUUAAUAAUAAACUAAGUGGAGAAAUUCCUCCAAAAUUGGUUAGACUAACUUUUUUAGUGGUGUUCAAUGUGACUCAUAGUAGCAUCUUUGGAAGAGUUUCAGAUAUGAAUGCAUAAUUUGCAAUAUUUGAUGAAAGUAACUAUGAAGAUAAUCCUUUCCUUUGUGGACCACCAUUAAAGAGAAAAUGUAGCAUAAAUGUUAAGCCACCUUACCCACCAUUAGAGUCUUCGGAAAAAAGUGAUGCAAAAUGGUAUAAUAUCGAUCUUGUGGUUUUCUUUGCAAGUUUUACUAUAUCAUAUAUCAUGAUAUCAUUAGGAAUUUCAACCAUUCUUUACAUUAACCCUUAUUGGUGUCAAAGAUGGUUCAAUUUUAUCGAGAAAUAUAUAUACUUUUGCUAUUAUUUUGUUUCCUAUACUCUUUCCAAGUUAUUAACAUAUUUUGAAUAAUUAGAGAUUUUUGUUUUCAAUAAUAUUUACAUAAUUAACUACUAUUGGCUUCCAUGACAUGGAAAGAAAUGCGGUGAAGGCAACAACCACUUUUUUUUCUCCUCUACUAGUGCAUGAUUGAUAUGAGUUAAAACUUGCACCCUUAUCUUUGCUUAAAUUUUCUCAGCUUUUGUUUCAAUUCUUAAUUAUCAUUUCUUUUAUGUGUUGUUUAAUACAAUAUCCUAAACACAUUGCUUUGAAGGUUACUUAUUUAUUAAGCAUGAUAUUUAUUUUUCAUAAAGACAAAUUCAAGUUUUUUAGGAAUUUUUAGAAUUAUUAUAAUUUGGAGUUCACAUUAGAGGAAAAAAGGAAAGAAAAGAAUAGAUGAUUAAAAAAACAAUUUUAGUAAGUAUAAUUUGUCAUCUUCGGUAUAACAAAUGGGAAUUCCAAAAUAAUAUUUCAAUUUGUUAGUCUAUUCCUUAUAGUAUUAAUUGAUAUAUCAAAUAGGAAGUCACGUUUUGAUUUUUUAUUAGCUUCAAUUGCAUGUCACAUAUAUUUUAAAAUCAAGCAUACCUCAGCCGGGAAGUUCUUGUAACAUGCAUGAACAUGAUAUGAUGAAUUGAAUAAUUUUCUUAAUUGUGUGAGACACAAACCCUCUUUGUUUAAUAAUAAUAAUAAUAUACUACACAUUAUUAAAUCAUAUAUGUAUAUUUAUAGUCGUAUAAUAUAUUCAAAAUAUUAAACACAUUACCCUCUUAAAUUUUUAUGAAUGGUGUUUACUUUACAUAACGACAGAUUCAAAUUUUUUUAGAAUUUUUUAAUGUUAAAAUAAUUUGGAGCUUAAUAGGGAAAAAAAAGAAUAAAUAAUUAGAAAAGCAAUUCAAAAAAAAUAAAAUUUAUCCUCUUAAAUUGGUUUUGUGUAAUACUAUAGAAGCCAUUUCUUGAGUUUGAUAUGGUAGAAUUCGGAUUCAUAUUUAUUUUAAAAUAAAGAAUUUCAAGGGUUGGUAGCAUCAAUAGAAUCUUAACAAAUUUGCAAAAAAGUAUUUGGGUAGAUCACAUUUAAAUAUAGCUAACAGAAUAAAAAAUUAAUAUUAUUAGGAAGACAUGAUCAAUUAAAUCUUUUUUCUUAUCUAUGACACCGAUUUUAUAUUUUUACAUAGUCAAUAUAAUUUAUUACAACUUAUAUGUCAUUAAAUUAUACAUGCUUAUAUUAAAUAUAAUAUAAGAUCAUUAAUGGAAUAAUUAUGCAAGUAAUAUAAAUUGUAUAUAAUAUAAAAAAUUUAAACUCCGUCAAACUAAUGGAAUCUAUUAUAAUAAGUAGACUAGACACCAUAUUGGCCCGAGUUGGAGGCCUGGGCCAGAUUUUAAAGGCUGGGCUUUGAGUUGCCCGUGGGCCUGAGCCAAGGCCUUCUCUUGGUAUCAUCAUUUUGAAGAAAUAAAUUGCUGAUACAGAGAAAAAAACUAUACUAAAUAGAAAAAUAAAUAAAAGCAUUGACUAAAAUGAAGGUCAAGGUCCUUGAAAAAUAAUCUUUAAAUUGUUGCAUAUAUAAUUUCAAUAAUGCAUAAAUAAUUGCAAUAUAUAUGAUAUGAUAAAGAAUUUGGAAUUAAAAGAAGAUUGAUCUAUUUUAAAUGUGGUUGGAAUAUUUUUAAAUUUGUGAUGGGAAGUUAGACAGCCAAUUAGGGAUCCAUAUUAUUUAUUUUCAAUUAUAUGAAUUUAUUUACUUUUAUUAAUAUUCUGAAUGCAACAAUAUAAAAUAUGUCAAUUUUCUAAAAUUAAAAAAGUAAUUGCAAAAGAAAAUUUUUAAUUAUUUUUCUGAAAUUGAGUUUAUCAUAACAUUUUUCUUUACAUAAAUUUCUUUUUUAUGUUUAUUUUUUUAAAAAUGAGAUAUGAAAAAAAAAGAUCAAUAUUAGUAAAAGUAAAACCCAAUAUAUAUAAAAAAAAUGAAUAAAUGUUUAUGAAAUAAGAUUUAAAAGUGAGAAGGUAAUAAAUUUUUUCUCUUUUAAUUCCUAUUCAAUACAUUACAAAAAAUAUUUUUGGUUUUUAUGCUAAAAUUUAUUGUUUAUUAAAAAAUUCUAGUAUAUCUAGCUAUCAUAGAAGAGCUCCAAAAUUUUAUUGUUUAAGAGAAUGUGUUGCCACUUUAAAAGAUUUAUAUGCAUACCUUUGGAUAUGUUUAGUUCCCGGUAAAUUUGAAGGAAAAUGUGAAGGAAGAAAAAUAGAGAAGAAAAGUAUAACAAAAUAAAAAGUGAAGGAAAAUGAAAAAUAGAUUUAAAAUUAAUAAAUUAUUUUCAUUGGUUUUUUCAAAUUUAUUUUACUUAUUUUAUUCUAUUAAAUAAAGAUUAACUAAUUUUAAUUAUAUUUGGUUUGAUUUUUAUUAUUUUUCAAAGCAAAACCAAAUAUGAAAAAAAAAACAUUUUUUUUGGUUAUUUUUUUCUUUCCUUAUUACUCUUCGGGACUCAAACAUAGCUUUUAGAUUUGGGGCAUGGAAAAAUAAGAGUAUUGAAUAAGGGUUCUAUAUAUGCCCAUGCCCAUGCCCAUGAUACCAUUGAAAAAAAUGGAGAGAGGGUGAAACCUUUACUAGAUGAUAAAUUAUUCUCUUCAAUGGAAAUCAAAUAUAAUUAUUUUUAUCUUGUAUUAAUUGAAUGUUAUACUCCAUAAACUCAAAAUUAAAAUAAAUAAAAAAUUUAAAAACUAGGACAAUCCCAUUUUUUUUCAAUUUCUUAAAAAGAAAUUAAAUUAUAUUUAUUUAUAUCUAUUUUCAUCCCUACCCAACAAAAUAAAAAAAAUUAACAUUGUGGAACAUGUAUGAGAAAUUCUCACAAUUUUUUUUAAGAAAAAUAAAUUUCUUAUUUUAUAUAUGUUAAAAAUAAAUAUAAUCUUUUAUUUUUUAUAUAUAUAAUCGGGUAAGGUAGAGUGGGACAAAGAAAUAAUCCCCUUCGAUUCCAAUCCGAAAUUUUAAAAUAUAAAAUAAAAAUCUUAAACUCAUCCCUAAUCCAUUUAUUUUUAAUCCUAAACUUGUCUUAUAAGGAAUAAGGCAAAGUAAGUACAUGAAAACACUUUUUUUUAUCAUCAUCUCUACAAGUUCUAAUGUUUAGAUUGCAAUCCAUAUCAAAGAUUUAUAAAGAAAGAACAACGAUGAAUUUCAUAAACAUUUGAAAGCAUAUACAAAGUUUUAAAUAAUAUUGCUUGAGGUGCAAAUAUUAUUUGGCGCACACGUUGAGGGACUUCAACUGGUGUUGUCUAGGUUUUUUACACUAGUAAGUAAUCUUGAAUAUCUAGAGUAACUUGAUCAAAAUCUCUUUAAUUUUAUUUUCUUUGAUGAAUUAGAAUGCUUAUAUAACAUGAUUAAAAAUUUUAAGAAAAAAAAACUAAGAAGAAAGAAAGAAGUACCGAUCUUCCAAAUAUUGCUUCCACUUUAAUAUUUAGAAGGCUCUAAGAAAAGAAUUUUAUUCAUGAAUCACAACCCAAGUCGAAAAUAAAUUGAACCCAUUUUCUAAGUUAAAUUUUGAAUUUUUUACUAGUGAAUGCAAAUUGGGAAAAUGUAUAUAAAUAUAAUUAAACUAGAAUAGUAGGUUAGGUUUGUGUGGUCCCACGAUGACUUGGAAGUUUCAACAAUUCAAGCAGACUCCACCUAUAAACCUAAUAUACUAUUUUAGUUUAAUUAUAUUUAUAUAUGUUUUCCCAAUUUGCAUUCACUAGUAAAAAAUUCAAAGUUGAACUUGAAAAAUGGGUUCAAUUUAUUUUCGAUUUGGGUUGUGAUUCAUGAAUGAAACAAUGAUCAAUGACUUGACUUUUAAGGCCAACUUAGUUAAGUCAUUCCUAACCCCUAUAUUAAUUUGGCCUUAAAAGUCCAGUAAUUGAUAGCUAAAUCCCAACCCAAGUCAAAAAUAAAUUGAACCCAUUUUCUAAGUUCAACUUUGAAAUUUUUUUUAAUUGGAAAAAUGUAUAUAAAUACAAUUAAACUAGAAUAGUAGAUUAGGUUUGUAGGUGGAGUCUGCUUGAAUUUGUGAAACUUCCAAGUCGUCGUGGGUCUAGUGGUCCCAUAGCUCUCUAUUAAUUUCCACCAUCAAUUUUCUGCAAUAAAGUCAAGUCAUUCCUAACCCCUAUAUUAAUUUGGCCUUCAAAGUCCAGUCAUUGAUAGCUACGUUCAUGAAUCCCAACCCAAGUCAAAAAUAAAUUGAAUCCAUUUUCUAAGUUCAACUUUGAAUUUUUUUUAAUUGGAAAAAUGUAUAUAAAUACAAUUAAACUAGAAUAGUAGAUUAGGUUUGUAGGUGGAGUCUGGUUGAAUUUGUGAAACUUCCAAGUCGUCGUGGGUCUGGUGGUCUUAUAGCUCUCUAUUAAUUUCCACCAUCAAUUUUCUGCAAUAAAGUCAAGUCAUUCCUAACCCCUAUAUUAAUUUGGCCUUAAAAGUCCAGUCAUUGAUAGCUACGUUCAUGAAUCCCAACCUAAGUCAAAAAUAAAUUGAACCCAUUUUCCAAGUUCAACUUUGAAUUUUUUUUAAUUGGAAAAAUGUAUAUAAAUACAAUUAAACUAGAAUAGUAGAUUAGGUUUAUAGGUGGAGUCUGCUUGAAUUUGUGAAACUUCCAAGUCGUCGUGGGUCUAGUGGUCCCAUAGCUCUCUAUUAAUUUUCACCAUCAAUUUUCUGCAAUAAAGUCAAGCCAUUCCUAAACCAUAUAUUAAUUUGGCCUUAAAAGUCAAGUCAUUGAUAGUUACGUUCAUGAAUCACAACCCAAGUCUAAAAUAAAUUGAACCCAUUUUCCAAGUUCAACUUUGAUUUUUUUUACUAGUGAAUGCAAAUUGGGAAAACGUAUAUAAAUAUAAUUAUACUAGAAUAGUAUAUUAGGUUUGUAGGUGGAGUAAGCUUGAAUUGUUGAAACUUCCAAGUCAUCAUGGGUCUAAGGGUCCCAUAGCUCUCUAUUAAUUUCCAUCAUCAAUUUUUAUGAAUUCAGAUUUAAAAGUGAGAAGGGAAUAAAUUUUUUCUUUUUCAAUUCAUUACAAAAAAUAUUUUUGGUUUUUAUGCUAAAAUUUAUUGUUUAUUCAAAAAAUUAAAGUAUAAAAAUAUAAAAUAUAUAUCUUGCUAUUAUAGAAGAGCUCCAAAAUUUUCGUGUUUAAGAGAAUAUGUGUUGCCACUUUAGAAGAUUUAUAUACAAAAAGGAUUGAUGUUUCUCCUUUGACUAUGUUUGGUUCCCAAAAAUUUGAGGGAAAGAAAAUAAAAAAAAGGUAGUAAAAAAGAAAAAAUGAAGGAAAAUAAAAAAUAGUUUUAAAGUUAAUAAAUUAUUUUUAUAUGCUAUUUCAAACUUAUUUUACUUAUUUUUUUUCAUUAUAUAAAGAUUAAAUAAUUUUAAAAUGCAUAACUAAUUUUAAUUAUAUUUAAUUUUUCUUUUAUAUUUUUUAGACGGGAUCCAACACAUGUAAAAAUCCUUUUUUUUAGCAUCUUUUUUUCUUUUCUUAUUACUUUCCAAUAACCAAAUAUAACCUUUAGAUUUAGCCUUUAGACUUGGAGUAUGGAAGGAUACUGAGUAUUGAAAGAAGGUUUUGUAUAUGGCCAUGAUACCAUAGAAAAAAUGGGCGACAGAGAAAAAACCUUUAUUAAAUGAUAAAUUAUUUUUUUCAAUGGAAAUCAAAUAUAAUUAUUUUUAAAAAUAAAAAUAAAAAAUAAUAAUUUGUUGUUGCAUUAAGUAUUCUUGCAUUUGGAGAAGCAUGUACUACUUACUACAUAAAUGGAUAUUCAUGGAGUGCAUUCUCUAGAAAGCUCCAGUCUCAUGAAAAUGGAAAGAUGGACCGGCCGGUGAACCGGUUCGAGUUUGGAUUUAUGGGCUGCCUCAGCCUAACACGCAUGAUAGGUUGUUGUAGGUGAAGAACUAACUAAUUAAUUUAAAGCCUUCUUCUAUCCUCUCCUAUUCCUCUAUCACUCCAAAUGUUCCACAUGAUAAUGACAAUUCUUUUGUUAAAUGGUAAAAAAAAAAUUUAACAAUUAAUUUAAAAAAUUUUUAAAAUCUAAAUCCAAUGGAAAUUUGACUGUAAGGUGCGUAGAAGGCCCUAGUGCCCAUGUUGCUAAUUUGAUGAUAGUUAAAUUACCAUUUCGAGAGAUUCCACUCACUAGUAUUCUCAUUUAUAAAAUCAUGAACUUUGGCAUCCUAAUUAAUGUAAUUUAACUUUUUUUUGUUUACAAAUGAAAUAAGAGGCAACAUAUAAACCCAAAAGUUAAUUUUCCUACCAUCUCUAUGCACCAUUUUAGCUUUACUCCAAUAUAUUUUCUAUGAUUAAUUAUUUUCAUUCAAACAAUAAUAUCAAAAUAUUUUAAAAUUAGACAUAUCCACUAAUAUAUCUUCGAUAUAUUAUAUAUAUCUGUAAAAUCGAAACACCAAUAUAUCCGUGAUUAUCGAUAUUUUUAUCGUUGAGGGAUAACAACUAAUCUAGUUUUUGUACCUAUUGAUAUUCCUCAACAUUUAGAUUGAUUUGACCAUUUUUUUUUUAAUUUUAUUUUCUUUGAUGGUUAUAUGAUGAAUUAGAAUAGUCAUAUAACAUUAACAGAUUUAAGCAAAAAUGAUAAAAAAGCUCGCAUUUUUCAAAUAUUGGUUUCAACUUUGAAUAUUUUUAUUGGUAAAUGAAAAUUGUGAAAAACCUACUAAUGCUAAUACUUUUCACCACAUAAUUAAAUAUAAUAAACUAGAAUAGUGAUUCAUUGAUGUCUUAUAAAGCUACAUGCCUUCUUUGACUUGUUAGUUGAUUUUUGUAGGUGGAGUCUGUAGGGACCCCUCCCCCUGAUGACACGUGGCACGCAUUUCUAUCCGGAUUAGCUCCAUCCGGAUUUCCUCCAAGGAGACACGUGGCGCGCUUCCCCUAUCCGGACUCCCUCAGGGAGAAGCACACGACACUCGCAAACAUCACAUCCGGACGACCGCCAUAUCGCAUCCGGACGAUCGACAUAUCCUAUCCGGAUAUGUUUGUCCGGAUCGUUGACUAAAGUAAGCAAGUCUUACUACGUCAUUCCGACAGCCUGCCAUGGCCCACGUUCCACCACCUGCAAAGUGAAAAGACAGGAAUGAUGGCAAGUCACUUCCUACGAUCUCUGACAGCUGUGGCGCCUCUCACGAUCUCUGUCAGCCGCCCGUAGGGUGAUGAUGGCCCUGUCACCACCUAGAGUCAUCAUGACAAGCCAAAAUAUCUCUCUAUCAUUAAAGAGGGAGACAGAGCUUCUGGUACUAUAUAUAUGGACCUUCACACAAAGAGGAAGGUAAGCUUGCUAUACCUAGUAAAAGGCCAACUGAUUUAUCUCUUUAACCAUGGCUGACAAAACCAUCGGAGGGUGUGUCCGGACACCCUGUCCGGACGCCUUUUGCAGGAACGAUUGAACCAGGAAUCUAUAUUGGUUGAGAUCGUGCGUCCAUCCAUUUGGCAACUACGUGGAUCACCAGGGACGCGAGGCCUCAACAUUGGCGCCGUCUGUGGGAAAAUCACUGAUUCAGUCACCGACAAAGAUAGCCACACCUUCCCAAAGCCGCUCGUCCGCUAGGGAAAAGGAAGAUAAUUCUGAAUGGCGCCGAGCCAUUGAAAGAAGACAGUUGGCAAGCUCGUGACAACUGCAAGCUCUCCUCCAGGAGACAGAAUGACUAAGAGAAGAAAACGCGGUACUACGCAUCCAAGCUUCAUCGACGGGGCCUCCCCGUCGUCAGCAUUCAAAAGGCCAGGUAGCAAACUCAAGGCCUGACCCAGAGUCAAUAUACCCUGGGGCAGCAGGAGCAAUACUUGAAACAUGCAACGUUAGGCCACAUGAGCCACACACGCCCAUGCACCGAGCUCCCCAUGAGGAAAGCUCAGACUCUACUCAUUUUUCAGCAAAAAGACAACGCGACAAAAAAUCCCAAUUGUCAAACUCAAUGCGUGCGAGACUAGGCCCACAGGAGCCUGGGAGGCCAAAGCCGCCAGUAGCCAUAACCUGGGCAGUGCACCUUGACCCUAUGGUCACCCCCAUGGUGCAGAGCGUUCUCCCGCACCGUGACCCUAUGGUCACCCCUAUGGUGCAGAACGUUCACCCGCACCUAGCGGUACGACAAGCUGGGAGAAACCUCCCAAAUGAGCCACCCAUUGGCUCCAUUAGCAAAAGGCUGGACGACAUGCUCUCCACGCCUUUUUGCUCUCAUAUCAUUCAUUACGAGCCCCCAAGGGGAUUCCUCGUGCCCAAAUUCUCCACAUACGAUGGGUCCAGCGACCCCUUCGACCAUAUCAUGCAUUAUCGACAGCUCAUGACUCUCGAUAUAGGCAAUGACGCGCAGCUAUGCAAAGUAUUCCCCGCCAACCUACAAGGGCAGGCCCUCUCAUGGUUUCACCGCCUACCUCCCAACUAUGUUGAUAAUUUCAGAGACCUAUCAGAGGCCUUCGUGGGACAAUACUUAUGCUCUGCUCGACAUAAGCAGAACAUCAGCACUCUGCAAAACAUAAAAAUGCAGGAUAACGAAUCCUUAAGGGAGUUCGUGAAGUGGUUUGGUCAUGCCGUACUACAGGUAAAGGCUUACAGCAUGGAUGCUGUCCUGCAGAUCUUCAAGCGAAGUAUUUGUCCAGGCACCCCAUUUUUUGAAUCACUCGCUAAAAAGCCUCCUACGACGAUGGACGACUUGUUCCAGCGUGCGAGCAAAUACUCAAUGCUCGAAGAUGACGUGCGAGCAGCCACCCAGCAAGUCUUGGUUGCCGGACAGGCAUCUAGAAGUGGCACGGAAAGAAGUGCCAAACUUCCGGACAGGCCAAGACAGUCCCAUCAAAGGCAGGAAGGGCCAAGUCGCCCGGAAAGGCCGCCCCUCACACCCCUUUCCAUAUCCUAUGAGAAGCUUCUCCCUAUGAUCUAAGACAUGUCCGACUUCAGGUGGCCUAGACCCAUCGGAACGGACCCAUCCAAAAGGGAUCAUAGUAAAAAAUGUGCCUUCCAUAAAGAGCAUGGUCACACAACGGAGACAUGCAGGUGCCUUCAUUAUUUGGUCGAAAGGCUCAUAAGGGCGGGACAUUUAAAGCAAUACCUCCACUCAGAUACCGGAGGUAGAGAUGCUUCCCGAAAUCACAACUCUGGAGCCCCUAGGGCCCUAGCCGUCCCCAAAGCCGUUAUAAACUAUAUUAACAGAGGCCCAUCUGACGAGGAGUACGACUCCAAACGAAAGAAACAAAAGUUGUUGCGGGCAGCAUCGGUGCGCGAACGUGUCAACUCCAUCCGGCCUGGGAUAACUGGGGGGGCCCUCGCCCCAUAGAUGGGAUAAUCAUUUUCCCACCAGUAGACCCCACCCGGAUAUUGAAGCCGCACCGCGACGCCCUCAUCCUGUCCUUAAAGAUAGGAGACUUCGACGUGAGACGCAUCCUGGUUGACCCAGGUAGCUCGGCCGAUCUUGUGCAAGCAUCGGUCAUUAGCCACAUGGGGCACAAUCUCACAGGCCUCGAAAACCCUGGGCGAAUCUUGUCCGGAUUCAACGGGGCGUCAACUACUUCAUUGGGAGACAUUGUACUGUCGGUCCAAGCUGGCCCAGUCACUCUCAACGUACAAUUUUCGGUGGUACAAGAUUUAUCACCCUUCAAUGUCAUCUUGGGGCGCACAUGGCUGCACUACAUGAAAGUCAUCCCCUCUACAUAUCAUCAAAUGGUAAGCUUCCUUACCAAGGAUGGGCAAAUUGACCUAUACGGCAGCCAGUUAGCCGCUCGCCAAUGCUACCAGAUAGCACGAGAAGCAGGGACCAACCAGGAGGAUGCAUCCCUCCCUGAGUCCAGCCAUGCACGUGACCAAUAGCAAUUAUUGAGUCCGGGGGACAAAGAUCCCCCGGCAGCGGAUCCCUUGCAAGCAAUCCAAAUUUCGGAAGAAGGUACUCACCUUACGAAUAUCAGUUAGAAGAGACCCGGAACAUGCAGAACGCCCUCAGACAAAACCAUGACGUCUUCGCAUGGACACAUUCUGAUAUGAAGGGAAUUCAUCCCUCCAUUACCUCUCAUAGGCUUAACGUCUUGCCAACAGCCAGACCCAUCCGGCAGAGGGUUAGACGUUUUCACCCGGACAGACAAAAAAUUAUCCGGAAUGAGAUUGACAAGUUGCUAGAAGUCGGAUUCAUCAGAGAAGUGCAUUACCCGGACUGGUUGGCAAAUGUAGUGGUGGUACCCAAAAAAGAAGGCAAAUGGCGGGUGUGAGUCGACUAUACCAACCUCAAUAAUGCAUGCCCAAAAGACAGUUUCCCUUUGCCACGGAUGGAUCAAAUUGUGGACUCCACUGCUGGGUAAGGGAUGCUCUCCUUCUUGGACGCCUUCUCUGGAUACCACCAAAUCCCCAUGUCCCCGGCUGAUGAAGAAAAGACAGCCUUCAUAACACCACAUGGUCUCUAUUGCUACAAAGUCAUGCCAUUCAGACUCAAAAACGCUGGUGCCACUUACUAGAGACUGAUGACGAAGAUCUUCAAACCUCUGGUCGGCCGCACAAUAGAGGUAUAUAUUGACGAUAUCGUGGUUAAAAGUAAAACCCGAGAGGAACAUGUCCUCCACUUGCAAGAAGUCUUCCACCUCUUGAGGAAGUAUGGCAUGAAGUUGAAUCCCUCUAAAUGUGCCUUUGGCAUAAGUGGUGACAAAUUCUUGGGAUUUAUGGUUAGCCAAAUGGGGAUAGAGGUCAGCCCGGACCAAGUCAAGGCAGUCAUGGAAACACCACCCCCUAGGAGCAAAAAGGAAUUACAACGCCUCACAGGCAAGCUCGUCGCGCUAGGGCGUUUUAUAGCCCGCUUCACUAAUGAACUGCGACCCUUCUUCUUGGCAAUACGAAAAGAAGGAGCAAACGGAUGGACGAACAACUGUCAAAGCGCUUUUGAAAAAAUUAAACAUUGCCUCAUGCAAUCGCCCAUCCUGAGCAGUCCCCUCCUUGAAGAAAAACUGUAUAUGUAUCUGGCUGUAUCGGAGUGGGCAAUUAGUGAUGUUCUAUUCCGCUGCCCCUUACCCAAGGAGCAGAAACCUAUCUACUACGUCAGCAGAGCAUUGGCAGACGUAGAAACCAGGUAUUCAAAGAUGGAGCUAAUGGCCUUAGCUCUUCGAAGUGCUGCCCAGAAGCUCUGCCCCUACUUCCAAGCCCACCCGGUGGUCAUGCUAACUGACCAGCCCCUUCGCAACAUUCUGCACAAGCCAGACUUAACCGGAAGAAUGCUUCAAUGGGCCAUAGAGUUAAGCGAAUAUGGAAUCGAGUUCCAACCCAGGCUGUCCAUGAAAGGCCAAGUUAUGGCUGACUUCGUGUUGGAAUACUCCCGAAGGCCUAUCCAGCGCAAGGAACCAAGUGAAAAAGAGUGGUGGACUUUGCGGGUCGAUGGAGCCUCACGAUCAUCAGGAUCCGGAGUAGGGCUCCUGCUGCAAUCACCAACAGGAGAACAUCUGGAGCAAGCCAUCUGGAUGGGGUUCCCCGCCUCUAACAAUGAAGCGGAAUAUGAGGCCAUCCUAUCCGGAUUGGACCUCGCCCUGGCUCAUCCGUCUCCAAGCUCCGGGUCUAUAGUGACUCCCAACUCAUGGUAAGACACGUUAAGAAGGAAUACGAAGCUAAGGAUGCGCGCAUGACGUGAUAUCUGACUAAAGUAAGGGACACCUUACAACGGUUCACCGAAUGGACGAUCGAAAAAAUCAAACGAUCUAAAAAUGGACGUGCCGACGCCUUAGCAGGCAUAGUUGCCUCCCUCCCCAUCAAAGAAGCCAUAUUGUUGCCUAUACAUGUGUAAGUCAACCAUUCCGUCGCGGAAACCUCCACUUGCAAUACCAUUGAGGCAAAUCAAGCAGACGACCAAGAGUGGACGGAAGACAUUAUAAGGUACCUCUAGACAGGCACUCUGCCUGAAGAGCCCAAGCAGGUACACAAGCUCCGGGUGCAAGCCGCCCGUUUCACCCUAAUUGGGGGGUACUUGUACAAGCGAUCCUUCACAGGUUCCUAUCUUCGGUGCCUAAACCACUCAGAGGCCCUGUAUGUAUUAGCUGAAUUGCACGAGGGAGUAUGUGGAAUUAUUCUGGAGGUCGAUUUCUGGCACACAGGGCCCAUUCGCAAGGAUAUUACUGGCCCACGAUGAAGAAGGAUGCGGCAGCCUAUGUCAAAAAAUGUGACAAAUGCCAAAGGCAUGCCCCCAUACCACAUGUGCCGUCGGAGACAUUGAAGCCAAUAUCAGGCCCCUGGCCCUUCACGCAGUGGGGCAUGGACAUAGUAGGACCCCUACCACCCCCACCCGCUCAAAAGAAAUUCCUGCUCGUCGCCACGAAUUACUUCAGUAAAUGGGUGGAAGCUGAGGCAUACGCUAGCAUCAAAGACAAAGAUGUCACCAAGUUCAUGUGGAAGAACAUCAUCUGCCGCUUCGGAAUCCCCCAAACCAUUAUAGCCGACAACGGUCCAUAGUUUGAUAGCAUCGCUUUCCAGAAUUUCUGUUCGAAACUAAACAUCCGGAAUUCAUACUCCACACCGCGUUAUCCUCAAAGUAAUGGGCAAGCAGAGGCCACAAACAAGACUCUAAUCACUACCUUAAAGAAAAGGCUCGAGCAAGCCAAAGGAAAGUGGGUGGAAGAGCUACCCGGCGUCUUGUGGGCUUAUCGAACCAUACCCAGAUGUCCGACAGGAAACACUCCCUUCGCCCUCGCAUACGGUAUGGACGCAAUCAUUUCUAUUGAAAUAGGGCUACCCACUAUCCCGGACCGAGGCAGGAAAGCAGGAUGAUGCAAAUGUGGAGUUAAGAAGAAACUUGGACUGGGCAAACGAAGUAAGGGAAACUGCAUCCAUUCGGAUGGCAGAUUAUCAACAAAGGGCAUCCGCUCACUACAAUCGCAAAGCAAGGCCCAGAAGCUUUAAAAAUGAUACGCUGGUCCUUAGAAAGGUUUUCGAAAAUACUGCUGAGAUAGGAGCGGGAAAAUUUCAAGCCAAUUGGGAAAACCCCUAUAUAGUAUCUAAGACAAGUGAAAGUGGAGCCUAUCAUCUGCAGAAGCUAGAUGGAACCCCAUUGCUCCGACCAUGGAAUGUAUCUAAUCUAAAGUAGUAUUACCAAUGAAAGAAAAAUAGAGGUACAAAUAUGAAUAAGUAUGUUUUAUUAAUACUUGUGAAAAAUUGUAUACAAAAGUUCUCCGGACUACAAAAUACAGAGAGAAGAUAGCAGUAAAAAUUACAAAAAGAAAAGCUCUCAUUGGGAAGGCUUGCCACGCAGCUUCUCCUCCUCACCCGGGGGAAUCGAAGGGACGUCCCGUUUGAUACCAAGUUUCUUCAUACAGCAACGGUAGCCGAAGAAGUACAUUUCGUCUACCUACUUCUGGUAGUCUGCUUCAAGUUCCUCCCUUUCCGCAGCAAACUCAGCCUCCAACUCUUCUUUUUGCGCUAAUAAACGCAACUGCAAAUCCUCUCUCUGCUUUUUCUCAAUUGACACCUCUGUUUGGAGUUGCCUCACUUCUCCCGCAGUUGGGCCAUUUCGUCCUCCGCCUCAUGUAGACGGGCGUCUGUAGAUUCCUCCCGACUCUUUGCCUCAGCUAGCUCUACCCGGAGAGCCUCGUUGUCAUCUCGAGCAGCGGAUAAACUGGCUUCGGCCUGCUCUAAUCUCAAGCGCAGUUCCUCUUCACUGUUUAUGCGUUGAGAGACGAAGGCCUUCAUAUAAUCAGCAGUUCGUAGUAGGUCAGAAAAAAGAUCACGUUGUUGAGCCAUGCCGCGGAUACCGCUCACCAGCUGCAGAAAAACCCACAAACAAGAAGUGCAAAAAUUACAACCCAUGUGACAAACACAUCAGAAUGGCAAGAAAAAUCAAGAAGUAAACUAUACCAUUUCCGCUGCUUCAAACAUUUUUGCUGAAGGCACAGCAACAUCUGAGCUGGAUGGAAUCCGUUUCAGCAUCUCUCCCAACUGCGCAUAGCUGAAAGGACUAGCGGAGAUGCAAGCUGCAUCAUCAACGGGACUUCCUCCUGACGAGGCAUUAGGGAGUGACUCCUUUCCCGAGUCCGGGGCCUCAUCAUUCUCGACCGGCUGGGUCUCUCCGAGUGAACCCCCAUCUGGGACCAGCACCGGGGCGGUUGGAUUCUCUUCUGCCAUCUCUGUCUCACUCCCCUCCGGAUGAUCCUCCUGGACGGACGAGCAGCUGACUUCGAUGGUUUCCAAAAAACGAUCUUGAAGCCGCCUGAUGAGGCUAGACUUUAAGUCACGGGCCGGACGAGACCUCCUUGCAGUUGGCCCCUUCACCGGUAUAAAGGCAAGGGAGCUUGGCUCGCAAGGAGGCACACCCUGACUUUCUGCCCUCGUUUCUUCCGUUGGGGGUGCCGUAGGAGGCAAUGCUUCAGUACAAGAGGCCUCGGCUGCAUCCGCGUCCGAAUGGGGAGAGCCGAGCUGAUUUACUGAAGUCGCUUCCUCAGCCAGAAGAGCCAGCCGUCCAGCCGCUGGCACUGAAGGCCCCGAAUGGUUUAGACCCGCGAGACGUCCGGAGCCUCUUGAAACAGAAGGCAAGACGGGGGAAGGGGGGAGAGGGGGGGGGGGGGGGGUGGUCUGGCUCUCUUAUUAUUAUUUCCUUUACGAAAGUUGGAGGUGGUAUUACCACUUCCUUUGGUGGAGUUGGAAGUUUUAUUUAUUUCCCCUUAUUGAGAGCCUUCUUCUUCUUUUUCUUCGCCGGGGCGCCAGCAGGAAGAGAGGGCGCGAAGCGUUUUAUAUCGGGGGCCCUCCGCAAAGUUCCCUCUUGCCUCAUUCCCUCCCGUUCGUCGAGACGUGCUCGGCGUGCCUGGGCAUCUGCCUUGCGCACCUCCUUGUAGAAAGGAAGGUCUUUUAGAACAAAAUGCUCCCCAGGCAUUACCUUCUUUGGCAACUUCCUGGGGAGAAUAUUGAUGACAUACGCCUGGGGCUCUUGGACAACGGCUAGCAAGUUUCGCGUAGUAAGCAGCGUCUCAUGAUGCCUCUCAGCGGCAGUAAUCUCAAAUAACUUGUUCAGUCGAACGAAAGACGUUUUUUCUACCCACUCGACUACGCGACCCCUCUUGUCCGGACCUGCAUUAUCAGCAACCAAAGAUAUUAAGCCAUCUGAUAACCCCAAAGCAAGAAAAGCAACAAGACGAAUGCCGAACAAACCCCGCAAGCUGUCUUACCCGGAAGCACCAACGAAAGGUUUGGGGAGAAUGGCCUCUCCGGAUGCUCCAGUAGCCCAGCCCAGAUACCCCGGACCAACACAUGUCCCUUGGCUCCUCCCUUCGUCGAAUCCGAAAGCUUAGUCACUAGUUGGAGAGAAGGCAGGUGGGAAACCAUGCUAAAAAUGUCAUUUUUCUCCUUCUUAAGGGAGUAGAUGAAAAGAACCUCCAGCAGCGAGAGGUCCAGGUUGAACAACAUGCUCAGAAUGCUGCAUCCCAUCAGCACCCGGACCAUGUUGGGAUGGAUGUAGGCCGGGGGGAUCUGGGUGAAGUGGAGAAAUUCUUUGAAAAGUGAUGGGAGAGGGAACCGGAGCCCAACAUUGAGUUGCUUCUUGGUAAAGCAGAUAGUGUUCUCCUCAGUUUUCUCAGUCGACAUGGCCUCUCCGUCCAUAAGUUCAACGGACACGCCAUUUGGGAUGCAGAAGCGUUCGCGAAACUCCCUCACAUUCAACUUAUCCACGGAUUUCUCAGCAUGAGCAUCUCCGGGUGAGCUGGAUGAAGUAGCUUCCUUGUUCGCAGACAUUUUGUAGGCUGGGGCUGAAAUGGAAUCUGCAUGGAGGAAUGCCAACAGUCAAACACAGCAAUCCGACCCCACAACCUUAACUCUACCCCAAAGAAGAAUCGGUGACCCACAAAAGGCACAAGGGUGCAACAGAAACCCUAAACACACCCAAAACACGAUCAAAACCCCCCGAAAAAAGCCCUAGAAACCAAUACCGAUUCCUAGUCGCAAAGCAACUUGCCCAGCAAGCCAGAAACAACCAACAAAACAAACACAACAAGGAGAAAAAAAAAAUAGAAAACGUACCGAGUGUAAAACUGGAAAAAUGGGAUGAAAUCCGCAGUGCAGUCACCGUCACGAUACGAGUAUUACCGGCAGAAAACCCUAGAGCUUCACUAGAAAGUGAAAAUACGCGGAAGGUAGAAGAGAAAGCACUACCAGAAAAAGCGCAGAAGGAAAAAUGCAAGAGAAAGGCACAGUUUGCUAUUUAUAGAGAGACAGCUCCUCGGUAUCCCAAAUGCUUAGCCGCACCAUCAUUGAAAGGACACGCUGCCUGGGAAAUCCCAGAAUCGGCGGCUCAUCAUAAAUGAUCUUCUUCCUUUUUCGCCCCCGCUCGCCACGUGGCCCAAUAAAGCGAAAAAAGUCAACCUCAGUUUCAAAAAACAAUCAUUUUUUAACCCACCCAUUUUGCCCUGGCAAAAUGGGCAGGUUAAAAGGGGGGCAUUGUAGGGACCUCUCCCCCUGAUGACAUGUGACACACAUUUCUAUCCGAAUUAGCUCCAUCCGGAUUUCCCCCAAGGAGACACGUGGCGCGCUUCCCCUAUCCGGACUCCCUCAGGGAGAAGCACACGACACUUGCAAACCUCACAUCCGGACGACCGCCAUAUCGCAUCCGGACGACCGACAUAUCCUAUCCGAAUAUGUUUGUCCAGAUCGUUGACUAAAGUAAGCAAGUCUUACUACGUCAUUCCGACAGCCUGCCACGGCUCACGUUCCGCCACCUGCAGAGUGAAAAGACAGGAAUGAUGGCAAGUCACUUCCUACGAUCUCUGACAGUUGCGACGCCUCCCACGAUCUCUGUCAGCCGCUCGUAUGGUGAUGAUGGCCCUGUCACCACCUAGAGUCAUCAUGACAAGCCAAAAUAUCUCCCUAUCAUUAAAGAGGGAGAUAGAGCUUCUGGUACUAUAUAUAUGGACCUUCACACAAAGAGGAAGGUAAGCUUGCUAUACCUAGUAAAAGGCCAACUGAUUUAUCUCUCUAACCAUGGUUGACAAAACCAUCGGAGGGUGUGUCCGGACGCCUUUUGCAGGAAUGACUAAACUAGGAAUCUAUAUUGGUUGAGAUUGUGCGUCCAUCUAUUUGGCAACUACGUGGAUCACCAGGGACGCGAGGCCUCAACAUAGUCCAUUUCCAUUUGAAUUGUUGAAACUUCCUAGUCCUUGUGGGUCUAGUGGUCUCUCUAAUAAUUCCCACCAUUAAUUUUUUGUGAUGAAGUGCAGUCAUUGAUAGCUACUAUAUCAAUUUGCUAUUAAAAGUCAAGUCAUUGAUAACUACUAUUCAAUCUUUUUCAAUAUGGAAAUUGGAAUCUCUAGCGCUACUCUUCUCAUCGUUCAUUUUUAGGUAAUGUGAGAAUGUGUGAACAUAAAUGUCUUCUAAUCAACCAAUUUUUUUUUGAAAAAAACAUGUACAAAAUUGCAAAACUUGCAAAAUCAAACUGACUGUAAUCAACCAUCAUAAUUUUGAUGGUUUUGAAGAAUCAAAGGAUGAAUCCUAAAAGGGUAUUUGAUAAAAAAUAAAAAUUAAAAAAAUUAAAAGACAACUACUCCCUUAAGUAUAAUAAGUGUAUUUGGUAGCACAAAUUUCCUACCACUUAUUAUUUUUUUUCUUAAAAAAUCAUUUACUCUAUUAAAUAAACUAACCUUGGCUUAUCACUUAUAGCAAAAUAGGUUAAGUAGUUUUUAAAAUUUUAUAAUAUUAGAUUUACAUUUUUAUCCUUCAAAAUUUCAUUAAUGCUAGAUUCUUCUAUAUGCUUAACUAAUAAAUAAUUUUUAGCAUUUUUCUUUUCUUAUAAACAUAAAAAAAUAAAAAUAUUAUUAACUUAUUGGUAUAUUUUAAAAUUUUAAUUAGAUUUAAGCUUUUAUUUUUUUGGAUUACCAAUUAUACAUAUAAAUCCUUUAUUAUUAUUGUUAUUAUUGAAAGAAAGGGGUUGAAUAGGUAGUCCCUCAAUCCCCAAAUUAAAUUCUUUAUUGCGUACUUUUGGUUUAUUCCUUUACAUGAAUUCCUUGGUGAGAGUAAACAUUUCAUUAAUGGAUAAAUAAAAUUGAUUCCAUAUCACAGGGUAUAAUGUGGAAAAAUCAUCGGUCUCAUGUGUUCCUUAGUGGAUCCUUUGGAGCCCUUAUCAAAGUUUCAUGAUGAAACCAUUGACUUUUGUUUAACCCAAAUGUGCUUUCAAGACAAAUCUUGAAAGAUUUGAGAGAUGGAGGUUCAAGUCUUUUAUGAACGACCAUGUUCUCUUAGGGUUCAUGAAAUUUCACACCUUUUGAUAAAUAAAACUUAUUUAUUUAUACGUCUAAAACCUAGUAUUUAUUUAUUUAAUUAUAGAAAGUUUCUUAGUUUUAAAAACAUUUCAAAAAUCAUUUUUAGAAUCAAAUAACAAUUUUAGAGAUAAACACAAUAUUAAAAUUUAACAAAAACAAAUUUUUGAAUUAAAAACACAAUAUAAACUAAAUUACAAAAUAUAAAGUAAUUUUUAUCCUAAUUUCUUCUUGCAAAACCAAAUAGAACACCUAGAAGGGGAGUGAAUAGGUGAUUUUAAAUUUUUUCAAUAAUGAUUUAUAAGUUAUACCCAAUUCUUUUACCCUGCGAGUUGUUAGGGACUAUCAAUUCUUUCCUUUUGGCAAUUCAAACAAUAUAUCAAAUAAUAAAAAGAUAUAAAUAAUGAGACAUAAAGAUUUUUACAUGGAAAACCCCCCACACUAACCAUGGAGAUAAAAAGCCAUGGAGUCUAAGACCUAUUAAUCUAAAUUCACUAUACGAAAUCAAGUUACACAAAUUUAUUUGGUAGCUUUACCUUAAAGACUUACUCUCCGGUACUGACAACUUGAUUCACGUCCAUGACGUAGCAACCCUCGAUUACUCCAAUGUAUCACUUCAAGCUUACUAAAAGGAUGAAGGCCUUCAAACCAAGAUUCAAAAAUCAAUUCCUUGAAUGAGAGAUUAGGAAUGGUGUGCCACUUUAGGCUUUCUCUCUAAGAUCUCUAAAAUGAUCUCCUCAAUGAAAACCUCUUAAACAAAAUGAGAUAUUUCUCCACAAUCUCUAACCCUUAAGGGGUUAUAAUGAGAUAUUUAUAGGCAACUAAGUUGAAAGUUUCAGUUUUGGAAGGUUUCUCAAUUGAAUUUGUGUGAAAAACUCGGCAGAAUCGACAUGAUCGCUCGAGCCAACACACUUCCCACUUGAGCGUUUUGGGCACUUGAGCGGUAAGGCUCGCUUGAGUUGUCUUAAGCACUUGAGCAUUCUAGGCUACUUGAGCAAUCUUGCUCUAUUUCAAAAGUUAAUUUUAAAUCAUUUUAAGUUCAAAACAAAAUUGAUUCCCUUUAUACCUCAAAGAAGCCUAACUUGCCACAAACCAAACCUUUUUAGAUAUACUUGUGACUUCCUGGUUGGACGAACAACAACUCUUAAUCUUCAAUGGAGAGCAAGUCACUAUCUAAAAAGAUUUAUAUGGUCAAACAUAAAAAAACAAAAAAAUUGCCAACAUAACAACAAGACUCAAUGUCCUAACAAUCUUCCCCUUUGGCAAUUUUGUGACAAAAACAACGUUACAUAAACCCACCUGAACUCUCAUAAUGGAGUUUAAUAAUACACAUUAACGUUCAAUUAAAAAUAAACUAAGGGAAUACUUUAUCUCACUUUGUAGUAUUUGUCUUCCAACCUUGUAACCUACACACAUAUAGAAAACUAUACCAAAGGUAAAACAAUGUGCAGGAUAAGAUAUGAUCAAGAAAGCAAAAUAGGAUAAUUGGAAAUUUUGCUUGAUGCCUUGUGAAAGCAUGAAAAAAGAACAAAUUCAUAUAGUAAUAUCAAGGGACAAAGCAAAACUCGAGAAGAAUAUAUAUGUAUGCAAAUCAACCAAACAUAAUAAAAGCUAAAUAAGAUGCAAUAGAUAAAAAAUAAUGCCUAGGGGUCUAUCUCCAACCAGAAAAUAGGGAGUGAAGAUCAUAGAAAGAACCUUCUGUGACUUAGAAAGAUUCUAGAGAGAUAGUAAAUUCAAACAUAAAUAUCUUGCUGGAAACAUCUAUGUUAUGUAUCUCUCUAAACCUUUUAAGUUAUGCUUUCAUCAGUUGAUUUGGUUUUUCUCCAAUGUCUCAGGUUUAAUUUCCUCUAUUAUUUCAAUUAGAGAAAUUAGUAGUCGAUUGACUUAGUGGGUGUUUGGUAAAACUUAAUACUUAUUAUUUAAUGAUUAACUUUAAGUUAAAUUGUUCUUAAGUUAUUAAUUUAAAAUUUAUUACUUAUUUUGUAUUUAAGUAUUAAGGUUAUUUGUAAAAAUCAACUUAAAAUUUAUUCUAAAUCAUCAAAUUAACACAUUUACCCUUAUUAAUUUUAACUUAUAUUUAUUUUCAUUAAUUUUAAACAAUAAAUUUAUUCAUAAAACAUCUAUAUUUUUGUAGAUACAUAAUAACCAUAAAAUAUUUACUAUAAAAAAUGAGUCAUGGAUGUAGAAUUAUAAUUCUAAAAUAUACACCUAUAAGUGUGGGUAAAUAAGACAAAAAUGAUUUGAGAUUAAGAGUAAAGUUAAUUAUUUUGACUUAAGACUUCAAGUUAAAAAUAACUUUAAGUUGCAAUAUUAAGUUAUUUUAUCAAACAUGCUUAAUUUACUUAACAACUUAAAUUAACUUAUUAAGUUGAUUUAUCAAACACCCCACUAGUAAUAUGUUGAAAAUGAAGAGCAUCCAUAGCAGAUAAUGUAUAUGUAUUUGUGUUUAGAGUAGAAGGGCACUACAACAAUGGACUUGCAUGUGAUUUGGUCGCGAUAUGAUUUUGAUGAGAAUAUUUUAUUGUCUUUAAAAUAUUGUUAUAUGAAAUGCCACACUAUGUUAGUAAAUGAUAGUUAUGUUAGUAGAAAUGAAAGUUUGUUUUAUAAUGCAUUGACCAUCCUAACACAUGCACUUAAUUAUCAUUAGUAGUUAGACAUGUAUUCCCUUUUUUCAAUUUUUUUUCUUCUUUUUAAAUACAUUCUAGUGGUACUUUGCCUUAUGACUUAAUUUUUGUUACACUUACUACUUUUGGUUUUAGUCAUAUUUCAUUUUAUUAGUAUUUUCAUUUUGUGUUACAAUUUUAUUUAGUUUCUCUAUAUUCUCUUUUGGAUGGUGAUUUCACUUCAAAUUUUAAUUCAAAUUAGGCUUAUUGUCCUCUUAGUAAGCCUUUUCUAGGCGAGUUGUUAUAGAAAAUUAAACAAACCUCUCCUAAGGUUGGCCUUGUUACAUAGACUUCUUUUCUAUUUUGAAAUAUUAUAUUGACCUCCCUUGUUAGAUAUUGGUUUUUACGAUUACUAAGAAUAAUGCUUCUUAAUCAUUAUUAACGAUAAUGCAAAAUGAUAUAACUACUCUUAGUUAAAUCAAAUCAUAAUGACAAUAUUUUCAUCUUCUUUUUCCAAUUUUCUUCUUCUUCCUCCAUACAUGCUAAUUUGCAAAAAUUUAUACCCAUUAUUUAAAUGAAAUCUUUUGAAAUAAAUUAAAAUCUUCCUUAUUUGAUAUUAUAGAAACCUAAUUUAAAUAAAAUAUUUUGAAAUAAAUUAGAUAAAAAAAAAACUUGUCAUCAUUCUAACCCAAAUCAAAUUUAAAAGAAUAACUAAAUAUUUCAAGUCUCAUUUUGUCUCAAUAUCACCUUUGCUAAUCAACCUAUCCAAUCUUAGAUCAAACUCAAAUUGCAAUCAAAUUUUGACAAGAAAAAAUCUACUUAAGACUGAAUAAGAAAACUUGUGGAAAGAGUCUUAUCAAGAAGGUGCAUGAAACCCUCAGUUCAAAAACUUCUUCUAAAAUAAAAUUAAAAAAAGAAAAGAAAAGAAAGAUAUUCAAUGUUAAAGGACUUUUAAGAUAAAUCAAAAUUUGAAAAUGAAUGUUAAUACUUGCGAUAGAUUCCACAUUCAUGAACAAAUUACCAUUGCACCACUUAUUUUCAAUUCACACUUUAAUUUACUAUCCAUAGAAACUUUCAUUAAAUUUUCCAUAAAACAAACAAAGAGCCUUAACCCCCAAAUAUUUUAAUUCUUAAAAAUACAUCAUUUCAUCAAUUUUUGAAACCCUCAUUUUAACACAAAUUAUUUUUUUUUACAAAUUAUUAAAAGAAUAAAAAGAAAAUUAAGAAGAGGUUGUCAUUAUUAUUCUUGCAAAGUCACCACAAAAUAAAUUAUAACAAAUAUAGAAAAUAAAAUAAUGUGACGAUGAAGAUGAUGCUUAGAAAGUUAGAAUGAAGAAGAUAGUAUCAUUUAGAUGAUUUAGGUUAAGAUGAGGACUAGAUAAGGAAAGUGACAUCAAUUGCCUAAUUAUUUGGGGUUUUAGACAUACAAAAUGAGGGAGAUGACUAAAAUUAUGGUUUAAUUAUUUUUGGUUAAGGAUUAUUAAGUUAUUUUAAGGAAUUAAUUAAUUAAUUUAUAAUAAAUUUAGAAUUAAUUAAAAGUUAAUUAAAAUAAUUAUUGAUUCAUAGUUUAAUUUAAAACUAAUUUGAAUAAAAGAUGAAAAACUGAAAGUCCAUUAGGGUUUCACCUAGAGAGGGGAGAGGAGGUGGAUGAUUUAAAAAAUUUCAAUAAAGAUCUAUAUGUUAUAUCCAAUUUUAUUUUACCCUGUGAGAUGUUAGGGAUAACCUUUUCUAUCAACCUUAGGCAAUUCAAACAAAAUAUCAAAUAUAAAAGAUAAGAACAAUAAGGCAUGCGAUUUUUAUAUGGAAAAUCCUCACACUAACUGUGACGAUAAAAACCACGAGAUCUAAGACCUAUUAAUCUAAAUGCACUAGAUGAAAUCAAGUUACACAGAUUUACUUGACUGCUUUACCUUAAAGAUUUACUCUCUGGUAAGUACAACUUGAUUCAUGUCCACAACAUAGCAACCCUUGAUUGCUCCAGUGGAUCACUUCAGCUUCCUGGAAGGGAUGAAGGUCUCCAAAAUAAUAUUUAAAGAACAAAUCCUUGAAUGAGAAAUUGAGAAUGGUGUGGCAAUCUAGGUUUUGUCUAUAGGAGACCCUUUUUAGAGAAUAAAGUCUCUCAACAAUCUAUCUCCAAUCUCUUCAAUAUCUCUAACCCUCAAGGGGUUAUAAGGGAGGUAUUUAUAGGCAAAAGUUUGAAAAGUUUUGAUUUUGGAAGGUUUCUCAAUUGAAAUUUUGUGAAAAACUUGGUAGAAUCAACAUGAUUGCUCGAGCCAACUCACCCAUCGCUUGAGCGCCUCAAGCACUUGAGUGGUAUGGCUCACUUGAGCGGUCUUAAGCGCUUGAGUAGUCUUUAGUGCUUGAGCGCUCUAGGCCACUUGAGCAGUCUUGCUCUCUUUCAAAAAUCAAUUUUAAAAUCUUUUUAAGUUCAAAACAAAAUUGAUGCUCUUUAAUACCUCAACAUAGCCUAAUUAACAUAAGUCAAGCCUCUUUAAACAUGUGACUUCUCAAUUGGACAAACAACAACCCUUGAUCUUCAAUGAAGAGUAAGUCACUAACUAGAAAGACUUCUAUGACCAAACAUUACAAAGAACAAAAUUGCCAACAUAUAGGAAGGACUUACUGUCUUAACAAUCUCUCCCUUUGACAAUUUUGUGACAAAAAAUUGUUACAUAAACCCACUUGAACUCUGAUAACGGAGUUUACAUAACACACUUUAAUGCUCAAUUAAAACUAAAUUAAGGGAAAGCUUUGUAUUAAUUUAUAGUACUUAUAUUUCAACCCCGUAACCUACACACAUACAAAAAACUAUACUAAAGGUAAAGUAGUGUGAGGAAUAAAGUAAUGUUGAGAAAACAAAACAGGAUAGUUGGAGGUUUUGCUUGAUGACUUAUGAAAACAUGAAAAUGGAACAGAUUUUUGUAGAGACACUGAGGCACAAAGCAAAGCUUGAGAGGAAUAUAGAUACACACAAAUCAGGAAAACACAAUAGAAGCUUGAUAAGACACAAUAGAUCAAUAAUAAUGCUUAGAAGUCUAUCUCCAACCAGAAAAUGGGUAGUGAAAACCAUGGAAAGAAACUGCUAUGACUUAGAAUAGUUCUAGAGUGAUAAUUAGUUUAAACAUAAAUAUCUUAUAAGAAACAUUUGUGUCAAGUAUCUCUUUAAACCAUCUAAGUUAUGUUUUCAUCGGUUGAUAUGGUUUUCUCCAAUUUCUCAAGUUUAAUUUCCUUUAAUAUUUCAAUAAUUUCCCUUAAUGGAUGAAUGAAUGAAUGAAUUGAAUUAAAGAAUUCAAAAUUUUUAACUCAUAGUAACUUCCCUUAAAUUACAAUCAAUACAAUAAUUCAAAUCAAGUAUACAAAAACAUAAAUAAUAGAACAUUUAUGCAUUAGGUGGCGGUAGAGGGAUAGAGCUUGAAGCAUCGUGAGAAUGGGUACAAGAAAAGAUGUAGUUAAGUUAUCCCUAAAUCUCUCGGAGUUGGAGAUCCUAAGAGUCCAUCUUCUGAUGAAGUCGGGCCAUGGAAUUUAGAGCCUCAUGGGCGUUGGGUCUACAAAAGUAAAAGCCUUGUGUGUAGCUCGGGAAGAACUAACACAACCUCAACUUUAGAGUGAGUCCUCGGAGCAGACUCUAAAUAGUCUGCCUCUAGAAUUCCACCAUGCUCCAUAGCUCGAAGCUCAUCCUCCUAGACAACUACCUUUGCAUGCUGGCCUACAUCAUGUGGUUCAUAAGUUGGAAGAGCCAUCAAACUAUAUACAUGAAUGUAGUGCUUGGGCUAGGAACUCCCAUCUAAAAAGGCAUGGGUAGCCUAGACCCCUAGUGUAGGAUCAAUCUUAAAUCCCACAUCCUCGAGUAUCCGCGUCAUGAGGAGGGUAAAAGGGAAAGUGCCUCCUCUAAAGGAUAAACCACGAAGGGGAAUGAUUGUAUCCAGGAUGACUUAGCCAAUGUCAAAUUGUUGGCUUGAGAGAAUGACGUGAAUAAAGUGAGCAGAUGGUCAAUGGAUUUGGGUGCAGUGUGUAAAUGGGUAGAAGGAGUAAGUGAAGAAUGUGGCAAACAACCAUGUUAGCUUGAAGAAGCCAACAAUCAAGAUAUAAGAAGGAAAGGGGCAAAGACCCCCAUAAAGAGAAGUCAGAAUGGUGUCAAGUUUCUCUCGGGUGAGAGCCUGAACCUCUAGGGAAAAUGAAGAAAUGAGAGCCUCAAUUUGCGACAUGCUAAGGACACAUUGAAUGUAAUGGGAGAAAAUAAGGAAAAAUUGACCAUGCAUGGUCAAUUGAAAGGUGACUCCGACCACAAUAUAAUGCAUGUUCUCAUAGAACAUGUGAACAAGAUGGGGAUAGGAAGUCCCCUAGAGAGAAAACAAAGUCUCCUAACUUUACUCUUGAAUGAUGAUAGGGAAGACAGUGUCCUGAAAAGCUUAGAGGUUAAUGGCAUGCUCAGGCUCGACACAUUGAUAUGUGAAAGAAGCGUAAUAAUGGUCUCGUGCCACCUGGCAGUGAAAACGCUCAACCGAAAGUGCAUCUAGGUUAAAAAGACCCUGGAGUGGGAUGCCCUAGACGGUUUCAGUGACCUAGGAAAGGUCACCUCCCUCUGACAUCUAUGACUAGCCAUAUCUAAGGUAUAUAAUAUGAAAAAACAAAAGCUAAAGAAGAACUAAAGAAAAUCCAAAGAAAAGCUAAACCACUAAAAAUGUUAAACUCAAUGCGUCGAACAAUACUAUACAAAUGGAAAUGAAAAAUAUGAAGUGAACUGACCUCAGAAGACAAAAGGACAGUAACCUAGAGGGCUCGAAGAUGAAUAGGAAAGUUUGAAAUGAAUAUGGCGUGCUGGAUGACCUUUAUAUAGCCUAUAGGAGUGCUUGAUGCAGAUUAGCACUCGAGCGUCAUGACUAACUUAAAUCAAAGUAUUUAUUACUAUCAAAAUAUUUUAAAAGUUUCAAAGGAAGUAUUCAAUUUAGAACCUUUUUAGAAAUUUUUUUGAAAGAAACAAAAAUAAAACGUGAAAUAUUAUGUGUUAAAGGUGUUAGAAGACAAUAUUGUCUAAUCCAAAGCCUUACACAUUCCACAAAAAAAAAAAAGGAAAAAGAGAGAUAUUAUAUAAGAUUUUGAUCACAUCUAAUAGAAACUAAUAUUUAGCAACAUAUCACCAAGCACUAUCUUAUCAGAAAGCUCUAACAUGUUGGAAAUUUAUGUAAGGUUCCAUAACAACUAACAACUUUUUCUGACGACUUGGCAAUGGACCAUUUGCACUUUAACUACAUUAUUGAAUUUAAAUCAUAUUAGAAUAGUAAUUGACUUCUCUUUUGUGAGGCUACAUAUCUUGUAGGAUGGGAUAGGUGAUUCAUUUCAUAUAUGAAAUUUACUUAAUUUAGUAAUGCAUCCAAGUUCAUUAUGAAUAUAAUGGUACCACAACUUUUUGAAUAUUUGUAAUCUGUAAUCUUUGUUUCAACUUCUCAAGUCUAGUCAUUUUAUCGGCAUAACUAGUUUGCUUCAAUUAUCUCUCAACUUUAUUAUAAAACUAAGGGAAAUGAUUAUCACGCAUUUUAUAUUAACUUAACCAAACAUCUUUAUAUAUCUUACAUAUAUAUAUAUAUUGUAAAUUUAGGAAAAUUUCAUCCAUUAGCCAUAGUAAGUAAGAAUCAAAUAUGGGAUAUGUAAGCCAAUGGUGAUAUUGAUGGCGUCAAAUCAAUGACAUAGUAGAAACGUGGAUUGUCUAUUUUCAAACCUUUAUAUUUUCAUCCAAUAGUAAAAAGGUUUAGGCAUCACUUGAAAAGUAGUUUGUUUUUUACCUUGGACUAUGAUUUAUGAAUAAAGUUCUUCUGUUGUAUACCUUUUGUGAUGCCCCAAACCUAAUUUAGGGGUAAAAAUAAUAAUUUAGAAACAAAUAAAUAAAAAUUUAAAUAAAUUUAAUUAAGGUAAAAAUGUAUUUUCGUAUUUAAAAUUCCUAGGGAUCAAUUAUAUAUUUCUUGUCUUCUCUAUUCAAAAAACCCUAUUACACAAAAAUCAAAGAUCAGAGAACAUAGGACAACGUAGGGUUGAAGAUUUGGAGGUUUAGGGUUGAAGAUUAGUUUUCCAGGUAAGAUUCUAACCCUUAAAUUAGUAUUUUAGAUUCGUUAAUUAGUUUGAACACUUUAGAUAUUCUUUGAAAAAUCUGAAUCCACGUUAGGGUUUGUUAAUUUAAUUUUUAAAUAAAAAAGAUUGAAAAUUUAUGAACAUAAGUAGAGUUAUUAUUAAAGAUUGAAAAUUUUUGAAUAUUUGAAUUAAAAAUCUAGAAAAAAAAAAAGAAAAUAAAUUAUAGAUUUGGAUGUGGAAAAAAAUUAAUAUUAAUAAAUAAAUAAAACCUAUGAGUAUGGAGGUAGAAAAAUAUGAAAGUUGAAAGCAAAGAAAAAAAAAAGGAAUAAGGUUUUGUGGUUGUAUAUGCCUCCUUAGUGGAAAAAAAAUACAAGGUUGCUUGCAAUAGGAUAUGAUAAAGAGAGAGAGAUAAAUGCUUCGAUAUUGAUUUUUGUGGGGAAAAAAAGAUUGGGUAAUGCAGGAGAGAAAUAGGUAGCAUUUGUAGAGUUGGUGGAGUUGUUGUAAAAGCUCGUAGGGGUAAUUGUUAGGAAACAUUAGGACUUGAAAUAAUAAUAAUUGCUUCUAGUAAAAGUUUUAAUUUAGUUUAAGUAUAUAAAAGAAAUAGAUGAUUAGAAAAAGAUUUGGAAGGAAUAUGAAUUCAUAAAAUUUCGAAAUUUACUAAUUUAGAUUAUUAUUGUUUUGGAAGUUGAAUAUAAUAUAGGUGAUAAUAUUAUUAAUAUAGGAAAUGAUUAAGAUUCUCAAACCUACAAUUUUAGAUAAAUAGUUAAUAGUAAUAGAUGAUUUUUUAUUUUUUUUAUUUUUUAUUUUUUAUGUUAUGUUAAGUGAAUAAUGGAUUCUUUGAUUAAUUCUCUAAGGUUUCUAAGUGCUUCUUUAAGGUAAGGGAUAUUAAUACUGAUUUUGUAAAUGAAAAUAUUUCUUUUUAUAAGUUAUUUUAAAUUAUGAAAAAUUUUAUUAUUAUUUAUGCAUGGAUCAAAUAUAUAUUUUUUCAUGAGAAACAUGUUUAGGCAAUUUCUUUGUUUAUAAAUAAAUAAAUAAAAAAUGAGAACCUUGGAAAUAUAAUGUUUUGUUUUGUAAGUUUAAAAUAAUGAAAUAAAGUUUUUGACUCUGGUUUAUAUGACCUUAGUUAAUGGGUUAUAAUUGUUGACAUUUUUAGCUCCAAUCAACAAUUAUAAUUGUUGACAUUUUCAGCUCCAAUCAACGAUUAUAAUUGUUGAGAUUUUCAACCCUAGCCAAUGGGUUAUAAUAGUUGACCUUAUAGCCCUAGUCAACAGAUAUAAUUGUCAACCUUUGGUUUUGCCCAUCUUAAAAAGAACAAAUUUAAGGCUAGCCAUUUAUUUGUAAAGUCCCACCUAACUAAGUACCAUUUGUUAUUUAAUAACCAGAGUAAAGAUAUUUUGAAUGUAUUUGAUAUGAAAUUGUUUUGAUAUAAAUAUGAAAAUGUUUGGUUGAAAGUUCAAAUGUUUAAUGCAUGUUGAACUCAAAAGUUUUAUUAAAAUGAUUAUAUGUUAUAUAUCCUAUUUGUAAGCUUGAUCCAUGAAACUGUAUUAAUAUUCCUUAUUGGACUUUGAGCUCAUUCCCCUUUGUUGAGAAUUUUUUUGGUAUUCUCAGUUUGGGCAAGGAGUGAUGACUGGGUUGGGGAAUUUUCUUUGCUAUGAUUUUGGUUCAAUCUUUAUUUUGGACAUUGUUUAGAUGUUAAAAUUUAAUUCCCAUUUAAAUUAUUUGAGUUUGGAGUUAUUUGGACGAUAACACUUUGAUUGAUGUGUUAGUUUUAAAGUUGAGAAUUGAAAAUUAUAGAAUUUAUUUAUCUUACUACUUUGAACAGAAAUUUAGUAAUUGGAGAUCAUCCAGUUACAAGAUGAAUAUUUGUGUCAUUUCCACUUUGAGAGUUCAGACUUGGGGUGUGAAAUGACCGUUAUGCCCUUGGAGUGGGUAUAUUGUUUAUUUGAAUUUAAUGGUCCCCGAACUCCUUAAUUACUCAUAACUUUAUAUCACCUUCUCAAAGUUAAGUUGUUUUACAACUAUUAUCUAGCUACUUUUCUCUACUAUGACAACUUUAUUACAUAGUGAUUAAUUGAAAGAAUCUACAUGUUUUAUUUCAUAGGAUAGUUGAUUUUUUUACUCAAUGAAUCUUGCUUUUAUUAUUGAAAUUUCAAAUCAUUGUAGUCCAACAAUUUCCUAUCCAUUGGUAAUUUCAUAUUACAUUUCCAAAGUCUAAUCAUUUAAAAACACUUGUAGUUAAUAUAUUGGCAAUUGCAUUGUGGGAAGUUGUUCACUUGAUUUUAAUGUUGAAACUUUCAAAUUAUUGUAGUCCAACAAUUCCCUAUCCAUUGGUAAUUUCAUAUCACAUUUUCAAAUUAUAAUCAUUUACAAAUACUUGUAUAUAGUAUAUUUGGUGAUUGUAGAGUGGAAAGUUGAUCGUUUUCAUGAAGACCUCUAAAAUAUAAAUUUUUUUCAUUCCAUUUAAUAAAGAAUUUCAUUAAUUGAACAUAUAUGUUUUUUUUAGCUGGAAAGUAGAGGCCACAUUAUACGAGGCCUUAGGUGACAAUACUAGGUGAGGGUUUUUUUUUUAAUUUAUUUAUUAUGAAAUAUAAAUAAUAUUAUUUAUUGUAUAAUAAAGAUUAUUAUAAUAUAUUUUUUAUAGAUGAAAAAAAUAUUAAUUGAGUUUUAUUUAUUUUUUAAUAAUUGUUUUCAAUAAAUAACUUAUUUGUAAAAAGAAAACUAUAAAAUAUAUGCAUUUGAAAAAUAUUUAAUUUUUAUUUGAUUUAGUAUCAAUUAAUAUUUGUAAUAUUUUUUAAUAUUAUAGAAGUUAACAUACUCAAUCAAGAUAUUCAAGAUCAAGAGAACAUUUGAGAUUGAAUUAAUUUCUUUAUUGUUUAUGUUUUAGAAAAUUUUUAUAUCCAUUACAAAUUUUCUAUUGUUUAUUUUUCAUUCAAUUUUUGCAUUUUGUAAUAGAUAUUAAAACGAAUUUUUUUUCCUAUAUGUUAAAAAAAUAUUUCAAUGUCUUUAAAAAUAAAAUAUUGCAGUAAAAUCAAAAUUACAUUGUGAAACUUUAAGCGAAUGUUUUAUACUUAAGAAGUGCCAAUUAAAGUAAGCAUGCAUCUACAAUUGUAAUUUAGAUGUCAUACUGAAACAAUAGUUCUCUUCGACUAUAUCAUAAAAUUUGGUUCGAAUUACUUUAAGUCAUCUUGUAGAUUUUCAAGUUCUAAUGAUAUGCAUCAAGUAUGUGCAACAUACUUGAUAUAACUAAUAUUUUCUUAAGUAAUUGGACACUUUUUUUCUAUAAAUUUACUUGAUUAUCAAUGAAUACUUUUAUGUAGGGUAUUGAUAUAAUUCGAUAAAUAUUUUAAAAUAGUAUUAGAAUAGCUUUGCUCUUUCCCAAUUAACAAAUUUACCAAAUUAACUUAUAUAUAUUUGUUUAUUUGAAUUUACUGGUAUUUGACUCAAAUUGUUAUUAUUUUUAAAAUUAUAGGAAAACCAUUAUUUAUAGAGUUUAAUUAUAUUUUGGUAAAUUAUCUUUUUAAGUUUGACUAGGAUUAGGAAACUAUUAAUUUAAGAUUAAUCCAUAAGGCUCUAUAAAUUUGCAGUUUUAUAUAGGAUUUAAAAAAAGAAAGAAAAAGUAAGAAAAAGUGAAGAGAGAUAGGCAAAGAGUGCAUUGGGUUUUAGAUAGAGAAAGAUUGAGAGAGUUUUGAUUACUACUAAAAAAGAACAUAUUUUAGAUAGUAAUUCUCAUGAGUUUCGCAUCUUUUGAGCAUUAAUUAUGCCUAAAAAUGCUCAAUUAACAUGUUGUUGCCCUUGCAAAAGUUACUAACAAGUUUUAUAAAGUUUUGGAGUCAUUUCAAGUUAUGAUUUUAAUAAAUUGGUGACGAAAGAAAUGAAUUGAUUUGAAGAAGGCAAAUAAUAUUGAUGAUGAUCAAAUGCAUAAUGAAAUAAGAAAUAUAAUUAGUUUGAUCGGGAUUUGCUGCUAAUUUGGAGGUAGUUAAGGUGGAGUCAAAAGAAGAAAAUGGAAGAAAUGACAAAAAGGAGCUUAAAAACCAAAUGUUGCAGAUUUGUAUGAUCAUGCAAAAAUUUUACAUGACUAUGCGAAAUGGAUUAGAGAAGGAAAAUUGACUAUAGUAUAAGGAGGAUGCUUAAGUUGAUUUCGCAUGAACAUGAGAAAAUUUCGCAUGAACAUGCGAAAAUUUUGAACAAUCAUGCGAAAUGGUCCAGAAAGCUCUCUAAUGUUGUUGUUGCUCCACUAAUUUCGCACCACCAUGCGAAAUCGAUAUUUUCAUGCAAAAUGGCUGAAGCUCAUGUGAAAUCAUGAUUUUGAGGCUAAACUCCAGAUUUGUGAAUUUGGAAGGCUUUAUAAGACCAAUGAGAGGUUGCCAAGUGUUCACUUGACCUUGGCCUAUAAAUAGAAACUUGAAUUUCCCAUGUAAAGAGCUUUGUGAUACUUUUAAUUUUAGAUUUUUCUAGAAACUCUUUUUCUAAAUAGAAUUCUAUAUUUUCUUUAAUUUUCCCUCAUUUUCUCAUUAGCCAAACAUGCCUAGUGAGACCAAAUCUCCAAGUAUGAGUGGCUAAAUUUCGUUUUUCUCAAAGGAAGGAGGAUCUAGAGGCAAGAUCUAUGGUGAAUUAUAGAAAUGAGUUUUAAUUGCAAAUGUAAUUUGAUCCAAUUGAUUGAUUAAUUGAAAUUUGAGGAUUUCUCUCUUCAAAUUGUCUUGAAUGACUAUUACAUUGCAAACUAGGUAGAUUCAUUAAAUUCUUAAAGCUAGAUUUAAUGAGACUGAAUAGUUGCAUUGUAUGAAUCAUUGGAAGAUGAUUUAAGAUGAAUUGAAUAUAUAAUUUAAAUUGAUCUCUUGGAUUAAAUAACCUAAUUUGAAGAGAAAUUAGGUUUAGACUUAAAGGUAAAUCCAAAAUCGGUUUAGAUAAGAAUUUAGGUUUUCAAUAUAACUUGAUGAAAAAUAAAUCUCAACAUCUAUUCACUAUGGAAAUUGUUUUCUAAAAAAUAUUAACUCCGAGAAUUCCUUUUCCUUAUCAAUUUUCUUAUAUUCUACAUUAUAUUGUUCUUUUCAAUUAGAAAUCAUUGUUAUUUUGAUUUUUCAUGAAUUGUCAAAUCAAUUUCACUUGACCACAAUCAUUUCUUUUCCUUCCAUUUAAACCUUAAUUAUCGAGAAUAAUCCAUCCCAAUGGAAGACACCUAAGACCACUAUACUACCGUAGCUUUUGCUAAAAAACCUUUUUGAUCGGGCAAGAGUUACCUUAGCAUAGUUGAAUUAUGUUAUAAUUUUUUUUAUCCAAUAAACAACAAAAAAAUCAAUCGAUCAAGUUUGCAUUGUGUAUUCUUGAAUUUUAUUAAUAAAUUUAAUCCCCCUUUUUGAAGCGAUUACACCAAACCAAGUAAAUAUUUUAUAUACUUCAUUUGCUUUAUUUUUUCUAUUAAGUUUAGGUGUUGCAAUUUUCAAGAGUCAUGGUGAGAAGAUUGUGGGAAAAAUUAUUUUAAGGAUGGAGUCGAACAUAAAAUAUGAAAUUGAGUCCUUUGAUGGAAAUAAUAAUUUUAAUAUUUGAUAAAGUAUUAUUAAAGAUGUUUUGAUACAACAAAGACUUCUCAAAGCAUUACAAGGCAAAAAAACUAGAGAGCAUGACAAAUAAAGAAAUGAAAGAAUUAGAAGCAAGAGUUGUAAGUACUAUUUGUUUAAGUCUUAAAAAUGAAAUACAUUGUUUUGAAUGAAAAAUAUUCUUUCAGGGGUGUCAAUUGCUCUUUUAGAGACCAAAAAUAUUAAGCAAUCAAGUAGUUCAUCUCAUAUUGGACAAACUGUUAUGAUGAAUUCUAAACCACAUCAUCAUAGGAGUAAAUCGAAAGAAAAGUAUCUGAUAGGAGGAUGAUCAUUCCAUUCACAUUUAUGGAGGAAUAUGAAGUAUUAUUACUAUGAAAAAAAAAACAUAUCAGGAGAUAUUGUAAAGAAUUGAUGAAGUACCUAGAAGAAAUGAAAAUUUUUAAAUCCCAAGAGACUUCAAAUUCUACUAAUAUUGUUGAUGAAAAUUUUGAAAUAUUGUAGUAAAUUAAAAGUUACAUUAUGGGACUUUUAGUGAGUGUUUUGUGUUGAAGAAAGGCUAAUUAAAGUAAACAUGCAUCUAAAAUUAUAAUUUAGAUGUUGUACUCAAAUAGUUGCUCUCCUCGAUUAUAUCAUAAAAUUUGGUUUGAAGUAGUCUAAGUCAUCUAAUAAUUUUCUAGUUCCAAUUACAUGCAUCAAACAUGUGUGUUAGGAAGUGUUGCAAAUUACUAAUUAGUAUAGAUCCCUUUUUUUUUUUAAAGAAUAUUGUAUUGAAUAUUUCUAGGUUGAUAUAUUAUUGUAAUAUUAGACUUCCUUAUAGAAUAAGGAAUGUUGUUGAAAAUAUCCCUAUAAAUAUUCUAGUUCAUAAGGGGAAAAAGUUAUGAGAUGAAGAUGGACCCAUAAAGACUAUACAAGGUGGAUAGAGAUGUGAGGAAGAACAGGAGGUACCCGGUGGAGCGAGAGGGCUCGUGGUAAGGUAUAGGUACGAAGAGUGAGGAAACAUGGGAUGUUUUGGGAACCCAAUAGUUAUAUCUAGUUAUAUCAUCUAUAAGUUCUAGUUCUGUCCUUUGCAUUGUUCUCUAUUUUAUAGUGGAAUGAUUCUCUCUUAUCUGUGGAUGUAGGCAUGGUUUUCGAACCACGUUAAAACCUUAUGUACCGUUUGUGUCGAAUUUUUUUAUCUUUAUUUUCUUGAUUAAUGAAGUUUGCAUCAAAGCUUCCGUCAACGGAACAAACUUGUAUCAAAGCUUGGGUUAAAGAUUUCUGGAAGAGUAAAAGAUCACAAAGCACACAAGAUGAAACCAAAAGGAUUUUUUAGUGAAAAUGGAGUCGAUUGCUCUCUUGUGGUGAUAUGAUAUAAAAAGUUUGUCUCAUGGAAAGUUUGAAGAUUGACUUCAUGGAAUUUGGUCCAAAAUGGAGAUUGUUAAUAAGUGUCCCAAAUUCCUAAUUAGUAUAGAUUUUUUUUUUUUUUGUAAAGAAUAUUGUAUAGAAUAUUUCUAGGUUGAUAUAUUAUUGUAAUAUUAGACUUUCUUAUAGAAUAAGGAAGGUUGUUGAAAAUAUCUUUAUAAAUAUUCUAGGUCAUGAGGAAAAAAAGUUAUGAGAUGAAGAUGGGCCUGUAAAAACUAUAUGAGGUGGAUAGAGAUGUGAGGAAGAACGGGAGGUACUCAAUGGAAUGAGAGGGCUCGUGGUAGGGUAUGGAUACAAAGAGUGGGGAAAUAUGGGAUGUUUUGGGAACCUAAUAGUUGUAUCUGGUUCUGUCAUCUAUAAUGUUCUAGUUACGUCCUCUAUAAUGCUCUCUAUUGUAUAGUGGAAUGAUUCUCUUUCAUCCAUGGACGUAAGCAUGGUUGUCGAACCACGUUAAAACCUCAUGUACUGUUUGUGUUAUUAUUCUUUAAAUUUUUUAAUAUUUGUUUCUUGAUUAAUGAUGUGUGCAUCAAAGCUUCCACCUACAUAACAAACUGGUAUCAGAGCUUGGGUUGAAGAUUUUUGGAAUAGUAAAAGAUCACAAAGCACACAAGAUGAAAACAAAAGGAAUUUUUAGUGAAUGUGGAGUCAAUUGUUUUCUCGUGGUGAUAUGAUACAAAAAGUUUGUGUCAUGGAGGGUUUAAUGAUUGACUCCGUGAAAUUUGGUCCAAGGUAGAGAUUGUUAGGAAGUGUCCCAAAUUCCUAAUUAAUAUAAAUUCCUCUUUGUAAAGAAUAUUGUAUAGAAUAUUUCUAGGUUGAUAUAUUAUUGUAAUAUUAGACUUCCUUAUAGAAUAAAGAAGGUUGUUGGAAAUAUUUUCAUAAAUAUUUUAAGUCAUGAGGGAAAAAAGUUAUGAGAUGAAGAUGGGCCUAUAAAGACCAUACGAGAUGGAUAGAGAUGUGAGGAAGAAUCGAAGGUACCCAGUGGAGCGAGAGGGCUCAUGGUAGGACAUGAAUAUGAAGAGUGGGGAAACAUGGGAUGUUUUGGGAACCCAAUAGUUGUAUCUAGUUCUGUCAUCUAUAAUGUUCUAAUUCUGUCAUCUAUAAUGUUCUGGUUUUGUCCUCUGUAAUGUUCUUUAUUGUAUAGUGGAAUUAUUCUCCCUCAUCUGUGUAGGCAAGUUGUUAAACCACGUUAAAACCUCGAAUACCAUUUGUGUUGAUUUUUUUUUAGUUUUGUGUUCUUGAUUAACAAUGCUUGCAUCAAAGCUUCUACCAACGUAACAAUGUGCAACAUAUUUGAUAUAACUUAUAUUUUCUUAAGUAAUUGAACACUUUUUUUCUAUAAAUUUACUUGAUUAUCAAUGAAUACCUACAUAUGCGGUAUUGACAUAGUUUGAUAAAUAUUUUAAAAUAGUAUUAGAAUGGCUUUUCUUUUUCCCAAUUAAAAAAUUUAUCAAAUAUAUACAUACACACACACACACACAAUACUCAUUAGUAUGUCUUUUAUGAAAAAACUAUAUUUGUUUAUUUGAAUUUAGUAGCCAUUUAACUCCUUAGUUACUCAUAAACUUUAUAUCACCUUCUUAAAGUCAAGUCAUUUACAAUUAUUUCUAUCUAGCCUUCUCCAUUAUGACAACUUUAUAAGAUAGUGAUUGACUGGAAAAAUCUACAUGCCUUUGUUGAUAGGAUAAUUGUUUUUCUUUUUUUCGUAUUCAAAGAAUCUUGCUUUUGUUAUUGAGACUUUCAAAUCCUUUAUGUCUAGUGGUCUUAUAAUUCCCUAUUCAUUGGUCUUUCAUAUUACCAAUCAUUUUGCAAAUGAGUUAAUUUCAUUCACAUCCUCUGAGAUUUGAUGUAAAUUCGCUUAGUUACCAAUGAUUUCAAAUUUCAUUAAUUAGUACCCCUAUAGAUGUAAUUUGUGUACAAAAUUUAUUUUUUAAAAGAAUUUAGGUAAAAAUAUUUUAGGUUUAUGUCUUUAACAAUUCUCUAAAAUAAAUUUUACUUGCUAAAAAAUAACUUAUAUAGAUAGAAUACAUCUACAGGAGUUCUAACUGACGAAAUUUAAAACUAAUGGUGGUUUAGUGUAUUUAAACUAAACAUUAAGAAGGGUGACUGAAAUUAACCCUCUAGGUAUAUAUGUUUAACAAAAUUUUUAUUGUUUAUUUUUCAUUUAAUGUUUGCAUUUUUCAAUAAACAUUGAAAAGGAAUUGUUUUUCCAUAUGUUAACAAAAAGAAAUUUGAGCACCUAUAAAAAUGAAAUCUUGUAGUAAAAUUGAAGUUACAUUAUCAAACUUUUAACGAGUGUUUAUGUUUAGAAAGGCCAAUUAAAGCAAGCAUGCAUCUAGAAAUUAUAACUUAGAUGCAUCAAACAUGAGCAACAUAUUUGAUAUAACUAAUAGUUUCUUAAGUAACUAAACACUUCUUUUUCUAUAAAUUUACUUGAUUAUCGAUGAAUACUUACAUAUAUUUACAUAGUUUGAUAAAUAUUUUAAAAUAAUAUUAGAAUAACUUUUUUUUUCUCAAUUAUAUUAGAAAAUAAUAUAAAGUUACUUAUAAACUUUAUAUCAUUUUCUCAAAGUCAAGUCAUUUACAAUUAUUUCUAUUUAGCCUUCUCCAUUAGGACAACUUUUAUAUGAUAGUCGUUGAUUGGAAGAAUCUACAUGUCUUUUUUGAUAGGAUAGUUGUUUUUAUUUUUUUUAUUUUUUUUAUUCCAAAAAUUUGCUUCUAUCAUUGAAACUUUCAAAUCUUUUAUGUAUAUUACCAAUCAUUUUACAAGUGAGUUAAUUUCACUUAGGGUAGAUAUACUUAGCCACACCCCUAUAGAUGUAAUUUGUGUUUAAAUUUUAUUUUUUAUUCAGGUAAAAAUAUCUUAGGUAUAUGUGUUCAACAAUUCUCUAAAAAAUAAAUUUUCUUAUCUAAAAGUUUAUAUAGACAAAAUACAUCUGUAGAAGUCCUAACUAAUGAAAUUUAAAAUCAAUGGUUGUUUAGUGUAUUUACAUUAAACCUUAUGGGGUAUGAUUGAAAUUAACUCUCUUACAAGCACUUGUAGCUAAUAUGUUUGUAGUUGUAGUGUUGGAAAUUGAUCAUUUUCUUGAAGGCCUCUAAGAUAUUGGAAAUAUUGCCAUAGUUUUAGACUUUUUUUUAUUACACCUAAUAAAAAAUAUUAUUAAUUUAACAUAUAUAUUCUUGACUUAAAAGUAAAGUCUCUCCAUAUUGUAUAAGCCCUUAGGUGACAAUAUUAGGUGAAGUUUUUCUUUCGUUUAUUAAAAAAUAUAAAUAAUUUAUUAUUGUAUGAUAAAAUUUUAUGUAAUAUAUUUUUAUAGAUGUAAAAUUAUUAAUUGGGUUUUAUUUUAUUUUUUUACUAAAUUGUCAUUUCAAUAUAUAAAACUUAUUUGUAAAAAGACAAUUAUAAACUAUAUGAAAUUGAAAAACAUUUAGUUUUUUUAUUUAAUUUAUAAUUUUGUUUGGAUUAAUAAUUGAUAUUUGUAAGAUUUUUUAAUAUUAAAAAAAGUUAGCAUACUUAAGAAAGAUAUUCAAGAUCGGGAGUGUUUGAUAUUGGAUUAAUUUCCUUAUUUUCUCUAUUUUAAUAAAUUUUCAUGUCCAUUACAAAAUUUUUGUUGUUUAUAUUUUACUUCAAUAUUUUUAUUUUGUAAUAGACAUUUGAAAAGAUUUUUUCCUACAUGUUAAAAAAAAAAAAUGAACACUCCUAAAAAAGAAAUAUUGCAAUAAAAUUAAAGUUUACACUGUAGGACUAUUAGCAAGUGCUAUAUACUUAAAAUAGACCAAUUAAAGUAGAAAUACUUCUAAAAUUUUAAUUUAGGUAACAAUAAUAUAAAAAGAUAAUAUUUUUGAAACAAUAGUUCUCUUGGAGUUUUGGGUACGAUGGACUAGACUUUAUGUAACAAUAGAUAUAUGAACUUUCCAUUAACAUCUUGAGAGACAUGAUGAGGAGCAAAGUCAUCCUAGAAGGUACCAUAGAGGUACCUUAGCUCCAUUCAUCUAGACUACAUAAUGUUUAAAGAUCAAAUUCAAUGACUAGAUUUCAAAAAUCAAUAUAAGCUUUCUCAUAUUCUACUCUAUAUAAGACAAUGGUAUGAUACAUCUCUUGUGUCGUAGAAUGCACCAUGAAAACCUUAUCAUUUUAACAUCAGUUUGAAACUUAAAAGUCACUUAGCACAUUCUAGUUAUUAAUGUAAGAACAUUAAAAGAAAAUAUAAAAAAAGUUACUUUAUUCUUGUGAUUUUGAUCUAGGACUUUUAAUGAUAUUAAAAAAAAAAAAAAAAAACAGAAAAAUAAAUGGAAAUAAAAUCAACAAAUUAAACAAUUGAAUUAAGUUAGUUUAAUUUUUGCAUCGUUAAAUGGGUAAAUAAAGACUCUUAGAUUUGAUAUUAAUAUGAACAUCAUGACUUUAGUGAAUCUUACAAGAAAAUUUUAGUUUGAAAGACUUCAUUCAUUAAACGUGUGGCACAUAUUAAAGUAAAACUAAGUCUUCUCUAUAAUUUGUACCUAUCAUAGUUUCUUUCCUCAUAAAUAGCCUUUUUUGAAUAUAAUAUAGACUUCAACAUGUAUGGUGGGGCCGAUCAAACUACUAGUCAAGACAACUCAUGGGCAACAACGAUGUACCAACUAUAUUAAAUACUCUUCAUCUAUUUGCAUAUCAAGAGUAAUUUAGUAGUGUCUUUCUUAUGUACCUCGUAUCUAGACUUUCAAUGGAGAGUUCUUCAUCUAAAAAUUUGACUUGGGUUUUCAUAUUAGUUUUGGUUUAGACAUAUGGAUGCAAAGGUUGCAUCAAAGAAGAGAAGUAGGCUAAAUCAUCUUACAAAUUUUCAAGUUCAAAUUAGAUGCACCAAACAUAUGCAAUAUAUUUGAUAUAACUAAUAUUUUCUUAAGUAAUUGAAUACAAUUUUUUUUAUUUUAUAAAUUUACUUGAUUAUUAAUGAAUAACUACUUGUAUGAUAUUGACACAACUUGAUAAAACUUUUAAAAUAAUAUUAGAAUAACUUUGCUAAAAAAAAGUAAAAAUAAAAAUAAAAAUAUGUCUAUAUAUAUAAAAUUAAAUAAAAUUAAAAAUUAAAAAAGAAUAUAUAUAUAUAUAUAUAUAUUGUGUGUGUGUGUGUGUGUGCAUGGUCCCACAACUCAUUAGCUACUCAUAAGCUUUAUAUCACUUUCUCAAAGUCAAGUCAUUUUGUAAUUAUUUCUAUCUAGCCUUCUCCAUUACGACAACUGUAUAAGAUAUUGAUGGGUUGGAAAAAUCUUCAUGUCUUUUUUAAUAAGAUAGUUUUAUUAUUAUUAUUAUUAUUAUUAUUAUUAUUAUUAUUCAAAGAAUUUGAUUUUAUUAUUGAAACUUUCAAAUCCUUUAUGCCUAGUGGUCCUACAAUUCCCUAUUCAUUGGUAUUUCAUAUUACCAAUCAUUUUACAAAUAAGUUUAUUUCACCCGGUAAAUAUACUUAACUACUAAUGGUUUCAAAUUUAAUUGAUUAACACACUUAUAGAUGUAAUUUGUUUUUAAAUUUUAUUUUUUUAGAAGAAUUGUAGGUAAAAAUAUUUUAGGAAUAUGCGUUCAAUAAUUCUCUAAAAACAAUUUAUAUAGAUGGAAUACAUUCAUGGAAGUUCCAACUAAUGAAAUUUAAAACCAACGACGAUUUAAUGUAUUCUCACUAAAUCUUAGGGGAGGUGUACUAAAACUAGCCUUUUUACAAAUAUUUGUAGCUAGUAUAUUUGUAGUUAUGGUGUUGGAAGUUGAUCAUUUUCUUAAAGGCCUCUAUGAUAUUGGAAAUAUCGCCAAAGUUUUGAACUUUUUGUUUCAUCUAAAAAAAAUAUCAUUAAUUUAAUAUAUAUACUCUUUGCUUGAAAGUAUAGUUUCUUCAUAUAGUAUGAAGUUGUAGCUAGGUGACAAUAUUAGGUGAAAUUUUUUUGGUUUACUACAAAAUAUAAAUAAUAUAUUUAUUAUAUGAUAAAAUUUUGUAAAAUAUAUUAUUAUAGAUGCAAAAUUAUUAAUGGAGUUUUAUUUUUUACUAAAUUAUCAUUUCAAUAAUAAGAACUUAUUUGUUAAAAGAAAAUUAUAAAAUAUAUGCAGUUGAAAAAAUUUUAAUUUUUUUAUUUAAUUUGGUAUUUUAUUUGAAUUAAUAAUUGAUAUUUGUAAGAUAUUUUAAUAUUAAAAGAAGUUAACAUACUUAAAAAAGACAUUCAAAAUCAAGAGAGUAUUUGAUAUGAAAUUAAUUUAUUUAUUUUUUCUAUUUAAAUAAAUUUUUACAUCCAUUAAAAAAAUUUUAUUGUUUAUUUUUCACUUCAAUAUUUUUAUUUUGUAAAAGAAAUAGAAAUAAAAUCAACAAAUUAAACAAUUGAAUUAAGUUAGUUUAAUUUUGCCACCGUUAAAUUGGUAAAUGAAGACUCUUAUAUUUGAUAUUAACAUGAACAUCAUGACUUCAUUGAAUCUCACAAGAAAAUUUUAGUUUGAAAGAUUUUAUUCUUUAAUCAUGUGGCACAUAUUAAAGUGAGACCAAGUCUUCCCUAUAAUUUGUAUCUAUCACAAUUUCUUUCCUAAUGAAUAGCCUUUUUGAAUAGAAAAUAGACUUUAGCAUGCAUGGUGGGGCCUAGCUAUCAAACUACUAGUCAAAGCAACUCAUGGGCAAGAAUGAUGUACCAACUAGAUUAAGUAUUCUCCAUCUAGUUGCAUAUCAAGAGUAAUUUAGUAGUAUCUUUCUUGUGUACCUCAUUUCUAGACUUUCAAUGGAGAGUUUUUUAUCUUAAAAUUUGAUGUGGGUUUUCAUACUAGUCUUGGUUCAGAUAUGUGAAUGCAAAGGUUGCAUCGAAGAAGAGAAGUAGGCUAAGUCAUCUUACAAAUUUUCAAGUUCAAAUUAGAUGCAUCAAACAUGUGCAACAUAUUUGAUAUAACUAAUAUUUUACCAAGCAACUAAAUACUUUAUAUAUAUAUAUAUAUAUAUAUAUAAAUUUAUUGAUGAUCAAUGAAUACACAUGUAUGGUAUUGACACGGUUUGAUAAAUCUUUUAAAAUAGUAUUAGAAUAACUUUGCUAAAAAAAGUAAAAAUAAAAAUAAAAAUACAUAUAUAUAUAUAUAUAUAAAAUAAAAAAUUUUAAAAGAAUAUAUAUAUAUUAGUGGUCCCACAACUCAUUAGCUACUCAUAAGCUUUAUAUCAUUUUCUUAAAGUCAAGUCAUUUACAAUUAUUUCUAUCUAGCCUUCUCCGUUGCGACAACUGUACAAGAUAUUAAUUGAUUGAAAAAAUCAUCAUGUCUUUUUUGAUAGGAUAGUUUUUUUUUUUAUUCAAAGAACUUUCAAAUCCUUUAUGUCUAGUGGUCCUACAAUUCCUUAUUCAUUGGUAUUUCAUAUUACCAAUCAUUUUACAAAUAAGUUAAUUUCACUCGGUAAAUAUACUUAACCACCAAUGGUUUCCAAUUUGUAACACUCUUAUAGAUGUAGUUUGUUUUUAAAUUUGAUUUUUUAGAAGAAUUGUAGGUAAAAAUAUUUUAGCUAUAUAUGUUCAACAAUUCUCUAAAAACAAUUUAUAUAGAUGGAAUACAUUCAUGGAAGUUCCAACUAAUGAAAUUUAAAACCAAUGAUGAUUUAAUGUAUUUGUACUAAAUCUUAGGGAGUGUGGACUAAAAUUAGCCCUUUUACAAAUAUUUAUAACUAGUAUAUUUGUAGUUGUGGUAUUGGAAGUUGAUCAUUUUCUUAAAAGGUUUACCAUUGAAGUUAGUUGAAUAUAAAGUUAGGUGAACUUUACCAUUGUUAAAUUGGUAAAUGAAGACUCUUAGAUUUGAUACUAACAUGUACAUCAUGACUUCAUGGAAUCUCUCACAAGGAAAUUUUAGUUUGAAAGACUUCAUCUUUUAAACAUGUGGCACAUAUUAAAGUGAGACCAAGUCUUCCCUAUAAUUUGUAUCUAUCACAAUUUCUUUCCUCAUAAAUAGCCUUUUUGAAUAGAAUUAAUAUAGACUUUAGCAUGCAUGAUGGGCCCCGUCAAACUAUUAGUCAAGAUAAUUUGUAGGUAAGAACGAUGGACCAACUAUAUUAAAUACUCUUCAUCUAUUUGCAUAUCAAGAGCAACUUAAUAUUGUCUUUCUUUUGUACUUCAUGUUUGAACUUUCAAUGGAGAGUUUGUCAUCUAAAUAUUUGAUGUGGGUUUUUAUACUACUCUUGGUUCAAAUAUGUGGAUGCAAAGGUUGCAUCAAAGAAGAGAAGAUGGGUUUGCUUGAAUUCAAGGCUUUUCUUAAAUUGAAUAAUGAGCAUGCAGAUUUUCUUCUCCCUUCAUGGAUAGAUAACAACACUAGUGAAUGUUGUAAUUGGGAGCGGGUUAUUUGCAAUCCCACCACAGGUCGAGUUAAGAAGCUUUUCCUCAACGAUAUAACGCGACAACAAAAUUUCUUGGAAGACGAUUGGUACCAUUAUGAAAAUGUCAAAUUCUGGUUACUAAAUGUCUCCCUAUUCCUUCCUUUUGAAGAACUUCACCAUCUAAACUUGUCUGCAAACUCAUUUGAUGGGUUUAUUGAGAAUGAAGGUAUGUUACCUCUCACCUUUAAAAUUUCUUUUCACUUAUACUCCAAACAUUCUAAAGGAACUACUAGCAUAUGUUCUUAAAAGUGUUCAGGUGGAGACCAAAUGGUCACUAGUAACUAUUGAAUUUAAUAUAAGAACAAUUACUAAUUAUUAAAAUUUAUAAUGUAAAUUAACAUUUAAACAAAACAAUAAAAAAAUUAUUAUUUUAGAAAACUAUAGAUUACAUUAGCCUUAUAUAUAUAAGCAUACUUGUAAUUUAUGCCAUCAUUUCACACUCAACCCAAUUAGUGGGAUUCAACUAAGAGUGAGCAAUUUCACAAUUAUUAAUUAACAAAAACACUUAGGCUCCCAUAUCCUUAUCCUUUUUGCUGAAUUGUCUUUCCUUAUCUUCCAUUCCUAAAAAGCUUGAUUUCUAUAUUCCAAAUUGAUAGAGAUUGGUUAAAGAAAGGUGAUCACAAAAUUUGACUAUUGCUUUCAAAUGAGGAAUCACCAUCUUCAAAAUUUCACAUUUAAAAAAAAAAAAAAAAAAAAAACUAGCCUCGGGUAAGGUCCAAGCCUUAUUGUUUUAAGCUGAUGUCGGGUUGGUUUAAUAAUGAACAGAGUAAAUCCCAACCCAUGACCAUCUACGCAUUUCCAAAUUCCACCCAUCCACAACCCAUUAAUAUGACAUUUUCAGGGACAAAAUUUAAUCAAUUAAACCUAUUAGAUGGAUUCUCCAUACAAUGUUAAAAUGAAUAUAAAAACUUUAAUUCAAAAAAUAAUUUCCUUUAUUUAGUUAGGAUUCAAAUUAUAGGGGCACAAAACAUGAAAAUUUUCAUGUUUAAAAUUCACAAAGAUCACAAAAGCUCUUUGAAGCUCUAUGGACUUUUUUAUUUCUAACAUUUAAACACAAAAAUCACCAAAUUGAAUUAGAAACUUGGAUGCAUAUUCUUAUAUUAAAGACAUGUAAGCUUACAUAUUUAAAUAUGAAGAUCUCAACUUGUAAUUACAUGCUUCUAAUUAAAGUUAUAUUACUCUAUUUUACAGGAUUUAAAGGGUUAUCAAGUUUAAAGAAAUUGGAGAUCUUGGACAUAAGUGGUAAUGAGUUUGACAAAAGUGCCUUAAAAUCUUUGGGCACAAUAACAUCACUCAAGACAUUGGCUAUUUGCAGCAUGGGACUGAAUGGAUCUUUUUCCAUUCGAGGCAUGUUAUAUGUCCACAUUGUUUCUUUGAAAUUAAGUAAAAUGUAUUUCUAACUUUUAAUGUUCCUUAGUUAAUCUCUCUUUUGAUUCAUGUUUGUUGCAGAAUUAGCUAGUUUGAGAAAUUUGGAAGUGUUGGAUCUAAGCUAUAAUGAUUUGGAAAGCUUUCAACUAUUGCAAGGUACUUCAUUAACUUGCUAAAAAAACUUAUGAUAUUUUGUUAUUAAAUUAAAGGUAAGAUUAACAAACAAUUUCUUCCCAUUAGUUACUUUUCUUUGUAAUAUCAUUAAAUUUGAUAUAAAAUAGUCUAAAUCAUCCUUUCAAUUUAUAAGUUUUAAUUAAAACGCAUCAAGCAUGCACAAGGUGUUUAAUAUAACUAAUAUUUUCAUAAGUAAUUGAAUUUUUUUUAUGAAUUAAUUAACUUGAUUAUCAAUAAAUACUUACAUGUAUAAGAUUAAUAUAGUUUCAUAAGUAUUUUAAAAUUGUCUUACAACACACACACACACACACAGAGGGAAAAUGAAAGGUAUGUGAUACAUUUAUGCUAUGUUUGGUUCCCAAAAAAAUUGAGGGAAAAUGAAAGGAGAAAAAAGUGGAGAGGAAAAGUAAAAGAAAAGAAAAAAAGUGAAGAAAAAUAUAAAAUUGAUUAAAGUAAAUACAUGUUACUUUAAACUUUUUUACUUAUUUUAAUUCUUCAAUGUAAGGAUGAAAGAUUUGAAAAUGCAUAAGUUUCUAAUUUUUUUAUUUUAUUUUAUAGUUUUUACAAUACAACCAAACAUACUAAAAUCAUUUUCUUUAAUUUUUUUUUCUUUUCUUAAUACUUUUCACGAACCCUUAAGUUAUGUUUGGUUUGCAGAAAAUAUGAGGAAUAGCAAAUAGAAAAGAAAAUUAGAAGGAAAGAAAAAAUGAAGUAAAAUAAAAAUAAAUUUAAAUUUAAUAAAUUAUUUUUAUAUGCUACUUUAAGCUUAUUUCACUUAUUUUAAAUUAUUUAAACUCAUUUCUAAUAAAUAAUAAUGGAAAUUGUAGAGAAGUUUGUGUUAUUCAAGCUUUGCAAUGACUUUUCAAGGUGAAGGAAAAUAUUCUUGCUGAAAUUGAAAAAGGAAAUACCUUCUUAAAUAGCCUAUUGACCGAAAACACAUUACCCUAACAUAUACACACACCUUUAUUAUUUAUACAAUCAUGUAAUACUUAAUCCAGUUAGUGGGAUUCUAGUGGUUGUUUCUAUCUUGGUUUCCAAUAUUUCUGAUUGAUAGUGUUCGAUUAAUGAAAUAUCAUAAAUUUUGACCCCAAUAAGGACCAAUCCCUAUUAAAUGUAAUUGGGUUAACCUAAGACUAAAUGCUAGACCCAACUAAUAAAAACCCAUCUGUUUGUUGGAGUCUAAAUAACCUGGCCUUAGGUAGAGCCCAUGCCUUAUUAUUUUAAGAUGUAGUCCAACUGGUUUAACACUAGAUUGAGUAAAGCCCAACUUAUGAGCAUCUGUGCAUUUCCAUCCAUCCACAACCUACUGGCAUGGAUAAACUUUGGUCAAUUAAACCUAUUAUAACUGUAUACAAAAUUUUAAGUUCAAAAGAUAAUUUUCCUUAUUUAGUUAGGAUUCAUAUUAAAAAGGCACAAAACAUGAAUUUUCAUGUUUAAAUUCACAAAUACCACGAAAGCUCCUUCAAGCUCUAUGGACCAUUUUAUUUGUAACAUUAUAUUACUCUUAAUUAUCAAAUUAACCAACAAAUUCUUCUCAUUACUUAUCUUUCUUUUGUAAUGUCAUAAAAUUUGAUGUAAAGUAGUAUUGGUCAUCAUUUCAACUUUCAGGUUCCAAUUAGAUGCAUCAAGCAUGUGCAACAUAUUUGAUAUAACUAAUAUUUUUAUAAGUAAUUGAAUUUUUUUUUUCUAUAAAUCAAUUAACUUGAUUAUCAAUGAAUACUUUCAUACAUGAUAUUGAUGUAGUUUCAUAAAUAUUUUAAAAUAGUCAUAGAAGUCUUUUAUCUGAUUCACUAGAAAGAAAAAUAAACUAUUCUAAUGAAAAUACUUGAUGAUUUGAAGUGAUUGCUUUUGAUUUUAUUUGAUUGCUACCAUUAUUAAUUGUUAGAAAUUGGCAACAAAUACCCAUUUUGCAUCACUUCUAUAUGCAUCGGGGGAAUGAAUUAUAUUUCAUAGAGCUAACAGGGCAAAACUCAAACUUUUGGAAUUAUGGAAAAUGUUGCUAGAAAGCUAAUUAACCAUUUAUAUUAUGAUUAAGACUAGUUGGGUUAGAAAUAAUUCAUAUGGAGAUUAAAAAAAACUAUGUAAUUUAGUUUAGUAGCUUGGGUGCUAUUGUAAUGAUUAAUGAUCUGCAACUUGAACACAUCUACUAGUGCUUUCUACUUGUAUAGCUAAAUUUAUGUUACCACUUUGAACUAGAGUACUUACAUGAGAAGAAAGCUUUUCCCUAGUGAUAAUGCAAAAGAAAUUAAGUAUCAAUUUUUGUUAAAAAUAACAAGUGAUAGUUUAGAUAUGGUUUGAAUACACUUUCUUUCUUCUAUUUUUUUAUUUUGAAAAAAAAAACUCUUUAAUGAAAUAUAAGAAAUCUUAUAUGUAUAAAAAUUAAAGACUUAAACAAAAAAAUUUGAAAUUUUGAAAAUUUUCGAGAAGUAUUUUUAAGAAUUUGUAUUUUUAGUAUAAUAAUUCCUAUAUUUUGUAUAAAAGUUUUUGUUUAAAAAAAUAGAAGUGUAUCCAAAUUACAAAUUAAUUGUUAAAUUAAGAAUGUUUCUCAGAUCAAGAGAUAAUGAAAGUUGUAGAGAGUUUGCAUUACUCAACCUUUGCAAUUACUUUUUGAAGGUAAAAAAAAAAUACCUUCCUACAUAACAUACAAUGGUAGGUUCUGGUUUGUAAGAAACUAAUAAAUGAUUAAGAAUAUGAAUAAGACUUCCUUUAUAAUAGAUAUGUAGAGAAGAAUAGUGGAUGAUAGGUGGUGAAAAUCUUGUAAUAAAAUAUCAAUAUCGGUUAUAAGAUAAUCAACAUUUUCUCUAUUUCUUGUACCUAUGUGAUUAAGAAUCUUGUAGCUCCCUUAUUGAAAUAUAAUAUAAAAAUAUAAAUAAACUAUUUAGAAGUGCAUGUAGUUUUCAACAUGAGGAAGUUCAAAAGCAAGUUAAUUAUGAUAAUUUUCCAUAGUCUAUAUUGAACACAAAUUAUUUUUACUAAAGGUUCAAUCGUUCUAUGAAGGUUAAAAGUUUGAAUUGUUUACAUAUGCAAAUGUGAAAUUUGAAAGUUUAUAAUUUUUUAUAAUUUUCUUGUAGAUUCAAAAAGCUUGUCCAUAUUCAAAAAGCUCGAGACCUUGAACCUCAAUUACAACAAGUUCAAAAACACUAGCCUACAACAAUUGGAUAUAUUUACAUCCCUUAAAAAUCUUUCUCUAAGAUGGAACAAUGUUGGAGGAUUUUUUCCUAUCCAAGGUAUGUGUAAUUAUUAUUAUUAUUAUUUUUAAUGAUGAAAUAUUAGAAUUGUCAACAUCUUUUAUCUUUUUUUCCCCUCAAUGGUGUUGCAGAAUUAUGCACUCUGGAAAACUUGGUGAUGUUAGACCUAAGUGGGAAUUUCUUUUUUGGCAUGCAAGGUAAAUACAAAGUGAAGUUUUGGUUAUAUAUAUAUAUAUAUAUAUAUAUAUAUAUAUCAUGUAAGAACAUAACUAAAAUCAACAUUAUUUGCCUAUCAAUUUGUGCAUGACUAUUAUUUAGUUAUUCUUCGUAACAUAAUUGAAAGAAUGUCUAGGUGUACAACAUUUAAGAAUUUUACAUGGCACAAUGAAAAACAUGGUAAUCAAUGUGUGCAAUAAAAUUCUAAUAGUUGAAAAAGAAUUUUCUUGUAAUUUUAUGUUCAUGUAUAGUAAUCAAAGAGAAAAUCAUGAAAAUGUAUAUUAGUUAGACUUUAUAUAUCAAUAGACAAAAAAGAAAGAAAAAAAAAGAUUAGUUCCUUAACUUAUCCUAAAAUUUUCUAGAUAACAAGGAGUUUUUUUAUUUUGGGCUAUAAGGUUUACAACCUGAAAAGUGAAGAUGAUUAAUAUUAGUAAUAAAAUUUUAAAAUAUAAAAAUUAGUGAAAUAAUGUUCUCUAUAACUAUAACUCCAACUGCAACUAUUAAUAAAAGAUAAUAAAGGUACUUUAGACUUUGAAUCCAUGGUUAGGUUUGCAAUUUUUUGAUGAUCAAUAAAGCUACAACUUAUGCUGCAAAAGGCUAUACAAAAUGUAUUAGGAGCAUUGCUAAGCUCAUUUAUCAAUAAAGGAAAUCCAGUAAUACUUUGAUUGGAAAAAACCUAGAAUCAUGUUUGAUAUAUAAUAGGUGAAGAAACAAAAUAACAAUUCCAUGGUAUUAGUUAGUUUGAUAUCUCUUUUGUUAUAUGGAAUAACUAUUCCAUUUUAAAAUAAUUAUUUCAUCUUAUCGCUAGAACAAAAAAUUUCAGGCGAUUAUAUGGGCUUUUGGGUUUCUUAAGAAUUUAAGCAUUUAUGGGUCACCCAUAUAUAUAUAGGAAGAAUAAAAAAAAAAAUAUUCUAUGGAGACAAGGGUAGACACCCAUAAAUGUACAUAUAAUUAUUUAAAUAAAAAUAUCAAUAAGAAACAAUAUACAACAAAAUAGAAAAUUUUAAUCUUCCUAAAUUUUAAAAAUAGAAAAUAAAUGAAAAAAAAUUAAAAAGUAAAAAAAAAAAAAAAAAAAGGUCAAGAAUACAAAUAGAUAAGUAAACAAAAUAUAAAAAAAAUACAUAAAUUAAAAUUAAAAUUUUUUUAAAAAAAAUACAUAGAUUAAUAUGAACACUAAAUGAGGUUUUUUGAGAUAGACUUAGUUAGACUUGAACUAGAUGGAUAUUAAAAAAAAUAAAAAUAAAAAUUCAAAGAAAUAAAAACUAAUUAGAUGCUAAAUAUUGGAUUAAAAUAACCAAAUGAAUAAAGAGUAAUUAUUAAUUUUUAACAUUUUUUAUUCCUUAGAAUUAUUAUUUUGUGUAUUAAAUGUAUUAUGAGUGUAGUGGUAUAAAAAAUGUAGUUAAGAAUACUAUGAAGAAUAAUAAUGGUGAUGAUAAUGGUGACGACACUUAAUACCUUUUAUUGUACAUUUAGAAAAAAUGAGGUUCUUGAUCUUUAUGAAGAUUAUCAUUACUCAUCCGCAAGCAUGUUGAUAGUUGAAACUACUCAAUUAUCAAAAAUUGAAUUUCUAACCUUCAAUUUUUCUCUCUCAAAUGUAUAUGUGGGUGAGAAAGCACUAGGUAGGUUAUAAGGUCUCACAUGUAUAUGAGUCAUAGGAUAAAAAAUAUAGAGACAAUACUAGCAUUUAUUUGAUCCAGUGGCAAAUAGAGAAAUAUAACAUAACCAUAACCAUAAUGUUCUAACCUUAUAUAUACCAGAACCAUGUUUCCUUCAUUCAAUUUUGCAACUUUUUCUUUUCAAAUUAGAAUGUAACUCGUAGGAUCCAUUGUCCAUCAAAAUUUUGAAUCGAAUAUUAUAAGAUAUUUCACAUUUCUACCUACUAAAGCAUGAGCUUCAAUGUUCUCAUGCACUUUUGGCUACUAAGUUAAAGAACUCUUUGAGGGUUAAUGGAGUUUCUAUGAGUAGCAAAGCAUUAUAAUCACAAAGUCUUAUCAGUGAUAUGCAAUUUAACCAAGAACUUAUUCCCAACUAUUUUAUGACUUUUCUUGGCUACUUGUAGGCAAGCUAAAGAAAUUUUCUGGUUUGUUCAAGUCUAAAAAGUGGUUUCAAGUUUAGGGCCAAGCUUGGGCUGCACCUAGGUCCUUGGGCCUUAUUCAGCUCCACGUUUAAACCAACCUUGAGUCCAUCUUUGUAAUUUUUCUCCCAAUUCAUUGAUUUAUAUUAGGAUUUUAUAAAGCCUAUAAAUUGACCAACUAAAUAAAGUAGGUUCAUAAACUUUUAGGUGAAAAUUUUCUCUCUAAUAAAUGUUAAUUCAAGAGUCUCCGUAAUCUUUUUAUAUUCAUAUUAAUUGGUAUUUAAACUGACCUUACUAUAUUAAAGUCAAAUACCAAAUAGUGAACACUAUAUCUGCUACUACCACUAUGAUGGUCACAAACAUAGAAUGCUCCUUUUUUUAGAGUCAAUUGAUGCUUAUAAACAACAACUUUGUUUGAAAAUAAAAUACAUCGAGUGAUUGCAUCAAGAGAUUGAUGUAAUAAUUGCAUACUUGAUCUUGAUAAUGCUGAGUUGACUAAAUAAAUGAGUAUUUACUUAUAAGGUAGCCCAUAGAACAUUAUUUGUGGAAAUAUUCAUGCACCUCUACAUAUGUUCAUGAUAACUUAGGUUGAUAAAUUUAAGAAGAACAAAUUCAUAACCUUGGGCAUAGUUAGUAAGAAAUUUCACCAAUAGAGUUUGGUAUCAUGAUUCUAAUUGUUCAAAUUGUUUUAAAGGAGUAUUUUAAAUUGCAUGUUAAUUUGCUUCUAAUAAAUGGAGAGAAACCAAUUCAAGAAGAGAAUUGUACUCAAGCUAUGUAUAACAUUCAUGAAGAUGUAGAAAAUAUUGAUGAACUUACUUUUGAGCAAGUUGAAAUCAUAAUUAAAUAAAAGAACAAACCCAAGGGUUAAGAUUGUCAAGUAAAACUUUAACUAAAAUUUAUUGAUUUUUUAAAUGCCUAUUAGAGGGACAAUAGAAGUUCUAGAUAAAAAGUAAGAACUUUUCUAAGGAAUCACUUGUUAGAUUUUAAGUGAUCAAUAAAUAUAAUGUCCAAUUUAAAACUUUUAUAAAAGCAAUGCUUCUAAAGAAUAACUUGAUUUGAAUUUAAAGUUAUUAUUGAUAUUUGUUUAUAAUGGAUGUAGUUAAUCAACUGAACAUAGUAAAAAACACAUAAAUUUUUCAAAAUACCUUCUAGUUGUUGGGUAUAUUUAAAUAGUCAUCCAUAUCUCAUUAUCUUUUCACUCACAUACUAAUCUCCUUAUUGAGUAUUUACCAAUUACAAGUAGGUUGAAAGUUACUUGAAUUUAAGUCACUAAUCAAUGUUAACUUGAUAACAAAUAAGUCUCUCUUUGAAACUUGUUUUACAAGAUAGCGAAAUGUAGUCGAUCAAUCAUCAAAACAAUGUUCAAGCAUUAGGAUUUAGUUGUUAAUUUUUAUUUUUAUUUUUUGUGCUUAAACAAAGACAAAAAUGAUAAAAACUCCUUAAAAGUACAUAGUAAUUGAAUUUAAUUUAUACAUCAAACAAGAACAAACUAGUCUUGGAUUUAAAAUUCAUCAGGUUUUGUAAUUAUAAUUCCUAAAAAUUUGUAAGACAACAAAAUUAUUGGGCACUAGGUUAUUGGGUGUGUAUGACUAAGAGGUGAAGGAGGGUUCAUCUUAUACAAAGGAUGAUUUGAUUAAUUUUAAAGAUUGGAUAAACAAUAAUUGCAUAUUCAAGUAAAAAUAACAUUGCUAAAAAGGAAAAUAAGUAUUUUAGUCCUCAAACCUAAAAUGGCUAAAAAUUUUAAUUAAUACAAUACAACUUCACCUACAAAAGAAAAAAAAAACCCAAAACUUUUCAAUAGCACAACUAAGUCCAUUUAUCAAAAAAAAGAAAUAUAAGGAAGUUGGACUCAUUUACUAGCAAUUUAACAUAUGACUAAAACCUAUUGAAGAAUUUGCAAUAGCACUUACUUUGGUCAUGUCCAAACUUAUUGCACAUGGUGCAAAAAGGGGUAGUGCUCGAGGAUGCUUCCACAUAAGAAAGACCCUACUUAACUGUUACAAAGGUUAUUUUCCCACUUGUGGGAAUGCUAACCUUGCUAAUAUAUUAUAUGCCAUGUUUAUCAUAUACAAAUUUUUCUUUACUAAAUAUUUCUUUAAUGAUCUUGGACCUAAAAUUAAAUAUUUCAUUAGUAUUGGUCAUGUCGUUCCUCAACUUUUCAACUUUUAGAGUUAAAUCUUUAUCUUUAUCAUUGAUAGUUUUAUGUUUAGUCCCUAGAAACUUCACCUUAUUAACAAUAUGUUCAUUUAAUAUUUUGAUAUUUUUAAUUUUCAAAGAAUCAUAGAGCUCAUUAAUUUUAAUGUCUUUUUAUUCACUUUUAUGCUUUCAACCUUUGUUUUUAGUUUUCCUAUAAUAAUGCAUCAUAGACCCCAUGUAUAUCAUUAAAAUAAAACUCAUUUUUUUCAUUAGGAUUCAAUUAACCCAAUGGAUCAUAAUCAAAAUUAGUUGCAUAUGAACAAAAGCAAUAAGAUUAUCAUUUUGUACAUCUUUACUUUCAUUUGAGUUCUUAGCCCUACAAUCAUCAAACAUGGAAUUACUCCAAGUUACCUACAUAGCCUUCAUACCUAAUGUUUUUAAGGCAAGGACAAUCAACAACCAUGUGUCCCAUUCCCCCAAUGGUUCACUACGAAAUCAAGGUACAUAUGUUAUGCUUUCUUUGUUUCAUAGUGAUUAGAGAGGAUAAACAUUGUAAAAAAAAAAGUUGUCAUAGUUAAUGUAAGCUAAAACUAAAAAACUUGCUUUUUCAAUUGUGUAAGCAUGUUUUGUUCUUGAUGAAUAUUUACAACAUUCAGAGUUACUAAUGUUUAUAAUUCACAGAGACCUCAUUAACAACAAGUAACAACUAAUUGUAAGUAACCAUGAAAAAAAAAUAAGGAGAAAAAUAAAGGAAAAUCAAGGAAAGUGUCAAAUUUUUUCAUCCCCAUAAAAAAUGCUAAGGAAGAAAAAUGUGAAGAAAGUUUAAAGAAAGUAUAUUUUUCAAAAAUUGAAUUUUCUUUCCCUUAAAGUUGGUAUGGACAACCAAACAAGAAAAUGAUUUUUAAAUUCUUUUUUGACCUUUUUCUAUCAUUCUUUUUUUUUUCCCCCUACUCUAUUUCCUUUCCCUCAAACUUUCUAGGUAGUAAACAUUACCUAAGAUAAAUAGGGAAGAAAAUAUUUUAUCAUUUAUUUAUUUAGUAUUUUUCUUACCUUUUUUUGUAUUUUAUCCAAAUAUAAGAAAACUACUUUUCUUUAUUUUUUCUUUUCCUUGUUGCUUUUCAAGAAUCAAGCAUACUUUAAACUCUAAUUAAGAGUUACAUAGAUUUACAGAGAAACAAUGCAACUAGUAACAAAAAAUUAAGGAAAUUUAAUUUUUUAAUUUUUGAGAGUAAGUAUAAUAAGAUUGGUUUGUUUGAUACAAAAUUUGAAUAAAAAUUAUUUUAAUGAAAAUUCAAGGAAAGGAAAAAAAAAAAAAAAAACUUGAUCUCUAGACUAUAAUACUAAAUCAAUUAAAAAAUCUCCUAACAUCGUUUAUGUUCAUCUUUUUUUUUUUAUGGAUUUGAAAAACCCAAUAAUUUGGAGAAAACUGAUUCAAGGAAGAAUAAUUUUUAGAAUAAAAUAUUAUUAUUUAAGAAGAUCAUAAAUUUUAUAGUCAUUGUUGAAAAUGAUAAAUGAUUAAAAAAAAAAAGGUAGUUGGAAAUUUAGAUACUUUUAUAAGACAAAUGCAUUUUUCUAGUCUGGUAUGAAAAAAGGUAAAAUGAUAGGCUUUGAUCAUUUUUCAAGUUAGUUUGUUUAAAUCAUUUUAAUUUAUUUUGAUUUAAGAACAAUAACUUUUAUUACACUAGUUAUUUUGAUUUUCUUUUGAUAGAUUUUGCAAGCUUAAGCAAUUUGGAGCUAUUGGAUUUGAGUUAUAAUUUAUUUAGUGGGAGCAUUCCAUCAUCUAUAAGAUUGAUGUCUUCUAUCAAGUCUUUAUCCUUGGCUGAAAAUUACCUCAAUGGUUUCUUAGCAAAUCAAGGUACAUAUAUUGUGAUUACAGGUUUUUCUAUUUUCUUUUUUAAUAUCUUGUUUGUUCUUUAUGCCAAUUAAGUCAUGCAUGUCUAUUAAUUUUUGGUAUUUAAUGAAAAACUUUAUUCUUAAUUCAUAAAGACCUCAUCAACUAUAAGUAACAGUUAGUUCUAAGUUUGGGGGCAUUGACAAGACGAGGAGAUGAUUGGUUACAUGUCUUAUUCUCUUUUGUUGGCUUUUGCCAAUUGAAUAAGUUUCAAGAAUUAGAUUUUUCUUACAACUUAUUCCAAGGAAUCCUUCCUCCAUGUUUGAAUAAUUUGACAUCUUUGAGGUUAUUGGAUCUCUCUUCCAACCUAUUCUCCGGAAAUCUUUCUUCCCCUCUGUUACCUAAUCUCACAUCCCUGGAGUACAUCGAUCUCAGUUACAAUCAUUUUGAGGGUUCAUUCUCUUUCAGCUCUUUUGCUAAUCACUCCAACUUUCAAGUGGUCAAACUUGGAAGGAAUAACAACAAAUUUGAGGUAGAAACUGAAUAUCCAGUUGAUUGGGUUCCCCUAUUUCAGUUGAAAGCUCUUAUGCUAUCCAACUGUAAGCUCAUCGAUGACCUUCCUGGUUUUCUUCGACACCAAUUAAGAUUAACCGUGGUUGAUCUCUCCCAUAAUAACUUGACUGGAAGUUUCCCCAUUCAGCAGCUUGAAAACAAUACAAGACUAGGAUCUCUAGUUUUGAGGAAUAACUCUUUAAUGGGUCAACUACUUCCCCUGAGACCUAAUAGUCGUAUCACUUUAUUGGAUAUCUCAGACAACCGACUUCAUGGGGAACUUCAACAAAAUGUGGCCAAUAUGAUUCCAAAUAUUGAGUUUCUAAAUUUAUCCAACAAUCUUCCCCUUCAUUUCAUCCAUAUUUGGAUCUACCUUUAAAUCUCUAUUGCAUACAACCCAUAUAUGAUUCCCUCUAAAUUUAGCCUUCAUUUCUUGUUAAGAGGUUUUAAAAGCCAGCAAUUUAAUUUACUUUCAUCCUCUAUAUAGAUGAGAACUCUUAUAUUUAUCCAAUGAUAGGUAACAUUUUUGCAAAUGCUUUUAUUUGAUUUUUUUAAUUGGUCUUAAAAAUAAGUGUUAAUAAAGAUCCACAAUAUAAAAUAAUAAAUUAUAUCUCAAUUGACCUCAAGAUACUAUUUACUUCUACUAACUCAUUUUACAUCUCAAUUGUUCUUAAAAAGUCUAUAAUGGUAAUUAACUAUAGAAUUCAAGUUUUAAUUAUGCAAAAAAUAUAUAAAGGUUUUUAAAAUUAAUAGAAAAAAAGAUUCUAAUAAAUAAUAAGUAGAUUGAAACAUUUAUUUCUAGAAGUAGAGAAAGAUGGAGGAUCAUAAAAGUUGAAAAAAGAAUAAUUUGGAAGUCAUAAAAUUUUGGAAAAAGAAUAAUUCAUAGAGACCUCAUUAACAACAAGUAACAACUAAUUGUAAGUAACCAUGAAAAAAGUAAGGAGAAAAAUAAGGGAAAAGCAAGGAAAGUAGCAAAUUUUUUCAUCCCCAUAAAAAAAUGAUAAGGAAGAAAAAAGUGAAGAAAGUUUAAAGAAAGCAUAUUCUUCAAAAAUUGAAUUUUCUUUCCCUUAAAAUUGGUAUGGACAACCAAACAAGAAAAUGAUUUUUAAAUUCUUUUUUGACCUUUUUCUAUCAUUCUUUUUUUUCCCCCUACUCUAUUUCCUUUCCCUCAAACUUUCUAGGUAGUAAACAUUACCUAAGAUAAAUAGGGAAGAAAAUAUUUUAUCAUUUAUUUAUUUAGUAUUUUUCUUACCUUUUUUGUAUUUUAUCCAAAUAUAAGAAAACUAUUUUUCUUUAUUUUUUCUUUUCCUUGUUGCUUUUCAAGAAUCAAGCAUGCUUUAAACUCUAAUUAAGAGUUACAUGGAUUUACGGAGAAACAAUGCAACUGGUAACAAAAAAUUAAGGAAAUUUAAUUUUUGAGAGUAAGUAUAAUGAGAUUGGUUUGUUUGAUACAAAAUUUAAAUAAAAAUUCUUUCAAUGAAAAUUCAAGGAAAGGAAAAAAAAACAAAUUUAUCUCUAGACUAUAAUACUAAAUCACUUAAAAAAAACUCCUAACAUCGUUUAUGUUCAUCUUUCUUUUUAUGGAUUUGAAAAACCCAAUAAUUUGGAGAAAACUGAUUCAAGGAAGAAUAAUUUUUAGAAUAAAAGAUUAUUAUUUAAGAAGAUCAUAAAUAUUAUAGUCAUUGUUGAAUAUGAUAAAUGAUUAAAAAAAAAAAAGGUAGUUGGAAAUUUAGAUACUUUUAUAAGACAAAUGCAUUUUUCUAGUAUGGUAUGAAAAAAAGGUAAAAUGAUAGGCUUUGAUCAUUUUUUAAGGUAGUUUGUUUAAAUCAUUUUAAUUUAUUUUGAUUUAAUAACAAUAACUUUUAUUACACUAGUUAUUUUGAUUUUCUUUUGAUAGAUUUUGCAAGCUUAAGAAAUUUGGAGGUAUUGGAUUUGAGUUAUAAUUCAUUUAGUGGGAUCGUUCCAUCGUCUAUAAGAUUGUUGUCUUCUCUCAAGUCUUUAUCUCUGGCUGGAAAUCACCUCAAUGGUUCCUUAGCAAAUCAAGGUACAUAUAUUGUGAUUACAGGUUUUUCUAUUUUCUUUUUUAAUAUCUUGUUUGUUCUUUAUGCCAAUGAAGUCAUGCAUGUCUAUUAAUUUUUGGUAUUUAAUAAAAAACUUUAUUCUUAAUUCAUGAAGACCUCAUCAACUGUAAGUAACAACUAGUUGUAAAUUUGGGGGCAUUGAUAAGACGAGGAGAUGAUUGGUUACAUGUCUUAUUCUCUUUUGUAAGCUUCUGCCAAUUGAAUAAGCUUCAAGAGUUAGAUUUUUCUUACAACUUAUUCCAAGGGAUCCUUCCUCCAUGUUUGAAUAAUUUGACAUCUUUGAGGUUAUUGGAUCUCUCUUCCAACCUAUUCUCCGAAAAUCUUUUUUCCCCUCUGUUACCUAAUCUCACAUCCCUGGAGUACAUCGAUCUCAGUUACAAUCAUUUUGAGGGUUCAUUCUCUUUCAGCUCUUUUACUAAUCACUCCAACCUUCAAGUGGUCAAACUUGGAAGGAAUAACAACAAAUUUGAGGUAGAAACUGAAUAUCCAGUUGGUUGGGUUCCCCUGUUUCUGUUGAAAGCUCUUGUCCUAUCCAACUGUAAGCUCAUCGGUGAUCCUGGUUUCCUUCGACACCAAUUAAGAUUAACCGUGGUUGAUCUCUCCCAUAAUAAUUAGACUGGAAGUUUCCCCAUUUGGCUGCUUGAUAACAAUACAAGACUAGGAUCUCUAGUUCUGAGGAAUAACUCUUUAAUGGGUCAACUACUUCCCCUGAGACCUAAUAGUCGUAUCACUUUAUUGGAUAUCUCAGACAACCGACUUCAUGGGGAACUUCAACAAAAUGUGGCCAAUAUGAUUCCAAAUAUUGAGUUUCUAAAUUUAUCCAACAAUCAUCCCCUUCAUUUCAUCCAUAUUUGGAUCUACCUUUAAAUCUCUAUUGCAUACAACCCAUAUAUGAUUCCCUCUAAAUUUAGCCUUCAUUUCUUGCUAAGAGGUUUUAAAAGCCAGCAAUUUAAUUUACUUUCAUCCUCUAGAUUGAUGAGAACUCUUAUAUUUAUCCAAUGAUAGGUAACAUUUUUGCAAAUGCUUUUAUUUGAUUUUUUUAAUUGGUCUUAAAAAUAAGUGUUAAUAAAGAUCCACAAUAUAAAAUAAUAAAUUACAUCUCAAUUGACCUCAAGAUACUAUUUACUUCUACUAACUCAUUUUACAUCUUAAUUGUUCUUAAAAAGUCUAUAAUGGUAAUUAACUAUAGAAUUCAAGUUUUAAUUAUGCAAAAAAUAUAUAAAGGUUUUUAAAGUUAAUAGAAAAAGAGAUUCUGAUAAAUAAUAAGUAGAUUGAAACAUUUAUUUCUAGAAGUAGAGAAAGAUGGAGGAUCAUAAAAGUUGAAAAAAGAAUAAUUUGGAAGUCAUAAAAUUUUGGAAAAAGAAUAAUUCAUAGAGACCUCAUUAACAACAAGUAACAACUAAUUGUAAGUAACCAUGAAAAAAGUAAGGAGAAAAAUAAAGGAAAAUCAAGGAAAGUGACAAAUUUUUUCAUCCCCAUAAAAAAUGAUAAGGAAGAAAAAGGUGAAGAAAGUUUAAAGAAAGUAUAUUUUUCAAAAAUUGAAUUUUCUUUCCCUUAAAGUUGGUAUGGACAACCAAACAAGAAAAUGAUUUUUAAAUUCUUUUUUGACCUUUUUCUAUCAUUCUUUUUUUUUUCCUUACUCUAUUUCCUUUCCCUCAAACUUUCUAGGUAGUAAACAUUACCUAAGAUAAAUAGAGAAGAAAAUAUUUUAUCAUUUAUUUAUUUAGUAUUUUUUUUACCUUUUUUUGUAUUUUAUCCAAAUAUAAGAAAACUAUUUUUCUUUAUUUUUUCUUUUCCUUGUUGCUUUUCAAGAAUCAAGCAUACUUUAAACUUUAAUUAAGAGUUACAUAGAUUUACGGAGAAACAAUGCAACUGGUAACAAAAAAUUAAGGAAAUUUAAUUUUUGAGAGUAAGUAUAAUGAGAUUGGUUUGUUUGAUACAAAAUUUGAAUAAAAAUUCUUUCAAUGAAAAUUCAAGGAAAGGAAAAAAAACAAAUUUAUCUCUAGACUAUAAUACUAAAUCACUUAAAAAAAACUCCUAACAUCGUUUAUGUUCAUCUUUCUUUUUAUGGAUUUGAAAAACCCAAUAAUUUGGAGAAAACUGAUUCAAGGAAGAAUAAUUUUUAGAAUAAAAGAUUAUUAUUUAAGAAGAUCAUAAAUAUUAUAGUCAUUGUUGAAUAUGAUAAAUGAUUAAAAAAAAAAAAGGUAGUAGGAAAUUUGGAUACUUUUAUAAGACAAAUGCAUUUUUCUAGUAUGGUAUGAAAAAAAGGUAAAAUGAUAGGCUUUGAUCAUUUUUUAAGGUAGUUUGUUUAAAUCAUUUUAAUUUAUUUUGAUUUAAUAACAAUAACUUUUAUUACACUAGUUAUUUUGAUUUUCUUUUGAUAGAUUUUGCAAGCUUAAGCAAUUUGGAGGUAUUGGAUUUGAGUGGUAAUUCAUUUAGUGGGAUCGUUCCAUCGUCUAUAAGAUUGUUGUCUUCUCUCAAGUCUUUAUCUCUGGCUGGAAAUCACCUCAAUGGUUCCUUAGCAAAUCAAGGUACAUAUAUUGUGAUUACAGGUUUUUCUAUUUUCUUUUUUAAUAUCUUGUUUGUUCUUUAUGCCAAUGAAGUCAUGCAUGUCUAUUAAUUUUUGGUAUUUAAUAAAAAACUUUAUUCUUAAUUCAUGAAGACCUCAUCAACUGUAAGUAACAACUAGUUGUAAAUUUGGGGGCAUUGAUAAGACGAGGAGAUGAUUGGUUACAUGUCUUAUCACUACUACAAAAAUUGAAAUUAAUGACGCUUUAUUUUAUGACGCUUUCUAAAAGCGUCAUUAUUGAGGGUAUACAAUGACGCUUAUAAGAAGUGUCAUAGUUGUAUUAUUUAUCUUGAUACUGAUUAUAAGUGUCAUUAUUUGAUGUCAUCUUUUUCCUUGUAACUGUGUAUAUAAUGACGCUUAUAAGAAGCGUCAUAGUUUUAUUAUUUACCUUGACACUUAUUAUAAGCAUCAUUAUUUGAUGGGUAUGUAAUGACGUUCUUGAGAAGUGUCAUAGUUGUAUUGACUUUUAAAAUUUUUGUUUUUAAGUUAACUUAUACAAAUUUUGAUAUUAGAAUAUUAUUCUAUAAAUUAAUUAUGGUAAAUUGACAUUAAUAUUAAUGACAUAAAGUUGCUACAUUAAGGUUUUUUUAAAAAAAUUUGGAUAUAAAUAAAAUAAAAUCCUAAUAAAUUAUUUUUUUAUUGUUUGAUAUUAAUUUUUUUAUAGUUUGUAUCAAUACAAUCUAUUUUCAUAAACUAUUUUUCAUUUUUAUUAAAUUAGAAAUUAUCUUAUAUUUCAUUUAAAAAUAAUUUGUUAAUUUAUUUGUGGACCACAAAAAAGUGGCCUAUUUUGAGCACUUGUUCGAGCCUUGGGCCACAUUUAUUGGGUUUAACCCUUUUAUUUGAGAAGGUUUUAUAGUUAAUGAAUAUAAAUUUGAAAUUAUUUAACUAAAAUGAAAUAAAUUAAUAUUUAAAUUAAUUUAAUGAUGAUUAGACUCACAAUAAAACUAAAUGCAAUAAGAAUAUUUAUAAAAACUUUCUAAUAUUUAUGGGAAUUAAGCUCAUUCUAUUAAAUUAGUUUUUUUUUUAAAUAUCAAUAUUCAAAUUAAACCAAUAUCAACCUAAAAUAUCAAAUAAUUAAACAAUAUAAAUUUAUUAUGAGUUCAAUAUAUAAAAAUUAUUAUUGGAAGAUGAAAUAAAGAAUACUAUUUUAAUUUAUUGAAAAAGGACAUGCAUGAUAUUUUAGAAUUUGUUAUAAAGUCUCCAUUGAAAACCCUAACUUUUGGAAGACAAGAAAGAAGGGAGAGAGCCACCGUUUUUAGUGAGAAAGAAGAGAAGAGAGAAAAAUGCAAGUUUUUCUCAUCAGGCCCAGAUUUCAUCAAAGGUCUGAUCCCACUUUGUCCGUGGUCCGAUCGAGCUGAAAUUUGGAGGAGAGUUUCGUGACUCAUUUAUCUUCAAUCUGAACGGUGAAGAUCGGAUUUGGAGUUUCGGAAAGUCAUUAGAAAGAAAGAGGAGAAGAGAGAAAAACGUAGGUUUUUCUCAUCAUGCCCAGAUUUUAUCAAAUGUCCGAUCCCGCUUCGUCCGUGGUCCGAUCGAGUUGAAAUUUGAAGGAGAGGUUUGUGGCUCAUGUAUCUUCAAUAUGAACGGUGGAGAUCUGAUUUGGAGUUUCGGACAGUCAUUAGAGAGAAAGAGGAGAAGAGAGAAAAACUUAGGUUUUUCUCAUCGUGCCCAGAUUUCAUCAAAUGUCUGAUCCCGCUUCGUCCGUGGUCCGAUCGAGUUGAAAUUUGAAGGAGAGGUUCGUGGCUCAUGUAUAUUCAAUAUGAACGGUGGAGAUCGGAUUUGGAGUUUUGGACAGUCAUUAGAGAGAAAGAGGAGAAGAGAGAAAAACAGUGGUUUUUUUAUAUCAUGCCCAGAUUUCAUCAAAGGUUCAAUGCCGCUUUUUUCAUGGUCUGAUUGAGCUGAAAUUUGGAGGAGAGGUUCAUAAGUCAUUAAUCUUAAAUUUGAACGGUGAAGAUCGGAUUUAGAGUUUUGGAAAGUCAUCUUUCAGCCAAAAACAAAACCUUUAUUUUAUCAAAGAUGGCGCUUCCUGAAAGUGUCAUUGUUGCCUAAGACAUACAAUGACAGAGGCGAAGAGGACGCUUUAGAGAAGCGUCAUCUGUUACCUUUCUUGACGCUUAAAAAACGUCAUAGUUUCCCAUUUUUCUUGUAGUGUAUUCUCUUUUGUAAGCUUCUGCCAAUUGAAUAAGCUUCAAGAGUUAGAUCUUUCUUACAACUUAUUCCAAGGGAUCCUUCCUCCAUGUUUGAAUAAUUUGACAUCUUUGAGGUUAUUGGAUCUCUCUUCCAACCUAUUCUCCGAAAAUCUUUCUUCCCCUCUGUUACCUAAUCUCACAUCCCUGGAGUACAUCGAUCUCAGUUACAAUCAUUUUGAGGGUUCAUUCUCUUUCAGCUCUUUUACUAAUCACUCCAACCUUCAAGUGGUCAAACUUGGAAGGAAUAACAACAAGUUUGAGGUAGAAACUGAAUAUCCAGUUGGUUGGGUUCCCCUGUUUCUGUUGAAAGCUCUUAUCCUAUCCAACUGUAAGCUCAUCGGUGAUCCUGGUUUCCUUCGACACCAAUUAAGAUUAACCGUGGUUGAUCUCUCCCAUAAUAAUUAGACUGGAAGUUUCCCCAUUUGGCUGCUUGAUAACAAUACAAGACUAGGAUCUCUAGUUCUGAGGAAUAACUCUUUAAUGGGUCAACUACUUCCCCUGAGACCUAAUAGUCGUAUCACUUUAUUGGAUAUCUCAGACAACCGACUUCAUGGGGAACUUCAACAAAAUGUGGCCAAUAUGAUUCCAAAUAUUGAGUUUCUAAAUUUAUCCAACAAUGGUUUUGAAGGUAUUCUCCCAUCCUCAAUAGCCGAAAUGAGUUCCUUACAGUCAUUAUAUUUGUCUGCUAAUAGUUUCUCAGGGGAAGUACCAAAACAAUUGCUUGCGGCAAAAUAUUUGUGGCUUCUGAAAUUAUCAAAUUAUAAAUUUCAUGGCGAAAUAUUUUCAAGGGACUUUAACUUGACUCAGUUAGGGUUUUUGCAUUUGGACAAUAAUCAGUUCAAGGGAACACUGUCAAAUGUAAUCUCCAGAAUCUCUAGGUUAUGGGUGUUGGAUAGGUAACAUGACCGAUUUGACUACACUGGUGUUGGGCAACAAUAGUUUUAAAGGCAAAUUACCACCUGAGAUUUCUCAAUUGUUGGGGAUGAUAUUUCUUGACGUUUCUCAAAACGCUCUUUUAGGAUCUCUUCCUUCUUUGAAGAGCCUGGAGUAUUUAGAUACCCAGAGAUUGAUACCCAGAGAUUUUCUCAAUUCCUCAUAUCUAUUGACUUUGGAUAUCAGAGACAACAGGUUAUUUGGAAGUAUUCCCUAUUCAAUCUCUAGACUUUUAGAGCUAAGAGGAAACCUUUUAAGUGAUUUCAUUCCAUAUCAGCUUUGUCAUUUGACUAAAAUAAGCUUGAUGGAUAUUUCAAACAACAAUUUUUCUGGGUCAAUUCCCGGAUGCUUUGGUCAUAUCGGAUUUGGAGAUUUCAAAACUGAGCACAAUGUGUAUAUACCGAUGUUGGAUUCGUAUUCAGAAAGCAAUCCUUCUAUAUAUACGGGUUACUUAAUAAAAUAUUUAUUUUUCUCUAGUGAACUCCCUGAUGAAGUAGAUGAAGUUGAGUUUGUUACCAAGAAUAGGUAUAGCUCCUACAGAGUAGAUAAAAAUAUUUGUUGGGAAUUUAGAUAUUUUUAUAGGAAAGUAGACAAGUAUUCUAAUUUAUAAAAACAAUGCAUUUCUUUAGUUUGGUAUAAAAAAAAAUGAAACGAUAGGUAUUGGUAUUUUUUUUAAAGCAACAAACGUUUUAUUUUAUUUGUAUUUAAGAACAAUGUCUUUUCUUAUACUAGUUAUUUUAAUUUUCUUUUGACAGAUUUUGCAAGCUUAAGCAAUUUGGAGAUACUAGAUUUGAGUUCUAAUUCCUUAAGUGGGAUUAUUCCAUCAUCUAUAAGAUUGAUGUCUCAUCUCAAGUCUUUAUCCUUGGCCGGAAAUCAGCUCAAUGGUUCUUUACAAAAUCAAGGUACAUAUGUUAUGAUUUGUUUGUUUCAUAUGGAUUAGAGAAGAUGAAUAUUGUAAAAAAAAAGUUGUAGUUAAUGUAAGCUAGAAAUAAGUAUCUUGCCUUAUAAAUUAUAUGAGCAUGUGUUUGUUCUUAAUGAAUCUUUACAACAUUUAGAGUUACCAAUGUUUAUAAUUCAUAAAGACCUCAUUAACCGUGAGUAACAACUAAUUGUAAGUAAUUGUGGAAAAAGUAAGGAAAACAAAAUGAGGGAAAAGCAAGGAAUUAGGAAAUUAUUUUGUUCCCAUUAAAAAAUGCUAAGGAAGAAAAAGGUAAAAGAAAGUUUAAAAAAAGUGUAUUUUUCAAAAAUUUAUUUCUCUUUCCUUUAAUUUUGCUAUGGACAACCAAACAAGAAAAUUAUUUUAUAAUUCCUUUUUUAUUUUUUUCAUUCUCUCUCUCUUUUUUCCCCUACUCUAUUUCUUUUCCCUCAAACUUUCUUGGUAGUAAACACAACCUAAGAUAAAAUGGGGAAGAAAAUUUUCAGUUUUUUUUUUAUUUUUUUAGAAUGUUUUCUUACUUUUUAGUAUUUUAUGCAAAUAUAGGAAAAUUAUUUUUUUUUCUUUUUUUUUCUUGCUCCUUUUCGGACAUGAAUCACACUUUAAAAGAAAAUUAAUUUUUAAUUAGGAGUUAAGAUAAAUUUAAGGAGAAACAGUGAAUCACGAAUAACAAAAAAAUAAGGAAAUUGAAUUUUUGAAAGUAAGUAUAAUCAAAUUGCUUCAUUUGAUACAAAAUUUGAAUAAAAAUUCUUUCAAGGAAAGGAAAAAACAUUUUUGUCUCUAGAUUAUAAUACUAAAUCAUGUAAAAAAUCUCUUAACAUCAUUUAUAUUCAUAUUUAUUUUUGUAGAUUUGAAAAAUUCAACAAUUUGGAAUAAACUUAUUCAAUGAAUAAUAAUUUUUAGAUUUAAAGAUUAUUAUUUAAGAUCAUAAAUAUUACCAUGAUUGUUGAUGUCUAAGAAGAUCAUAUUCAACAAUUUUUUUAAUAUGUUGUUUUUUUAUGGUAAUUAAUUGAUGUCUUGUAAUUUUUAAUAUUUAAUGAAAAACAUUAUUUUAAUUCAUCUAGAGCUCUUAAUUCAUGAAGACCUCAUUAAUGGUGAGUAAUAGUUGGCUGUAAGUUUGGAGUCAAAGACAUGUCAAGGAGAUGAUUAGUUACAUGUCUUAUUCUCUUUUGUAGGUUUCUGUCAAUUGAAUAAGCUUCAAGAGUUAGAUCUUUCUUACAACUUAUUCCAAGGGAUCCUUCCUCCAUGUUUGAAUAAUUUGACAUCUCUAAGGUUAUUGGAUCUCUCUGUCAACCUAUUCUCCGGAAAUCUUUCUUCUCCUUUAUUACCUAAUCUCACAUCCCUGGAGUACAUCGAUCUCAGUUACAAUCAGUUUGAGGGUUCAUUCUCUUUCAGCUCUUUUGCUAAUCACUCAAAGCUUCAAAUGGUCAAACUUGGAAUGAAUAACAACAAAUUUGAGGUAGAAACUGAAUAUCCAAUUGGUUGGGUUCCCUUGUUUCAAUUGAAGGCUCUUUCGCUAGACAGCUGUAAGCUCACCGGCGACCUUCCUAGUUUUCUUCAAUACCAAUUCAGGUUAGUGGGGGUUGAUCUCUCACAUAAUAACUUGACAGGAAGUUUUCCCAAUUGGCUGCUUGAAAACAAUACGAGACUAAAAUCUCUAGUUCUGAGGAAUAACUCUUUAAUGGGUCAAUUACUUCCCUUGGAACGUAAUACCCGUAUCCAUUCAUUGGAUAUCUCACACAAUCAGUUGGAUGGACAACUUCAAGAAAAUGUGGCCCAUAUGAUUCCAAAUAUGAAAUAUCUAAAUUUAUCCGACAAUGGUUUUGAGGGUAUUCUCCCAUCCUCAAUAGUUGAACUAAGAGCCUUAUGGUAUUUGGAUUUGUCUACCAAUAAUUUCUCUGGAGAAGUACCAAAGCAAUUGCUUGCAGCAAAAGAUUUGGGGGUUUUGAAAUUAUCAAAUAAUAAAUUUCAUGGUGAAAUAUUUUCAAGGGACUUUAACUUGAUUAGGUUGGAAGUUUUGUAUUUGGGCAAUAAUCAGUUGACGGGAACUCUGUCAAAUGUAAUCUCUAAAAGCUCUUGGUUGGGGGUGUUGGAUGUGAGCAACAACUACAUGUCAGGUGAAAUUCCAAGCCAGAUAGGUAACAUGACCUAUUUGACUACACUGGUGUUGGGCAACAAUAGUUUUAAAGGCAAAUUACCACCCGAGAUUUCUCAAUUGUGGGGUUUGGAGUUUCUUGACGUUUCUCAAAAUGCUCUUUCAGGAUCUCUUCCUUGUUUGAAGACCAUGGAGAGUUUAAAGCAUCUACAUUUGCAAGGGAACAUGUUUACAGGAUUAAUACCCAGAGAUUUUCUCAAUUCCUCACAUUUAUUGACUUUGGAUAUGCGAGAUAACAGGUUAUUUGGAAGUAUUCCCAAUUCAAUCUCUGCACUUUUGAAGCAGCUAAGGAUUUUUUUGCUGGGAGGAAACCUUUUAAGUGGUUUUAUUCCAAAUCAUCUUUGUCAUUUGACUGAAAUAAGCUUGAUGGAUCUUUCAAACAACUCUUUUUCAGGGCCAAUUCCCAAAUGCUUUGGCCAUAUCCGAUUUGGGGAGAUGAAAAAGGAAGACAACGUGUUUGGACAGUUCAUUGAAAUUAGGUAUGGAAUGGAUUCUCAUCUUGUAUAUGCAGGUUACUUGGUGAAAUAUUGGGAGGACUUAAGUUCAGUAUAUAAGGGAAAAGAUGAAGUUGAGUUUGUGACCAAGAACAGGCGUGACUUCUACAGAGGUGGCAUCCUUGAAUUCAUGUCUGGAUUGGACUUAUCAUGUAACAACUUGACAGGCGAAAUACCUCAUGAACUUGGAAUGCUAAGUUGGAUUCGUGCAUUGAACUUGUCUCACAAUCAAUUGAAUGGCUCCAUUCCAAAGAGUUUCUCCGAUCUUUCUCAAAUAGAGAGCUUAGACCUUUCUUAUAAUAAAUUGGGUGGAGAAAUUCCUCUAGAGCUAGUUGAACUCAAUUUUUUAGCGGUGUUUAGUGUGGCUUACAACAACAUCUCUGGUAGAGUUCCAAAUGCCAAAGCACAAUUUGCAACAUUUGAUGAAAGCAGCUAUGAAGGUAAUCCUUUCCUUUGUGGGGAACUAUUAAAGAGGAAAUGCAACACAAGUAUUGAGUCACCAUGCGCACCAUCACAGUCUUUUGAAAGUGAGACAAAAUGGUAUGAUAUCAAUCAUGUUGUUUUCUUUGCAAGUUUUACUACUUCAUAUAUCAUGAUCUUGUUAGGAUUUGUUACCAUCCUUUACAUCAAUCCUUAUUGGCGUCAUAGAUGGUUCAAUUUUAUUGAGGAAUGUGUAUAUUCCUGCUAUUAUUUUGUUUUUGAUAGUCUUUCCAAGUUCUCAGCAUAUUUGUAUAAUUAGAUACUUUUAAUUGGAUGAUGUUUGCAUAAUUAACUACUAUUUGUUUCCAUGGGAUAAAAAGAAAUGGGAUUAUAAUUGCUAUGAGUUGAAACUUACAUACUUUGCUCAAAUUCUAACAUCUUUUGAUUUUAUUUUCAAGUUCCGUUAUUUAUUAUGUAUUGUUUAAUUCAAGAUUUAACCAUAUUAUGCUACUCUUAUAAAAACAAAUUCAAAUUUUUAGGAACUUAGCAUUAAAAUAAUUUCAUAGUCAGAUUUUUAAAAAUAAAGAAGAAAGAAAAUAAUAAAUAAUUAGAAAAACAAUUCAAGGGAGUAUUAAAUUAUUAUCUUAGAAUUGUUUGGCGUAGUAUGGGAAUUCAAAAAUAAUCUUUCAAUUUGUUAGAAAUGUUUAUUUAUUUAUUAUAGCAAUGAUUGAAAUAUCAAUCACAAAGUAAUGUUUUCUUUUCUUUUGUAGGGCACUAACAUUUUUUCUUUGAUUGUAAUAAUUGAUAAAUAUAUUACACAAUUAUUUGUUUUAAAGAGGGGAGGGAUGACAAACAUAAUAACAUGUGAAAUAUUUCUAAAACUGUGAUGGGAAAUAAACCAUCUAAUUAGGGUGCAAUAUUAUUCAUUUUAAUUUAUAUGAAUUUACUUAUUUUUAUUUCCAUCAUAUUUUGAACUAUUUUUUGAAAUUAAGGGAGAUUAAAACAUCAUGAAUUUCUUAGUUUAAUUUAUAUUUUUAAUAAUAAAGCAUGAAAUAUUUAAAAAAAAAAAAGAAAAUCAUGAAUUUCUUUAAUUCCUUAGGAAACCAAUAUAUAAAAAAAGUUGAAUAUAUUAUUAUUUUAUAUCCUAAAUUUCUAAAUUUGUUCAUCACGUAUUUAUUUUUAUAUUAAAUUUAUUAUCAAUAAUUAUUUAUUAUAUAUUAUUAUUUUAUAUUUAAAAAUGUUCAUAAAUAAUUAAAAUUAAUAAAUAUAAAAAAUGAAAUAUUAAAAAAUUAAAUUAAAAAGAUUUCAUCAAGCUAACAUAUUUUGAUAAAAAAAAAAAGAGUAAAAAAGAAGAUGGGGAUAUUAUAGAGGUGGGGAAAAAGAUAAAAGAAAAAUCAUGUGGUAUAAUAAUUGCCACGUGUUAAAGUUAUUUUCUUUAAAAAUUAAUUAUAGUAAUGAUGAACUCAUUUGUCUUAUCAAAGUAAAUAAAAAUAAAUAAAUAAAAGAAAAAAAGAAAAAGAAAAAAAGUGGUGGUUGAUUGGAGGUUAGAGAGGAGGGUUUGAAGGUAAAUUUGGAAUAUUGAUUAUUUUCACUAAGUAGAUAUUUUGAAAGUUAUUUUCAAUGUUUUAAAAACCGGACCGGCCGGUCCGACCGGUCCAACCGUCGACCGGUCACCAUUCCGGUCCGAUCCGGUCAUUUGGACCGGAUUGAGAUCGAACCGGAGUUGAACCGCUCGAACCAGCGGUUCAACCGCUGAACCGGACAAACCGAUCGGUUCCAAGGGAACCGGCCAAUUCAAAUAAUUUUAAUUUUAAAAAAAAAAUUACACAAUAAAAAUAUUACUGUGGGUAAGCUGCAAGCAUGAAAGGUAGGAUUCCAUGUUGGGCCUGUCUUGUGACAAGCCCACACACCCACUCCAAUUACCCUGGGCCUCUUUUUUGAGCCCACAAGAUCAUGCCAAGGCUUUGCUGAGGAUGGCUUUUAUAGGAGUCAUUUGACUCCUUGUUCCUCUCAUAUUCCGAUGUGGGAUUGCAUUUUAUCAAUGAAAAAAAACAUAACAAACAUAACAAAACUCCACCAACAGAAUUUGAACCUUGGACCAAUCUUUAACUCUAGUCCACCUAGGAAACCACUCGGCUACAUGUGUUUUAUCAUCUAAUGUGCCAAACAAAAUAAUAUAUAUUAGAUUUUAAAUUUUUUUAUAAUAUUAAAUAAAAAUAAUAUAAUAUUUUUAAAAAUUAUGAAAUUAGUUUAAAUUUUCAUUUUUUUUAUAUUCACAUUUAAAUAUUAUACAUAUUUCAUUUAAUAAAAUUUAAAAUAUUAAUAUGAUUUAAUUUGAUAAUAUCAAAGAUAUAAAAUAAUAUUAUUGAUGUUUAAUUUAUUCAUAUAUAUUUUAAAAUUUUUUAUAAUUAUUUUUAAUUUUAAUAAUAUAUAAAUUAUAUAUUUAUUACGUCACCGGUUCGAUAGCGGUUCGACCGCCGGUCCGACCAGUGAACCGUGAACCGGUAACUUUUCCAGUUCGAUCACCGGUCCGAUUCUGAAAACAUUGGUUAUUUUGCCUGAAACCCAUAUUGUUUGAAAAUAAAAAAUCAAAGUUUUAAAAAAAUACAAUUUUUUUGAAAUGAUGCAUGAUUAUAUCAUUCCCCUAAUAGAUUAUUUAUUCCUUUAAACUUUACUUCAAAUAAAAUAGUUUUAAUUAUUUUCUUUUUGGAAUUAUAUUUAACAUAUUAUUAAAAAUAUAAAAAACAUUUUAAUAAUAUUGUUAAUGAGUUUAUAUAUAUAUAUAUAUAUUGUAAAAUAAUUAAAUUUAAAAAUAUUUAAAUUUAGUUAUGGGCUGCCCAUUUCAAAAUAAUAAGAAUCUCGUAACCUAAUUUUUCCAAAUUCCAGGUAAAUAUGCUAAUCUAAAAAUAAAAAAUAAAAAUUAGGUUUUUAUGCUCUCCAAUCUACCACUUAAGCAUCCGACAUGGCUAAAAUAAAUUACAAAAAAAAAAAAAAAAAAAAAAGGAAAAAAAACAAAAGUGUGUGAUCCUCUUUCUCGAGUCUUCACAUUUUGAGACACUGAAACCAAAUCAAAAUUAAUCCUUCAAAUUAAUUUUCACCUCCAAACAUGGCUAUCCGAAAAACCCUAACGUCUGCCUCCUCUUCCUCUUAUCCCGGAAACCUAAAUUCCGUGACCCUAACCCCUUCUCUUUCCGAAAACCCUCCGGAAUCGGAAGAUUCAUAAUUCUUCAGAAUUAAUUUUCACCUCGAAGCCAAACCCUAACUGCCUCAUCUUCCUCUCAUUCAUAUCCCAAAAGUAGCUUCAACAGUCAGGCCUGUAGCCAUGAAAGCCGUAGUGAUCACUACUUCCGGUGAUCCCCAAGUUCUCCAAGUGCAAGAAGUCGAAAACCCUGAAAUUGGAGAUGAUGAAGUUCUAAGUAGAGUGGACGCCGCUGCCAUUAACCGAACAGAUACGCUCCAGAGGAAGGGCUUGCACCCUUCCUCAAAGGCGGCAGUCCCUACCCGGGUCUCGAAUGUUCUGGAAUCAUCGAAGCUGUUGGAAAAGCCGUCGUUCGAUGGAAGGUUGGCGAUCAGGUAUUUCAAUUGCCUAAUAUUUUGAUUUCGUUUCUGUUCCUCUGUUUUUCUCGGCUAUCAAACACUAGGAACGUGUAAAUAAGGAGGUUAGUUGAUUGCGAAAACGGGAAUUUUUUGUUCGUGUCUGUGUUAAGGAGUCUUUGUUGAGAAUUUUGGGGAAAUUUAUGAUAGGUUAAAUUAUUGAGCUUAUUGGUUUUCAAAUUUAUGGUUGUAAGAAAAUUGGUCAGUGUAAGGUUAUGGGUUCAUUACCAAUUUGCUUAGUGAAAAUUUUUCCACAUAUUGUGGACCGGUUUGGUAGCAGAAAUAAGAACUGUGUUUUGUUUUUCAAAACGGAAAUGGAUGCAGAAAACAUGUUUGGUAGCCUACUUUCAGAACUUGUUUCCGAAAAUAUUUCCUGAAAAUGAAUUAUUUCAGAACUUGUUUUUAAAAAAUUCAAACACUUUAUCAAUUUAAAAGGUUCUGAAAUGGACAUGUUCAUGGUCUUCAUUUUUUAAAAUUAAAGCUUUUAUGAAAAAACCAUUUUCCCUUCUACUAAACAAACAGGCUCUAUAUUGUAACAGAUCGAUUGGCCAUUUCCUUUGUCAUGUUUUGUGAAUCAUGGCAACACUGGAAUCCACUCCAUUACCAUCUGUUAGUGAUUAGAAGACAAAGCACCAAUUUUAAUGAUAUCCUUUAUGUGAUUUUGCUUCCUCCUGAGUACAAGUUCAUAAUAUACAUGGUACAUGGUGAAUCUGUAUGACAGUUCAUGGUAUACAGGUGUGUGCUCUUCUUUCUGGUGGAGGGCAUGCUGAAAAAGUGGCUGUUCCAGCUGGGCAAGUUCUCCCUGUCCUAUCUGGUGUUUCUCUGAAGGAUGCUGCUGAGGUUGCAUGUACUGUUUGGUCAACUGUUUUAAUGAUGAGCCGACUGUCUGCAGGAGAAACAUUCCUGGUGAAUUUUUUGUCUUUUUUAUUUUCUGAUGCCUGAUAUAUUUACCAGCACAAAUUUACCCUGUUGCUGUUUAAUGUGUGUGCAUCAAUAUUGGAUUAGGGAGGUAGAAGAGCCAUGGUUCUAAUUAAAUCAUUACAUCAUCAUAUUCUUAUUUAGAUACAUUGUAUCCCACAAUUUCAUUGCAUCCAAGGCUAUGUUGUUUUUUAUUGCACGGUUUGUCAUGGUAAUUUCUCAACCCUUCUCUGGAAAAUUAUGUUGGAUGGCUGCUAUUAAUUACCCCAAAAGAAGAAAUUUUAUGUUGAAGUAAGAUGAGUAGCACAAAGAGUUACUUGUGGUUGAUCCUAUCAUCAAAUGGGCGAUUGAUGCACAAUCCAAAUGGUAAAUUUUUUUCCCCCUUUAUCCAGAUGGAAUUUUUAUGCAUGGUUGAAUAGUGAAAUGAGAGGACUGAUAAUAUUUCAGGUUCAUGGGGGUUCAAUUGGAAUUGGUACCAUCUAUUCAAAUAGCGAAAUACCGAGGAGCAAGGGUAUUUGUUACAGCAGGUUUGCCAUCACUGUUCUACCUCAUCUCACAGAAUGCUUAUCUCAUGGCACCAAUUCCUUUUCUUCACAUGUUUUCAACCAUUUUUUCCACCCAGGAACGAGGAAAAAUUAGCUAUUUGUAAGGAUCAUUGAGCAGAUGUGUGCAUCAAUUACAAGACUGAAAACUUUGUUGCAUGGGUGAAGGAGGAAACAGGAGGGAAAGGUAUAUUCUAUUGUAUCUUAACGAUAAUUUCAAUUGAAGGUGGAAUUGCUUUUUAUUUUUUAGUGCACCAAAUCCACUAGUCUGGAAUGUUUGAAAAGAUAAAUAGUCAUCUUCCACUUGAUUCCGAUUGUGAAGAUCUAACCCCAAAAAUGUUGAAUGACAGGUGUUGAUGUUAUACUGGAUAAUAUUGGAGGGGCCUACUUUUGGGGAGACAUCAAUGGUUUAAAUGUUGAUGGAAGGCUUUUUAUUAUUGGUUUUCAGGGUGGAACAGUGGUACAAGUAAAUCUUUCAGGUUUACUUGCAAGGCGCCUUACAGUGCAAGGUACUGCUUUCUCUGUAGAAGAUUUUUCUGUAGUUUUGGAGUUGAAUCAAUUUGAUUAAUCUCAUCCAAGUUCAGAACUGAGGUGGAUUCUGGCAAGCCAAGGAAAAACCAAAUUACCAUAAAUUCUUUUUUUUUUUUCUGGAUCGUUUUACUUCUUGGAAAUCCUGUUUCUCGAUCUGUUAAUCACAUGGUUUGUUUUUCUUUAUUGUCCCUCUUUCUUUUCUUGUUGGUACCAAAUCCCUAAGAUGUGGAAGCCAAGUGAGCACUUUCUAUCUUUUCUUGUUUCAAUCUCUCAUCCUCUUGUGCACAUUGAGCAAUAAGCUCAUUCAAAGUCCAUUUUUCCUUUUGUGUGUUGUAACUGAUUUUGAAUGGACUGAAUUGUGUAGGCAGAGAGAUCAAGACCAAGUGCACGAGUAUGUCUUCCGAAAACUCUAACUUUAGUGCCUUUAGUCUAGUCACAAGAUUAGACAUUUCCAUAAUAUACUCCCUUAUAUUCUCUUUCCCUUUAUACCGCAUAGAGACAAGCUUACUAAGAAUAGUGUUUGUCUCAACCUUUUCAUUUGCAGCGAUCAAUUUGCUAUCUGGUCUAAGAAUGCCUUGGCUCGAGUUUUCUCAGGUAUUGCACCCCUUAUAACUUUUGGAAUUGAGUGCUUCGUUAUUAUUAGACUCAUGCGAUUGGAUCGCUCCCAUUUUUCCAUAGUAGACCUUUGCUCAGCAGUGCUGGCACUAGUAAGAUCUGGAGGGCGAUCCUCUCUUAAUGCAUAGUCUAAAUCCAUGCACCCGAGCACAAUUAUAGCGUGUUCCUUCCAUUUCUUGAAGUUUGUGCCAUUAAGGGCAGGAAUGUUAUUGACAUUUGCAGAUAUAGAAUAUGUUGAAUUCAUAAUAAUAAAGCUCACAAUCAGCCACAUAAACAUCAUACAUACAUGAAAAAUAACAUCAUACAAGAUACCUAGUACAAACAUUAAUAUUCUGUCUUUUGACAAUAAAUAUUAACUUGUAAUUGGUAUCCUUAUACAAAAUUAAUUCAUAAAUAUUGACAAUAAAACCAAAAACAAUGUGCCUCUCUUUGGACUAACAUAUUGAAUGCAAGAUAAACUUUAUAUGUCACAUAUUUAUGACUACUUUAUUUAUUAUUAUAUUAAAAUAAUCUUUCUUUGGGUCGCUUAUUUUAAAUAAUAAUAAUAACAUGUUUAGAUAUUAUAAAAUAAAUAAAUUAUAUAAUAUAAGUUACUUUGGCAACUAACAUACAUAAUUCAUUUAUUUUUUGUUGUUUCCUUCCUCUUGGAUCUUUUGUUUGUGUUUUAAAAAAAAAAAUGUUUCAGUGAAAAUGGGAAAUGCAACCAGGCUCUAAUACCAUUUUGUGGGACGUUCAUUCUCCAUUAUCAUCGAACACAUGCAGGAUAUAUUUAUAUAUAUCUAUCAAUUCAUUCAAAAUAUGCCGAUGGGAAGCCAGAGAGAACAAGUUCUAUUUUUAUUUUGAAAACAUUGUUAUCCUUAAAGAACAAACACUAUUAUUUGGAUUUAUACUCUCCUGCCUUAGGGACCAUACCCUUUGGCUAUUAGGCCUCACGAGUCUUAGGCCCAUCAUCUAAGGCUCGUGAUGGCACUGGGCUCUACAUAUAAGGUGGCCCAUACUCUGGAACGAAUAUAAAUCAUAUGUAUAUAUAUGGAUAGCUAAAUCCUGAAUAAUGGUUAAUAUGAUGUCGGUUCACAUUUAUUAUAUCAUAUAGACUUCCCAUCUGAAGAAAAUCGACAACAAGUAGCUUUGCCAUUCUUAGUUCGUAUACAACCAACCUUAGCAAGGGUUGAACCCUUUUAUGCUUAGUUGUGCCAUACAGAUCCUUACCACCGCCUACAACAUGUAAUUGAAAUGAUUCGAUAAUAUCAUCUAGUGAACCAAUACCUCCAAAUGAGAGACCAUUGCCUCAGUAACUAAGACUCACGACUGAGAAUUGCGUGAACCCCUUUGCUUGGGUUGGAGCUUGACUGAUGCACAAAAUAUUCAUAGGCCUCUUCCCAUAACAGGCACCUUGUGUUUGCAACAUAAUUGAACAUGUAUUGAAGUGAGUUUUUUUGCAUCUUUUUGUAAGAAAAUUCUAAACAACAAAGAUUGCUUAGUGUGCCUGACUCCUCAAGGAAUCAAGGUUCAUUCCUGUAGGGCCAGUUUUUUCACAGUCGAACUAGAUAACAUGGAGAGUAUGUUGCAAUGCUUCAACGGGGUAUUUCUUAGGAAAAUCCACCUGAAGCUGGUACAAUUCGUUGGCGUACUGAGUUCCUAAAGCUCUAUUGACUUCAAUCACCCAUCUCUGUAGAUUAUCGGUGACUUUAUGCUCGGAUCCUGUAGGAGGAUUGACUUGACAUUCCACUAGUUUUUUCUGGAAGGCGAUUUUGUUUAACACCUUGUGAGAAGAGGCAGGGGAACUGGUCAUUGUUUCUUCGAGAAGAUCAGUGGCCGAGGAUGGGUUUGGACCAGAAUUGCUAUAUGGGUUUUCUUUGGGUGAACCAAUUAGUGAAAUAGGUGGCUAUAUAGCAACUAAAGGGUGGUCAUACUAACGAGGAGCUAUUAUUUCAUGCAUGUGGAGAGGAAAUGACUAGCUUCUUCAAGGAUAUAUGAUUAUUCAUCUCUAGCUUACGUUGACUAUCUCCUAACAAAUUUCUGCUUUGAAGCUCCCUUAGUUUCACUACAGCUAAUUGGCCAACUUGGUUUCAUCAUGUUUCCUACAACCUCUAAGCAAAGCAUGCCAGAUCACCGAAUCAGGUUCUAUUCGCAUUUUGUCCAUAAACUCCUUUGCCUAUUGACAAUAGACUGCCCCUCAAAAUUUGAUGAGAUAACAUCAACGCUGACAUGUUGGCCAUCCCCAUAAGCAUCUUUAUAGAGAUUGAUUCUAUGUUUAGAUAUUUCUCUCUCCUCAAGUGAGUUCAACUUUUCUGUAGCAUCCUUCUCCUUCUCUACUAAUAGUCUUAGUUGAACAUCCAACCUAUGUUCCCAAAGUGCCAGCAUCUCAUAUCUGAUGACAAGCCAACAACCUUGCCCUUGCUGAGACCCAAAUAAGUAUCCAGAACCAUCAACAUCAACCCUUUCAUAGGCCUUUGUAUUUGAAGGUCGGAUUGGGAUUGCUUUGAAUGCACUGGCACUACAAUACACAAUUGUUUCUUCUCCGAUAAAAACACCACAAAGAGGUGAGGGGACUGGUAUUAGCAAAGAAGUGUUGUUAUCUAUAUUGUUCUAAGCCCGAUUACCCUCAACAAAAUCCUCAUCCUCAUCUGUACUCUUCCAUUACAUCCCUAGGCUUUUCAAUGUGAUCCACAUGGCUUACAGGAAUCCAGAAAUACUGAUCUGUAUAAAAGUUGCUCUUAUGGGGCUCUCCUAGAAAACAUCCCAAUCAAGAUGAUCAACCUAGCUUAGAUGCUCAGCACCCCAAACUUACCAGAAAUAGAGGAAUAAAAAGCAAGGAUAGGAGCCAAAGUAAAAACUAAGGGAAGAGCAAAUAGGAAAUCAAGCAAAACAUGAAUGUACAGAGCCUCAUUUCAGGUGACAUCUUUGGGCUAAUAAUAGGUGGAAUUAACAAAGUAGAUAAGCAUGAUUGUUAUAAAUAUCAAGUUCAAGGAUGAAGUCGUGCAUCAGCUACUUAUAGGGGGAGUCAAGGAAACCAAGAUAAGAUCAAAGAGAGCAUGUAUGCAAAUAAACAGAUACGACAAAAUAGACCAAACAACUCGUGAAUAUCCUCCUACAAAAAACUACUACACGUGGCAAAAAGUGAUGAAACAAAAAGAGUUGGGUCCGCAUAUACAUAUCCUAUUCUAUCCUAUUCCUUCAAAUCCAAAGCAACCUGUAUUUUCAAUGGGAUUUGUUGUGAUGAAUUUUACUGGAUUGUAACAUGUAAAUAUGUUAAAAGAGGCUUGGGACAUUCCUAUAUAGUAACGCAUAAAGGUACUUCCAUUGUGAAGUUGUCAAAAUUGCAAAUUUAAAUUACAAAAUUUGAAAACAUAGAGAUGAAAGAUGAUGAAACCUUCUUUGAAAUUUUAUAUUGAACUCAUUAAUAUUAUUAAUUUUCAUUUCAGUCUAGGGGAAAGAAUUCUUUACUCUAAAGUGGUCACAAAAAUAUUAAAAUUCCUUGUCGAGAGAUUUAGACCUAAAGUGAUCAAUAUAGAAGAAAGUAAAAAUAUUCUAAGUGUAGGUAAACUUGUAGACUCAAAUGACUCUACCUUCUCAUAAAAAAUCCUCAAUUUUAUAAAUUAUAUUGAUUUCUUCAUUUGAUACAAAAUUUGAAUAAAGAUUUUUCAAAUGACAACACAAGGAAAGGGAAAAAAAAAUUCUCUCCAAAUCAUAUUAUUUAAUCACUUAAAUUAUUUAAAAAUAAAAAUGUUUACUGCUAACAUUAUUUAGGUUCAUCUUUCUUUUGAUGGAGGUUAAAAUUCAUAAUUUUGAGGAAAAAGAUGAGGAUUCUCAUUUUUUUUCCAUAUAUGAAUGGGAUUCUCAUUGUGUAUAUGUGGGUUACUAAAUGGCAAAUUUGGGGGCCACCAGAGUCUGCAAUAUGAGGGAAAAAUGAAGUUGAGUUUGUCACCAAGAAUAGACAUGGUUCCUACAAAGGUGGCAUCUUUAAUUUCAUGUUUGGAUUGGACUUGUCAUGUAACAACUUAACAAGUGAAAUCCCUCAUGAACUUGGAAUGUUAAGUUUGAUUCAUGCAUUGAACUUGUCUCGUAAUCAACUAAAAGGCUCCAUUUCAAAGAGUUUUUGCAAUCUUUCUCAAAUAGAGAGCUUAGACCUUUUUAAUAAUAAACUAAGUGGAGAAAUUCCUCCAAAAUUGGUUAGACUAAACUUUUUAGCAGUGUUCAAUGUGACUCACAAUAGCAUCUUCGGAAGAGUUUUAGAUAUGAAUACAUAAUUUGCAAAAUUUGAUGAAAGUAACUAUGAAGCUAAUCCUUUCCUUUGUGGACCACCAUUAAAGAGAAAAUGUAGCAUAAAUGUUGUUGAACCACCUUACCAACCAUUAGAGUCUUCGGAAGAAAGUGAUGCAAAAUGGUAUAAUAUCAAUCUUGUUAUUUUCUUUGCAAAUUUUACUACAUCAUAUAUCAUGAUAUUAUUAGGAAUUUCAACCAUUCUUUACAUUAACCCUUAUUGGUGUCAAAGAUGGUUCAAUUUUAUCGAGAAAUAUAUAUACUUUUGCUAUUAUUUUGUUUCCUAUACUCUUUCCAAGUUAUUAACAUAUUUUGAAUAAUUAGAGAUUUUUGUUUUCAAUAAUAUUUACAUAAUUAACUACUAUUGGCUUCCAUGACAUGGAAAGAAAUGCGAUGAAGGCAACAACCACUUUUUUUUCUCCUCUACUAGUGCAUGAUUGAUAUGAGUUAAAACUUGCACCCUUAUCUUUGCUUAAAUUUUCUCAGCUUUUGUUUCAAUUCUUAAUUAUCAUUUCUUUUAUGUAUUGUUUAAUACAAUAUCCUAAACACAUUGCUUUGAAGGUUACUUAUUUAUUAAGCAUGAUAUUGAUUUUCAUAAAAACAAAUUCAAGUUUUUUAGGAAUUUUUAGAAUUAUUAUAAUUUGGAGUUCACAUUAGAGGAAAAAAGGAAAGAAAAGAAUAGAUGAUUAAAAAAACAAUUUUAGUAAGUAUAAUUUGUCAUCUUCGGUAUAACAAAUGGGAAUUCCAAAAUAAUAUUUCAAUUUGUUAGUCUAUUCCUUAUAGUAUUAAUUGAUAUAUCAAAUAGGAAGUCACGUUUUGAUUUUUUAUUAGCUUGAAUUGCAUGUCACAUAUAUUUUAAAAUCAAGCAUACAUCAGCCGGGAAGUUCUUGUAACAUGCAUGAACAUGAUAUGAUGAAUUGAAUAAUUUUCUUAAUAUAUGUGUAUAUACUACACAUUAUUAAAUCAUAUAUGUAUAUUUAUAGUCGUAUAAUAUAUUUAUAUAAGUAACAAUAAAUUAUAUUGUAUAAGGUAUCGGUAGGAGUUUUCAAUUCCCUCAUACAAUAAUAUCUAUCAAUAAUUGGAUUGGACACCUUGCUGGCCAUGAGAAUGGACUUGACAUUAACACAUAGCCUUGAGUGGUGUUGAUAUUAUUACUUUGAACCAGAACUGCAGUCAUCUCAAAAACUAUAUUAUAUAGAAAAGCAAAAUAAAAACAUUAGUUAAAACAAAUGUCAAGAUCCUUGAAAUCACGUUUCAAUAUGUUAAAUUACCAUUUUUUUAAAUAAAUAUUUUAUAGGUUGUGUGAAUAAAUAUAAUUGCUAUGAAGGUUUCAAUUUAAUUUUACUAGCAAAUCCAUAAUAGGUGAAAAGACAAAACUACCAUUUUUGUUUUUUUUUCUUUAUUUACCUUUUUUCUCUCGUAACCUUACUCCUUUCACCUUUUUGUUUUUUCCUUUUUCUCAACUAACUAUUUUUUUCUUGUAAUUGUUAUUAUCAUUUUUUAUUAUAAAUAUUAUAACCUUAUAUUAUAAAUUUUUAAUUAUAUUUAAACUAACUAAUGUUGUGGUUUUAAUUGACAUGGAAAAGAAUGUGGUUAUACAUGUGAUUGUCGCCUUUUUUUUUUUCCAAUUAGUUAACUAUUGAUACAAGUUAAAAGUAAAAAUUGCAAUAUUAUCUUUAUGUCAAUUUCACCGAUCUUUUGUUUUUAUUUUCAUGUAUCAUUCCUUUUUUGGUUAUUUAAUUAAAAGGAUUAAAAAAAAAAAAUCACAUAUUCACAAGAAUAACCUUCAUAUUUUAAAAACAUAAAUUUUUAUAAAAAUACCCUCCAACUAUAAUUUUUAUAUGUCCCUAUUUCAAAUUCAAACACUUCUUUUAAUAAUAAUAAUAAUAAAAAAGGGCAAAAAUGUCAAACUGGGAUUAUAUUUAUAAUUUUCAAUAAUUAGAGGUUGUUUUUCCAAAGUAAAAAUUAUUUUGUUCCUUUGGCACAAAUAUUUCUUUCUUUUUUGUAUUUUUUUAUUCAAAAUAUUAAACACAUUACCCUCAAGGUUACUAUUUAUUAUGAAUGGUGUUUACUUUACAUUACGACAAAUUCAAAUUUUUUAGAAUUUUUUAAUGUUAAAAUAAUUUGGAGCUUAAUAGGGAAAAAAAGAAUAAAUAAUUAGAAAAGCAAUUCAAAAAAAUAAAAUUUAUCCUCUUAAAUUGGUUUUGUGUAAUACUAUAGAAGCCAUUUCUUGAGUUUGAUAUGGUAGAAUUUGGAUUCAUAUUUAUUUUAAAAUCAAGAAAUUCAAGUGUUGGUAGCAUCAAUAGAAUCUUAAAAAAUUUGCAAAAAAAUAUUUAGGUAGAUCACAUUUAAAUAUAACUAAUAGAAUAAAAAAUUAGUAUUAUUAGGAAGACAUGAUCAAUUAAAUCUUUUUUCUUAUCUAUGACACCGACUUUAUUUUUUUACAUAGUCAAUAUAAUUUAUUACAACUUAUAUGUCAUUAAAUUAUACAUGUUUAUAUUAAAUAUAAUAUAAGAUCAUUAAUGGAAUAAUUAUGCAAGUAAUAUAAAUUGUAUAUAAUAUAAAAAAUUUAAAGUCCAUCAAACUAAUGGAAUCUAUUAUAAUAAGUAGACUAGACACCAUGUUGGCCCGAGUUGGAGGCCUAGGCCAGAUUUUAAAGGCUGGGCUUUGAGUUGCCCGUGGGCCUGAGCCAAGGCCUUCUCUUGGUAUCAUCAUUUUGAAGAAAUAAAUUGCUGAUACAGAGAAAAAAACUAUACUAAAUAGAAAAAUAAAUAAAAGCAUUGACUAAAAUGAAGGCCAAGGUCCUUGAAAAAUAAUCUUAAAAUUGUUGCAUAUAUAAUUUCAAUAAUGCAUAAAUAAUUGCAAUAUAUAUGAUGUGAUAAAGAAUUUGGAAUUAAAAGAAGAUUGAUCUAUUUUAAAUGUGGUUGGAAUAUUUCUAAAUUUGUGAUGGGAAGUUAGACAGCCAAUUAGGGAUCCAUAUUAUUUAUUUUCAAUGAUAUGAAUUUAUUUACUUUUAUUAAUAUUCUUAAUGCAACAAUAUAAAAUAUGUCAAUUUUCUAAAAUUAAAAAAGUAAUUGUAAAAGAAAAUUUUUAAUUAUUUUUAUGAAAUUGAGUUUAUUAUAGCAUUUUUCUUUACAUAAAUUUCUUUUUUAUUUUUAUUUUUUUAAAAAUGAGAUAUGAAAAAAAAAGAUCAAUAUUAGUAAAAGUAAAACCCAAUAUAUAAAAAAUAUGAAUAAAUGUUUAUGAAAUAAGAUUUAAAAGUGAGAAGGUAAUAAUUUUUUUCUCUUUUAAUUCCUAUUCAAUUCAUUACAAAAAAUAUUUUUGGUUUUUAUGCUAAAAUUUAUUGUUUAUUAAAAAAUUCUAGUAUAUCUAGCUAUCAUAGAAGAGCUCCAAAAUUUUAUUGUUUAAGAGAAUAUGUGUUGCCACUUUAAAAGAUUUAUAUGCAAAAGGGAUUGAUAUUUUUUUCCUUUGGAUAUGUUUAGUUCCCGGAAAAUUUGAGGGAAAAUGUGAGGGAAGAAAAAUAGAGAAGAAAAGUAUAACGAAAUAAAAAGUGAAGGAAAAUGAAAAAUAGAUUUAAAGUUAACAAAUUAUUUUCAUUGGUUUUUUCAAACUUAUUUUACUUAUUUUAUUCUAUUAAAUAAAGAUUAACUAAUUUUAAUUAUAUUUGGUUUGAUUUUUAUUAUUUUUCAAAGCAAAACCAAAUAUGAAAAAAAAAACAUUUUUUUUUUUUGUUAUUUUUUUCUUUCCUUAUUACUUUUUAGGACUCAAACAUAGCUUUUAGAUUUGGAGCAUGGAAAGAUAAGAGUAUUGAAUAAUGGUUCUAUAUAUGCCCAUGCCCAUGCCCAUGAUACCAUUGAAAAAAAUGGAGAGAGGGUGAAACCUUUACUAGAUGAUAAAUUAUUCUCUUCAAUGGAAAUCAAAUAUAAUUAUUUUUAUCUUGUAUUAAUUGAAUGUUAUACUCCAUAAACUCAAAAUUAAAAUAAAUAAAAAAUUUAAAAACUAGGACAAUCCCAUUUUUUUUCAAUUUCUUAAAAAGAAAUUAAAUUAUAUUUAUUUAUAUCUAUUUUCAUCCCUACCCAACAAAAUAAAAAAAAAUUAACAAGGUGGGACAUGUAUGAGAAAUUCUCACACUAACUCUCACUAGUUUAUUUUUUUUUAAAAAAAAAAAUAAAAUCAAUUUCUUUUAAAAAAAUUAAACUACAUAAAAAAUAAACAAAUUUUACAAUUUUUUUUAAGAAAAGUAAAUUUCUUAUUUUAUAUAUGUUAAAAAUAAAUAUAAUCUUUUAUUUUUUAUAUAUAUAAUCGGGUAAGGUAGAGUGGGACAAAGAAAUAAUCCCCUUCGAUUCCAAUCCGAAUUUUUAAAAUAUAAAAUAAAAAUCUUAAACUCAUCCCUAAUCCAUUUAUUUUUAAUCCUAAACUUGUCUUAUUAAGAAUAAGGCAAAGUGAGUACAUGAAAACACUUCUUUUAUCAUCAUCUCUACAAGUUCUAAUGUUUAGAUUGCAAUCCAUAUCAAAGAUUUAUAAAGAAAGAACAACAAUGAAUUUCAUAAACAUUUGAAAGCAUAAACAAAGUUUUAAAUAAUAUUGCUUGAGGUGCAAAUAUUAUUUGGCGCACAUGUUGAGGGACUUCAACUGGUGUAGUCUAGGUUUUUUACACUAGUAAGUAAUCUUGAAUAUCUAGAGUAACUUGAUCAAAAUCUCUUUAAUUUUAUUUUCUUUGAUGGUUGUAUGAUGAAUUAGAAUGCUUAUAUAACAUGAUUAAAAAUUUUAAGAAAAAAAAACUAAGAAGAAAGAAAGAAGCAUCGAUCUUCCAAAUAUUGCUUCCACUUUAAUAUCUAGUAGGCUCUAAGAAAAGAACUUUAUUCAUGAAUCAUAACCCAAGUCGAAAAUAAAUUGAACCCAUUUUCUAAGUUAAAUUUUGAAUUUUUUACUAGUGAAUGCAAAUUGGGAAAAUGUAUAUAAAUAUAAUCAAACUAGAAUAGUAGAUUAGGUUUGUAGGUGGAGUUUGUUUGAAUUGUUGGAACUUCCAAGUCGUUGUGGGUCUAGUGGUCCCAUAGCUCUCUAUUAAUUUCCACCAUCAAUUUUUUGCAAUAAAGUCAAGUCAUUCCUAACCCUUAUAUUAAGUUGGCCUUAAAAGUCAAGUCAUUGAUCAUAGUUACAUUCAUGAAUCACAACCCAAGUCGAAAAUAAAUUAAACCCAUUUUUCAAGUUCAACUUUGAAUUUUUUAGUAGUAAAUGCAAAUUGGGAAAACAUAUAUAAAUAUAAUUAAACUAAAAUAGUAGAUUAGGUUUGUAGGUGGAGUCUGCUUGAAUUAUUGAAACUUCCAAGUCAUCGUGGGCCCAAUGGUCCCAUAGCUCUCUAUUAAUUUCCACCAUCAAUUUUUUGCAAUAAAGUCAAGUCAUUCUAACCCCUAUAUUAACUUGGCCUUAAAAGUCCAAUCAUUGAUAGCUAAAUCCCAACCCAAGUCAAAAAUAAAUUGAACCCAUUUUCUAAGUUCAACUUUGAAUUUUUUUUAAUUGGAAAAAUGUAUAUAAAUAGAAUUAAACUAGAAUAGUAGAUUAGGUUUGUAGGUGGAGUUUGCUUGAAUUUGUGAAACUUCCAAGUCGUCGUGGGUCUAGUGGUCCCAUAGCUCUCUAUUAAUUUCCACCAUCAAUUUUCUGCAAUAAAGUCAAGUCAUUCCUAACCCCUAUAUUAAGUUGGCCUUAAAAGUCAAGUCAUUGAUCAUAGUUACAUUCAUGAAUCACAACCCAAGUCGAAAAUAAAUUAAACCCAUUUUUCAAGUUCAACUUUGAAUUUUUUACUAGUGAAUGCAAAUUGGGAAAACAUAUAUAAAUAUAAUUAAACUAAAAUAUUAGAUUAGGUUUGUAGGUGGAGUCUACUUGAAUUAUUGAAACUUCCAAGUCAUCGUGGGCCCGGUGGUCCCAUAGCUCUUUAUUAAUUUCCACCAUCAAUUUUUUUGCAAUAAAGUCAAGUCAUUCUAACCCUUAUAUUAAUUUGGCCUUAAAAGUCCAAUCAUUGAUAGCUAAAUCCCAACCCAAGUCAAAAAUAAAUUGAACCCAUUUUCUAAGUUCGACUUUGAAUUUUUUUUAAUUGGAAAAAUGUAUAUAAAUAGAAUUAAACUAGAAUAUUAGAUUAGGUUUGUAGGUGGAGUCUACUUGAAUUUGUGAAACUUCCAAGUCGUUGUGGGUCUAGUGGUCCCAUAGUUCUCUAUUAAUUUCCACCAUCAAUUUUCUGCAAUAAAGUCAAGUCAUUCCUAACCCAUAUAUUAAUUUGGCCUUAAAAGUCCAGUCAUUGAUAGCUACGUUCAUGAAUCCCAACUCAAGUCAAAAAUAAAUUGAACCCAUUUUCUAAGUUCAACUUUGAAUUCUUUUAAUUGGGAAAAUGUAUAUAAAUACAAUUAAACUAGAAUAGUAGAUUAGGUUUGUAGGUGGAGUCUGCUUGAAUUUGUGAAACUUCCAAGUCGUCAUGGGUCUAGUGGUCCCAUAGCUCUUUAUUAAUUUUCACCAUCAAUUUUCUGCAAUAAAGUCAAGUCAUUCCUAAACCAUAUAUUAAUUUGGCCUUAAAAGUCAAGUCAUUGAUAGUUACGUUCAUGAAUCACAACCCAAGUCUAAAAUAAAUUGAACCCAUUUUCCAAGUUCAACUUUGAUUUUUUUACUAGUGAAUGCAAAUUGGGAAAACAUAUAUAAAUAUAAUUAAACUAGUAUAGUAUAUUAGGUUUGUAGGUGGAGUAAGCUUGAAUUGUUGAAACUUUCAAGUCGUCGUGGGUCUAAGGGUCUUAUAGCUCUCUAUUAAUUUCCAUCGUCAAUUUUUAUGAAUUAAGAUUUAAAAGUGAGAAGGGAAUAAAUUUUUUCUUUUUCAAUUCAUUACAAAAAAUAUUUUUGGUUUUUAUGCUAAAAUUUAUUGUUUAUUCAAAAAAUUAAAGUAUAAAAAUAUAAAAAAAAAUAUAUAUCUUGAUAUUAUAGAAGAGCUCCAAAAUUUUUGUGUUUAAGAGAAUAUGUGUUGCCACUUUAGAAGAUUUAUAUACAAAAAGGAUUGAUGUUUCUCCUUUGACUAUGUUUGGUUGCCAAAAAUUUGAGGGAAAGAAAAUAAAAAAAAAUAGUAAAAAAGAAAAAAUGAAGGAAAAUAAAAAAUAGUUUUCAAGUUAAUAAAUUAUUUUUAUAUGUUUUUUCAAACUUAUUUUACUUAUUUUCUUUCAUUAUAUAAAGAUUAAAUAAUUUUAAAAUGCAUAAUUUCUAACUAAUUUUAAUUAUAUUUAAUUUUUCUUUUAUAUUUUUUAGACGGGAUCCGACACAUGAAAAAAUCCUUUUUUUUAGCAUCUUUUUUUCUUUUCUUAUUACUUUCCAAUAACCAAAUAUAACCUUUAGAUUUAGCCUUUAGACUUGGAGUAUGGAAGGAUACUGAGUAUUGAAAGAAGGUUUUGUAUAUGGCCAUGAUACCAUAGAAAAAAUGGGCGAGAGAGAAAAAACCUUUAUUAAAUGAUAAAUUAUUUUACUACUUACUACAUAAAUAGAUAUUCAUGGAGUGCAUUCUCUAAAAAGCUCCAGUCUCAUGAAAAUGGAAAGAUGGACCGGCCAGUGGACCGGUUCGAGUUUGGAUUUAUGGGCUGCCUCAGCCUAACACGCAUGAUAGGCUGUUGCAGGUGAAGAACUAAUUAAUUUAAAGCCUUCUUCUAUCCUCUCCUAUUCCUCUUUCACUCCAAAUUUUCCACAUGAUAAUGACAAUUCUUUUGUUAAAUGGUAAAAAAAAAAAUUUAACAAUUAAUUUAAAAUCAUUUAUAAAAUCAUGAACUUUGGCAUCCUAAUUAAUGCAAUUUAAACUUUUUUUGUUUACAAAUGAAAUAAGAGGCAACAUAUAAACCCAAAAGUUAAUUUUCCUACCAUCUCUAUGCACCAUUUUAGCUUUACUCCAAUAUAUUUUCUAUGAUUAAUUAUUUUCAUUCAAACAAUAAUAUCAAAAUAUUUUAAAAUUAGACAUAUCAUAAUCAAAUAUCAUUAUAUUAUUAUUGAAUAAUAUUUAAUGUAAUUUAAUAAUCAACGUAUACUUAUAGAAUUUAUAUUUUUUAUUAAUGCAUAUAAUAUUAUUAUCAAAUAUGAUAAAUUAUAUAUAUAUAUUUCUUUAACAAAACAACUUUAAAAUAUCUAUUAUACUUUUAAUUUCAUCUCUAAGAGGUUUUUUUUUUUUUCUUUUUUUUUUUUACAUUUUUAUAAGUUUUGAUCAAUUGUAGGCUAACCAAUAUUUUUUUAUCAAAAUAUCCACCAAUAUAUCUCCGAUAUAUUAGAUAUAUCCGUAACAUCGAAAUACCAAUAUAUCCGCGAUUAUCGAUAUUUUUAUCCUUGAGGGAUAACAACUAAUAUAGUUUUUGCACUUAAUGAUAUUCCUCAACAUUUAGAUUGAUUUGACCAAAAUCUUUUUAAUUUUAUUUUCUUUGAUGGUUAUAUGAUGAAUUAGAAUAGUCAUAUAACAUUAACAGAUUUAAGAAAAAAAGGAUAAAAAAGCUCGUAUUUUUCAAAUAUUGGUUUCAACUUUGAAUAUUUUUAUUGGUAAAUGAAAAUUGUGAAAAACCUACUAAUGCUAAUACUUUUCACCACAUAAUUAAAUAUAAUAAACUAGAAUAGUGAUUCAUUGAUGUCUUAUAAAGACACAUGCCUUCUUUGACUUGUUAGUUGAUUUUUGUAGGUGGAGUCCAUUUCCAUUUGAAUUGUUGAAACUUCCAAGUCCUUGUGGGUCUAGUGGUCUCUCUAAUAAUUCCCACCAUUAAUUUUUUGUGAUGAAGUGCAGUCAUUGAUAGCUACUAUAUCAAUUUGCUAUUAAAAGUCAAGUCAUUGAUAACUAAUAUUCAAUCUUUUUCAAUAUGGAAAUUGGAAUCUCUAGCACUACUCUUCUCAUUGUUCAUUUUUAGGUAAUGUGAGAAUGUGUGAACAUAAAUGUCUUCUAAUCAACCAAUUUUUUUGAAAAAAACAUGUACAAAAUUGCAAAACUUGCAAAAUCAAACUUUCUUGUUGAAUAACCAUAGCUUGAUGGUUUUGAAGAAUCAAAGGAUGAAUCAUAAAAGGGUAUUUGAUAAAAAAUAAAAAUUUAAAAAGUUAAAAGACAACUACUCCCUUAAGUGUAAUAAGUGUAUUUGGUAGCACAAAUUUCCUACCACUUAUUAUUUUUUCCUUUCUUAAAAAAUUAUUUACUCUAUUAAAUAAACUAACCUUGGCUUAGCACUUAUAGCAAAAUAGGUUAAGUAGUUUUUAAAAUUUUAUAAUAUUAGAUUUACAUUUUUAUCCUUCAAAAUUUCAUUAAUGCUAGAUUCUUCUAUAUGCUUAACUAAUAAAUAAUUUUUAGCAUUUUUCUUUUCUUAUAAACAUAAAAAAAUAAAAAUAUUAUUAACUUAUUGGUAUAUUUUAAAAUUUUAAUUAGAUUUAAGCUUUUAUUUGUUUGGAUUACCAAUUAUACAUAUAAAUCCUUUGUUAUUAUUGUUAUUAUUGAAAGAAAGGGGUUGAAUAGGUAGUCCCUCAAUCCCCAAAUUAAAUUCUUUAUUGCCUACUUUUGGUUUAUUCCUUUACAUGAAUUCCUUGGUGAGAGUAAACAUUUCAUUAAUAGAUAAAUAAAAUUGAUUCCAUAUCAUAGGGUAUAAUGUGGAAAAAUCACCAGUCUCAUGUGUUCCUUAGUGGAUCCUUUGGAGCCCUAUCAAAGUUUCAUGAUGAAACCAUUGACUUUUGUUUAACCCAAAUGUGCUUUCAAGACAAAUCUUGAAAGAUUUGAGAGAUGGAGGUUCAAGUCUUUUAUGAACGACCAUGUUCUCUUAGGGUUCAUGAAAUUCACACCUUUUGAUAAAUAAAACUUAUCUAUUUAUACGUCUAAAACCCAGUAUUUAUUUAUUUAAUUAUAGAAAGUUUCUUAGUUUUAAAAACAUUUCAAAAAUCAUUUUUAGAAUCAAAUAAGAAUUUUAGAGAUAAACACAAUAUUAAAAUUUAACAAAAACAAAUUUUCGAAUUAAAAACACAAUAUAAACUAAAUUACAAAAUAUAAAGUAAUUUUUACCCUAAUUUCUUGUUGCAAAACCAAAUGGAACACCUAGAAGGGGAGUGAAUGGGUGAUUUUAAAUUUUUUCAAUAAUUAUUUAUAAGUUAUACCCAAUUCUUUUACCCUGCAAGUUGUUAGGGACUAUCAAUUCUUUCAUUUUGGCAAUUCAAACAAUAUAUCAAAUAAUAAAAAGAUAUAAAUAAUGAGACAUAAAUAUUUUUACGUGGAAAACCCCCCACACUAACCAUGGAGAUAAAAAGCCAUGGAGUCUAAGACCUAUUAAUCUAAAUUCACGGUACGAAAUCAAGUUACACAAAUUUAUUUGACAACUUUACCUUAAAGACUUACUCUACAGUACUGACAACUUGAUUCACAUCCACGACGUAGCAACCCUCGAUUACUCCAAUGGAUCACUUCAAGCUUACUAAAAGGAUGAAGGCCUUCAAACCAAGAUUCAAAAAUCAAUUCCUUGAAUGAGAGAUCAGGAAUGGUGUGCCACUUUAGGCUUUCUCUCUAAGAACUCUAAAAUGAUCUCCUCAAUGAAAACCUUUUAAACAAAAUGAGAUAUUUCUCCACAAUCUCUAACCCUCAAGGGGUUAUAAUGAGAUAUUUAUAAGCAACUAAGUUGAAGAGUUUCGGUUUUGGAAGGUUUCUCAAUUGAAUUUGUGUGAAAAACUCGACAGAAUCAACAUGACCGCUCGAGGCAGCACACUUCCCACUUGAGCGUUUCGGGCACUUGAGCGGUAAGGCUUGCUUGAGUUGUCCUAAGCGCUUGAGCAUUCCAGGCUACUUGAGCAAUCUUGCUCUAUUUCAAAAGUUAAUUUUAAACCAUUUUAAGUUCAAAACAAAAUUGAUUCCCUUUAUACCUCAAAGGAGCCUAACUUGCCACAAACCAAACUUUUUUAGAUAUACUUGUGACUUCCUGGUUGGACGAACAACAACUCUUAAUCUUCAAUGGAGAGCAAGUCACUAUCUAAAAAGAUUUAUAUGGUCAAACAUAAAAAAACAAAAAAAUUGCCAACAUAACAACAAGACUCAAUGUCCAUGCAUGGUCACCUGAAAGGUGACUCCGACCACAAUAUAAUGCAUGUUCUCAUAGAACAUGUGAACAAGAUGGGGAUAGGAAGUCCCCUAGAGAGAAAACAGAGUCUCCUAACCCUACUCUUGAAUGAUGAUAGGGAAGACAGUGUCCUGAAAAGCUUAAAGGUUAAUGGCAUGCUCAGGCUCGACACACCGAUAUGUGAAAGAAGCGUAAUAAUGGUCCCGUGCCACCUGGUAGUGAAAGCGCUCAACCGGAAGUGCAUCUAGGUUAAAAAGACCCUAGAGUGGGAUGCCCUAGACGGUUUCAGUGACCUAGGAAAGGUCACCUCCCUUUGACAUCUAUGACUAGCCAUAUCUAAGGUAUAUAAUAUGAAAAAACAAAAGCUAAAGAAAAUCCAGAGAAAAGCUAAACCACUAAAAAUGUUAAACUCAAUGCGUCGAACAAUACUAUACAAAUGGAAAUGAAAAAUAUGAAGCGAACUGACCUCAGAAGACAAAAGGACAGUAACCCAGAGGGCUCGAAGAGGAAUAGGAAAGAUUGAAAUGAAUAUGGCGUGAUGGAUGACCUUUAUAUAGCUUAUAAGAGUGCUUGAUGCAGAUUAGCACUUGAGCGUCAUGACUAACUUAAAUCAAAUUAUUUAUUAAUAUGGAAAUAUUUUAAAAGUUUCAAAGGAAGUAUUCAAUUUAGAACCUUUUUAGAAUUUUUUUGAAAGAAACAAAAAUAAAGCGUGAAAUAUUAUGUGUUAAAGGUGUUAGAAGACAAUAUUGUCUAAUCCAAAGCCUUACACAUUCCUAAAAAAAAAAAAAAAAAAAAAGGAAAAAGAGAGAUAUUAUAUAAGAUUUUGAUCACAUCUAAUAGAAACUAAUAUUUAGCAACAUAUCACCAAGCACUAUCUUAUCAGAAAGCUCUAACAUGUUGGAAAUUUAUGUAAGGUUCCAUAACAGCUAAAAACUUUUUCUGACGACUCGGUAAUGGACCAUUUGCACUUUAACUACAUUAUUGAAUUUAAAUCAUAUUAGAAUUGUAAUUGACUUCUCUUUUGUGAGACUACAUAUCUUGUAGGAUGGGAUAGGUGAUUCAUUUCAUAUAUGAAAUUUACUUAAUUUAGUAAUGCUUCCAAGUUCAUUAUGAAUCUAAUGGUAUCACAACUCCUUUAAUAUUUGUAAUUUUGUAAUCUUUGUUUCAACUUCUCAAGUCUAGUCAUUUUAUUGGCAUAACUAGUUUGCUUCAAUUAUCUCUCAACUUUAUUAUAAAACUAAGGGAAAGGAUUAUCACGCAUUUUAUAUUAACUUAACCAAACAUCUUUAUAUAUCUUACAUAUAUAUAUUUUUUGUAAAUUUAGGAAAAUUUCAUCCAUUAGCCAUAGUAAGUAAGAAUCAAAUAAGGGAUAUGUAAGCCAAUGGUGAUAUUGAUGGCGUCAAAUCAAUGACAUAGUAGAAAAGUGGAUUGUCUAUUUUCAAACCUUUAUAUUUUCAUCCAAUAGUAAAAAGGUUUAGGCAUCACUUGAAAAGUAGUUCGUUUUUUACCUUGGACUAUGAUUUAUGAAUAAAGUUCUUCUGUUGUAUACCUUUUGUGAUGCCCCAAACCUAAUUUAGGGGUAAAAAAAUAAUUUAGAAAAAAAUAAAUAAAAAGUUAAAUAAAUUUAAUUAAGGUAAAAAUGUAUUUUUGUAUUUAAAAUUCCUAGGUAUCAAUUAUAUAUUUCUUGUCUUCUCUAUUCAAAAAACCCUAUUACACAAAAAUCAAAUAUCAGAGAACAUAGGACAACGCAGGGUUGAAGAUUUGGAGGUUUAGGGUUGAAGAUUAGUUUUCCAGGUAAGAUUCUAACCCUUAAAUUAGUAUUUUAGAUUCGUUAAUUAGUUUGAACACUUUAGAUAUUCUUUGAAAAAUCUGAAUCUACGUUAGGGUUUGUUAAUUUAAUUUUUAAAUAAAAAAGAUUCAAAAUUUAUGAACAUAAGUAGAGUUAUUAUUAAAGAUUGAAAUUUUUUGAAUAUUUGAAUUAAAAAUCUAGAAAAAAAAAGAAGAAAAUAAAUUAUAGCUUUGGAUGUGGAAAAAAGUUAAUAUUAAUAAAUAAAUAAAACUUAUGAGUACGGAGGUAGAAAAAUAUGAGAGUUGAAAGCAAAGAAAAAAAAAAGAGAAUAAGGUUUUGUGGUUGUACGUGUCUCCUUAGUGGAAAAAAGAAAUACAAGGUUGUUUGCAAUAGGAUAUGACAAAGAGAGAGAGAUAAAUGCUUAGAUGUUGAUUUUUGUGGGGAAAAAAAGAUUGGGUAAUGUAGGAGAGAAAUAGGUAGCACUUGUAGAGUUGGUGGGGUUGUUGUAAAAGCUCGUAGGGUAAUUGUUAGGUAGUAGUAGGGUAUGAGAUUAAUUGUUAGGAAACAUUAGGACUUGAAAUAAUAAUAAUUGCUUCUAGUAAAAGUUUUAACUUAGUUUAAGUAUAUAAAAGAAAUAGAUGAUUAGAAUAAGAUUUGGAAGGAAUAUGAAUUCAUAAAAAUUUCGAAAUUUACUAAUUUAGAUUAUUAUUUUUUUGGAAGUUGAAUAUAAUAUAGGUGGUAAUAUUAUUAAUAUAGGAAAUGAUUAAGAUUCUCAAACCUACAAUUUUAGAUAAAUAGUUAAUAGUAAUAGUUGAUUUUUUAUUUUUUUUAUUUUUUAUUUUUUAUGUUAUGUUAAGUGAAUAAUGGAUUCUUUGAUUAAUUCUCUAAGGUUUCUAAGUGCUUCUUUAAGAUAAGGGAUAUUAAUACUGAUUUUGUAAAUGAAAAUAUUUCUUUUUAUAAGUUAUUUUAAAUUAUGAAAAAUUUUAUUUUUAUUUAUGCAUGGAUCAAAUAUAUAUUUUUUCAUGAGAAACAUGUUUGGGCAAUUUCUUUGUUUAUAAAUAAAUAAAUAAAAAAUGAGAACUUUGGAAAUAUAAUGUUUUGUUUUGCAAGUUUAAAAUAAUGAAAUAAAGUUUUUGACUCUGGUUUAUAUGACCUUAGUUAAUGGGUUAUAAUUGUUGACAUUUUCAGCUCUCCAAUCAAUGAUUAUAAUUGUUGAGAUUUUCAACCCUAGCCAACGGGUUAUAAUAGUUGACCUUAUAGCCCUAGUCAACAGAUAUAAUUGUUAACCUUUCGUUUUUCCCAUCUUAAAAAGAACAAAUUUAAGGCUAACCAUUUAUUUGUAAAGUCCCACCUAACUAAGUACCAUUUGUUAUUUAAUAACCAGAGUAAAGAUAUUUUGAAUGUAUUUGAUAUGAAAUUAUUUUGAUAUAAAUAUGAAAAUGUUUGGUUGAAAAGUUCAAAUGUUUAAUGCAUGUUGAAUUCAAAAGUUUUUAUGAAAAUGAUUAUAUGUUAUAUCUCCUAUUUGUAAGUUUGAUCCAUAAAACUGUAUUAAUAUUCCUUAUUGGACUUUGAGCUCAUUCCCCUUUGUUGAGAAUUUUUUUUGGUAUUCUCAGUUUGGGCAAGGAGUGAUGACUGGGUUGGGGAAUUUUCUUUACUAUGAUUUUGGUUCAAUCUUUAUUUUGGACAUUGUAAUUUAAUUCCCAUUUAAAUUAUUUGGGUUUGGAGUUAUUUGGACGAUAACACUUUGAUUGAUGUGUUAGUUUUAAAGUUGAGAAUUGAAAAUUAUAGAAUUUAUUUAUCUUUCUACUUUGAAUAGAAAUUUAGUAAUUGGAGAUCAUCCAGUUACAAGAUGAAUAUUAGAUGAAUAUUUGUGUCGUUUCCACAUUGAGUGUUCAGGCUUAGGGUGUGAAAUGACCGUUAUGCCCUUGGAGUGGGUAUAUUGUUUAUUUGAAUUUAAUGGUCCCCGAACUCCUUAAUUACUCAUAACUUUAUAUCACCUUCUCAAAGUUAAGUUGUUUUACAACUACUAUCUAGCUACUUUUCUCUACUAUGACAACUUUAUUACAUAGUGAUUAAUUGAAAGAAUCUACAUGUCUUAUUUCAUAGGAUAGUUGAUUUUUUUACUCAAUGAAUCUUGCUUUUAUUAUUGAAAAUUUCAAAUCAUUGUAGUCCAACAAUUUACUAUCCUUUGGUAAUUUCAUAUUACAUUUCCAAAGUCUAAUCAUUUAAAAACACUUGUAGUUAAUAUAUUGGCAAUUGCAUUGUGGGAAGUUGUUCACUUGAUUUUAAUGUUGAAACUUUCAAAUUGUUGUAGUCCAACAAUUCCCUAUCCAUUGGUAAUUUCAUAUCACAUUUUCAAAGUAUAAUCAUUUACAAAUACUUGUAUAUAGUAUAUUUGGUGAUUGUAGAGUGGAAAGUUGAUCGUUUUCAUGAAGACCUCUAAAAUAGAAAUUUUUUUCAUUCCAUUUAAUAAAGAAUUUCAUUAAUUGAACAUAUAUGUUUUUUUAACCGGAAAGUAGAGGCCACAUUAUACGAGGCCUUAGGUGACAAUACUAGGUGAGGGUUUUUUUUUUUAAUUUAUUUAUUACUAAAUAUAAAUAAUAUUAUUUAUUGUAUAAUAAAGAUUAUUAUAAUAUAUUUUUUAUAGAUGAAAAAAAUAUUAAUUGAGUUUUAUUUUUUUAAAAUAAUUGUUUUCAAUAAAUAACUUAUUUGUAAAAAGAAAACUAUAAAAUAUAUGCAUUUGAAAAAUAUUUAAUUUUUAUUUGAUUUAGUAUCAAUUAAUAUUUGUAAUAUUUUUUAAUAUUAUAGAAGUUAACAUACUCAAUCAAGAUAUUCAAGAUCAAGAGAAUAUUUAAGAUUGAAUUAAUUUCUUUAUUGUUUAUGUUUUAGUAAAUUUUUAUAUCCAUUACAAAUUUUUUAUUGUUUAUUUUUCAUUCAAUGUUUGCAUUUUUUAAUAGAUAUUAAAACGAUUUUUUUUCUUGUAUGUUAAAAAAAUAUUUCAAUGUCUUUAAAAAUAAAAUAUUGCAGUAAAAUCAAAAUUACAUUGUGAAACUUUAAGCGAAUGUUUUAUACUUAAGAAGUGCCAAUUAAAGUAAGCAUGCAUCUACAAUUGUAAUUUAGAUGUCAUACUGAAACAAUAGUUCUCUUUGACUAUAUCAUAAAAUUUGGUUCGAAUUACUUUAAGUCGUCUUGUAGAUUUUCAAGUUCCAAUGAUAUGCAUCAAGUAUGUGCAACAUACUUGAUAUAACUAAUAUUUUCUUAAGUAAUUGGACACUUUUUUCUAUAAAUUUACUUGAUUAUCAAUGAAUACUUUUAUGUAAGGUAUUGAUAUAAUUCGAUAAAUAUUUUAAAAUAGUAUUAGAAUAGCUUUGCUCUUUCCCAAUUAACAAAUUUACUAAAUUAACUUAUAUAUAUUUGUUUAUUUGAAUUUACUGGUAUUUGACUCAAAUUGUUAUUAUUUUUAAAAUUAUAGGAAAACCAUUAUUUAUAGAGUUUAAUUAUAUUUGGUAAAUUAUCUUUUUAAGUUUGGCUAGGAUUAGGAAACUAUUAAUUUAAGAUUAAUCCAUAAGGCUCUAUAAAUUUGCAGUUUUAUUUAGGAUUUAAAAAAAGAAAGAAAAAGUAAGAAAAAGUGAAGAGAGAUAGGCAAAGAGUGCAUUGGGUUUUAAAUAAAGAAAGGUUGAGAGAGUUUUGAUUACUACUCAAAAAGAACAUAUUUUAGAUAGUAAUUCUCAUGGGUUUCACAUCUUUUGAGUAUUAAUUAUGCCUAAAAAUGCUCAAUUAACAUGUUGUUGCCUUUGCAAGAGUUACUAACAAGUUUUAUAAAGUUUUGGAGUCAUUUCAAGUUAUGAUUUUAAUAAAUUGGUGACGAAAGAGAUGAAUUGAUUUGAAGAAGGCAAAUAAUAUUGAUGAUGAUCCAAAUGCAUAAUGAAAGAAGCAAUAUAAUUAGUUUGAUCGGGAUUUGCUGCUAAUUUGGAGGUAGUUAAGGUGGAGUCAAAAGAAGAAAAUGGAAGAAAUGACAAAGAGGAGCUUAAAAACCAAAUGUUGCAGAUUUGUAUGAUCAUGCAAAAAUUACAUGACUAUGCGAAAUGGAUUAGAGAAGGAAAAUUGACUAUAGUAUAAGGAGGAUGCUUAAGUUGAUUUCGCAUGAACAUGCGAAAAUUUUGCACAAUCAUGCGAAAUGGUCCAGAAAGCUCUCUAAUGUUGUUGUUGCUCCACUAAUUUCACACCACCAUGCGAAAUUGAUCUUUUCAUGCAAAAUGGCUGAAGCUCAUGUGAAAUCAUGAUUUUGAUGCUAAACUCUAGAUUUGUGAAUUUGGAAGGUUUUAGAAGAUCAAUGAGAAGUUGCCAAGUGUCCACUUGACCUUGGUCUAUAAAUAGAAACUUGAAUUUCCCAUGUAAAGAGCUUUGUGAUACUUUUGAUUUUAGAUUUUUCUAGGAACUCUUUCUCUAAAUAGAAUUCUAUAUUUUCUUUAAUUUUCUCUCAUUUUCUCAUUCGCCAAACAUGCCUAGUGAGACCAAAUCUCCAAGUAUGAGUGGCUAAAUCUCGUUUUUCUCAAAGGAAUGAGGAUCUAGAGUCAAGAUCUAUGGUGAAUUAUAGAAAUGAGUUUUAAUCGGAAAUGCAAUUUGAUUCAAUUGAUUGAUUAAUUGAAAUUUGAGGAUUUUUCUCUUCAAAUUAUCCUAAAUGACUAUUACAUUGCAAACUAGGUAGAUUCAUUAAAUUCUUAAAGCUAGAUUUAAUGAGACUGAAUAGUUGCAUUGUAUGAAUCAUUGGAAGAUAAUUUAAGAUGAAUUGAAUAUAUAAUUUAAAUUGAUCUCUUGGAUUAAAUAACCUAAUUUGAAGAGAAAUUAGGUUUAGACUUAAAGGUAAAUCUAAAAUCGAUUUAGAUAAGAAUUUAGGUUUUCAAUCUAACUUGAUGAAAAAUAAAUCUCAACAUCUAUUCACCAUGGAAAUUGUUUUCUAAAAAAUAUUAACUCCGAGAAUUCCUUUUCCUUAUCAAUUUUCUUAUAUUCUACAUUAUAUUGUUCUUUUCGAUUAGAAAUCAUUGUUAUUUUGAUUUUUCAUGAAUUGUCAAAUCAAUUUCACUUGACCAUAAUCAUUUCUUUUCCUCCCAUUUAAGCCUUAAUUAUCGAGAAUAAUCCAUCCCAAUAGAAGACACCUAAGACCACUAUACUACCGUAGCUUUUGCUAAAAAACCUUUUUGAUCGGGCAAGAGUUACCUUAGCAUAGUUGAAUUAGGUUAUAAUUUUUUUAUCCAAUAAACAACAAAAAAAAUCAAUCGAUCAAGUUUGCAUUGUGUAUUCUUGAAUUUUAUUAAUAAAUUUGAUCCCCCUUUUUGAAGCGAUUACACCAAACCAAGUAAAUAUUUUAUAUACUUCAUUUGCUUUAUUUUUUCUAUUAAGUUUAGGUGUUGCAAUUUUCAAGAGUCAUGGUGAGAAGAUUGUGGGAAAAAUUAUUUUAAGGAUGGAGUCGAACAUAAAAUAUGAAAUUGAGUCCUUUGAUGGAAAUAAUAAUUUUAAUAUUUGAUAGAGUAUUAUUAAAGAUGUUUUGAUACAACAAAGACUUCUCAAAGCAUUACAAGGCAAAAAAACUAGAGAGCAUGACAAAUAAAGAAAUGAAAGAAUUAGAAGCAAGAGUUGUAAGUACUAUUUGUUUAAGUCUUAAAAAUGAAAUACAUUGUUUUGAAUGAAAAAAAUAUUCUUUUAGGGGUGUCAAUUGCUCUUUUAGAGACCAAAAAUAUUAAGCAGUCAAGUAGUUCAUCUCAUAUUGGACAAACUGUUAUGAUGAAUUCUAAACCACAUCAUCAUAGGAGUAAAUCGAAAGAAAGUAUCUGAUAGGAGGAUGAUCAUUCCAUUCACACUUAUGGAGGAAUAUGAAGUAUUAUUACUGUGAAAAAAAAAACAUAUCAGGAGAUAUUGUAAAGAAUUGAUGAAGUACCUAGAAGAAAUGAAAAUUUUUAAAUCCCAAGAGACUUCAAAUUUUACUAAUAUUGUUGAUGAAAAUUUUGAAAUAUUGUAGUAAAUUAAAAGUUACAUUAUGGGACUUUUAGUGAGUGUUUUAUGUUGAAGAAAGGCUAAUUAAAGUAAACAUGCAUCUAAAACUAUAAUUUAGAUGUUGUACUCAAAUAGUUGCUCUCCUCGAUUAUAUCAUAAAAUUUGGUUUGAAGUCUAAGUCAUCUAAUAAUUUUCUAAUUCAAAUUGCAUGCAUCAAACAUGUGUGUUAGGAAGUGUUGCAAAUUACUAAUUAAUAUAGAUUCUUUUUUUUUUUAAAGAAUAUUGUAUUGAAUAUUUCUAGGUUGAUAUAUUAUUGUAAUAUUAGACUUUCUUAUAGAAUAAGGAAGGUUGUUGAAAAUAUCCCUAUAAAUAUUCUAGUUCAUAAGGGGAAAAAGUUAUGAGAUGAAGAUGGACCCAUAAAGACUAUACAAGGUGGAUAGAGACGUGAAGAAAAACGAGAGGUACCCGGUGGAGCGAGAGGGCUCGUGGUAGGGUAUAGGUACAAAGAGUGAGAAAACAUGGGAUGUUUUGGGAACCCAAUAAUUGUAUCUGGUUAUGUCCUCUAUAAGUUCUAGUCCUGUCAUCUGCAUUGUUCUCUAUUUUAUAGUGGAAUGAUUCUCUUUUAUCUGUGGACGUGGGCAUGGUUUUCGAACCAUGUUAAAACCUUGUGUACCGUUUGUGUUGAUUUUUUUUUUUAUCUUUAUUUUAUUGAUUAAUGAAGUUUGCAUCAAAGCUUCUGUCAACGUAACAAACUUGUAUCAAAGCUUGGGUUAAAGAUUUCUAGAAGAGUAAAAGAUCAUAGAGCACACAAGAUGAAAACAAAAGGAAUUUUUAGUGAAAAUGGAGUCAAUUGCUCUCUCAUGGUGAUAUGAUAUAAAAAGUUUGUGUCAUGGAAAGUUUGAAGAUUUACUUCAUGGAAUCUGGUCCAAAAUGGAGAUUGUUAAUAAGUAUCCCAAAUUCCUAAUUAGUUUAGAUUUUUUUUUUUUGUAAAGAAUAUUGUAUAGAAUAUUUCUAGGUUAAUAUAUUAUUGUAAUAUUAGACUUCCUUAUAGAAUAAGGAAGGUUGUUGAAAAUAUCUUUAUAAAUAUUCUAGGUCAUGAGGGAAAAAAGUUAUGAGAUGAAAUGGGCCUGUAAAAACUAUAUGAGGUGGAUAGAGAUGUGAGGAAGAACAAGAGGUACUCAAUGGAAUGAAAGGGCUCGUGGUAGGGUAUGGAUACAAAGAGUGGGGAAAUAUGGGAUGUUUUGGGAACCUAAUAGUUGUAUCUGGUUCUGUCAUCUAUAAUGUUCUAGUUAUGUCCUCUAUAAUUGAUUCGUUCCCAAUUGGUGUCUCAGCUGAUUCAUGUCCUCUCCAUGGUCCCUGAUAGUGGUGCCAUUUGAUUCAUGUCCAGCUGGUGUCCCUUGAUUUUGGUCUUCAGGGAGUAAUCAACAAAAUUUAUAACCUAUUACACCAUGUACUAGGAUAGCCUUAGCUAGCAUAGCAUAGUGGCUCUAGGGUCGUUCACUGGGAUGGGUUUUCACUUCACAAUUGAUAUUAAUUCAAAGAUGAAUUGGUGCUUUUUCAUUUCAAGGUUAGCUUUAAAAGAAAACAUAAAGAUGUUUGAAUGAAAAAGGUUUUGUUUUAAACUAACCAAAAAUAAUAACUGAUUUUACUUACAAAGAAAAGUGUUUCUUGGAGUUUAGAUCACUGGGCUCAGAUUCCUUGUACAAAAAGGGAGUUCCGGUCACUUGUUUCUUUUCCUCGCAUUAGAGAAUUAACAUAUAGUUAAUUCUCUAACCGGUGUGGUACAGAUGCUUCCCCUUAAUGGGUUCAAACACUAAAUCCCUCUCACUGAUGCAACUUGCAAUGGCUCGUGCCUCUCACCUAGCAUUUGCCAUUCAAGGUGAUCUUUAACCUUGGAUUACCCUUCACAAGCUCGCAAGAGAUAACUAAUGGAUGUCUCCUUAGAGUCCAAAAGCUUACCAAGUGUUGGCAAUUCUAGAAAAUCAUACCUUCAAACCACCUCCCAAAAGCUCGCAAGAGGUAAACCAGUGCAUCUCCAUUGACGGAGAUCACUUGCCUAACCAAGUGUUGGCUCAAGUGAAUUGAAGGUGUUUUAAGUUAACUAAAAAGAUAAAAACCAUUAACGGGUCACACUUUCUCUUCAUUAAAAACUAAAACAACAAAACUUCCAAUUUAUGCAUGAGGAAACUUACCCGGCUUUCUUUCACUCCAAGAGACGAAGAGCCUAGCCUCUCAUCCUCUGAGAAAAAAUCCUCAGAGUUUGAUUGGCUAGAAAGAAAACUAACGAGAAAACAAAAAUAUAUAUAAGAAGCAGAGCAAAAGCUCUGUUCGUUGAUUACAUAUAUGAUAUAUGAUAUAUGAUGGAUCCUCUUCUUUACAUUGGUUCAAAGAUAUAUAUAGAGAAGAUAUUUUCUAAGAAAUAUCCCAAUAAUAUCUUUGACUAAUUACAAGGAGAAAAUAGAAAUUUACACAAAAUAUCUUGAGAGAAAAAAUCUAACUUAGUCGGUGGCAAAUAUCAGGAAGCUUCAGGAGAAUAUCGCGUCACUGUGCAAAAAUCCGGGUAAUCUGAAAUGCCGGCCGCGGAUGCUCUCCGGGUUAGCGCUAUUAGAAGAUCCGGACAUGCCUGUCUGGGGAGGUUGAAAUGCCUCUUCUUCCAUCCGGCGUCAGGCGUCGGAUUUGAAAUAUCUGAUCAGAGGAUCCUGACAUGUCUGACCGAACAGAAUUUCAGAUGUGAGAUAUCCGGACGUCGCAAGGGGGACCGUUUGCGUGUACAAGGUGUAGAGACCCUUCCCCCUGAUGACACGGAGCACGCAUCGCUAUCCAGAGCAACUCCAUCCGGAUUUCCCAAGAGGACACGCACCGCCAUGCUAUCCGGCACUCGUGAACAUCACACUCCGGAUGAUAGCAUAUCCUAUCCGGAUAUGUUGUCUGGAUCAUUGACUAAAGUGAGCAAGCCUUACUACAGCCCACGUUCCGCCGCUCUUCCAAUGGUGUGUCCGGACGCCCUGUCUGGACAUCUUUUUCCAUGGAUUCCAAAGAACUCUCCUCAAUCUCGGAUUGCUUUGGUGAUAAAAAAGCUAUCAAAACACCAAAACUUAACACAAUUUGAUUAGAAUUGAUUGCAAGGGUCCUUAAUAUGUUAAUUGGGUUAAAAAGUGAUAACUACUACUCAAAAGUGUUUAAAAGAGUUAAUUACAAGCUAUGAAAUAACACUUUUUGAGUAGUAAUCAAUAAUGUUCUCUAUUGUAUAGUGGAAUGAUUCUCUUUCAUUCGUGGAUGUAGGCAUGGUUGUCGAACCACAUUAAAACCUCGUGUACUGUUUGUGUUUUUUUUUUAAAAAAAAUUAAUCUUUGUUUCUUGAUUAAUGAUGUGUGCAUCAAAGCUUCCAUCUACGUAACAAACUGGUAUCAGAGCUUGGGUUGAAGAUUUUUGGAAUAGUAAAAGAUCACAAAGCACACAAGAUGAAAACAAAAGGAAUUUUUAGUGAAUGUGGAGUCAAUUGUUCUCUCAUGGUGAUAUGAUACAAAAAGUUUGUGUCAUGGAGGGUUUAAUGAUUGACUCCAUGGAAUUUGGUCCAAGGUAGAGAUUGUUAGGAAGUGUCCCAAAUUCCUAAUUAGUAUAGAUUUUUUUUUUAUAAAGAAUCUUGUAUAGAAUAUUUCUAGGUUGAUAUAUUAUUGUAAUAUUAGACUUCCUUAUAGAAUAAUGAAGGUUGUUGGAAAUAUUUUUAUAAAUAUUUUUAGUCAUGAGGGGAAAAAGUUAUGAGAUGAAGAUGAGCCUAUAAAGACCAUACGAGAUGGAUAGAGAUAUGAGGAAGAAUCGAAGGUACCCAGUGGAGCAAGAGGGCUCGUGGUAGGGUAUGAAUAUGAAGAGUGGGGAAACAUGGGAUGUUUUGGGAACCCAAUAGUUGUAUCUAGUUUUGUCAUCUAUAAUGUUCUGGUUCUGGCAUCUAUAAUGUUCUGGUUUUGUCCUAUGUAAUGUUCUUUAUUGUAUAGUGGAAUUAUUAUCUCUCAUCUGUGUAGACAAGUUGCUAAACCACGUUAAAACCUCGAAUACCAUUUGUGUUGAUUUUUUUUAUCUUUGCGUUCUUGAUUAACGAUGCUUGCAUCAAAGCUUCUACCAACGUAACAAUGUGCAACAUAUUUGAUAUAACUUAUAUUUUCUUAAGUAAUUGAACACUUUUUCUAUAAAUUUACUUGAUUAUCAAUGAAUACCUACAUAUACGGUAUUGACAUAGUUUGAUAAAUAUUUUAAAAUAGUAUUAGAAUGGCUUUUCUUUUUCCCAAUUAACAAAUUUAUCAAAUAUAUACAUACACACACACACACACACAUAAUACUCAUUAGUAUGUCUUUUAUGAAAAAACUAUAUUUGUUUAUUUGAAUUUAGUAGCCAUUCAACUCCUUAGUUACUCAUAAACUUUUUAUCACCUUCUUAAAGUCAAGUCAUUUACAAUUAUUUCUAUCUAGCCUUCUCCAUUAUAACAACUUUAUAAGAUAGUGAUUGAUUGGAAGAAUCUACAUGCCUUUGUUGAUAGGAUAAUUGUUUUUCUUUUUUUUUCGUAUUCAAAGAAUCUUGCUUCUGUUAUUGAAACUUUCAAAUCCUUUAUGUCAAGUUGUCUUAUAAUUCCCUAUUCAUUGGUCUUUCAUAUUACCAAUCAUUUUGAAAAUGAGUUAAUUUCAUUCACAUCCUCUGAGAUUUGAUGUAAAUUCGCUUAGUUACCAAUGAUUUCAAAUUUCAUUAAUUAGUACCCCUAUAGAUGUAAUUUGUGUACAAAAUUUAUUUUUUAAAAGAGUUUAGGUAAAAAUAUUUUAGGUAUAUGUCUUUAACAAUUCUCUAAAAUAAAUUUUACUUGCUAAAAAAUAACUUAUAUAGAUAGAAUACAUCUACAGGAGUUCUAACUAACGAAAUUUAAAACUAAUGGUGGUUUAGUGUAUUUAAACUAAACAUUAGGAAGGGUGACUGAAAUUAACCCUCUAGGUAUAUAUGUUUAACAAAAUUUUUAUUGUUUAUUUUUCAUUUAAUGUUUGCAUUUUUCAAUAAACAUUGAAAAGGAAUUGUUUUUCCAUAUGUUAACAAAAAGAAAUUUGAACACCUAUAAAAAUAAAAUCUUGUAGCAAAAUUGGAGUUACAUUAUCAGACUUUUAAUGAGUGUUUAUGUUUAGAAAGACCAAUUAAAGCAAGCAUGCAUCUAGAAAUUGUAACUUAGAUGCAUCAAACAUGAGCAACAUAUUUGAUAUAACCAAUAGUUUCUUAAGUAACUAAACACUUCUUUUUCUAUAAAUUUACUUGAUUAUCGAUGAAUACUUACAUAUAUUUACAUAGUUUGAUAAAUAUUUUAAAAUAAUAUUAGAAUAACUUUGUUUUUUCUCAAUUAUAUUAGAAAAUAAUAUAAAGUUACUUAUAAACUUUAUAUCAUUUUCUCAAAGUCAAGUCAUUUACAAUUAUUUCUAUCUAGCCUUCUCCAUUAUGACAACUUUUAUAUGAUAGCCGUUGAUUGGAAGAAUCUACAUGUCUUUUUUGAUAGGAUAGUUGUUUUUAUUUUUUUAUUUUUUUUAUUCCAAAAAUUUGCUUCUAUCAUUGAAACUUUCAAAUCUUUUAUGUAUAUUACCAAUCAUUUUACAAGUGAGUUAAUUUCACUUAGGGUAGAUAUACUUAGCCACACCCCUAUAGAUGUAAUUUGUGUUUAAAUUUUAUUUUUUAUUUAGGUAAAAAUAUCUUAGGUAUAUGUGUUCAACAAUUCUCUAAAAAAUAAAUUUUCUUAUCUAAAAGUUUAUAUAGACAAAAUACAUCUAUAGAAGUCCUAAUUAAUGAAAUUUAAAAUUAAUGGUUGUUUAGUGUAUUUACAUUAAACCUUAUGGGGUAUGAUUGAAAUUAACUCUUUUACAAGCACUUGUAGCUAAUAUGUUUGUAGUUGUAGUGUUGGAAAUUGAUCAUUUUCUUGAAGGCCUCUAAGAUAUUGAAAAUAUUGCCAUAGUUUUAGACUUUUUUUUAUUACACCUAAUAAAAAAUAUUAUUAAUUUAACAUAUAUAUUCUUGACUUAAAAGUAAAGUCUCUCCAUAUUGUAUAAGCCCUUAGGUGGCAAUAUUAGGUGAAGUUUUUCUUUCGUUUAUUACAAAAUAUAAAUAAUUUAUUAUUGUAUGAUAAAAUUUUAUGUAAUAUAUUUUUAUAGAUGUAAAAUUAUUAAUUGGGUUUUUUUUUUACUAAAUUGUCAUUUCAAUAUAUAAAACUUAUUUGUAAAAAGACAAUUAUAAACUAUAUGAAAUUGAAAAACAUUUAGUUUUUUUAUUUAAUUUAGAAUUUUAUUUGGAUUAAUAAUUGAUAUUUGUAAGAUUUUUUAAUAUUAAAAAAAGUUAGCAUACUUAAGAAAGAUAUUCAAGAUCGGGAGUGUUUGAUAUUGGAUUAAUUUCCUUAUUUUCUCUAUUUUAAUAAAUUUUCACGUCCAUUACAAAAUUUUUGUUGUUUAUUUUUCACUUCAAUAUUUUUAUUUUGUAAUAGACAUUUGAAAAGAUUUUUUCCUACAUGUUAAAAAAAAAAAUAUUUGAACACUCCUAAAAAAGAAUAUUGCUAUAAAAUUAAAGUUUACAUUGUAGGACUAUUAGCAAAUGCUAUAUACUUAAAAUAGACCAAUUAAAGUAGAAAUACUUCUAAAAUUGUAAUUUAGGUAACAAUAAUAUAAAAAGAUAAUAUUUUUGAAACAAUAGUUCUCUUGGAGUUUUGGGUACGAUGGACUAGACUUUAUGUACAAUAGAUAUACAAACUUUCCAUUAACAUCUUGAGAGACAUGAUGAGGAGCAAAGUCAUCCAAGAAGGUACCAUAGAGGUACCUUAGCUCCAUUCAUCUAGACUACAUAAUGUUUAAAGAUCAAAUUCAAUGACUAGAUUUCAAAAAUCAAUAUAAGCUUUCUCAUAUUCUACUCUAUAUAAGACAAUGGUAUGAUACCUCUCUUGUGUCGUAGAAUGCACCAUGAAAACCUUAUCAUUUUAACAUCAGUUUGAAACUUAAAAGUCACUUAGCACAUUCUAGUUAUUAAUCUAAGAGCAUUAAAAGAAAAUAUAAAAAAAGUUACUUUAUCCUUGUGAUUUUGAUUUAGGACUUUUAAUGAUAUUAAAAAAAAAAAACAAAACAGAAAAAUAAAUGGAAAUAAAAUCAACAAAUUAAACAAUUGAAUUAAGUUAGUUUAAUUCUUGCAUCGUUAAAUGGGUAAAUAAAGACUCUUAGAUUUGAUAUUAAUAUGAACAUCAUGACUUCAGUGAAUCUUACAAGAAAAUUUUAGUUUGAAAGACUUCAUUCAUUAAACGUGUGGCACAUAUUAAAGUAAAACUAAGUCUUCUCUAUAAUUUGUACCUAUCAUAGUUUCUUUCCUUAUAAAUAGCCUUUUUUGAAUAUAAUAUAGACUUCAACAUGCAUGGUGGGGCCAAUCAAACUACUAGUCAAGACAACUCAUGGGCAACAACGAUGUACCAACUACAUUUAAAUACUCUUCAUCUAUUUACAUAUCAAGAGUAAUUUAGUAGUGUCUUAUUUAUGUACCUCAUAUCUAGACUUUCAAUGGAGAGUUCUUCAUCUAAAAAUUUGACUUGGGUUUUCAUACUAGUUUUGGUUUAGACAUGUGGAUGCAAAGGUUGCAUCAAAGAAGAGAAGUAGGCUAAAUCAUCUUACAAAUUUUAUAGUUCAAAUUAGAUGCACCAAACAUAUGCAACAUAUUUGAUAUAACUAAUAUUUUCUUAAGUAAUUGAAUACAAUUUUUUUUUUAAAUUUACUUGAUUAUUAAUGAAUAACUACAUGUAUGGUAUUGACACAACAUGAUAAAUCUUUUAAAAUAGUAUUAGAAUAACUUUGCUAAAAAAAAGUAAAAAUAAAAAUAAAAAUACAUCUAUAUAUAAAAUUAAAUUAAAUUAAAAAUUAAAAAAGAAUAUAUAUUCUCUGUGUGUGUGUGUGUGCAUGGUCCCACAACUCAUUAGCUACUCAUAAGCUUUAUAUCACUUUCUCAAAGUCAAGUCAUUUUGUAAUUAUUUCUAUCUAGCCUUCUCCAUUACGACAACUGUAUAGGAUAUUGAUUGGUUGGAAAAAUCUUCAUGUCUUUUUUUAUAAGAUAGUUUUUUUAUUAUUAUUAUUAUUCAAAGAAUUUGCUUUUAUUAUUGAAACUUUCAAAUCCUUUAUGUCUAGUGGUCCUACAAUUCCCUAUUCAUUGGUAUUUCAUAUUACCAAUCAUUUUACAAAUAAGUUUAUUUCACCCGGUAAAUAUACUUAACUACUAAUGGUUUCAAAUUUAAUUGAUUAACACACUUAUAGAUGUAAUUUGUUUUUAAAUUUUAUUUUUUUAGAAGAAUUGUAGGUAAAAAUGUUUUAGGAAUAUGUGUUCAAUAAUUCUCUAAAAACAAUUUAUAUAGAUGGAAUACAUUCAUGUAAGUUCCAACUAAUGAAAUUUAAAACUAAUGACAAUUUAAUGUAUUUGCACUAAAUCUUAGGGGAGGUGUACUAAAACUAGCCCUUUUACAAAUAUUUGAUAUGAAAUUAAUUAAUUAAUUUUUUCUAUUUAAAUAAAUUUUUGCAUCCAUUAAUAAAAUUUUAUUGUUUAUUUUUCACUUCAAUAUUUUUAUUUUGUAAAAUAAAUAGAAAUAAAAUCAACAAAUUAAAAAAUUGAAUUAAGUUAGUUUAAUUUUGCCACCUUUAAAUUGGUAAAUGAAGACUCUUAUAUUUGAUAUUAACAUGAACAUCAUGACUUUAUUGAAUCUCACAAGAAAAUUUUAGUUUGAAAGAUUUUAUCCUUUAAACAUGUGACACAUAUUAAAGUGAGACCAAGUCUUCCCUAUAAUUUGUAUCUAUCACAAUUUCUUUCCUAAUGAAUAGCCUUUUUGAAUAGAAUAUAGACUUUAGCAUGCAUGGUGGGGCCUAGCUAUCAAACUACUAGUCAAAACAACUCAUGGGCAAGAAUGAUGUACCAACUAGAUUAAGUAUUCUCCAUCUAUUUGCAUAUCAAGAGUAAUUUAGUAGUAUCUUUCUUGUGUACCUCAUUUCUAGACUUUCAAUGGAGAGUUUUUUAUCUUAAAAUUUGACGUGGGUUUUCAUACUAGUCUUGGUUCAGAUAUGUGAAUGCAAAGGUUGCAUCAAAGAAGAGAAGUAGGCUAAGUCAUCUUACAAAUUUUCAAGUUCAAAUUAGAUGCAUCGAACAUGUGCAACAUAUUUGAUAUAACUAAUAUUUUACCAAGCAACUAAAUACUUUAUAUAUAUAUAUAAAUUUAUUGAUGAUCAAUGAAUACCUACAUGUAUGGUAUUGACACAGUUUGAUAAAUCUUUUAAAAUAGUAUUAGAAUAACUUUGCUAAAAAAAGUAAAAAUAAAAUAAAAUAAAAUAUAUAUAUAUAUAUAUAUAUAAAUAAACAAAAUAAAAAAUUUAAAAAGAAUAUAUAUAUUAGUGGUCCCACAACUCAUUAGCUACUCAUAAGCUUUAUAUCAUUUUCUUAAAGUCAAGUCAUUUACAAUUAUUUCUAUAUAGCCUUCUCCAUUGCGACAACUGUACAAUAUAUUAAUUGAUUGAAAAAAUCAUCAUGUCUUUUUUGAUAGGAUAGUUUUUUUUUUAUUCAAAGAACUUUCAAAUUCUUUAUGUCUAGUGGUCCUACAAUUCCCUAUUCAUUGGUAUUUCAUAUUACCAACCAUUUUACAAAUAAGUUAAUUUCACUCGAUAAAUAUACUUAACCACCAAUGGUUUCCAAUUUGUAGCAUUCUUAUAGAUGUAGUUUGUUUUUAAAUUUUAUUUUUUAGAAGAAUUGUAGGUAAAAAUAUUUUAGCUAUAUAUGUUCAACAAUUCUCUAAAAACAAUUUAUAUAGAUGGAAUACGUUCAUGGAAGUUCCAACUAAUGAAAUUUAAAACCAAUGAUGAUUUAAUGUAUUUGUACUAAAUCUUAGGGAGUGUGGACUAAAAUUAGCCCUUUUACAAAUAUUUAUAACUAGUAUAUUUGUAGUUGUGGUAUUGGAAGUUGAUCAUUUUCUUAAAAGGUUUACCAUUGAAGUUAGUUGAAUAUAAAGUUAGGUGAACUUUACCAUUGUUAAAUUGGUAAAUGAAGACUCUUAGAUUUGAUACUAACAUGUACAUCAUGACUUCAUUGAAUCUCUCACAAGGAAAUUUUAGUUUGAAAGACUUCAUCUUUUAAACAUGUGGCACAUAUUAAAGUGAGACCAAGUCUUCCCUAUAAUUUGUAUCUAUCACAAUUUCUUUCCUCAUAAAUAGCCUUUUUGAAUAGAAUUAAUAUAGACUUUAGCAUGCAUGAUGGGCCCUAUCAAACUAUUAGUCAAGAUAAUUUGUAGGUAAGAACGAUGGACCAACUAUAUUAAAUACUCUUCAUCUAUUUGCAUAUCAAGAGCAACUUAAUAUUGUCUUUCUUUUGUACUUCAUGUUUGAACUUUCAAUGGAGAGUUUGUCAUCUAAAUAUUUGAUGUGGGUUUUUAUACUACUCUUGGUUCAAAUAUGUGGAUGCAAAGGUUGCAUCGAAGAAGAGAAGAUGGGUUUGCUUGAAUUCAAGGCUUUUCUUAAAUUGAAUAAUGAGCAUGCAGAUUUUCUUCUCCCUUCAUGGAUAGAUAACAACACUAGUGAAUGUUGUAAUUGGGAGCGGGUUAUUUGCAAUCCCACCACAGGUCGAGUUAAGAAGCUUUUCUUCAAUGAUAUAACGCGACAACACUUGGAAGACAAUUGGUACUAUUACGAAAAUGUCAAAUUCUGGUUACUAAAUGUCUCCUUAUUCCUUCCUUUUGAAGAACUUCACCAUCUAAACUUGUCUGCAAACUCAUUUGAUGGGUUUAUUGAGAAUGAAGGUAUGUUACCUCUCACCUUUAAAUUUUCUUUUCACUUAUACUCCAAACAUUCUAAAGGAACUACUAGCAUAUGUUCUUAAAAGUGUUCAGGUGGAGAACAAAUGGUCACUAGUAACUAUUGAAUUUAAUAUAAGAACAAUUACUAAUUAUUAAAAUUUAUAAUGUAAAUUAACAUUUAAACAGAACAAUAAAAAAAUUAUUAUUUUAGAAAACUAUAGAUUACAUUAGCCUUAUAUAUAUAAGCAUACUUGUUAUUUAUGUCAUCAUUUCACACUCAACCCAAUAAGUGGGAUUCAACUAAGAGUGAGCAAUUUCACAAUUAUUAAUUAACAGGAACACUUAGGCUCCCAUAUCCUUAUCAUUUUUGCUGAAUUGUCUUUCCUUAUCUUCCAUUCCUAAAAAGCUUGAUUUCUAUAUUCCAAAUUGAUAGAGAUUGGUUAAAGAAAGGUGAUCACAAAAUUUGACUAUUGCUUUCAAAUGAGGAAUCACCAUCUUCAAAAUUUCACAUUUACAAAAAAAAUAAAUAAAAUAAAUAAAUAAAUAAAACUAGCCUCGGGUAAGGUCCAAGCCUUAUUGUUUUAAGCUGAUGUCAGAUUGGUUUAAUAAUGAACAGAGUAAAUCCUAACCCAUGACCAUCUACGCAUUUCCAAAUUCCACCCAUCCACAACCCAUUAAUAUGACAUUUUCAGGGACAAAAUUUAAUCAAUUAAACCUAUUAGAUGGAUUCUCCAUACAAUGUUAAAAUGAAUAUAAAAACUUUAAUUCAAAAAAUAAUUUCCUUUAUUUAGUUAGGAUUCAAAUUAUAGGGGCACAAAACAUGAAAAUUUUCAUGUUUAAAAUUCACAAAGAUCACAAAAGCUCUUUGAAGCUCUAUGGACUUUUUUAUUUCUAACAUUUAAACACAAAAAUCACCAAAUUUAAUUAGAGAUUUGGAUGCAUAUUCUUAUAUUAAAGACAUGUAAGCUUACAUAUUUAAAUAUGAAGAUCUCAACUUGUAAUUACAUGCUUCUAAUUAAAGUUAUAUUACUCUAUUUUACAGGAUUUAAAGGGUUAUCAAGUUUAAAGAAAUUGGAGAUCUUGGACAUAAGUGGUAAUGAGUUUGACAAAAGUGCCUUAAAAUCUUUGGGCACAAUAACAUCACUCAAGACAUUGGCUAUUUGCAGCAUGGGACUGAAUGGAUCUUUUUCCAUUCGAGGCAUGUUAUAUGUCCACAUUGUUUCUUUGAAAUUAAGUAAAAUAUAUUUCUAACUUUUAAUGUUCCUUAGUUAAUCUCUCUUUUGAUUCAUGUUUGUUGCAGACUUAGCUAGUUUGAGAAAUUUGGAAGUGUUGGAUCUAAGCUAUAAUCAUUUGGAAAGCUUUCAACUAUUGCAAGGUACUUCAUUAACUUGCUAAAAAAACUUACGAUAUUUUGUUAUUAAAUUAAAGGUAAGAUUAACAAACAAUUUCUUCUCAUUAGUUACUUUUCUUUGUAAUAUCAUUAAAUUUGAUAUAAUGUAGUCUAAAUCAUCCUUUCAAUUUAUAAGUUUUAAUUAAAACGCAUCAAGCAUGCACAAGAUGUUUAAUAUAACUAAUAUUUUCAUAAGUAAUUGAAUUUUUUUUAUGAAUUAAUUAACUUGAUUAUCAAUAAAUGCUUACAUGUAUAAGAUUAAUAUAGUUUCAUAAGUAUUUUAAAAUUGUCUUACAACACACACACACACACACAAGGAAAAUGAAAGGUAUGUGAUACCUUUAUGCUAUGUUUGGUUCUCAAAAAAAAUUGAGGGAAAAUGAAAGGAGAAAAAAAUAGAGAGGAAAAGUAAAAGAAAAGAAAAGAAAAAAAGUGAAGAAAAAUAUAAAAUUGAUUAAAGUAAAUACAUUAUUUUUAUAUGUUACUUUAACUUGUUUCACUUAUUUUAAUUCUUCAAUGUAAAGAUGAAAGAUUUGAAAAUGCAUAAGUUUCUAAUUAUUUUUUUAUUUUAUUUUAUAGUUUUUACAAUACAACCAAACAUAAUAAAAUCAUUUUCUUUAAUUUUUUUUCUUUUCUUAAUACUUUUCACGAACCCUUAAGUUAUGUUUGGUUUGCAGAAAAUAUGAGGAACAGAAAAUAGAAAAGAAAAUUAAAAGGAAAGAAAAAGUGAAGUAAAAUAAAAAUAAAUUUAAAUUUAAUAAAUUAUUUUUAUAUGCUACUUUAAACUUAUUUCACUUAUUUUAAAUUAUUUAAACUCAUUUCUAAUAAAUAAUAAUGGAAAUUGUAGAGAAGUUUGUGUUAUUCAAGCUUUGCAAUGACUUUUCAAGGUGAAGGAAAAUAUUCUUGCUGAAAUUGAAGAAGGAAAUACCUUCUUAAAUAGCCUAUUGACCGAAAACACAUUACCCUAACAUAUACACACACCUUUAUUAUUUAUACAAUCAUUUAAUACUUAAUCCCGUUAGUGGGAUUCUAGUGGUUGUUUCUAUCUUGGUUUCCAAUAUUUCUGAUUGAUAGUGUUGGAUUAAUGAAAUAUCAUAAAUUUUGACCCCAAUAAGGACCAAUCCCUAUUAAAUGUAAUUGGGUUGACCUAAGACUAAAUGUUAGACCCAACUAAUAAAAACCCAUCUGUUUGUUGGAGUCUAAAUAACCCAGCCUUAGGUAGGGCCCAUGCCUUAUUAUUUUAAGAUGUAGUCCAACUGGUUUGACACUGGAUUGAGUAAAGCCCAACUUAUGAGCAUCUGUGCAUUUCCAUCCAUCCACAACCUACUGGCAUGGACAAACUUUGGUCAAUUAAACCUAUUAUAAAUGUAUACAAAAUUUUAAGUUCAAAAGAUAAUUUUUCUUAUUUAGUUAGGAUUCAUAUUAAAAAGGCACAAAGCACGAAUUUUCAUGUUUAAAUUCACAAAUAUCACGAAAGCUCCUUCAAGCUCUAUGGACCAUUUUAUUUGUAACAUUAUAUUACUCUUAAUUAUCAAAUUAACCAACAAAUUCUUCUCAUUAGUUAUUUUUCUUUUGUAGUGUCAUAAAAUUUGAUGUAAAGUAAUAUUGGUCAUCAUUUCAACUUUCAUGUUCCAAUUAGAUGCAUCAAGCAUGUGCAACAUAUUUGAUAUAACUAAUAUUUUUAUAAGUAAUUGAAUUUUUUUUUCUAUAAAUCAAUUAACUUGAUUAUCAAUGAAUACUUUCAUACAUGAUAUUGAUGUAGUUUCAUAAAUAUUUUUAAAUAGUCAUAGAAGUCUUUUAUCUGAUUCACUAGAAAGAAAAAUAAACUAUUCUAAUGAAAAUACUUGAUGAUUUGAAGUGAUUGCUUUUGAUUUUAUUUGAUUGCUACCAUUAUUAAUUGUUAGAAAUUGGCAACAAAUACCCAUUUUGCAUCACUUCUAUAUGCAUCGAGGGAAUGAAUUAUAUUUCAUAGAGCUAACAGGGCAAAACUCAUACUUUUGGAAUUAUGGAAAAGGUUGCUAGAAAGCUAAUUAACAAUUUAUAUUAUGAUUAAGACUAGUUGGGUUAGAAAUAAUUCAUAUGGAGAUUAAAAAAAACUAUGUAAUUUAGUUUAGUAGCUUGGGUGCUAUUGUAAUGAUUAAUGAUCUGCAACUUGAACACAUCUACUAGUGCUUUCUACUUGUAUAGCUAAAUUUAUGUUACCACUUUGAACUACAGUACUUACAUGAGAAGAAAGCUUUUCCUUAGUGAUAAUGCAAAAGAAAUUAAGUAUCAAUUUUUGUUAAACUAACAAGUGAUAGUUUAGAUAUGUUUUGAAUACACUUCCUUUCUUCUAUUUUUUUAUUUUGAAAAAAAAAACUCUUUAAUGAAAUAUAAGAAAUCUUAUAUGUAUAAAAAGUAAAGACUUAAACAAAAAAAUUCUUCAAAUUUUAAAAAUUUCGAGAAGUAUUUUUAAGAAUUUGUAUUUUUAGUAUAAUAAUUCCUAUAUUUUGUAUAAAAGCUUUUGUUCAAAAAAAUAGAAGUGUAUCCAAAUUAAAAAUUAAUGGUUAAAUUAAGAAUGUUUCUCAGAUCAAGGGAUAAUGAAAGUUGUAGAGAGUUUGCAUUACUCAACCUUUGCAACUACUUUUUGAAGGUAAAAGAAAAUACCUUCUUACAUAACAUACAAUGGCAAGUUCUGGUUUGUAAGAAACUAAUAAAUGAUUAAGAAUAUGAAUAAGACUUCCUUAAUAAUAGAUAUGUAGAGAAGAAUAGUGGAUGAUAGGAGGUGAAAAUCUUGUAAUAAAAUAUCAAUAUCGGUUAUAAGAUAAUCAACAUUUUCUUGUACCUAUGUGAUUAAGAAUCUUGUAGCUCCCUUAUUGAAAUAUAAUAUAAAAAUAUAAAUAAACUAUUUAGAAGUGCAUGUAGUUUUCAACAUGAGGAAGUUCAAAAGCAAGUUAAUUAUGAUAAUUUUCUAUAGUCUAUAUUGAACACAAAUUAUUUUUUCUAAAGGUUCAAUCGUUCUAUGAAGGUUAAAAGUUUGAAUUGUUUACAUAUGCAAAUGUGAAAUUUGAAAUUUUAUAAUGUUUUAUAAUUUUCUUGUAGAUUCAAAAAACUUGUCCAUAUUCAAAAAGCUCGAGACCUUGAACCUCAAUCACAACAAGUUCAAAAACACUAGCCUACAACAAUUGAAUAUAUUUACAUCCCUUAAAAAUCUUUCUCUAAGACGGAACUAUGAUGGAGGAUUUUUUCCGAUCCAAGGUAUGUGUAAUUAUUAUUAUUAUUUUUAAUGAUAAAAUAUUAGAAUUGUCAACAUCUUUUAUCUUUUUUCCCCUCAAUGGUGUUGCAGAAUUAUGCACUCUAGAAAACUUGGUGAUGUUGGACCUAAGUGGGAAUUUCUUUAUUGGCAUGCAAGGUAAAUACAAAGUGAAGUUUUGGUUAUAUAUAUAUAUCAUGUAAGAACAUAACUAAAAUCAACAUUCUUUGCCUAUCAAUUUGUGCAUGACUAUUAUUUAGUUAUUCUUCGUAACAUAAUUGAAAGAAUGUUUAGGUGUAUAACAUUUAAGAAUUUUACAUGGCACAAUGAAAAACAUGGUAAUCAAUGUAUGCAAUAAAAUUCUAAUAGUUGAAAAAGAAUUUUCUUGUAAUUUUAUGUUCGUGUAUAGUAAUCAAAGAGAAAAUCAUGAAAAUGUAUAUUAGUUAGACUUUAUAUAUCAAUAGACAAAAAAGAAAGAAAAAAGAUUAGUUCCUUAACUUAUCCUAAAAUUUUCUAGAUAACAAGGAGUUUUUUUAUUUUGGGCUAUAAGAUUUACAACCUGAAAAGUGAAGAUGAUUAAUAUUAGUAAUAUAAUUUUGAAAUAUAAAAAUUAAUGAAAUAAUGUUCUCUAUAACUAUAACUGCAACUGCAACUAUUAAUAAAAGAUAAUAAAAGUACUUUAGACUUUGAAUCCAUGGUUAGGUUUGCAAUUUUUUGAUGAUCAAUAAAGCUACAACUUAUGCUGCAAAAGGCUAUACAAAAUGUAUUAGGAGCAUUGCUAAGCUCAUUUAUCAAUAAAAGAAAUCCAGUAAUACUUUGAUUGGAAAAAACCUAGAAUCAUGUUUGAUAUAUAUAAUAGGAGAAGAAACAAAAUAACAAUUCCAUGGUAUUAGUUAGUUUGAUAUCCCUUUUGUUAUAUGGAAUAACUAUUCCAUUUUAAAAUAAUUAUUUCAUCUUAUCGCUAGAACAAAAAAUUUCAAGCAAUUAUAUGCGCUUUUGGGUUUCUUAAGAAUUUAAGCAUUUAUGGGUCACCCAUAUAUACAUAUAUAUAUAUAUAUAUAUAUAUAUAUAUGUAGGAAGAAUAAAAAAAAAUAUUAUACGGAGACAAGGGUAGACACCCAUAUAUAUAUAUAUAUAUAUAUAUAUAUAUAUAUAUGUAGGAAGAAUAUAAAAAAAUAUUAUAUGGAGACAAGGGUAGACACCCAUAAAUGUACAUAUAAUUAUUUAAAUAAAAAAUCAAUAAGAAACAAUAUACAACAAAAUAGAAAAUUUUAAUCUUCUUAAAUUUUAAAAAUAAAAACUAAAUGAAAAAAAAUUAAGAAGUAAAAAUAAUAAUAAAAAGGUCAAGAAUACAAAUAGAGAAGUAAACAAAAAAAAUACAUAAAUUAAAAUUAAAAUUUAAAAGAAAAAAUACAUAGAUUAAUAUGAACACUAAAUGAGGUUUUUUGAGAUAGACUUAGUUAGACCUGAACCAGAUGGAUAUUAAAAAAAAUAAAAAAAAAUUGAAAGAAAUAAAAACUAAUUAGAUGCUAAAUAUUGGAUUAAAAUAACCAAAUGAAUAAAGAGUAAUUAUUAAUUUUUAACAUUUUUUAUUCCCUAGAAUUAUUAUUUUGUGUAUUAAAUGUAUUCUGAGUGUAGUGGUAUAAAAAAUGUAGUUAAGAAUACUAUGAAGAAUAAUAAUGGUGAUGAUAAUGGUGACGACACUUAAUACCUUUUAUUGUACGUUUAGAAAAAAUGAGGUUCUUGAUCUUUAUGGAGAUUAUCAUUACUCAUCCGCAAGCAUGUUGAUAGUUGAAACUACUCAAUUAUCAAAAAUUGAAUUUCUAACCUUCAAUUUUUCUCUCUCAAAUGUAUAUGUGGGUGAGAAAGCACUAGGAAGAUUAUAAGGUCUCACAUGUAUAUGAGUCAUAGGAUAAAAAAUAUAGAGACAAUACUAGCAUUUAUUUGAUCUAGUGGCAAAUAGAGAAAUAUAAAAUAACCAUAACCAUAAUGUUCUAACCUUAUAUAUACCAGAACCAUGUUUCCUUCAUUCAAUGUUGCAACUUUUUCUUUUCAAAUUAGAAUGUAACUUGUAGGAUCCAUUGCCCAUCAAAAUUUUGAAUCGAAUAUUAUAAGAUAUUUCACAUUUCUACCUACUAAAGCAUGAGCUUCAAUGUUCUCAUGCACUUUUGGCUACUAAGUUAAAGAACCCUUUGAGGAUUAAUGGAGUUUCUAUGAGUAGCAAAGCAUUAUAAUCAGAAAGUCUUAUCAGUGAUAUGCAAUUUGACCAAGAACUUAUUCCCAACUAUUUUAUGAAUUUUAUGACUUUUCUUGGCUACUUGUAGGCAAGCUAAAGAAAUUUUCUGGUUUGUUCAAGUCUAAAAAGUGGUUUCAAGUUUAGGGCCAAGCUUGGGCUGCACCUAGGUCCUUGGGCCUUGUUCAGCUCCACGUUUAAACCAACCUUGAGUCCAUCUUUGUAAUUUUUCUCCCAAUUCAUUGAUUAAUAUUAGGAUUUUAUAGAGCCUAUAAAUUGACCAACUAAAUAAAGUAGGUUCAUAAACUUUUAGGUGAAAAUUUUCUCUUUAAUAAAUGUUAAUUCAAGAGUCUCCGUAAUCUUUUUAUAUUCAUAUUAAUUGGUAUUUAAACCGACCUUACUAUAUUAAAGUCAAAUACCAAAUAGUGAACACUAUAUCUACUACUACCACUAUGAUGGUCACAAACAUAGAAUGCUCCAUUUUUUAGAGUCAAUUGAUGCUUAUAAACAACUUUGUUUGAAAAUAAAACACAUCGAGUGAUUGCAUCAAGAGAUUGAUGUAAUAAUUGCAUACUUGAUCUAGAUAAUGUUAAUAUGAGUUGACUAAAUAAAUGAGUAUUUACUUAUAAGGUAGCCCAUAGAACAUUAUUUGUGGAAAUAUUCAUGCACCUCUACAUAUGUUCAUGAUAACUUAGGUUGAUAAAUUUAAGAAGAACAAAUUCAUAACCUUGGGCAUAGUUAGUAAGAAAUUUCACCAAUAGAGUUUGGUAUCAUGAUUCUAAUUGUUCAAAUUGUUUUAAAGGAGUAUUUUAAAUUGCAUGUUAAUUUGCUUCUAAUAAAUGGAGAGAAACCAAUUCAAGAAGAGAAUUGUACUCAAGCUAUGUAUAGCAUUCAUGAAGAUGUAGAAAAUAUUGAUGAACUUACUUUUGAGCAAGUUGAAAUCAUAAUUAAAUAAAAUAACAAACCCAAGGGUUAAGAUUGUCAAGUAAAACUUUAAUUAAAAUUUAUUGAUUUUUUAAAUGCCUAUUAGAGGAGCAAUAGAAGUUCUAGAUAGAAAGUAAGAACUUUUCUAAGGAAUCACUUGUUAGAUUUUAAGUGAUCAAUAAAUAUAAUGUCCAAUUUAAAACUUUUAUAAAAGCAAUGGUUCUAAAGAAUAACUUGAUUUGAAUUUAAAGUUAUUAUUGAUAUUUAUUUAUAAUGGAUGUAGUUAAUCAAUUGAACAUAGUAAAAAACACAUAAUUUUUUCAAAAUACCUUCUAAUUGUUGGGUAUAUUUAAGUAGUUAUUCAUAUCUCAUUAUCUUUUUACUCACAUACUAAUCUCCUUAUUGAGUAUUUACCAAUUACAAGUAGGUUGAAAGUUACUUGAAUUUAAGUCACUAAUCAAUGUUAACUUGAUGACAAAUAAGUCUCCCUUUGAAACUUGUUUUAUAACAUAGCGAAAUGUAGUCGAUCAAUCAUCAAAACAAUGUUUAAGCAUUGGGAUUUAGUUGUUAAUUUUUAUUUUUUAUUUUUUGUGCUUAAACAAAGACAAAAAUUAUAAAAACUCCUGAAAAGUACAUAUUAAUUGAAUUUAAUUUAUACAUCAAACAAGAACAAACUAGUCUUGGAUUUAAAAUUCAAUAGGUUUUGUAAUUAUAAUUCCUAAAAAUUUGUAAGACAACAAAAUUAUUGGACACUAGGCUAUUGGGUGUGUAUGACUAAGAGGUGAAGGAGGGUUCAUCUUAUACAAAGGAUGAUUUGAUUAAUUUUAAAGAUUGAAUAAACAAUAAUUGCAUAUUCAAGUAAAAAUAACAUUGCUAAAAAGGAAAAUAAGUAUUUUAGUCCUCAAACCUAAAAUGGCUAAAAAAUUUAAUUAAUACAAUUACAACUUCACCUACAAAAAAAAAAAAAAAAAAAUACCCAAAACUUUUCAAUAGCACAACUAAGUCCAUUUAUCAAAAGCUCUAUGAACAACAACAACUAUCAAAUCACAUAAAUCAUGUUGUUUACAAAGUGCCCUUGAUGUUUUAAAACAUAAGAUAUUACAUAAAAAUCAACCAAUAGUGUAUGACAUUAUAAAAAACAUAUCCAAAUCCAUUGUCGAACUUAAACUAAAUUCAACUUUAUAUACAUAGUCGCAAGUGGGUCUUUUUGUCUUUCAAUUUGGGUCAAAUUCAGAUGUUAGUUUUUUACACAACAAGGGAUUAUCAAGGUGAUAAUUCAUGCAUAUAAAUAGUAUUACUUAUAUAAAAAAAAUGGUAAAUGCAAUUUUUUUGUAUUCACUCACCAUUUGGCAUAUCAAUAAGAAAAAAAUAUAUACAAUAGGUGCUAUCAAUAAUAUUAUGCAUCACUAGAAAUUAUAAUUUUUCAUUUGUUAUCACUACUUGUGCACUUUGGAAAGCUUGCUAGGUACAACAAAUUAGCUCAGUGAAGAAAUUGAUCAAUUCCUUCAUUUCUAAAUAAAUUUGCAUAUACACUAGAAUAAAAACAACUUUUUAACUUAACAAGUUGACUGAGUCUCAGAACUUAGUAGGUUGAAGGCAUAGACUUCCAUCCAAGCUCAUUUACUGGCACCACAUGUUGGAAAAAUAAAGAAAAAUCAAAACACUUGAGUAUAGUUGCAAACCAAUCUAAAUAUAGAGUGAGAUCUACCUUUCUUUGAAAGUUUAGAACAAAUUUUUAUUUUUAUGAUAAGACUAUGCAGUACUUAUCCCUCUCUAACAAGUCUAUAAUCAGUCCAAAGCAUGGGAUAUUGCAUAUUUCUUGAACUCAAUUAGCCUUUAAUCCAUGCAUUUCAAGUAAAUUUAAAACCUGGUGUACUUGUUCUUGAUUCACAUCCUUGUCACUAUUAUCAUUACUUGUUCUUGAAUAUAGAACCUUAUUGUCCAUUAACAAGCGGGCCUAUGUUCCUCCAUGAUUCAAGAGUAUUAUGUUUUGUUCAUCAUCAGUUGGUCUUGCUCUAAAGCUUCUUUUUUAUGACUAUCAAUAACCAGACUUAGAUACCAAAAUUUAUGCAAGAGAGCAUGUACUUUAUACAGUCAAGAACUUGUGAGUCUAGACUUUGUUAUCUAGGUAAAAGAAUAAAUUGGUUUGUUAAAAUAGCUAGCAUUAGGUAUCUAUUCAAUUCCUAUCUUAGACAAUAAAGAUACAAAUGAUCAAAUACAUUCUUAUUAAGAAACAUUUGAUACCAAAAGUGAUGUAAGACAACACAGUUCCUCUAUUCAAUCAAGUUUAAGGCUUAGAUGAACCUAUGAAUUUAUAUUAAUUAAUUGGGAAAGAGAAUAAAUAGGCUAAGUAGAAGUGAUAGGAUUGUAAUAGCAUUAAGUUAAUGAUCUUGUUUAGGUCUUCUACUAAAUUAGAGAAGAAACAAACAAAAGUAAUCAAACGUGUUAGUGAUAAUUAUAUCUACUUAACAUUGAGACAAUAGUUGUACUAAUGGUAAUUAUAUUAUUUCUUGAGAGUUUAAACAAUAUAUAUUGAAAAUAUUUUUAAAGGUUUAGCAACUACCAAGGUUAUAAUCAACUACGAGCUUUUUAUUUUUAAAAAUAUGAAAUAUUAAUAUCUUUACUUUCUUUGAUCUUCUUGUAGGUUUUAAAAGUUUGUCUAAGCUGAAAAAGCUGGAAAUCUUAAACCUUCGUGAUAAUCAGUUCAACAAGACCAUUAUAAAACAGUUGAGUGGACUCACAUCCCUUAAAACACUAGUUGUAAGCUACAACUAUAUUGAGGGACUUUUUCCUUCCCAAGGUAUUGCUUAUUCUUUUAAUAUCCUUAGUAACCACUCUACCAUGAUUUUUUUUUUUUUCAAUUUUAUUUUCUUUCUUGAACCAUACAGAAUUAUCUAUUUUUGGAAACUUGAUGACACUGGAUUUAAGAGAUAAUAGACUCAAUGGCUCCCUAUCAAUCCAAGGUAAAUUCUAAUCAGAAUUAUCAUUAUAUUUAGGGCAUAUAAUAAAUUAAUUAAAUUAUUUUAUCUAUUAUCAUUACUUGGUUAUUUGGAUUUUCUUGAUAUUGUUUAGCAUUUUACAUAGGAAAAUGAAAUGGAAAAAUCAACCCAUGCUUAGUGUUUAAGCACUGGGCUAGAAGUAUAUUUGUCUUCCCAAUUUAAUCAAAGAGAAAAGUCAUAAAUAACAUAAUUUAACUUAUACCUUAUAUUGAUUGAAGAGGUUAGACUACUUUUGGAUUUAAUGGUCAAUAUUUGUUGAAGAUAGGGUUUCCUAAAUUUGAUAAAAAGAACUUCAAUUUAAAUUACCAUAACUACAUAAAGGUGUGACUAGCAUAAUUAAACUCUUUUAUUAAUAGAUGUUCAUAGACUAGUAUUAUAAUCCCACAUGCACAAAUAAUCAAAUUUUGAAAUUAGACUUCAAAUAACUAUGCAAUAUACGAAACUACAAAAUGAAUGGUAGGUCAUAAUUAAUUAAAUUCGUACUAUAUUCAAUGUUGGUCAACACGUGUCAAGUAAAAGUUUUGGCCUAAGUGUAAGGGCUCACUUGCUCCAAUAUAUAUGUUAUUCACUUUGGGUCAAGGCCUACUUUAAAAUAUCUAUACAUUUAUGAGAUAUUUUAAAAUGUAAAAUGAUAGGUUUUGAUCAUUUUUAAAGGUAGCAAACAUUUUAUUUUAUUUGUAUUUAAGAACAACGUCUUUUCUUAUACAAUGUUUAUUUAAUUUUCUUUUGAUAGAUUUUGCAAGCUUAAGCAAUUUGGAGAUAUUGGAUUUGAGUUAUAAUUCCUUCAAUGGAAUUGUUUCAUCAUCUAUAAGAUUAAAGUCUUCUCUCAAGUCUUUAUCCUUGGCUGGAAAUAGACUCAAUGGUUCUUUACAAUGUCAAGGUAGGAAACAUUUAAUUUUAUUUGUAUUUAAGAACAAUGUCUUUUCUUAUAUAAUGUUUUUUUAAUUUUCUUUUGAUAGAUUUUGCAAGCUUAAGAAAUUUGGAGAUAUUGGAUUUGAGUUAUAAUUCCUUCAAUGGAAUUGUUUCAUCAUCUAUAAGAUUAAAGUCUUCUCUCAAGUCUUUAUCCUUGGCUGAAAAUAGACUCAAUGGUUCUUUUCAAUAUCAAGGUACAUAUGUUAUGCUUUCUUUGUUUCAUAAAGAUUAGACAAGAUAAACAUUGUGAAAAAAAGGUUGUCAUAGUUAAUGUAAAAUGAUAGGUUUUUGAUCAUUUUUAAAGGUGGCAAACAUUUUAUUUUAUUUGUAUUUAAGAACAAUGUCUUUUCUUAUACAAUGUUAUUUUAAUUUUCUUUUGACAGAUUUUGCAAGCUUAAACAAUUUGGAGAUAUUGGAUUUGAGUGGUAAUUUCUUCAAUGGAAUUGUUUCAUCAUCUAUAAGAUUAAAGUCUUCUCUCAAGUCUUUAUCCUUGGCUAGUAAUAGACUCAAUGGUUCUUUUCAAUAUCAAGGUACAUAUGUUAUGAUUUCUUUGUUUCAUAAAGAUUAGACAAGAUAAACAUUGUGAAAAAAAGGUUGUCAUAGUUAAUGUAAAAUGAUAUGUUUUGAUCAUUUUUAAAGGUGGCAAACAUUUUAUUUUAUUUGUAUUUAAGAACAAUGUCUUUUCUUAUACAAUGUUAUUUUAAUUUUCUUUUGACAGAUUUUGCAAGCUUAAACAAUUUGGAGAUAUUGGAUUUGAGUGGUAAUUUCUUCAAUGGAAUUUUUUCAUCAUCUAUAAGAUUUAAGUCUUCUCUCAAGUCUUUAUCCUUGGCUGUAAAUGGACUCAGUGGUUCUUUACAAUAUCAAGGUACAUAUGUUAUGCUUUCUUCGUUUCAUAGAGAUUAGAGAGGAUAAACAUUGUAAAAAAAAAAAAGUUGUCAUAGUUAAUGCAAGCUAAAACUAAAAAACUUGCUUUUUCAAUUAUGUAAGCAUGUUUUGUUCUUGAUGAAUCUUUACAACAUUCAAAGUUACUAAUAUUUAUAAUUCAUAGAGACCUCAUUAACAACCACUAACAACUAAUUGUAAGUAACUAUGAAAAAAGUAAGGACAAAAAUGAGGGAAAAGCAAGGAAAGUGACAAAUUUUUUCAUCCCCAUAAAAAAUGCUAAGGAAGAAAAAGGUGAAGAAAAUUUAAAGAAAGUAUAUUUUUCAAAAAUUAAAUUUUCUUUCCCUUAAAGUUGGUAUGGACAACCAAACAAGAAAAUGAUUUUGAAAUUCUUUUUUGACUUUUUUCUUUCAUUUUUUUUCCUACUCUAUUUUCUUUCCCUCAAACUUUCUAGGUAGUAAACAUUACCUAAGACAAAUAGGGAAGAAAAUAUUUUAUCAUUUAUUUAUUUAGCAUUUUUCUUACAUUUUUUGUAUUUUAUCCAAAUAUAAGAAAACUAUUUUUCUUUAUUUUUUCUUUUCCUUGUUGCGUUUCAAGAAUCAAGCAUACUUUAAACUCUAAUUAAGAGUUACAUAGAUUUACGAAGAAACGAUGCAACUGGUAACAAAAAAUUAAGGAAAUUUAAUUUUUGAGAGUAAGUAUAAUGAGAUUGGUUUGUUUGAUACAAAAUUUGAAUAAAAAUUCUUUUAAUGAAAAUUCAAGGAAAGGAAAAAAAAAACAACUUUAUCUCUAGACUAUAAUACUAAAUCAAUUAAAAAAAAUCUCCUAACAUCGUUUAUGUUCAUCUUUCUUUUUAUGGAUUUGAAAAACUCAAUAAUUUGGAGAAAACUGAUUUAAGGAAGAAUAUUUUUUAGAGUAAAAGAUUAUUAUUUAAGAAUAUCAUAAAUAUUAUAGUCAUUGUUGAAUAUGAUAAAUGAUAAAUAAAAAAUAAAAAAUAAAUAAAAAGUCGUUGGAAAUUUAGAUACUUUUAUGGAAAGAUAGACAAAGUGCUCUAGUUUAUAAUACUAAUGCACUUUUCUAAUUUGAUAUGAAAAAAGGUAAAACGAUAGGUUUUGAUCAUUUUUAAAGGUAGUUUGUUUAAAUCAUUUUAAUUUAUUUUGAUUUAUGAACAAUAACUUUUAUUACACUAGUUAUUUUGAUUUUCUUUUGAUAGAUUUUGCAAGCUUAAGCAAUUUGAAGGUAUUGGAUUUGAGUUAUAAUUCAUUUAGUGGGAUCGUUCCAUCAUCUAUAAGAUUGAUGUCUUCUCUCAAGUCUUUAUCUCUGGCUGGAAAUGACCUCAAUGGUUCCUUACCAAAUCAAGGUACAUAUAUUGAGAUUACAGGUUUUUCUGUUUUCUUUUUUAAUAUCUUGUUUGUUCUUUAUGCCAAUGAAGUCAUGCAUGUCUAUUAAUUUUUGGUAUUUAAUGAAAAACUUUAUUCUUAAUUCAUAAAGACCUCAUCAACUGUGAGUAACAGCUAGUUGUAAGUUUGGGGGCAUUGACAAGACGAGGAGAUGAUUGGUUACAUGUCUUAUUCUCUUUUGUAGGCUUUUUCCAAUUGAAUAAGCUUCAAGAGUUGGAUCUUAAUUACAACUUAUUCCAAGGGAUCCUUCCUCAAUGUUUGAAUAAUUUGACAUCUCUAAGGUUAUUAGAUCUCUCUUCCAACCUAUUCUCCGAAAAUCUUUCUUCCACUCUGUUACCUAAUCUCACAUCCCUGGAGUACAUUGAUCUCAGUUACAAUCAAUUUGAGGGUUCAUUCUCUUUCAGCUCUUUUGCUAAUCACUCCAAGCUUCAAGUGGUCAUACUUGGAAGUUAUAACAACAAAUUUGAGGUAGUUGGAAGGGAUAACAACAAAUUUGAGGUAGAAACUAAAUAUCCAGUUGGUUGGGUUCCCCUGUUUCAGUUGAAACCUCACCGGUGACCUUCCUGGUUUUCUUCAAUACCAAUUUAGAUUAACGGCAGUUGAUCUCUCCCAUAAUAACUUGACAGGAAGUUUCCCCAAUUGGCUGCUUGAAAACAAUACGAGAUUGGAAUUUCUGCUCCUGAGGAAUAACUCUUUAAAGGGUCAACUACUUCUCCUAGGACCUAAUACCCUGAUCAGUUCGUUGGAUAUCUCACACAAUCAGUUGGAUGGACAACUUCAAGAAAAUGUGGCCCAUAUGAUUCCAAAUAUUUGGAAGUAUUCCCAAUUCAAUCUCUAGACUUCUAGAGCUAAGGAUUCUUUUGCUAAGAGGAAACCUUUUAAGUGGUUUCAUUCCAUAUCGACUUUGUCAUUUGACUAAAAUAAGCUUGAUGGAUCUUUCAAACAACAAUUUUUCUGGGUUAAUUCCUGGAUGCUUUGGUCAUAUCGGAUUUGGAGAUUUCAAAACUGAGCACAAUGUGUAUAUACCGAUGUUGGAUUCAUAUUCAGAAAGCAAUCCUUCUAUAUAUACGGGUUACUUAAUAAAAUAUUUAUUUUUCUCUAGUGAACUCCCUGAUAAAGUAGAUGAAGUUAAGUUUGUUACCAAGAAUAGGUAUAGCUCCCACAUAGUAGAUAAAAAUAUUUGUUCGGAAUUUAGAUAUUUUUAUAGAAAAGUAGACAAGUAUUCUAAUUUAUAAAAACAAUGCAUUUCUUUAGUUUGGUAUAAAAAAAUGAAAUGAUAGGUAUUGGUAAUUUUUUUUAAAGUAGCAAACGUUUUAUUUUAUUUGUAUUUAAGAAAGAUGUCUUUUCUUAUACUAGUUAUUUUAAUUUUCUUUUGACAGUUUUUGCAAGCUUAAGCAAUUUGGAGAUACUAGAUUUGAGUUCUAAUUCCUUAAGUGGGAUUAUUCCAUCAUCUAUAAGAUUGAUGUCUCAUCUCAAGUUUUUAUCGCUGGUCGGAAAUCACCUCAAUGGUUCUUUACAAAAUCAAGGUACAUAUGUUAUGAUUUGUUUGUUUCAUAUAGAUUAGAGAAGAUAAAUAUUGUAAAAAAAAAAAGUUGUAGUUAAUGUAAGUUAGAAAAAAGUAUCUUGCCUUAUAAAUUAUAUAAGCACGUGUUUGUUCUUAAUGAAUCUUUACAACAUUUAGAGUUACCAAUCUUUAUAAUUCAUAAAGACCUCAUAAACACUGAGUAACAACUAAUUGUAAGUAAUUGUGGAAAAGUAAGGAAAACAAAUUGCUUCAUUUGAUACAAAAUUCGAAUAAAAAUUCUUUUAAUGAAAACUCAAGGAAAGGAAAAAACAUUUUUAUCUCUAGAUUAUAAUACUAAAUCAUGUAAAAAAUCUCGUAACAUCAUUUAUAUUCAUAUUUCUUUUUAUAGAUAUGAAAAAUUCAACAAUUUGGAAUAAACUUAUUCAAUGAAGAAUAAUUUUUAGAUUUAAAGAUUAUUAUUUAAGAAGAUCGUAAAUAUUACCAUCAUUGUUGAUGUCUAAGAAGAUCAUAUUCAACAAUUUUUUUAAUAUGUUGUUUUCUAUGGUAAUUAAUUGAUGUCUUGUAAUUUUUAAUAUUUAAUGAAAAACAUUAUUUUAAUUCAUCUAGAGCUCUUAAUUCAUGAAGACCUCAUUAACGGUGAGUAAUAGUUGGCUGUAAGUUUGGAGUCAAAGACAUUUCAAGGAGAUGAUUAGUUACAUGUCUUGUUCUCUUUUGUAGGUUUCUGCCAAUUGAAUAAGCUUCAAGAGUUAGAUCUUUCUUACAACUUAUUCCAAGGGACCCUUCCUCCAUGUUUGAAUAAUUUGACAUCUCUGAGGUUAUUGGAUCUCUCUUCCAACCAUUUAUCCGGAAAUCUUUCUUCGCCUCUGUUACCUAAUCUCACAUCCCUGGAGUAUAUCGAUCUCAGUUACAAUCAUUUUGAGGGUUCAUUCUCUUUCAGCUCUUUUGCUAAUCACUCCAAGCUUCAAGUGGUCAUACUUGGAAGUGAUAACAACAAAUUUGAGGUAGAAACUGAAUAUCCAGUUGGUUGGGUUCCCCUGUUUCAAUUGAAGGCUCUUUUCCUAUCCAACUGCAAGCUCACCGGUGACAUUCCUGAUUUUCUUCAAUACCAAUUCAAAUUAGAGGUGGUUGAUCUAUCCCAUAAUAACUUGACAGGAAGGUUCACCAAUUGGUUGCUUGAAAACAACACGAGACUAGAAUUUCUAGUCCUAAGGAAUAACUCUUUAAUGGGUCAACUACUUCCCCUGAGACCUAAUACCCGUAUCCUUUCAUUGGAUAUCUCACACAAUCAGUUGGAUGGACGACUUCAAGAAAAUGUGGGCCAUAUGAUUCCAAAUAUUGUGUUUCUAAAUUUAUCCAACAAUGGUUUUGAAGGUCUUCUCCCAUCCUCAAUAGCUGAAAUGAGUUCCUUAAGGGUGUUGGAUUUGUCUGCCAAUAAUUUCUCAGGAGAAGUACCAAAGCAGUUGCUUGCAACAAAAGAUUUGGUGAUUCUAAAAUUAUCAUAUAAUAAAUUUCAUGGUGAAAUAUUUUCAAGGGACUUUAACAUGACUGGGUUGGAUAUUUUGUAUUUAGACAAUAAUCAGUUCAUGGGAACUCUGUCAAAUGUAAUCUCCGGAAGCUCUCAGUUAAUGGUGUUGGAUGUGAGCAACAACUACAUGUCAGGUGAAAUUCCAAGCGGGAUAGGUAACAUGACAGAAUUGAGAACAUUGGUCAUGGGCAACAAUAAUUUUAGAGGCAAAUUACCACCUGAGAUUUCUCAAUUGCAACAGAUGAAGUUUCUUGACGUUUCUCAAAAUGCUCUUUCAGGAUCUCUUCCUUCUUUGAAGAGCAUGGAGUAUUUAGAGCAUCUACAUUUGCAAGGGAACAUGUUUACAGGAUUAAUACCGAGAGAUUUUCUCAAUUCCUCAGAUCUAUUGACUUUGGAUAUGCGAGAUAACAGGUUAUUUGGAAGUAUUCCCAAUUCAAUCUCUGCACUUUUGGAGCUAAGGAUUCUUUUGCUAAGAGGAAACCUUUUCAGUGGUUUCAUUCCAAAUCAUCUUUGUCAUUUAACUAAAAUAAGCUUGAUGGAUCUUUCAAAUAACUCUUUUUCAGGGCCAAUUCCCAAAUGCUUUGGCGAUAUCCGAUUUGGGGAGAUGAAAAAGGAGAAUGACGUGUUUAGACAGUUCAUUGAUUUUGGGUAUGGAGGGGAUUCUCGUAAUUUAUAUGUUGGAUUCACGGUGAAAAAAUGGGAGUUCGAUAGUGAUGUAUAUGAUGAAAAAAAUGAAGUUGAGUUUGUCACCAAGAACAGGCAUGACUCCUACAGUGGUGACAUCCUUAAUUUCAUGUUUGGAUUGGACUUGUCAUGUAAUAACUUAACCGGUGAAAUCCCUCACAAACUUGGAAAGCUAAGUUGGAUUCAUGCAUUGAACUUGUCUCACAAUCAAUUGAAGGACUCCAUUCCAAAGAGUUUCUCCAAUCUUUCUCAAAUAGAGAGCUUGGACCUUUCUUAUAAUAAAUUAAGUGGAGAAAUUCCUCUAGAGCUAGUUGAACUCAAUUUUCUAGAGGUGUUCAGUGUGGCUUACAACAACAUCUCUGGUAGAGUUCCAGAUACAAAAGCACAAUUUGGGACAUUUGAUGAAAGAAGCUAUGAAGGUAAUCCUUUUCUCUGUGGGACAUUGUUAAAGAGAAAAUGCAACACAAGUAUCGAGCCACCAUGCGCACCAUCACAAUCUUUUGAAAGUGAGGCAAAAUGGUAUGAUAUCAAUCAUGUUGUUUUCUUUGCAAGUUUUACUACUUCAUAUAUCAUGAUCUUGUUAGGAUUUGUUACCAUCCUUUACAUCAAUCCUUAUUGGCGUCAUAGAUGGUUCAAUUUUAUCGAGGAAUGUAUAUAUUCCUGUUAUUAUUUUGUUUUUGAUAAUCUUUCCAAGUUAUCAGCAUAUUUGUAUAAUUAGAUACUUUUAAUUGGAUGAUGUUUGCAUAAUUAACUACUAUUUGUUUCCACUAGAUAGAAAGAAAUGGGAUGUAUAAUUGCUACAAGUUGAAACUUACAUACUUUGCUCAAAUUUUGACAUCUUUUGAUUUUAUUUUCAAGUUCCGUUAUUUUUUAUGUAUUGUUUAAUUCAAGAUUUAACCAUAUUUUGUUACUCUUAUAAAAACAAAUUCAAAUUUUUAGGAAGUUUUAGCAUUAAAAUAAUUUCAUAGUCAUAUUUUAAAAAAUAAAGAAGAAAGAAAAUAAUAAAUAAUUGGAAAAACAAUUCAAGGGAGUAUUAAAUUAUCAUCUUAGAAUUGUUUGGCAUAGUAUGGGAAUUCAAAAAUAAUCUUUCAAUUUGUUAGAAGCGUUUAUUUAUUUAUUAUAGCAAUGAUUGAAAUAUCAAUCACAAAGCAAUGUUUUCUUUUCUUUUGUAGGGCACUAACACUUUUUCUUUGAUCGUAAUAAUUGAUAAAUAUAUUACACAAUUAUUUGUUUUUAAAAAGGGAGGGAUGACAAAUAUAAUAACAUGUGAAAUAUUUCUAAAUGAUGGGAAAUAAGCCAAUCUAAUUAGGGUGCAAUAUUAUUCAUUUUAAUUUAUAUGAAUUUACUUAUUUUUAUUUGUAUCAUAUUUUGAACCAUUUUAUGAAAUUAAGGGAGAUUAAAACAUCGAGUUUCUUAUUUUAAUUUAUAUUUUUAAUAAUAAAGCAUGAAAUAUUUUUUUUUUUAAAAUCAUGAAUUUCUUUAAUUCCUUAGGAAACCAAUAUAUAAAAAAAUUGAAUAUAUUAUGAUUUUAUGUCCUAAAUCUCUAAAUUUGUUCAUCACGUAUUUAUUUUUAUAUUAAAUUUAUUAUUAUUAAUUAUUUAUUAUAUAUUAUUAUUUUAUGUUUAAAAAUGUCCAUAAAUAAUUAAAAUUAAUAAAUAAAAAAAAUGAAAUAUUAAAAAAAUUAAAUUAAAAAGAUUUCAUCAAACUAACAUAUUUAAAAAAAAAAAAAAGCAAAAAGAAGAUGGGGAUAUUAUAGAUGAGGGGAAAAAGAUAAAAAAUAAAUAAAAAUUAUGCGGUAUGAUAAUUGCCUCGUGUUAAAGUUAUUUUCUUUUAAAAAUAAUAAUUGUAAUGAUGAACUCAUUUGUCUUAUUAAAGUAAACAAAAAUGAAGAAAAAAAAAAAGUUGUAGUUGGCUAGAGGUGAGAGAGAGAGAGGAGGGUUUGAGUGUAAGUUUGAAAUAUUAAUUAUUUUCACUAAGUAGAUAUUUUGAAGGUUAUUUUCCCCAAAACACAUAUUCUUUUAAUAAAAAAUCAAAAUUUUAGAUUAUUUGUUCCUUUAAACUUUAGUUUGAAUAAAAUUAGUUUUAAUUAUUUUCUUUUUGGAAUUAUAUUUAACACAUUAUUAAAAAUAUAAAAAAAUAUUAUUAGGUUUUUAUGUGCUGAUUGGGUUUUUUAAAUACCCAAUAUGCCCUCCAAUCUACCACUUAAGCAUCCGAUAUGGCUAAAAAUAAAUUAAAAAAAAAAAAAAGGAAAAAAAACAAAAGUGUAUGAUCCUCUUUCUCGAGUCUUCACAUUUUCAGACACUGAACCCAAAUCAAAAUUAAUCCUCCAAAUUAAUUUUCACCUCGAACCCAAACCCUAACUGCUGCCCCGUUUUCUCCUCAAACAUAGCUAUCCGAAAAACCCUAACCUCUGCCUCGUCUUCCUCUUAUCCCGGAAACCUAAAUCCCGUGACCCUAACCCCUUCUCUUUCCGAAAACCCUCCGGAAUAGGAAGAUUCAUAAUUCUUCAGAAUUAAUUUUCACCUCGAAGCCAGACCCUAACUGCCUCAUCUUCCUCUCAUUCAUAUCCUAAAAGUAGCUUCAACAGUCAGGCCUGUAGCCAUGAAAGCCGUAAUGAUCGCCACUUCCGGUGAUCCCCAAGUUCUCCAAGUGCAAGAAGUCGAAAACCCUAAAAUUGGAGAUGAUGAAGUUCUAAUUAGAGUGGACACCGCUACCAUUAAUCGAGCAGAUACGCUUCAGGGAAAGGGCUUGCACCCUCCCUCAAAGGCGGCAGUCCCUACCCCGGCCUCGAAUGUUCUGGAAUCAUCGAAGCUGUUGGAAGGGUCGUCGUUCGAUGGAAGGUUGGCGAUCAGGUAUUUCAAUUACUGAAUAUUUUUUCCUGUUCCUGUAUUUUUCUCGGCUAUCAAACACCAGGAACGCGUAAAUAAGGAGGUUAGCUGAUUGCGAAAACGGAAAUUUUUUGUUCGUGUUUGUGUUAAGGAGUCUUUGUUGAGAAUUUUGGGGAAAUUUAUGAUAAGUUUGUGAUUUUAUGAUUAAUUUUGUGUAUCAAUAAAUGUUAAUUAUUGAGCUUAUUGGUUUUUCAAAUUUAUGGUUGUAAGAAAAUUGGUCAGUGUAAGGUUAUGGGUUCAUUACCAAUUUGCUUACUGAAAAUUUUUCCAGAUAUUGUGGGCUGGUUUGGUAGCAGAAAUAAGAACUGUGUUUUCUUUUCCAAAACGGAAAUAGAUGUAGAAAACAUGUUUGGUAGCCUACUUUCAGAACUUGUUUCUGAAAAUAUUUCCUGAAAAUAUUUCCUGAAAAUGAAUUAUUUCAGAACUUGUUUUUAAAAACUGCAAGCACUUUAUCAAUUUAAAAGGUUCUGAAAUGGACAUGUUCAUGGUCUUCAUUUUGUAAAAUGAAAGCUUUUAUGAAAAAACCAUUUUCCAUUCUACUAAGCAAACAGGCUUUAUAUUGUAACGGAUCUAUUGGCCAUCUCCUUUGUCAUGUUUUGUGAAUCAUGGCAACACUGGAAUCCACUCCAUUACUCUCUAUUAGUGAUUAGGAGAGAAAGCACCGAUUUUAAUGCUAUACUUUAUGUGAUUUUGCUUCCUCCUGAGUACAAGUUCAUAAUAUAUAUGGUACAUGGUACAUGUCUGUAUGACAGUUUGUGGUAUACAGAUGUGUGCUCUUCUUUCUUGUGGUAUACAGUUUGUGGUGGAGGGUAUGCUGAAAAAGUGGCUGUUCCAGCUGGGCAAGUUCUUCUUGUCCCAUCUGGUGUUUCUCUAAAGGAUGCUGCCGGUAUUCCUGAGGUUGCAUAUCCUGUUUGGUUUUAAUGAUGAGCCGACUGUCUGCAGGAGAAACAUUCCAGGUGAAUUUUCAUUUUUUUUUAUUUUCUGAUGCCUGAUAUAUUUACCAGUACAUAACUUAGCUUAAUGGGGUUGUGCAUAUUCUAAUGGUUUAAAAAGUCCAAUGCGCACAAAUUUACACUGUUGGUGUUUAAUGUGUGUGCAUCAAUAUUGGAUUAGGGAGGCAGAAGAGCCAUGGUUUUUAUUAAAACAUUACAUCAUCAUAUUCUUAUUUAGAUACAUCGCGUCUCACGAUUUCAUUGCAUCCAAGGCCAUGUUGUUUUUGAUUGCAUGGUUUGUCAUGAUAAUUUCUCAACCCUUCUCUGGAAAAUUAUGUUGGAUGGCUGAUAUUAAUUACCCCAAAAGAAGAAAUUUUAUGUUGAAGUAAGAUGAGUACCACAAAGAGUUACUUUUGGUUGUUCCUAUCAUCAAAUAGGUGAUUGAUGCACAAUCCAAAUGGCAAACACUUUUUCCCCCUUUAUCCAGAUGGAAUUUUUAUGCAUGGAUGAAUUGUGAAAUGAGGACUGAUAAUAUUUCAGGUUCAUGGGGGUUCAAUUGGAAUUGGUACGUUUGCUAUUCAAAUAGCGAAAUACCGAGGAGCAAGGGUAUUUGUUACAGCAGGUUUGCCAUCACUAUUCUACCUCAUCUCAUGGCACCAAUUCCUUGUCUUCACAUGUUUUCGACCAUUUUUUACAACUGAAAACGAGGAAAAAUUAGCUGUUUGUAAGGAUCUUUGAGCAGAUGUGUGCAUCAAUUACAAGACAGAAGACUUUGUUGCUUGGGUGGAGGAAACAGGAGGGAAAGGUAUAUUCUAUUGUAUCCUAACAAUAAUUUCAGUUGAAGAUGGAAUUGCUUUUAAUUUUUUAGUGCACCAAAUCCACUAGUCUGGUAUGUUUGAAAAGAUAAGUAGUCAUCUUCCACUUGAUUCCGAUUGUGAAGAUCUAACUCCAAAAAUGUUGAAUGACAGGUAUUGAUGUUAUACUGGAUAAUAUUGGACGGGCCUACUUUGAGGGAGACAUCGAUAGUUUAAAUGUUGAUGGAAGGCUUUUUAUUAUUGGUUUUUAAGGGUGGAACAGUUGCAGAAGUAAAUCUUUCAGGUUUACUUGCAAGGUGCCUUACAGUGCAAGGUACCACUUUCUCUAUAGAAGAUUUUUCUGUAGUUUUGGAGUUGAUUCAAUUUGAUUAAUCUCAUCCAAGUUCAGAACUGAGGUGGAUUCUGGCAAGCCAAGGAAAAACCAAAUUACCAUAAAUUCUUUUUUUUCUGGAUUGUUUUACUUCUUGGAAAUCCUGUUUCUUGAUCUGGUCAGGUAUAUGGAAAUUCCAAGGAAAAUAUGUUUUACAUUUUCCAUAAUUGGAAACACUCAGGAAUUUAAUAUUUUCCUCUGAAAUAGCAAUGGUUUUCUAAUUACGACAUUUGUUUUUCUUGUAUCAUCCCAAAAUAUUUUUUAGGUGUUUGUUCUCUCUUGACACAGCUUUUAAUUGGGUCUGUCUUGCUUUUUGAUAGAUCUCUUGACAAGUUGCUUGUAUAUCAUACUUUCUUUAUUGUUUUCGGAUCAUGAACCUUGCUUCUGUCAGCCCUGUUAUCACUACCCAAACUAGUAAAUUUAUGCACAAAACUCCAUGUGUCAGUAACAGUGGUUAUUUGAUUGUAUUAAAUAAUUUGUAAAUACAUUGGAUAAGUUUGUACUAAAUGGCAAUUGUUUCUGCAGUGGCUGGUUUGCAAAACAGAAGUCUGGAAAAGAAAUCUGUAAUUGUGAGUGAGGUGGAGAAGAAUGUUUGGCCUACAAUCACAGGCGUACAAGUAUUUUCCAUUGACGGAAGCAGUAGAGGAUCACCAGCUCAUGGAAAGCAGCAAGCAUAUUGGGAAGAUACCACAUAUUCCAUUAUGUUAUGGUUAUGAAUGAUCUUAUGCCUCAGAGGGGGAUGACAUGAUUUUAAAACUCUUAAUGAGCAUCUACUAUCUGAUACAAUGUGUGAUGCGCGCAGGCCUAGAUGGUCAAUGCUUAGUUUCUUAUGUAGCCCUGUCAUUUGAGAAUAAAAACCAGCCUUCCCGUCCAAACAUUUAGACUACUGGAAUCUAAAGCCUCAAGAUGGUUGACAAUGAAUUUUCAUGUGGAAACAGAUCAUAACUCUCCAACCUCCACAGACGAGCUUACCUUCCUUAUCUGAAGUUUGAACAAAACUGUAUAAAACUGUUAGGUAGGUAGAACUGUCUAAGAAACCAGAGCUUGGCUAGUUGAUCACCUUAUUUACAGAGCUUGGAUGUGAGAGAAACCAGCGCCCCUAAAGGUCAGGACAAGAUCCAUUCCACCAAAGUUGAGCCUUGCAUGUAGUCACCUGGUAUUUUCUUUUAUUGGAGUCUUCCCCUCUACCCUGGCACUGGGAUUGAAAGCGAAUGAAAAACGUGCACAGAUUGAAGGUGUGCUGCUUGAGUUGAUUGUGGUUUGAGCAUGAAAAUUUGAAGAUCCAGAACAGCAAAUGAGGAAUGCCUAUCAAUUUGAAACCAGCAUGGGUGGAUGAAUGGAGAGGUUCUUCACUGAAUUUGUCCAUGAAGCUUUUUAGCACUCUAGGGCAAGGGUCUCCAAGACUAGCUGUUGAUUGCACAUCCCUCCUGCGCAAUACGAAGAACAGAGUGAAAUGCAAAUGCAGGAAAGGGUGUUUCUUAGCUGUUCAACAACUGACAAUACAUUGGCAUGACAAUUCCCUGGAUCGAUGCCCUCUUGGAGUUCCAAAGCUUGUUCACAGGUCAAUUGAACUUGAGGGUUUUGGGACAUGUACUCCAAGUUUGGUUGCCAAGAAUCUCCAGGUGGAGGAUCAGCUUCUGACACGUGUGCACACACCUCUUGGCCAGUUUGUGUUAUUGCAAUUUUAAUAAAUUGCAAAAAAAAAUUAUUGCCAACAAUUUUUUCUUUUUUUCUUUUUUCUUUUUAAACAAACUGCAAAAAUCCUUUUUUUUUUUUAUAAAAAAAAAAAAAAAAAAAAUUUCUCCAACAAAGUGAUUUUUUUUUUUUUGUGGCAUGACUCGGUUUGACCACUAACUCGGUGAACUGGUCUACCGGCUCAAGUUUGGAUCCCUUAAUUUUGUGGCAAAUUGGGCCUCAAGCCCAACAACCUAACUUCCACGCGGGCUAUCUAUAAUAGGUUAAUAUUGCAAACCAAAAUAAUAAUAGACAUGAUUCUUUUCAAAAAUUUUAUAAUGUAAUAUUUUUUAAAAUUAUAAAAUAAUAGGUUAUAUAAAUUUUAAUAUAUAGGUAAAAUUAAUUAAAUUUUAACAAAUAUCUUCACAUUUAGACAUUACAUAUCUUUUAUUUAAUAAAAUGUUAAAAUAUUAAUAUAUCUAAAUAUAAUAUUAAAAAUGAAAAAUAAAAUAGUAAUAAUUUUUAUUUUUUUUAUAUAUUUAAAUUUAUAUAAUUAUUAUUUAUUUUAAAAACAUACAAAUUGUAUAUUUAUAAUAUUAUUAGUUCAACUGUGAUUCAACCAUCGCUCCGAUUAUUCAAUUGUGAAUUAAUAAAUUUUUUAAUUCAAUGAUAGGUUUGAUCAUAAAAAUAUUAUGUUUUUUUUAUGAAAAGUACUCAAGAAAUAUCAUUAAUCACUAAGAUCACGUGGUUGGGUUAGGUGUAUCCGAAACAUAGGUAUUACUCUCUUCCUUAGUUAGGGCUUAGCUUUUGAAAAUGUAGAUAGGUAAAGUGGAUGGAAAGUCUAUAACUACGUAGAGAUUGAGCUUGGAGGCCAAUCUAGCAAAUGUGGAGAUUAGAAAUAGUUUACCAUCUAGAUAGUCAAGCAUAGCAAUUUACCAAACCCUUACCAACCAUCCAUACUAACCAAUUGUGGUUAAAUGUUUACAAAAAUGUACAUUAAAUCAAAGAGAAAAAAGAUUAAAAACGAACAAGAGAGAAGAAGUACGUCACCUAAUUUUGGUAAUAAAUGAAAUUAAAAUAAAUUCAUAAAUUUUUUAAAUUAAAAUGAAUUUGAACUUUAGAGAUUUGUGUAGAUAUCUUAUUAAAAAACCAAAAAGUUUGUUGCAUAUAUAAUUUCAACAAUGCAUAAAUAAUUACAACAUACGCAAUACAAUAAUAUUACACAAUUAUAUUUUCAAAUAUAAUAUAAGAUCAUUAAAGUGAUAAAUUGUAGUUGUAUAAAAUAUUUAUACAAGUAAAGAAGAAAUUAUGAGAUUAAAAUGCUUGUUGGAUUCUAAGUAAAAAAGAAAUGAGAUAUAGAAAUUGUCCCAUCAGACAUAUAAAAUUUCAUAUACAUAAUUUUCCCUUCAAGAAAAUUUAGGGUCAAAUUGAAAAAAUUUCAUUCAUAGAUUUUGGUAAAACCUCUAUCUAGUCCCCCAAGUCUUGUAUACAAAAGGAAAUAACAUUGGUAUGAGGGGUUUGAAUGCUUAAUUUUAGAUUGAAAAUGGUUGAGAUAAUUUUUGAUCGACUUCACAUGUGUUUUUGAUAAACUUGGAACAUUCAAACUUGUAUUUGAAGAAUCUUCAAAUCUUCAAUUUGCUCUUAAAUAAUGUUGAAACCUUUGAAAUUUGAAUAGAAGAAUCUUUAAGCAUUUGAAUUUUGGUUUAAAGAAUUUUGAAAUUUGAGAUUGAAGAAUCUUCAAAUUUGGGCCUGAAGAUCGAAGGCUAAGCUUGAAGAGUUCUUGAAGCUUGAGUGGUAUCUCUGAUUUUGUAUUGUAUUUUAUAAAAACUUUUAAAUAUAUUAUAUUUAUAGGUUUGAAGAGACAUUGAGAUUUUGUAUACAUGUUUGGAGUUUUAAACCUUGAAAUAUUACUCUUUUAUGAAAUUAACAUUUAUAAAAUUUGGAAGAACAUAAUUAGAUAAUAUUUUAAGUUAUUUUUAAUGAAAAUUGAUAAUUACCUUUUAAUUAUCAAAUUCACUAUUUCUAUUUAUUUUUGUAAUAUAUAUUAAUUACUAAAAUCAUUUAUUUCCUUUAUUUAGUUUGAAAGCAAUUAUAUAUCUUUUGUUUGUGUAGAGCUCAUGUGACACGACAAAUUUUAUUUUGUAACUUGCUCUGAAUGAAUGGCCAUUAUAAACUUCAUUUUAUCCUCAUCUGAUUUUGACGUGGGAAUAGGAGAGAUGAGGAUUUGACAUUUGGACCUAAGCCUCAGAGGGUUUUAACUCCACUCAACUACUUUAUGCCUUGUAUUUAAUAUUGCAAACCAAAAUAAUAACAGACAUGAUCCUUUUCAAAAAUUUUAUAAUAAUAGAAGUGUAAAUAAUAUAAGUAAAAAUAAUGUAAUAUUUUUUAAAAUGAUAAAAUAAUUGGUUAUAUAAAUUUUAAUAUAUAGGUAAAAUUAAUUAAAAUAUUUAAACAUUACAUAUCUUUUAUUUAAUAAAAUGUUAAAAUAUUAAUAUAUUUAAAAUUGUAUAAUUAUUUUUUAUUUUAAUACUAUAUAAAUUGUAUAUUUAUAAUAUUACUGGUUCAACUAUAAUUCAAUCACCGGUCCAACCAUUGAACCAUGAAUUAGUAAAUUUUUUUAUUCAAUGAUAGGUUUGAUUCUAAAAACAUUAUGUUUUAUAUAAAAAGUAUUUAAGAAAUAUCAUUAAUGGAUUAUCACUGGUUGGGUUAGGUGUAUCUGAAACAUAGGUAUUACUCUCUUUUUUAAUCGGGGCUUAGCUUUGGAAAAUACAAACAGGUAAAAUGGAUGGAAAGUCUCUCAUAUUAAGUUGAUUAAUUAAGUCAAAACGUUGUUACAACCAUGGAAGAAAAUAUCGGUAAUCACGGAUAUAUCGAUACUUCGAUUUUACGGAUAUAUCGGAUAUAUCGGAGAUAUAUCGGAUAUAUCGGAGAUAUAUCGGCGGAUAUUCUGGAAAAAAAUAUCGGUAGACUUAAAAUUGUUAAAAACUCAUGGAAAUGCAAGAAAAACCUCAUAAUAAUAUAAUUAGAAGUAUAAUUGACAUUUUAAAGUUGUUUUAUUGAAAAAUUUGAUAUAUAUAUAUGAUAUAAUUUACGAUAUUUGAUGUAAUUACAUCAUGUCGAUCUAUAAGAAAUGUUAAUUUUGUAAUUGUUCUCAUUAUAAAGUCACAUAAAAUAUUUCAUUUUAUUAAAUAUCAAUAAUUUGUACACAUUAAAUUCAUUAAAUAAACAUAUUUCAUAUUCAAAAUAUACUAUUUCAUGUUAAUUAAAUUAAUUAAAUAAUUUAGCUAAGUUAACUAGUUUAAUUUAAUUCUAAAUGUGAAAAUAAAUCACAAAUAAUCAUCUAAAAUAAACAUAUCAAUUUAUAAUUAAAUAAUCAAAUUAACCUAAGUUAAUUCAAUAAAAAUAUAAAAAUUAAUUACAAUUGAAUGUAAAAAUAAUAUUAAAUCAUCCAUAUUGCAAACAUACUAAUUAAACAAUAUAAAAUAAAUAAUGAUAUAUAUAUAUAUAUAUAUAUAUAUAUAUAUAUAUAUAUAUAUAUAUAUAUAUAUAAUUUUUUAAUAUUUAAUUAAUUAUUAAUGAUAUUAAAAACAUUAUGAAGAAAAUUAUAUAAUUUUUAUAUUUUUGGUAAUUAAUUAAAAGACUUUGCAUUUAAUUAUAAAAUAAUUAUAAUUAAUUUGCUAUUUAAAAUAUUCUUAUAUUUUCUUUAUAUAAUGAAUUUAAGUAUAUAUAUAAUUGUUGCAUAUUAUAUAUCAAGGGCAACUUAGCUCAGGUGGUAAGCGGAUGAACCCCAAACCUUUUGAUUUGGGGUUCAAAUCCUCUCAGCAGCAAGAAAAUAGAGGCACUGUAGCGCGUUGACGGGCACUGUAUUGCCGAAAUAUCGUGACAUUUUCUACUACUUCUUUGACUGCUUUAUGUGAAUUGGAGUAAUUACUUGCUCAUUGUGAAAUGUUUUCCAAUAGACUAUCAUUUAAUGGAUAACUAUGGAAGAGGAGUUUGGUUGAAAGAAAAAGAUCAAUAAAGUCAAAAUAAAUUAUUAAAACUAUUUUUUUUGAUGGAUUAUAUCAAUCUAGAUAAUGUCAAAGAUAUUACCAAUUUGAUAUCACCAAUUGAUAACACAAUUAAAAAAUAAUAUGAAUUUGAACAUAUUUCAAUUCAUUGUAAUCAUAUCCAUGACCUAAUUUUACACAUCCUUAAAUCAUGGUUGAGUUAUGAAACAAAUCUAUACCAUCAAUAGAAAAUAAAUAAAUAAAUAAAUACAAAAAAAUAUAUAGAUAGUCAAGCAUAGCAAUUUACCAAACCCUUAGCCACCAUCCAUACUAACCAGUUGUUGUUAAAUGUUUACAAAAAUAUACAUUAAAUCAAAGAGUAAAAAGAUUAAAAACAAACAAGAGAGAAGAAAUACAUCACCUAAUUUUUGUAAUAAAUGAAAUUAUAAUAAAUUCAUAAUUUUUUUAAAUUAAAAUAGAAAUUCAAAUACAUGUAACUAUUGUUUUUGUCUUGUAAAUCAUCCAAUUUUUCAAUGAAUUUAAACUCCACAGAUUUGUGUAGAUAUCUUAUUAAAAAAAGCAAAAAGUUUUCACUAAAAUCAUAAAAUUUAGAUUAGAAAUGAUUUACUAUAUUAGUUCAAAAUUCAUCUCCACAAAAAUUGAAAUAAAUUAAUUAUCUUCAAUUCAAAUAAAAUUUCUCCAAUUAAAUUUCCAAAUAUGUGCCUUAAUACCUAUAAUGUAAUUUGUAAUUUUAAUUAAAAAAUAAAUAAAAAUAAGGAUUUGAUCUUUUUCUUACCAUUUGAUGAAAAUUAUAAAAUAUAUUAAAAUUACAAGUGAUCAGACAUUUGAAAUUUGCAUCAUUUCUACCAUUGCAAACACCACCAACUCCAUAUUUCCCAUUUUUCUACCUGCUGCCAAUUCACUCAUCUCUCUAGGAAGAUUUUUGAGGUUAUCGUCAUGCUUGAGAUAAUCCAGAAAGUUGAUUUGGAAAAUUUCUUUUGUAAAAUUCCCCAUUAUCAUGCCCUAAACCAAGACAUAUCAUGAUUGGAUGGCCCCUUCACCAAUUUCACAAUAUCCAAUAGCAUAUCAUCUACUUCCAUUUUGUCAAUGGGAAUUACCAUUUUGCAUGGGAAGCACCAACGAAGAUGGGGGUUUUCAAAUUGGAUCACUAGCAAGGAAACCCACCGCAACAAUCUGAAUUAUUGAGCACAACAUCGGCUUUAGAGAACCCCUCCUGAAGGCGAAAUCGUCAUCUUGGCUAAACGUAGUCAUAGUUGGGUUGUGAGAAAUGGAGAUGAAUCACAGAAGGCUUUCAGUUUGACAGCAACGAAAAGGUAAAUGUACUCUAGAGAAGUUUUGACCUUGGGAGAAGUGCUUUUGAAUCCAAGUCAAGGUCUGUUCUGGAUCCCUUUUUGACUCUUUCUAUUAAAGGAAGAUAAUCUGCCUAGGAUUUGGAUGCAAGCCUGCAAGGCCAUGUUUAGGAGACUUAUGCAAAAUAUUUAUCCAUAGCUCCCCGCUUGAAACAUCUACAUAAAGCGUCUUCCAAGUGUGAACCAUCGUCUUGGGUCCUUGAGAUGAACCCAACUAUUUAGCAAAUUCUAGAGCUCUCAUUCCAAAUCCAUCAGUUUUCCUAGAUGAUUGGCCAGUGGAGAUCCAUGGAUAUAACAUAUGAAAUGUGCACAAUAAAAGUAACCAAACGGUUGGUUGGUUUGGCUGAAUCCCACAAUCGCAAAGACUUAUCAUACGAAACUGUUACCAACUGAGUUGAAUUUGGCAUAAAAAGGAUAUUCGUUACUACAAACUAGCGUUCUUUCGUGGUGCUCUCUUUUUGUAGGCUAUCCAUGUUCCAAAGAAAAACCCUCGUCAUGUCUGGCAUUGGGUACUGAUUAGAGUGUGGGAUGUUCAUUCUCCAUUAUCACCAAACAUAUGCAGGAUAUAUAUAUAUAUAUCCUGCAUAUGUUUGGUGAUAAUUCAAAAUAUGCCUUCAUUUUAUGGAACAUACCCGAAUCCAUUUUGUUUGUGUUGAAGAGGUGUAGAUCUUCUAAGGCUAUGAAGGGCACCACAUUUUCUAAGAAUUCUCUCUGACGAUGGGAAGUCAGAGAGAACAGGUUCUGUUUUUAUUUUGAAAACGUUGUUAUCCUUAAAGAACAAACACUAUUCUUUGGAUUUAUACCCUCCUACCUUAGGGAUCAUACCGUUUGGCUAUUGGGCCUCACGAGUCUUAGGCCCAUCAUCUAAGACCCGUGAUGGCAUUGGGCUCUACACAUAAGGUGGCCCAUACUCUAGAACGAAUAGAAAUCAUAUGUAUAUAUAUGGAUAGCUAAAUCCUGAACAAUGGUUAAUAUGAUGUCGGUCCACAUUUUUUCUAUCAAUCUCCCACUUGGACCACAUAUAUUACAAAACAAUGUUCAUGAUAGUACUUUAUUGAGCUCAUAUUUGCUAUCCUAUCCUAAUAUCCUUAAACAAUCCGGUCUACUAGUUAUGCUAACAUAGGAUCAAAGUGGCCUUCAUUAAUCAUAAUUAUAACUAGACCCAUCAAUGCUCACAACAUUAACAAAAUUAGUAACAUGGAUCAAGUAUGGAUGUGUAGCAUGGAAAUUACAUAAAAUGUGAUCUUUAUUAUGUCUAUUUCCAAUUGGUCCUACUUUAUGACUAAAAAAUAGUCAAAUUCCACUUUCAACACUUGAUGCUAAACUGCUUCUGAAAGUCAUCAUUUCAAUUCAGAGAAUUCAAAUACAAUAGUCUUUAAAAUCAAGGUUUGUACAGAUAACACAACAUAAUAUCAUAUCAAGAAAAUAAACACAAAAUCUAAAUACUAACUCCCACUAUACUAGAACAUCAUCAAUAUGUACAACACCCAUAUGUGUGACAUGCUCAUGAUAUACUUUGGGUGGCAAACCCUUAGUGAGCGGAUCCGCAAUCAUGGAGUUUGUGCUUGUGUGUUCAAUCGAUACUUGAAGACUCUGAACUCUUUCUUUCACAACCAAGAACUUGAUGUCAAUGUGUUUGGACUUUGACAAACUUCGGUUGUUCUUAGAAUUACAAUUCUGUGGCUUUAUUAUCAUAAUUUAUUCUUAAUGGUUUCUCAAUCUCAUCAAUGAUUCACAACUGAGUGACGAAAUUCCGCAGCCAUAUCCCAUGGUUUGAUGCUUUGUAGUAGGCUAUGAAUUCUGCCUCCAUGGUGAAAGAAGCAAUAAGUAUUUGUUUAACACUUUUCCAUGAAACUGUUCAUCCAACCAACAUGAAAAUGUAGCCUGAAGUGGAUCUCCUGCUGUCAAGACACCCCGCAAAAAUGGAGUCCGAAUAUCCCAUGAUCUCUAAAUGACUAGAUCUACGGUAUGUGAGCAUAUAAUCUUUAGUUCUUUGUAAAUAACGCAUAACCUAUUUUGCCUUUUUCCAAUGAUCCAUACCUAGGUUACUCGAAUAUUUGCCUAACAUUCCAAUAAUGUACGCAAUAUCCGGACGUGUACAAACUUGUGCAUACAUGAGACUUCCUAUUGCUGAGGCAUAGGGAAACCUCUUCAUAUCCUUCUUUUUAAGUUCAUUUUUCGGACAUUGGUGCAAACUAAAUUUAUCGCCUUUUGCUACAAGCAUGUCUCCUGGUGCACAAUUGCUCAUGCCAAAUCUACUCAACACCUUAUCGAUGUAGGCCUUUUGUGAUAAUCCAAGUAAAACGAUCCCUAUAGAUCUGUAUACCCAACAAAAAAGAUGCAUUACCAAGAUCCUUCAUGUCAAAUUUACUAGACAAAAAUCGUUUGGUUUCAUGCAAAAGUCCCACAUCACUACUUGCAAGUAGAAUAUCAUCAACAUAUAGCACCAAGAUACUGAAUUUGCUCCCACUGAACUUGAGAUAUAUGCAUUGAUCAAUGGUGUUUUCCUUAAAACCAAAUGAAGUAAUCAUCUGAUCAAACUUUUGGUACCAUUGUUAAGAUGCUUGCCUUAAACCAUAUAUGGACCUUUUUAAUCUGCAUGCAAGUUGCUUUGAAUCAUUAGACUCAAAGUUCUCCAGUUGCAUCAUGAAUAUUGUUUCAUCAAUGUUACCAUUAAGAAACGCAGUUUUAACGUCCAUUUGAUGCAGCUCUAAAUCAUAAUGAGCCACAAGUGUCAUGAUGAUUCUAAAUGAGUCAUUUGAUGAAACCGGUGAAAAGGUCUUGUAGACCCUCAAUUUUGUCCAUUUAGCACAUGUCUUUAAAUUCACAUCCAGUGCUCCACGGUAGUUCCUUGGUGGCCCAUUACUACUCAUAUGGCUUACCUUUUUUUAAGUCACCUCGGAGACUUUGGUUGAGGGAUUAUCUGACCCCUUAUUGUGAUCCUUGGCAAUCCUAAUUUAGAUUGGGCUUGAAUUAGAUACACUUAGCCCAUUUAGGCACCUUAGGCCCACUUAGGCAUCUUAGGCCCGUUUAGAUACACUUGGCCCACUUAGGCUCACUUAGACCCACUUAGGUCAUCUUUUAAAUAUUUUUUUUACAUAUUUGCAUGAUUGCAUUUUUUUGUAUGACUUGCACGGUUGCAUGGCUCAUGGGGCCUAAUUUUUGUUAAUUUGUUUGUUUUAUUUUUAGUUUUAGUUUUAUCAUUAUCAAUCACUCGUUUAUUUAUUUAUUUAUUUUAUUUGUUAUCUCAUUCUUUAUAUUAUUUUCCUUAAUUUAUUUAUUUAUUAUUGUUUUAUUGUUUUCUAAUUUGUUUGCUUAUUUAGUUAUUCAUUCAAUUAUAUAAUUUCAAAAAUUUCAUGUUUUUGCAAGGAAACUUACCAUUGGAGACUAAGGAAAGCGGGACUCUCCUUGGAAAGUUUUGGAGGGGAAUUUGAAGUUGGGAAGAUUGCUUUUGAAUUAGAAGAUUUAGAAAAAGGGAAAAAGGAAGAAGAGAAGAAGAAUGGAAAUAGGGGAAUUUUCUUUUUUUUUGGAAACAAAUUUAGGUCUUGAGGGAUGAUAUAUAUAUGUGAGAAAAGAAAGAGAAAGGGGGAGUGAACAAGCACGCAUUGGAGGAUUGGGAGAAAUUCUGGGAAAAGGUGGAGAGACGUAUUGGAGGCAUUGGAGGAAACCAUUUAAGAGGAGAAGAAGAAAGAAGCACAGAAAAACCAGUGGAGAUUUUCUGAGGAUAGAAACCAGUGCAGAUUUUUUUUUUUUCGUCAAAAGGAAGCAUUCCCAGGUAUGUCUACUGUAGAUUCCUUCUUCAUUCCCAUUAUCCUUUUGUUAUGUACUAAUCUUUGCCGGGUUUUGAGUCUUGCUUGGAUGCUAGGGGGGCAGAAUGACGGAGGUCACAUGUUUGUCUACAUUGAUACUUGCUUCUAUAGAUGUUAUUGAUUUAUCCCUUAGGAGUUCUCUAAUUUUGAUUUAGUGUUGCUAGGUUCCAUUUAUUAUUAUUUCCUGUGCAUUACAUGAGAACUGUGGUUGUAUUCGUUUGUUGGAAUCUGCUCGUACUUAUCCCAUCAUUCCAAACCCAUUGAACCUAACAUGAAAUGGGUUUUCAUUUAAUGGAUCACUUAUUUGUUCAUCCAUUUUUUUUUAUCAAACUCUAUUUUGGCGGGGUUGUUUUUCUACAGUUGAGCAUGCUUCAAAUUGCUCUGUUUUGCUUCCCGGGUGUGUCUUCCUAUAUUUAUGAAUGAAUAAGGUAUAGAUUUGUGGGCUUAUGAGCUGUAAAGGUGAUUUCAGUGGGGUUGAGAUUCUGGGUCCACAAGAAAAAAAUAGAAUAGCAGAAGAGAAAAAUCUGUAAGAGAGUUGGGAAGUCCAGAGUAGUGCAAAUCCUCUUGGGCGUCUUUGGUUCAGAAAUAUCAGAAAAGUUAGAAGGAUGAGAAAAACAAGAAAGAUUGUUUGCCUUUGAACUUUUGAUUGCUUAAAGAUGUUUGACAAUGACCACUGUAAACAACCUGCUACUUUAAUGGUUGUGAUAUUUGAAUGUCAGUAUGAAGAUGUGAUUGGGGUGAAAGUGCUGAAAUCAGAGCUCAGGAGAAGAUCAUUGACUAUUGAGUCUGAUAUGGAAUACAAUUGAAAUGCCAACAUUGAGAUAUUUGGAAGAAGGGGUCUUGCUCCAGGAGUUAGACUUGGUGGGGUGGUUGGUGACUCACUUACCAGAGUUGUAGGAAUGCAAGCAGAUGCACUUUUGUUUGCAGAGGCCAGAAAAUAGGGUUUUGAUUCUUUGGAAAGAGAAGAUGACAAAUAUUUGGAAAGAUUUAAAUUGUUUCAGUUGGAAGCUACUGAAUUUUACCAAGUCUUGAUCAAGAAAAUAAGAAGAUGUAGUGGGCGUCCAGAGGAGCCAUUGUUUUAAUGAAAGUCAGAGUUCUAUAGUUCUAUUCUACCAAUAAAAGUGCAUGAUUUUUGUUUGUCUUAAGGAUCUUGCUAGGUGCAGAGAGCUCUAUAACAAACCUGAUGUUCAGAGUCGCAAUUGGUCAAUUGCUGCUACCUGUUAUAGAGAAGUAACAAUAAUUUGGCACUGGUGCAACUGAAAGAAGAGUACAUGAGGAAAUUCCCUUUCUGGAAUGAUCCAUAUGUUCUAGUGAGCUUGCUUUCUGCUAGCCGACUGCGUGGAGAUGUUGUAAUUGGGGAGUGUUUGGCUAAAUGGCUUCUAAAACUUCAGCUUGUGACUACUUCUCCUUAUGUAUUAUUAUCAAACUUGUAUGCUUCAGAUAGGAAGUGGGCAGAUUUAAAGAACCUGUCAUCAGCGGAUAACAACUUCUCUGACUCAACUUUAGACUCAAUUUCGGGGUUAGAAUCAAUCAAGUCUUUAGAUUUAAGUCGCAACCCCUUUUCUGGUGAUAUGGCAGCAUCAUCGACAAAACUGACUAAUUUGGUAUCCCUUAAUUUAUCGUUAAAUGAGUUCGAAAGUAAAAUUCCAAAAGGUCUCGAGCUGUUUUCAAAACUUGAAAUUCUUGACUCGCAUAGGAAUAUGCUCAGUGGACUUCCAGACGAGGAAUUCUUGUAAUUUUCAGGUGCCAUUCGUGUUGACUUUAGUGGGUGCUAGCAGAGUACUAUCUAUGUUAUUCAUUAUAGCAGAUUCUUAACAUCCACAUUUAUUUAGGAAUAGAUGCUUCAGUUUGGAUGAUAAACAGAUUACAGAUUUAAGGCAUUCUAUUGAUAAGAUUCUAAGUGACAAGUCUUCUUGGAAUGAAGAUCUCUUUGUUGCUACAGUCAAAUUGCUUACUUCUGCUGCAGUUGAUCAGCCUGUUUUUUCUUGUCACCAUAAUUUCAGCCAAAGACAAUCUAGGUUUGAUGCAGCCAAUAAAUGAAGCUUCUUUUGGAAUAUUGGGGUCUGUCAAAGCAAGUUUGGUAGAUGCACUCUUGCAAGUUAUUGAAAGAUUUCAAUGAUCUUAUCAAAUAGCAAUCCCCGUUUACUACUGAAUGUGCUUGACUUACUGAAAACAUUGUGGCAAGGGGCUGCUCAAUAUGCAGAUAUUUUGGAAUGGCUGAAAAACUCUGAAAAGUUCUGAAAACUAUUUUUGUAACUCUAUUUCUCUAAUUGUUAGAAUGAAAGCUCCCCUGCCUGAGAAUCUAACCAAAAUGGAGGCUCUAAGCUUGGCAUACAAAUACCAGUGUCAAACAGCUGUAUUGGAAAUAAUGGCAGAAGUCUUGUUCCUGUGGAAGAAGUUACUGCAUGCUGAAUUUCUUGAAAUGCUUGCAAAUCUGCACAGUUCACCAAUUGAGCCUAGGAAUUCUGAUAUAUCUUCAGGAAUGGAUGACGAGUCCAAUAAUAGUGAGAUGCUCGCAGCUACUAACAUCCACCCUGGACAAGAUUCAUGGAGAAAAUUGGAAGUUGAAUACAAGGAAUUGCCGCAAGUGCACAAUGGUACAUUGCAGCAGAGCAUCUCUGUCGAUGCAAAACUAAUCAAAGAGGAUGUAAUUAGCUUAGUAGAUAAGGAAAGAAGGCAAGCUCUACAGACACCACAAGUGGUUAUGAACAUGCUCGAUGCGACUAUGCCUGGUACUCUAAUGGAAGAACAUAAGAAGAAGGUCCUGGCUGCCGCAGGACAAGGAGAAACAGUUAUGUAAACUUUGUGUGAUGUUGUCCCAGGGGAUAUUUGUGGAAAGCUUUCUACUGUUGUUUCUAGAAUUUUGGCAUACUCAAGGCGUAAAUUUAAACUUUGAGGGUCUUCUGAUGAUUGACCAGACUCCUAAUGUUUCGUCAGGAUUGAAAUCUAAGAUCCAAAAAGAAAUUGGAAUAACAUCAAGUGAAGAAGGUGGGACCGAAAGCUAGGAUACAGUUGAAGAUUACAAAGGUAUAGUUCUUGGAGGUUCCGAAGCCGCCAAACACUCCUUGGAGAAAUUAGGGAAAAUAUCAGAUGGAAGUUCUUGCUCCGGUGUAGAGAAUUCUUGUAAUCAUUCACAGAGAAUCGGUGGUCAAAUUAUAAGUGACUCGGAUGAAGAAGUGGACAUUGAUGAAUAAGGAGGUGGAAAUGAGUUAUUUGAUUUUGCUGCACUGGCUGCUCUCACGAAAAUAGUAGCAAGUGCAAGUUCCGAUAGUGGUAGUAUCACAAUAACCUCUCCAAAGGGAUCCAAGCUUCUCUCUGAUUGCCCCCCCUGCUGGAUUGGGAUCUACAAACCAGUCUCUAAGACCUGCUCCCCAACAAAACCUGUCCAAUCUUUUUACCCAUUUUCCAAUCUUGCAGGGAGGCAAACUGGUGAAGAAUUUAAUCUUGAUAUUGCAGAGAGAGUUGUUUGUGAUCUUAACACUACUGAAGCGUUUCCAAGUGUGUUAGAUCUAAAAUGCAGCCUGAAGUUCUCUGGCCAACUAAACUCGAGCCACUUGAUCGCCAGAUUGUCGAAGAACAAAUCCAGUUCAGUUCUUUCCUUUUACUGGUUUUCUGGCUCAUCCCUACCUCAUGAAUACACCCAGUUAGGCAGUGUUAUUAAAGUACCAAGGGACCUUAUUGAUCCCUACAUCCUGGUUAGCAUCCUUGCUUACGGGCAAUCCUGAACAUGGUGCGCAGCUGUACUGAUAAUCCGUCAUCUGAUAAGUCUUGGAGAUGUUCCCUGCUGCUAUUGCAUUCAGAAAACUCAGAUUGCAUAAGGAAGCUUGCUGAAAGUAUCUCAUAAAUGCUACAACAAAGGACAACUAAAAGGCAAUUUCCCAAGACUUAAUGCCUCAUUUCUGAAACCUGCAAGGGGAGAUGAAGUAUUAUCCAAAGAACCUAAAUGACGAUAUGGAGCUUCAUUAAAAUCUGUCCAGAGAAUUCAAACAGAUCAAUGAAGAGCUGUCUCUAAAGUCAUUCAUGAAAUCGAAAGGACAAAGCCGCGUCAAAAGCUGUUGCUGCUCGCGGUCUUGGACGCAAUGCAAAGAUUGGUUCUGGGAGGGGUCUCAGUGUUGUAGCUAUGGCAACAUCUGCGCAAAGAAAGGAAAUGACAAAUUCGAACAUGAAAUGGAAGUAGGGAUCUUCGCCAAGGUUCAUACUGAGAGAAUGGUUUCAUCUUCAAGAUUUGGAAUCCCAUCAAGACCUCUUGCCAAAUGUUCUCCUCAUGUUUGUUUUCGUUUGCUAUUAUAGUUACCUACGGUGUCGGAUUUCAUUCGAAUUUUUCAGACAAGUCUCCGCAUUCAGCCCAUGGAAAUGACAACCAGAAUUCCAAAACAACAGCGAUCAGACCAGUUCCCAGAUUCCAAUUGUUGGAUAUGUUGGUCAGCCAUAUGGAGCCCCGUCACUACCAAUCUCCCCUCUCUAAUAUCUGUAGCUGAAUUAGCAUCACCAGCUUCAUACGAUUGGCAUCUGGUCUACCUCUUUCAUUAUACUUUCCUCAGAAUUUGUUUUCCAGACAGCAAUGGCAGGUUCCAAUUUGGAACCCAAUAGCUAAAUAGAACCCACCUGGUAGUAAAGGUCAGCAAGCAGGGCUUCAAAACAGAGAAAAUCGGAAGUGAGGAGACCAAAAUCUUGUGCAAUAAGUAAAGAACACUUCAAAUGCCAUAUCCUUUUUCAUUAGAUGCAGAAGGAGGACUCUCUCUGGGUAGGAAUUGUAAUGAUAUGGAAAGGAUGGGAAGUCAUGAUACAAAGCUGUUUUAUCGUUUUAGCUUGGGAAUUGACAACUUCAUCUUCAAACGGUGGAAUUCCAUGAAUAAGGAGCUUUAAGACAUGCCAACAAAUUGCCAAGGAAUAGUCAACUUCUUCACCCAACAGUGAAACUAAAAGUGGAAAGAGCAGAGUAGCAUUGUUUUUUUUGGACCUUUUAUGAUCAUCAUGCAGAAAAAAAACAGCUCAGUAGCUGAAGUUGAGUAUAUUGGCAAACCUGAGAAUGCACUUCCAACCGAUGGAACUGAACAGCAGCAUAAGAAAUCUGAUUUGGAGUUAAGACCUACUACCACAUUACAAGCUCUAGUUGAUGAUUCAAAUUGUGAUCUCGAGAAACUAAAGUUGAAUCCAAACGACAUUGCUGAUGAAAUCAUGUAUCAAACCCUAUGAGCUUUGACUCUGAAAUGAAUAUGGACAGUUCGUUUCCAGUCACGCCAGCAGUAUACGGAGAUCUCUUCACACAACCACCAGCAACGUAGUCACAGCCAAACCCCCAAACCCCCAAACCCCAUUCUCCAUGACCGAUCUGGUGCACACUACUCUUUUCCUUUCACACCCCUCUUGCUUUCCUCGUGAUUUUAUGUGUCUUGAAUUGUGUUUUCAAAAAUUGUUUUCAUCCAAAUAAAUCUAAUUUUAGAUAAUCAUCUUUAGACCUUCUCUAGGCAUUGAAAUCUAAAUUUCAACACCCUUUUGCUGCCAUUUUCCUUCCGGCAUGCGUCUUCACUAUUUUAUUUGAUUUUCAACUAAUUUUCUUGAUUUUCAACAAGCAUGAACAAACUUCAUGAUUCCAAACAAUGGAAUUCAUUGAAUUGACUCAUGCAAAAUCAACUAGGGCUUUGGUGGGGGCCCGACAUUCAUAACACUCACUUCAAUACUGUUUACUUGAUAUGUUGAUUUUUGAUUCUUCUUGAUGAAAUACUUGAAUUCACUUAAUAUUUAUUGUUGAGAUGCUCUCGUUUCCCAUAGAGGAGUACUAGCUUGCUAUCCAGGUACGCUCUCUUCUCAUCUAUUUUUUUAGAACUCUAUGGACUUGUAUGUCAUUGAUGACCAUAUCCAUAUUUGAUGUGAUUCUUGAAUCUCUUGAUAUAUGCCUGAUUUGCUUGAAUAAAACAAAUGUUGUGUGAUGUAUCUCCAAACUAAUCUCUUAUGUUUUAUGAUAGCGCUUGGGAAGCCGUCCAGGUACGCAUUUUUAACUCUUCUUAAUUGUGAUCUGAUCUUGUUUGAUAUGUUAUGUUUUUGGAAUCACCUAGCCUACUUAGGUAUCCAUGAUCAACCAUUUAAUUGCCACGCUUCCCUUAACUUAGUCAGUAGAGACCUCUUUAGGGCUUAGAGGGGUGCUACCUCCUAGAGGUACCUUUCCAAUAAGUAACCUGAUCCCCGGACCUAAACUUGGGUUUCUCAAAGACAUGCUUUUUCCAAAACUAGAGAGUCACUUUUUAGGGUUUUUCUUUCUUGUUUUAUUUUCCCUUUAAAAUAAAAAUAAAAUAGGUGGCGACUCCAACUUUUUUUCCAAAAAUAAUAAAAAGCGAGUCUCGCCGAUCGAGUGGGGGCGCACGUGAAAAAUGCGGGUCCACAAAUUGGCGACUCCGCUGGUGAUUUUGAGGAUCAAGCUUGAACACUAGUUAAGGAAAAUGUGGCGUUUAAUUGGUCGAUUAGUGGGUACCUCUUUUUUUUAGGCAAGGUGAUUCGAUUUGCUUGCUUGUUUGGUUUGCUAUCUUAACAUGUUUGAUUGCCUUGGAUGAUCACUUGAUUGUUUUGCUCACUUUAGCAUGAUUCACUAUCACAUAUGUUAGAUAGGACUUUGUUUGUUUGAUAUUUAUUUGCUUCGCAUGACUGUUUGAAUGAUCACUUGAUUGUUUUGCUCACUUUAGCAUGAUUCACUCUCACAUAUGAUAGAUAGGACUUUGAUUGUUUGAUAUUUAUCUGCUUCACAUGACUGCUUGUUGCAUGACAACCCUUUCUCUUGCAUGUUCGUAUGAUUGCUUGUCUUCAUUCACUAUUUCACUUUAGAUCUUAGGUUUUUUUCGGAUGCACCCACAUCCUUCAUUGUGCACUUUAGAUUAUCCUUGAGUGUUGAGAGAUGGGAGAGCCUUCACCAUUAAGAAACCCCCUGAGAACGCGAGGAAGUGCAUGUGUAGAGGUGAUGACCACCUUGCAUGGAAGCACCCCAUCUCUUUGGAGGCAUGCAGAGGGUUGCGUACCGCCGGAGGGUACGAUCGCUUCUGCUAGGGAUCCUUUGACCCACCCAUUUUACCCUAUAGAACCACCUCAACCUUGUAGGUUAGCCUAGACCCAAUUAAGAUCUCAUUCCUACACGUGGGUGCAUCUGUGGACCUUCAGAACUGCCUUGGUCACAAUUGGAUUCGGUUAUCCCUUCCUUAGUCUCCUUUUGGUGUAAUCAGAGGAGGGUAUCAGAUUGAGUACAUUUGGGCUAUUCUCUUGCACACUUAUCAGCUGAUUCAUACAGAGUCACUUUCGUAUCGCAACUUAUCCAGUGUUUCCAUACUUGUAGGAGAGUUUACCGUGACCAGUCUGGAUUCACCUUCGUGGAUUAGAGUUAGAGGCAGAUUGACCAGAGCAUCAGAUCAGUCAGACCGGAAAUCAGAUCAGGGGGAUAUGGAUUCUCAGAUAGUUAUCGUUGACCAGUUUGCUGCAGCCAUGGCUUCGAUCCAAGAGGCUAUAGCUAGCCUUGGCCAGAGGAUAGAUGGGCAGCAGGCCCGACAGGUCCCAGUUCAGGAGGAUAUCCAGUUUGAUACCACAGUACCACCGCCACCUCCGCACAGUCAGCCAGCACCACAGACUAUACCUUUUACUCUGCAUAGUCAGACUGAGGUUGCACCACCUCCUGCCAUAGUGCCUACUCCGAUCUCAGAGGACCCACAUGCUCGUAUGGAUAAACUUGAGCAGAAGUUGAGACAGAUGAGGACUUCAGAGGGAACUAUUACUUGGGAGGAUUUUGAUGGAGCACCAGUGGCCAGUCUACCGGCCAAGUUCAGGAUGCCUGAGAUUGAGAGAUACAUAGGCAUAGGAUGCCCUCACAUCCAUUUGAGACUCUAUAGUACUGUUAUGAGGGCCCAUGGACUGGAUGAUGCCCAGAUGGUUAUGCUCUUCCCUAUGUCAUUGAGUGGAGCUGCACAGCGUUGGUUCGCUUCAUUGGAGGUAUCACGCCGUAGGACUUGGGAUGACUUAGCCCAGGAGUUUUUGAGACAGUUUGCAUUUAACACUAUCAUUGAUGUUUCGAGGAGAGAGUUGGAGGCUUUGAGACAGAGGCCGGAGGAGUCAAUCACUUCAUUUAUCUCCCGCUGGAGGGAGAAGAUUUCACAGAUUAUAGACCGUCAUUCAGAGAGAGAUCAGAUUAGCAUGAUCAUGAGGAGCUUGCAGCCUAGAUUUGCGAGACGCUUGAUGGGAUUUCCCCAUACGGAUUUCGGAUCUUUGGUACAGGCUUUGUAUGGUAUAGAGGAGGGCAUUGCUAGAGGAUUAUGGUCUGAGUCUUCCCCUACUGAUUCUAAGGGGAAGAGGCCUUUAGGAGGACAGAGAUCAGGAGAUGUUGGUGCUAUCAGUUCAGUAGGGAUGAGACCUUCUAGACGCUAUCAGACAGUUGGGCAGACUCCUGGGUACUACUAUCCACCUUCACCUCAUGCGCAUUACAGACUACCUACUCCUUCCAGACCUAUGACUCCUACUUAUCUGCAUCCGGACUUACAGCCUGUUUUUGCUGCACACGUCGCAGAGAGGUCUCCUGCCCCAUAUACUCGACCCCGAGCUCCACAGACCACUACUUAUGUGCAGAGGCCACCACGUCAGUUUGCUCAGUUGGAUAUGCCUUUGAGUCGAGCUUUUCAGAAGCUCACAGAUGGUGGAUUACUAAUUCCAUUAGCAUCCAGGACUUUACCCCAACCCAUACCACCUCGCUUCAGGAUGGACUUACAUUGUUCCUACUAUCAGGGACCAGGGCAUGACACGGACCAUUGCACUGCUUUGAGACAUGCUAUUCAGGAUUUGAUAGAUCAGGGUUUGGUCAACUUGGGGCAGCCAAGUGUGACCACCAACCCUCUUCCUACUCAUUCCACACGCGCAGUGCAUCCAUCUUCAGGAGAUAUUCAUCACAUGGACCUUAUAGAGGGUUGACAGUAUACACAUGUUGAGUUGGGAUGAUGGAUUACCCGAGCCUAUUGUUCUACAUGACAGUUAUGAGGUCGAUGGGGUUUCAGUGGUCCCUCAAACUCCUGCACCAUUUAGUUUGAUCCCGGACGAGGCACCAUUCCAGUUGACUCAUCUUACACCUUUAGUUAUCGGAUGUCAGGAUGCUUUUGUCCCAUUCACUUUAUGGCCUGAGGAUGAUGAUUCAGUAGGGAGAGAGAUACAGAUUGUGACUCGUAGUGGGAGGAUAGCUCAGCCACCACCACCAGCAGUCAGACCAUUUGAGGGUACAGCCUCUCAUGAGGAGGUUAGGAGAGAGGAUGAUGAGGUUUUGAGACAGCUACAGAGCACUCAGGCUCGCAUUUCCAUCUGGAGUUUAUUAGCAUCAUCCAGUACUCAUAGAGAUGCUUUGAUUCGAGCCUUGAGUCAGAUCAGAGUAGAGACUACCACCACUCCAAAGGGAUUGAUUCAUAUGAUGACGGCUAGCAGGGCCACUUGCAUUGUAUUUUCAGAUGAUGACUUGCCACCUGAUGGUUUAGACCACGUGCACCCUCUAUACAUCACAGUUGGAUGUUCAGGCCGUAGAGUCCCGUCUGUCCUACUGGACAACGGCUCAGCCCUGAAUGUUUGCCCUUUAGCCACUGCUAUAGCCCUUGGUUUCGCGCCUUCAGAUUUUGGUCCUUCUACUCAGACAGUCAGGGCGUAUGAUAGCACCAAAAGGGAGGUUAUGGGUACCUUGAUGAUUGAUUUGCAGAUUGGUCCAACCAUAUUUUCCACUUUGUUCCAGGUUUUGAGGAUUCCUACAUCCUUUAACCUACUACUAGGCCGACCAUGGAUUCAUGUACCUGGAGCUAUUCCUUCUUCCCUUCAUCAGAAGGUGAAGUUUAUUCAUGAUGGGCAGGUCAUCACAGUUCGCUCUACCAGGGAUAUAUUUGCCGCUUCUGAGCCAGUACUUCAGAUCAGUCACAGUGAGGACGACCUACUUCUGACUGGGUUUACUUUUGAUGAGAUAUAGACUCUCAAGAUUGAGGAUUUUUGUAGAGACUUUGUGGCUAUGUCAUUUGAUCAGCACAGUAGCACAGUGGUCCUUGAUAUGAUGAGGGGUAUGACCUUUCUACCUGGCAUGGGGUUAGGACGACGUCAGCAGGGACCGAGCGAGUUCAUAGCUGGCAUGGACCAUGAUACGACAUUUGGACUUGGAUUCAUCCCUACUGAGGCCGAUUACCGUCACAUGGCGCGGCUACGCAAGAAGAAGGUGAGAGCCCGUUUAUCCCGCACACCAUUUGAUUAUCCUAUUCAACCCUAUAGGAUGAGUUUGGCUGACCACUUUGUCAGAGGAUCAGAGACUCGACCUCGUCUAGAGGGGAUUGAUAGUGUGGUUCAUACAGAUAGAGAGACUGACCUUCAACAUCUAUUUCACCAGCUACAGUUGAGUGAUGGGGCUCCCGACUCUUUUUUCCCUUUGACGAUUACUCCCACAUCUCCAGAUCGAGCUAGCAUGUUGUCUCUAUGCUUUCCAGAGGAAAUCACUGGUGAUGGGGUGAUUGUUGAUCCUACUGAGGUGAUUGAUGGAGUUGUUCCCCAUGAUGAGUACCGUGAUGAGAUGGACAUGAUGACCGUGAGCCAGAUUACUGGCAUUGUUCAGCUUCAGCCUGUUUCAGCAUUUGAUAUGUUUGGGGUGUCUACCAUUGAGGUUUUUGAGGGGACUCAGACUCUUCCUGUUCCAGAGCUUCUAGAGGAUGAUAGUUGUUUGUUUGAGGGCAUUAUUAGCCCAGUUGAGGGAGCGUCCGACCUUGUGGACCCACCUCUUUCUUUUGAUGUUUUAUCGGGAUUUGUCUCCCGCUCUAACGAUGUUUCUGUUGCUUCAUUUAUGGAUUUGAGCAUUUUUUAGUAUUCGCCUGUCUCUUGUGAUAGUAUCUUUAUAUCUGCACCCCACCUACCCACUUCACAGAUAUUUGAUAUAGAUGAUGAGAUUGCACAGCCCAGUUCGGAUAGGGACUCUUUGGAUCAUGACUCUGGUCCCAUAGAUGAGAGAGUUUCACCUGCUGUAGGGGACAUUGAGAUUGUUGAUUUUGGCACAGAGGAUCAGCCUAGAGAGCUGAAGAUUGGUUCACCCCUAUCUACAGAUGAGAGAGAUAGACUCAUCCAUUUACUUAGGUCAUACUUGGAUGUCUUUGCAUGGUCUUAUGAGGACAUGCCAGGUGUUGAUCCCUCUAUAGUCCAACACCAUUUACCUACCCUACCACAUGCUAGACCAGUUAAGCAGAAAUUGAGACGGUUGCAUCCACGUUGGAGUCUACAGGUAAAAGAGGAGAUUCAGAAACAACUCAGUGUUGGAUUCAUAUCAGUAGUUGAGUAUCCAGAGUGGUUGGCUAAUGUCGUCCCUGUUCCUAAAAAGGAUGGCAAAGUUAGGGUUUGUGUUGACUUCAGAGAUCUCAAUAAAGCCAGCCCUAAAGAUGACUUUCCCCUUCCACACAUUGAUUUGUUGGUUGAUGGCACCGCAGGCCAUUCGAUGUUGUCUUUCAUGGAUGGGUUUUCAGGGUAUAAUCAGAUUUUGAUGGCUCCAGAGGAUAUGGAGAAGACAACCUUUAUUACUGAGUGGGGUACCUACUGUUACAGAGUUAUGCCAUUUGGGUUGAAGAAUGCAGGAGCCACUUAUCAGAGAGCCGCUACCACUUUGUUUCAUGACAUGAUGCAUAGGGAUGUCGAGGUUUACGUGGAUGAUAUGAUUGUGAAAUCCCGAGGUAGAGCAGAUCACCUAGAUGCUUUAGAGAGAUUCUUUAAGAGGAUCCGGAAGUUUAGAUUGAGGUUGAAUCCUAAGAAGUGCACCUUUGGAGUGACUUCUGGGAAAUUAUUGGGGCAUAUGGUCAGUGAGCGAGGCAUAGAGGUCGACCCAGAUAAAAUCAAAGCCAUAUUUGACAUGCCUGCACCAAAGACUGAGAAAGAGAUUAGAGGUUUUUUGGGCAGAUUACAGUACAUUAGUCGGUUCAUAGCCAGAUUGACAGACAUAUGUGAGCCUAUCUUUCGUCUUUUGAGGAAGAACCAACCAACAAUUUGGAAUGACGACUGUCAGUUUGCAUUUGAGAAGAUCAAGGAGUAUUUGCUUUCUCCUCCUGUUUUAGUGCCUCCUACGCCAGGACGUCCACUUCUUCUAUAUUUGUCAGUUUCAGACAUGGCCUUGGGAUGUAUGUUAGCUCAGAUUAAUGACUCAGGGAAGGAACGGGCUAUUUACUACUUGAGUAAGAGGAUGCUGGAGUAUGAAGUGAAAUAUGUUAUGAUUGAGUGCCUAUGCUUAGCACUAGUUUGGGCUACCAGGAGGUUGAGGCAUUACAUGACAGAGUACUCAGUACAUUUGAUAUCCCGCCUGGACUCGUUGAGAUACUUGUUUGAUAGACCUGCAUUGACUGGUAGAUUGAUGAGAUGGCUUGUACUUUUGACAGAGUUCGAUAUUCAGUAUGUUUCUCAGAAGUCUAUUAAGGGAAGUACUGUCGCUGAUCACUUAGCCUCACUACCGACAUAUGAGGAUAGACCAAUUGAUGAUGAUUUUCCAGAUGAGGAGUUUGUUGCUAUAACCAGCUUAUCAGAAUGGUGCAUGUACUUCGAUGGUGCAGCCAAUCAGUCAGGGUAUGGGAUAGGUGUUCUAUUGGUAUCCCCUCAGGGUGAUCAUAUUCCGAGGUCCGUUCGUUUGGCAUUCUCUAAUUGACAUCCUACCACGAAUAACAUAGUUGAGUAUGAGGCUUGUAUCCUUGGUUUAGAGACUGCAUUGGAGCUUGACAUUAGACAGAUAGAGGUAUUUGGUGACUCCAAUCUGAUACUCAGGAAGAUUCAGGGGGAUUGGAAUACUAGGGACGUGAAGCUUAGACCAUAUCAUGCAUAUUUAGAGUUAUUGGUUGUGAGAUUUGACGACUUGAGAUAUGUUCAUCUGCCUAGAGCGCAGAACCGAUUUGCUGACGCCUUAGCUACUUUAGCUUUCUCCAUGGACAUUCCGAUUGAUGUAGUCAUAUGUCCAUUAUUGAUUGAGUUGAGGCUUGUACUCGCCUAUUGUUGUUUGAUUGGAGAGACAGAGGUCCAGGAUGACCUACCUUGGUAUCAUGAAAUUUAUCAGUUUCUUAGAUCUGGCACAUACCCUGAGGUAGCCACUGCCAAGGAUCGGAGAGCACUAAGGAAUUUGGCCACUAGAUUUGUGAUUUGUGGAGAUACCUUGUACAGACGAUCAGCUGAUGGUAUGCUUCUAUUGUGUUUAGAUCGAGCCUCUGCAGAUCGAGUGAUGAGAGAGGUUCAUUCAGGAGUUUAUGGUCCGCAUAUGGGAGGACACAUGCUAGCCCUUAAGAUUAUGAGGACGGACUAUUUCUGGUUGACUAUGGAGACAGAUUGUUGUCAGUUUGUCCAGAAAUGCCCAGAGUGUCAGAUUCAUGGUGAUCUCAUUCAUGUACCGCCAUCAGAGUUACACGCUUUGACCUCGCCAUGGCCAUUUUCAGUAUGGGGUAUUGAUAUUAUUUAGAAGGUUUCACCAAAAUCUUCCAGUGGUCAUGAGUUCAUCCUAGUUGCCAUAGAUUAUUUCACCAAGUGGGUGGAAGCCGCAUCAUAUGCGAGGUUGACAUCUGCUAGGGUUGCCAGUUUUAUCAGAUCACACAUCAUUUGCCGCUAUGGGGUUCCUCAUGAGUUGAUUUCCGACAGAGGGGUGCACUUCCGAGCUGAGGUAGAUACUUUGUUGCAGAAGUAUGCCAUCCGACAUCAUAGAUCUUCAGCAUAUAGGCCACAGACCAACGGGGCAGUAGAGGCUGCAAACAAGAAUAUUAAGAGGAUUUUGAGGAAAAUGGUUGAGACUUCUCGAGAUUGGUCAGAGAAGCUUCCUUUUGCGUUGUGGGCAUAUCGUACAUCUUUUCGUACUUCUACAGGAGCUACGCCUUACUCUCUAGUGUAUGGUAUGGAGGCUGUUUUGCGAGUCGAGACAGAGAUGGGUUCAUUGAGAGUAGCCAUUGAGCAGCAGAUUUCUGAGACAGAGUGGGCUCAGGCUCGAUUUGAUCAGCUUAACCUUUUAGAUGAGAGGAGAUUGAGAGCGGCAGAUCAUGUUCAGGCCUAUCAGAGAAAGAUGGCUCGUGCCUUCAAGAAACGGGUUAAGCCUAGACCAUUGCAAAAAGGGGACUUAGUUUUGAGGAUUCUCAGAGGUUUGAUUGGAGACCCUAGAGGAAAGUUUAGACCUAGUUGGAGUGGGCCUUAUGUUAUCCGAGAGUUGACUCUAGAAGGGGCUGCAUGGUUGACAGACUUAGAUGGAAACCAAUUUUCAGAGCCUACCAACGUGGAUCAGCUAAAGAAGUAUUAUGUUUGAGACCGUGGUCGCAGGAUGGGUGGCCAUCAUUUCGGUUAGCCUCAUACUUUAUCACCUCUAUAUAUUAGACCGUUGCUAGCCCAUUGAGCUUCGCAUGGUAUGUUAUAGCCUUAUUUCUUUCUUAUAGCUUUGAUUACCAUUUCUACACCCGGGUUGGGGCCCUUUGAUGUAUAUGCAUGUUUUGCUAGGAAAGUCUCAUGAGCUUUAGACUUAUAGGUCUAUCUUCUCAUUUUGUUACCAUCCUCUUAUCACCCUAUUUGUUCUAUUUUAUUAUCAUCAUAUAUUCAUUCUCUUUCUUGUCUCUAUCAUUAUUUGCUUCAUCUUAUCUAUUCUCUUCCUUGGGUUGAUGAUUCUUCACGUCUUAGUGCAAAGAGGGCAGUCAUAGCACUUCAUUCAUCCCAUCAUUUGGCAAUGAUUCGGAGAUUUUAGUUUGAGAGGUUGUCUCAUGGGUUAGGGUUCAUGUAUUCAUCAAUGAUUUGAGAGAGUUUAUUCAUUUUAUUGUAUAUUUCCCAUUGGAGUUUGACUUAUUGAUGAUCAGAGCAUGCGCAAAAAAAAAAAAAAAAAAAAAAAAGCGCAAUGACAUGUUUGUGUAUGGUAUCUUGCUCCAUUGGGUACUUAUAUCACCUUUUGAGGUAUGUUUACUGGGUAUAUUUGACAUUGUGGGUUCUUGUGAGAUGUUUAUAUGAGUUUUCACUCCUUGAGCCACUCUUGUUAUGCAUUUGGAGUGUUGGGGGUUCAUGUGAGAGUUCUAUGGUAUCCUAUGCUUCUUGGUCAUGGUUGAUACAUAUUAGGUAUGAGAGAUGAAUGACCUUUUACUAGGGUCUCCAGAUCAUUGUCUUAUCCACCAUUCCAUCAUUGGUGAUAUGACUUUCCUUUAUUGUACUAACAUGGGUUGAUCAUCACUCGUUCCACUUUCUCAUUGCUUUCUUUUGUAUCCCAUUACCGCUUUCCAGAUCUUUGUUCCACCUUUUAUUCAUUCCCUACAUAUUGAUACCCAUUACUGAUUUGAUACUUUUUUUUCACAUCAUUCACAUAUUUCAUUGAUGGUUUGACCAUUCAUCAUUUCUCUCAUUUCGUUAUCGACAUUCCCUUUGGUUACUUCUAAGUCCAUGACUCAUGAGAUUUUUCUAUGCAUUACAUCUUGUACACGAGGGUACGGGUUUGAUCAUUGGGUAUUUGAGCCUAGUUUCCCUUCAUUUCUUUCACCCUAUCACCUUGGCCUACGUUACGUCCCGUGUCUUAAGACCACCCUGAGGCCACGAGAUCAGACGUUAUCUUUGAUAGUCUUCACUUGGACAGGCUUUUGUAGAUUGAUUGAAGUAUGGUCGUUGCUAUGUUCUCUUUUAUGGAAGAUACUUUUGGAAGCAUUUGGUUUCUCUCUCGCUUGGCAUAUUGAUGUUUGAUGGAUUUUUUUGGGUUUGGAGACAGUUCAUUGAGGAUAUUGGAUUCAUCCUUUGGUUGUGCAUUAGAUGUCCAUAUUGGGGAAUAUUCCCCUUUCAUUUGGUUGAGAUGAGCCCCUAGUGGAGCACUUUCUUUGAGUCUGGGUAUUUUCACCGAUCAGAGAUUCCUAGUGAGGUAUGUUGAGGCUAUAUCAGUUUUAGUGGAGCAUCGUUGAGCCCCUAGUGGUUCCAUUCGCGGAGUACUUCUGAGAUAGACUAGGGGAUUAUUAUUGAGUUGGAGGCAGUUUUCAGUGCAGUGUAUAGAUCAGGCAUACUGGGGCAUAUUUCCCCAUUUUGAGGUUACCAGAUCCCUAUCAGAUUCAGUCAGGGAUUCAUCAGAGACAUGUUUCUACUUUUGAGAUUACCACAUUCCUCAUCAUUUUGGCUAUUCAUUUGAGAUUAGAUUUAGAGUGUCUCCCUUGAGGCAUUGGUCGAUACUUCACUCCGACUUCUUAGCAGAUUAUUGUUGAGCUGAGGAUAGUUGAUUGAUGAUGUUGGAUUCAUCCUUUGGUUGUGCAUCAUCUAUUCACACUGGGGCAUAUGCCCCCCUUCCUCCGAGAUUCUUAUCUGUUAUUGUAUACGGUACGAGGAUGGAUGAUCAUUGUUAGUUUGUUUACCUCACGACUUCGACAUUAGAUUAUCCACACUGGGGCAUAUUCCCCUCUCCUUGAUGAGAUUGUGUUUGGACAGCGGUACGAGGAUGGAUGAUCAUUGUUAGUUUGUUUGCCUCACGACUUCAACAUCCGAUAUCCAUACUGGGGCAUAUUCCCCUCUCCAUUAUGAGAUUUAUUUGAGCAGUGAUAUGAGGAUGGAUGAUUGGUGUCGGUUGUUUAGCUUAUGACUUUGACAUCAGGUCUCAUACUGGGGCAUAUUUCCCUACUUUUUGAGUAUCCUUGAGAUUGAGACAGUGACCAGCUUGGUUUUAGAUUGAGUACUAGCCUAGAGCUUCCGACGAUCGACUGUAUCAGGGCCUCCCUACAUGGAUUUGUUGAGAUAGAGAUGGAUCGUAUCAGGUUUCACCCGAGGAGCGUGGGUGGAUCCUUUAGCCAGAUGCUCAUGAGACAGAUUUGUUUUCGUCAUUGUUACCUUGUCGAUUGGGUUAUUUGAACAAGCAUCAUUUUGUGCACUUUGAGAUUUGCUUUUAGAUGAGCCACGAUAUACACGCUUUGAGAUUUACCUUUUGACAUUCGUCGGUAGAGCAAUUUUUCAGACACAGAGGCCUCUUUCAGUUUUGACUUUUCAGAGGUUUGUCAUGGUGUAUUGGUUUUUGACUCAUUGAUUCUAGCAGAUGAUUGGUUUACUGGUUGUUUCAGCAGUGUGAGCACCUUGGAUACUAGGGCAUAUUUCCCUUCUUGGUUUCAGUAGUCCGACCCUUGACAUUUUGAGUAUAUGGCUUUGAGCCAAUUUAUUUCAUGUCCACUUUCAAGUUGGUCUUCUCUAUUAUUCCCUUCUAGGCCCUGAGCCUUAUAGCCCUAAGUUAUUCAUUCCUUCUAGACCUCGAGUCUUACAGCCCUGAGCAUUCUUUUUCCUUUAGGCCCUAAGCCUUGUGGCCCUGAGCUAUCAUUUCCCAUAGACCUAGAGUCUUUCCAGCUCUUAGCUGAGCUUUCAUCACUUGGUCGCCCAUGAGUGGUUUGACAUGGAGUUUGCGUAUCGCAUUCUCCUUCUAGCCGAUCAGUCAUAGAGCCCAAAGCUCAUAGCCCUGAGCUAUUCAUCGACCCAGAGUCAUUUUCCAUCUUGACCCAGAGUCAUUCAUAGCACCCCGAGCCCUGAGCUCACGACCCGGAGUCAUUUGCAUCAUUCAUAUCCCUGAGAUGUUUCGUUUUCAUCAUUCUAGCCACUUGUGAGUGGUCUCGACCCGACAUCUUGAGUCGGAAAGUAUCUUGAUCGGCUAUCUAUUAGAGCCUGGAGCUCUCGACCCAGAGUCACUUUCCAUUUCGACCUAGAGUCAUUAUUUCCUAUUUUAGAGCCCGGAGCUCUCGACCCAGAGUCAUUUUCCAUUUUGACCCAGAGUCAUUCCUAUCUAUUUAGAGCCCGGAUCUCUCGACCCAGAGUCAUUUUCCAUUUUGACCCAGAGUCAUUCCUAUCUAUUUAGAGCUCGGAGCUCUCGACCUAGAGUCAUUUCCCAUUUUGACCCAGAGUCAUUCCUUUCCACUUAGAGCCCGGAGCUCUCGACCCGGAGUCACUUUCCAUUUUGACCUAGAGUCAUUAUUUUCCAUUUUGACCCAGAGUCAUUUUCCAUUUUGACUUAGAGUCAUUCUUUCCUAUUUAGAGCCUAGAGCUCUCGACUCAGAGUCAUUUUCCAUUUCGACCUAGAGCCAUUCUUUCCAAUUAGAGCCCUGAGCUCAUGACCCGGAGUUUUUUAUCCUAUUUCAGAUCCAGAGUCGUUCAUCUUGUCCCUGACCCAGAUUCAUUCAUCCCAUCCAUGACUUUGAGUCAUCAUUUUCACCUCUUUCCAUCUUUGUGCUACUCGUCACAUACUGUUCUCUCUUUAUUGUCAUUCCCCCCACAUAGAGUUGUCCCAUCCAUGUCAUUGAGACCCCAUCUUUUGAUCUUACCUCUUCAUGUGCUAGGACAAAAUCUCUGGUCCUUCUUUAAUUCUUCGGUAUAGUUCACUUCAUUCUGCUCAUUACUCGUGUUUCUACUCACAUUCUCUACACUCGUGAUCUAUACCAAAGAGGGGCAUAUUUGUAGACCCUUAAUUUUGUCCAUUUAGCACAUGUCUUUAAAUUCACAUCCAGUGCUCCACGGUAGUUCCUUGGUGGCCCAUUACUACUCAUAAGGCUUACCUUUUUCUGAGUCACCUCAGAGACUUUGGUUGAGGGAUUAUCUGACCCCUUAUUGUGAUCCUUGGCAAUCCUAAUUUAGAUUGGGCUUGAAUUAGAUACACUUAGCCCAUUUAGGCACCUUAGGCCCACUUAGGCAUCUUAGGCCCGUUUAGAUACACUUGGCCCACUUAGGCUCACUUAGACCCACUUAGGUCAUCUUUUAAAUAUUUUUUUUACAUAUUUGCAUGAUUGCAUUUUUUUGUAUGACUUGCAUGGUUGCAUGGCUCAUGGGGCCUAAUUUUUGUUAAUUUGUUUGUUUUAUUUUUAGUUUUAGUUUUAUCAUUAUCAAUCACUCGUUUAUUUAUUUAUUUAUUUUAUUUGUUAUCUCAUUCUUUAUAUUAUUUUCCUUAAUUUAUUUAUUUAUUAUUGUUUUAUUGUUUUCUAAUUUGUUUGCUUAUUUAGUUAUUCAUUCAAUUAUAUAAUUUCAAAAAUUUCAUGUUUUUGCAAGGAAACUUACCAUUGGAGACUAAGGAAAGCGGGACUCUCCUUGGAAAGUUUUGGAGGGGAAUUUGAAGUUGGGAAGAUUGCUUUUGAAUUGGAAGAUUUAGAAAAAGGGAAAAAGGAAGAAGAGAAGAAGAAUGGAAAUAGGGGAAUUUUCUUUUUUUUUGGAAACAAAUUUAGGUCUUGAGGGAUGAUAUAUAUAUGUGAGAAAAGAAAGAGAAAGGGGGAGUGAACAAGCACGCAUUGGAGGAUUGGGAGAAAUUCUGGGAAAAGGUGGAGAGACGUAUUGGAGGCAUUGGAGGAAACCAUUUAAGAGGAGAAGAAGAAAGAAGCACAGAAAAACCAGUGGAGAUUUUCUGAGGAUAGAAACCAGUGCAGAUUUUUUUUUUUUCGUCAAAAGGAAGCAUUCCCAGGUAUGUCUACUGUAGAUUCCUUCUUCAUUCCCAUUAUCCUUUUCUUAUGUACUAAUCUUUGUCGGGUUUUGAGUCUUGCUUGGAUGCUAGGGGGGCAGAAUGACAGAGGUCACAUGUUUGUCUACAUUGAUACUUGCUUCUAUAGAUGUUAUUGAUUUAUCCCUUAGGAGUUCUCUAAUUUUGAUUUAGUGCUGCUAGGUUCCAUUUAUUAUUAUUUCAUGUGCAUUACAUGAGAACUGUGGUUGUAUUCGUUUGUUGGAAUCUGCUCGUACUUAUCCCAUCAUUCCAAACCCAUUGAACCUAACAUGAAAUGGGUUUUCAUUUAAUGGAUCACUUAUUUGUUCAUCCAUUUUUUUUAUCAAACUCUAUUUUGGCGGGGUUGUUUUUCUACAGUUGAGCAUGCUUCAAAUUGCUCUGUUUUGCUUCCCGGGUGUGUCUUCCUAUAUUUAUGAAUGAAUAAGGUAUAGAUUUGUGGGCUUAUGAGUUGUAAAGGUGAUUUCAGUGGGGUUGAGAUUCUGGGUCCACAAGAAAAAAAUAGAAUAGCAGAAGAGAAAAAUCUGUAAGAGAGUUGGGAAGUCCAGAGUAGUGCAAAUCCUCUUGGGCGUCUUUGGUUCAGAAAUAUCAGAAAAGCUAGAAGGAUGAGAAAAACAAGAAAGAUUGUUUGCCUUUGAACUUUUGAUUGCUUAAAGAUGUUUGACAAUGACCACUGUAAACAACCUGCUACUUUAAUGGUUGUGAUAUUUGAAUGUCAGUAUGAAGAUGUGAUUGGGGUGAAAGUGCUGAAAUCAGAGCUCAGGAGAAGAUCAUUGACUGUUGAGUCUGAUAUGGAAUACAAUUGAAAUGCCAACAUUGAGAUAUUUGGAAGAAGGGGUCUUGCUCCAGGAGUUAGACUUGGUGGGGUGGUUGGUGACUCACUUACCAGAGUUGUAGGAAUGCAAGCAGAUGCACUUUUGUUUGCAGAGGCCAGAAAACAGGGUUUUGAUUCUUUGGAAAGAGAAGAUGACAAAUAUUUGGAAAGAUUUAAAUUGUUUCAGUUGGAAGCUACUGAAUUUUACCANNNNNNNNNNNNNNNNNNNNNNNNNNNNNNNNNNNNNNNNNNNNNNNNNNNNNNNNNNNNNNNNNNNNNNNNNNNNNNNNNNNNNNNNNNNNNNNNNNNNNNNNNNNNNNNNNNNNNNNNNNNNNNNNNNNNNNNNNNNNNNNNNNNNNNNNNNNNNNNNNNNNUAGGUGCAGAGAGCUCUAUAACAAACCUGAUGUUCAGAGUCGCAAUUGGUCAAUUGCUGCUACCUGUUAUAGAGAAGUAACAAUAAUUUGGCACUGGUGCAACUGAAAGAAGAGUACAUGAGGAAAUUCCCUUUCUGGAAUGAUCCAUAUGUUCUAGUGAGCUUGCUUUCUGCUAGCCGACUGCGUGGAGAUGUUGUAAUUGGGGAGUGUUUGGCUAAAUGGCUUCUAAAACUUCAGCUUGUGACUACUUCUCCUUAUGUAUUAUUAUCAAACUUGUAUGCUUCAGAUAGGAAGUGGGCAGAUUUAAAGAACCUGUCAUCAGCGGACAACAACUUCUCUGACUCAACUUUAGACUCAAUUUCGGGGUUAGAAUCAAUCAAGUCUUUAGAUUUCAGUCGCAACCCCUUUUCUGGUGAUAUGGCAGCAUCAUCGACAAAACUGACUAAUUUGGUAUCCCUUAAUUUAUCGUUAAAUGAGUUCGAAAGUAAAAUUCCAAAAGGUCUCGAGCUGUUUUCAAAACUUGAAAUUCUUGACUCGCAUAGGAAUAUGCUCAGUGGACUUCCAGACAAGGAAUUCUUGUAAUUUUCAGGUGCCAUUCGUGUUGACUUUAGUGGGUGCUAGCAGAGUACUAUCUAUGUUAUUCAUUAUAGCAGAUUCUUAACAUCCACAUUUAUUUGGGAAUAGAUGCUUCAGUUUGGAUGAUAAACAGAUUACAGAUUUAAGGCAUUCUAUUGAUAAGAUUCUAAGUGACAAGUCUUCUUGGAAUGAAGAUCUCUUUGUUGCUACAGUCAAAUUGCUUACUUCUGCUGCAGUUGAUCAGCCUGUUUUUUCUUGUCACCAUAAUUUCAGCCAAAGACAAUCUAGGUUUGAUGCAGCCAAUAAAUGAAGCUUCUUUUGGAAUAUUGGGGUCUGUCAAAGCAAGUUUGGUAGAUGCACUCUUGCAAGUUAUUGAAAGAUUUCAAUGAUCUUAUCAAAUAGCAAUCCCCGUUUACUACUGAAUGUGCUUGACUUACUGAAAACAUUGUGGCAAGGGGUUGCUCAAUAUGCAGAUAUUUUGGAAUGGCUGAAAAACUCUGAAAAGUUCUGAAAACUAUUUUUGUAACUCUAUUUCUCAAAUUGUUAGAAUGAAAGCUCCCCUGCCUGAGAAUCUAACCAAAAUGGAGGCUCUAAUCUUGGCAUACAAAUACCAGUGUCAAACAGCUGUAUUGGAAAUAAUGGCAGAAAUCUUGUUCCUGUGGAAGAAGUUACUGCAUGCUGAAUUUCUUGAAAUGCUUGCAAAUCUGCACAGUUCACCAAUUGAGCCUAGGAAUUCUGAUAUAUCUUCAGGAAUGGAUGACGAGUCCAAUAAUAGUGAGAUGCUCGCAGCUACUAACAUCCACCCUGGACAAGAUUCAUGGAGAAAAUUGGAAGUUGAAGACAAGGAAUUGCCGCAAGUGCACAAUGGUACAUUGCAGCAGAGCAUCUCUGUCGAUGCAAAACUAAUCAAAGAGGAUGUAAUUAGCUUAGUAGAUAAGGAAAGAAGGCAAGCUCUACAGACACCACAAGUGGUUAUGAACAUGCUCGAUGCGACUAUGCCUGGUACUCUAAUGGAAGAACUUAAGAAGAAGGUCCUGGCUGCCGUAGGACAAGGAGAAACAGUUAUGUAAACUUUGUGAGAUGCUGUCCCAGGAAAUAUUUGUGGAAAGCUUUCUACUGCUGUUUCUAGAAUUUUGGCAUACUCAAGGUGUAAAUUUAAACUUUGAGGGUCUUCUGAGGAUUGACCAAACUCCUAAUGUUUCGUCAGGAUUGAAAUCUAAGAUCCAAAAAGAAAUUGGAAUAACAUCAAGUGAAGAAGGUGGGACCGAAAGCUAGGAUACAGUUGAAGAUUACAAAGGUAUAGUUCUUGGAGGUUCCGAAGCCGCCAAACACUCCUUGGAGAAAUUAGGGAAAAUAUCAGAUGGAAGUUCUUGCUCUGGUGUAGAGAAUUCUUGUAAUCAUUCACAGAGAAUUGGUGGUCAAAUUAUAAGUGACUCGGAUGAAGAAGUGGACAUUGAUGAAUAAGGAGGUGGAAAUGAGUUAUUUGAUUUUGCUGCACUGGCUGCUCUCACGAAAAUAGUAGCAAGUGCAAGUUCCGAUAGUGGCAGUAUCACAAUAACCUCUCCAAAGGGAUCCAAGCUUCUCUCUGAUUGACCCCCCCUGUUGGAUUGGGAUCUACAAACCAGCCUCUAAGACCUGCUCCCCAACAAAACCUGUCCAAUCUUUUUACCCAUUUUCCAAUCUUGCAGGGAGGCAAACUGGUGAAGAAUUUAAUCUUGAUAUUGCAGAGAGAGUUGUUUGUGAUCUUAACACUACUGAAGCGUUUCCAAGUGUGUUGGAUCUAAAAUGCAGCCUGAAGUUCUCUGGCCAACUAAACUCGAGCCACUUGAUCGCCAGAUUGUCGAAGAACAAAUCCAGUUCAGUUCUUUCCUUUUACUGGUUUUUUGGCUCAUCCCUACCUCAUGAAUACACCCAGUUAGGCAGGGUUAUUAAAGUACCAAGGGACCUUAUUGAUCCCUACAUCCUGGUUAGCAUCCUUGCUUAUAGGCAAUCCUGAACAUGGUGCGCAGCUGUACUGAUAAUCCGUCAUCUGAUAAGUCUUGGAGAUGUUCCCUGCUGCUAUUGCAUUCAGAAAACUCAUAUUGCAUAAGGAAGCUUGCUGAAAGUAUCUCAUAAAUGCUACAACAAAGGACAACUAGAAGGCAAUUUCCCAAGACUUAAUGCCUCAUUUCUGAAACCUGCAAGUGGAGAUGAAGUACUAUCCAAAGAACCUAAAUGACGAUAUGGAGCUUCAUUAAAAUCUGUCCAGAGAAUUCAAACAGAUCAAUGAAGAGUUGUCUCUAAAGUCAUUCAUGAAAUCGAAAGGACAAAGCCGCGUCAAAAGCUGCUACUGCUCGCGGUCUUGGACGCAAUGCAAAGAUUGGUUCUGGGAGGGGUCUCAGUGCUGUAGCUAUGGCAACAUCUGCACAAAGAAAGGAAAGGACAAAUUCGGACAUGAAAUGGAAGUAGGGAUCUUCGCCAAGGUUCAUACUGAGAGAAUGGUUUCAUCUUUAAGAUUUGGAAUCCCAUCAAAACCUCUUACCAAAUGUUCUCCUCAUGUUUGUUUUCGUUUGCUAUUAUAGUUACCUACGGUGUCGGAUUUCAUUCGAAUUUUUCAGACAAGUCUCCGCAUUCAGCCCAUGGAAAUGACAACCAGAAUUCCAAAACAACAGCGAUCAGACCAGUUCCCAGAUUCCAAUUGUUGGAUAUGUUGGUCAGCCAUAUGGAGCCCCGUCACUGCCAAUCUCCUCUCUCUAAUAUCUGUAGUUGAAUUAGCAUCACCAGCUUCAUACGAUUGGCAUCUGGUCUACCUCUUUCAUUAUACUUUCCUCAGAAUUUGUUUUCCAAACAGCAAUGGUAGGUUCCAAUUUGGAACCCAAUAGCUAAAUAGAACCCACCUGGUAGUAAAGGUCAGCAAGCAGGGCUUCAAAACAGAGAAAAUCGGAAGUGAGGAGACCAAAAUCUUGUGCAAUAAGUAAAGAACACUUCGAAUGCCAUAUCCUUUUUCAUUAGAUUCAGAAGGAGGACUCUCUCUGGGUAGGAAUUGUAAUGAUAUGGAAAGGAUGGGAAGUCAUGAUACAAAGCUGUUUUAUCGUUUUAGCUUGGGAAUUGACAGCUUCAUCUUCAAACGGUGGAAUUCCAUGAAUAAGGAGCUUUAAGACAUGCCAACAAAUUGCCAAGGAAUAGUCAACUUCUUCACCCAACAGUGAAACUAAAAGUGGAAAGAGCAGAGUAGCAUUGUUUUUUUUGGACCUUUUAUGAUCAUCAUGCAGAAAAAAACAGCUCAGUAGCUGAAGUUGAGUAUAUUGGCAAACCUGAGAAUGCACUUCCAACCGAUGGAACUGAACAGCAGCAUAAGAAAUCUGAUUUGGAGUUAAGACCUACUACCACAUUACAAGCUCUAGUUGAUGAUUCAAAUUGUGAUCUCGAGAAACUAAAGUUGAAUCCAGACGACAUUGCUGAUGAAAUCAUGUAUCAAACCCUAUGAGCUUUGACUCUGAAAUGAAUAUGGACAGUUCGUUUCCAGUCACGCCAGCAGUAUACAGAGAUCUCUUCACACAACCACCAGCAACGCAGUCACAGCCAAACCCCCAAACCCCAUUCUCCAUGACCGGUCUAGUGCACACUACUCUUUUCCUUUCACACCCCUUUUGCUUUCCUCGUGAUUUUAUGUGUCUUGAAUUGUGUUUUCAAAAAUCGUUUUCAUCCAAAUAAAUCUGAUUUUAGAUAAUCAUCUUUAGAUAUUCUCUAGGCAUUGAAAUCUAAAUUUCAACACCCUUUUGCUGCCAUUUUCCUUCCGGCAUGCGUCUUCACUAUUUUAUUUGAUUUUCAACUAAUUUUCUUGAUUUUCAACAAGCAUGAACAAACUUCAUGAUUCCAAACAAUGGAAUUCAUUGAAUCAACUCAUGCAAAAUCAACUAGGGCUUUGGUGGGGGCCCAACAUUCAUAACACUCACUUCAAUACUGUUUACUUGAUAUGUUGAUUUUUUAUUCUUCUUGAUGAAAUACUUGAAUUCAUUUAAUAUUUAUUGUUGAGAUGCUCUCGUUUCCCAUAGAGGAGUACUAGCUUGCUAUCCAGGUACGCUCUCUUCUCAUCUAUUUUUUUAGAACUCUAUGGACUUGUAUGUCAUUGAUGACCAUAUCCAUAUUUGACGUGAUUCUUGAAUGUCUUGAUAUAUGCCUGAUUUGCUUGAAUAAAACAAAUGUUGUGUGAUGUAUCUCCAAACUAAUCUCUUAUGUUUUAUGAUAGCGCUUGGGAAGCCAUCCAGGUAUGCAUUUUUAACUUUUCUUAAUUGUGAUCUGAUCUUGUUUGAUAUGUUAUGUUUUUGGAAUCACCUAGCCUACUUAGGUAUCCAUGAUCAACCAUUUAAUUGCCACGCUUCCCUUAACUUAGUCAGUAAAGACCUCUUUAGGGCUUAGAGGGGUGCUACCUCCUAGAGGUACCUUCCCAAUAAGUAACCUGAUCCCCGGACCUAAACUCGGGUUUCUCAAAGACAUGCUUUUUCCAAAACUAGGGAGUCACUUUUUAGGGUUUUUCUUUCUUGUUUUAUUUUCCCUUUAAAAUAAAAAUAAAAUAAGUGGCGACUCCAACUUUUUUUCCAAAAAUCAAUUUUUCACAAAAAUAAUAAAAAGCGAGUCUCGCCGAUCGAGUGGGGGCGCACGUGAAAAAUGCGGGUCCACAGGUCUCCUUAUAAUCAAUGCCUUCCUUUUGAGUGAAACCUUUUGCGAUUAGGCGUGCCUUAUACCUAACAAUGUUGCCUUUUGAAUCCCACUUGAUCUUAAAAAUCCAUUUACAACCAAUCGGUUUUACACCUUCAGGCAACUUUACUAGGUCCUAAACACCAUUGUCUUUCAUUGAUUUCAUCUCAUCCUUCAUGGCUUCUAUCAACUUUUCAGAGUCAGAACUUUGUUUGACUUGACUAAUUGAAAUUGGAUCGUCUUCCAAACCCAUGUCAAACUCAUGUUCCUGGAGAUGUACAACAUAAUCAUCUGAAAUUGUACUUCUCCUUUCUCUAGUGGAUCCCCUCAGUGGCACUUGUACUUGAGGUUCUUGAGGUUGUUGAGUUACCUCUUCAUGAACUUGAAUCGGUUCCAUAACUUGAGCAGGAGGAAUCUCAGGUGUGUUUUGAAUCUCUGUUAUUGACUGUACAUUUUGGAUAGUGUCAUCAAACAUAAUAUGACCAUGUCCAGUCGUAAUAAUAGGAAUACUAACAGAUUCCUCUUCAAAUACCACCUUUUUUAACUGUUCUCUCCCACUUAACUCAACAUCCUCAAUAAAUUUAGCAUUGCCCAUUUCAAAAAAUGAUCUAGUUGAGGGGUCAUAAAACUUGAAACCUCUCGACCUUUCAGAAUAUCUUACAAAGUAGCAACUCACUGUUCUGGAGUCUAAUUUCUUUUUAUUUGGUUUGUAAGGCCUAGCUUCAACUGGACAACCCCAGACAUGCAAGUGCCUAAUACUAGGUUUCUUGCUAGUUCAUAACUCAUAUGAGGUUUUGGCUACUGCUUUGCUUGAGACUCCAUUCAAAAUAUAAAUUGUUGUUUUGAUGGCUUCGCCCCAAAGUGAUUCUGGUAAGGUGGAAUGACUGAUCAUACUUCUUACCAUAUCCUUAAGAGUACAGUUUCGCAUAUUUGCUACACCAUUUUGGCUUGGAGUUCCCAGCAUGGUGUAUUGAGGAAUAAUACCACACUUCAUCAAAUAUUUGGCGAAUGACCCUAGACGUUGUUCACUGGAUCCGUCAUAUCUACCAUAAUAUUCACCUCCACGGUCAGAUCUGACGGCCUUUAUUUUCUUGCUUAGUUGGUUCUCAACUUUAGCUUUGAAAUUCUUGAACACAUCUAAUGAUUGAGACUUCUCAUGAAUCAAAUAAAGAUAGCCAUAGCGUGAGUAAUUUUCAAUGAAAGUGAUAAAAUAUUGUUGUCCAUUCCAAGAAGGAGUAGGAAAUGGACCAUAAAUGUAUGUAUGUAUCAAUUCCAAGACGUCACUGCACUUGUUAGCAUCAUUUUUUCUCAUAUUUGUUUGUUUACCCUUAAUACACUCUAUAUAGACUUGAAAUUCUGAGAAAUUAAGUGGAUCAAGAAUUCAUUCUAACACAAGCCUUUGAUUUGAAAUAUGACCCAAACGCCUGUGCCAUAACAUCGAUGAAUUCUCAUUUGUUAAUUUUUGUUUAAUGUCAUAAUUACUUAAAUGCAAGGUUUCAUUUCCAUUAGUGGUCUUUAUGUUUAAUUUGUAUAAUUUGUCUGUUAGACUACCUAUACCAAUAACAUUUGAAUUUAGAUAAAGACUAACCAUUCCAUUUCUAAAUGAACAAUAAUAUCCAAAUUUUUCCAGACAUGAAACAAAAAUUAAAUUCCGUCUAAACGAUGGUACUAUAAAAGUCUCUUCCAAAUCCAAAGUACAUCCAGAGUCUAACUGUAAUAUAAAAAGACCAAUAGUCUUGAUUGCAACCUUGUUGCCAUUUCCCACAUAGAUGUAUCUUUCACCAUCAGUUGGCAUUCGGCUCCUUAGGCAACCCUACAUCGUGACACUUAUGUGAGUAGUUGCACCCGUAUCUAUCCACCAAGUGUCAGUAGGCACUACGACUAAAUUAAUUUAUGAACAAACAAAGUUGAGAAGUGUACCUUUCUUUUCACGCCAAGCAGCGUAUUUGGUACAUGUCUUUUUCAUAUGACCAACUUUCUUGCAAAAUAAACAAGUCAUCUUCUUAUCUUGUUUCUUCUGCACCUUUUGCUUUGAUGUCCCAAAAAUUGCAGUUUGUUUUUCUUUAUUGUCCCUCUUUCUUUUCUUGUUGGUACCAAAUGCCUGAGAUGUGGAAGCCAAGUGAGCACUUUCUAUCUUUUCUUGUUUCAAUCUCUUAUCCUUUUGUGCACAUUGAGCAAUAAGCUCAUUCAAAGUCCAUUUUUUCUUUUGUAUGUUGUAACUGAUUUUGAAUGGACUGAAUUGUGUAGGUAAAGAGAUCAAGACCAAGUGUACGAGUAUGUCUUCCGAAAACUCUAACUUUAGUGCCUUUAGUCUAGUCACAAGAUUAGACAUUUCCAUAAUACACUUCCUUAUAUUCUCUUUCCCUUUGUACCGCAUAGAGACAAGCUUACUAAGAAUAGUGCUUGUCUUAACCUUUUCUUUUGCAGCGAAUCGGCUUGCUAUCUGGUCUAAGAAUGCCUUGGCUCGAGUUUUCUCAGGUAUUACACCCUUUAUAGCUUUUGGAAUUGAGUGCUUUGUUAUCAUUAACUCAUGCGAUUGGAUCGCUCUCAUUUUUCCAUAGUAGACCUUUGCUCAGCAGUGCUGGCACUAGUAAGAUCUGAAGAGCAAUCCUCUCUUAAUGCAUAGUCUAAAUCCAUGCACCCGAGCACAAUUAUAGCGUGCUCUGUCCAUUUCUUGAAGUUUGUGCCAUUAAGCGCAGGAAUGUUAUUAACAUUUGCAGAUAUAGAAUAUGUUGAAUUCAUAAUAAUAAAGCUCACAAUCAGUCACAUAAACAUCAUACAUACAUGAAAAACAUCAUACAAGAUACCUAGCACAAACAUUAAUAUUCUGUCUUUGGACAAUAAAUAUUAACUUGUAAUUGGUAUCCUUAUACAAAAUUAAUUCAUAAAUAUUUAUCGACAAUAAAACCAAAAACAGUAUGCCUAUCUUUAGACUAACAUAUCGAAUGCAAGAUAAACUUUAUAUGUCACAUAUUUAUGAUUACUUUAUUUAUUAUUAUAUUAAAAUAAUCUUCUUUUGAGCCGAUUAUUUUAAAUAAUAAUAAUAACAUGUUUAGAUAUUAUAAAAUAAAUAAAUUAUAUAAUAUAAGUUACUUUGGCAACUAACAUACAUAAUUCAUUUAUUUUAAAAUAUUAAACACAAACAUAACAAGAAAUAAUAAAUUCAAUUAAAAUUAUUUAUUUAUUUAUGCAUAAACCCAUGUAUAUAUAUGUAUAUAUUAAUUGAAGCAUAAAAAACCAUCUACAUGUGUAUAUAUAUCAAUUGAAGCAUAUAUACAAGCUUUAGUCUAAUGGUUUAAGCAAAAAAUAGGCCAUGGUAAAGGGUUUAAGCCAACCCACCCCUUUAGUUUGGUUUUUGUUUUUGUUUUUUUUUUAAUUUCUUUUGGGCUAUUGACCAUGCAUUCUCUCAUGGCCCAACGACCACUUGUGUUCACUUACAAGCCAAGCCCCUUCCAUAUAUAUAUAUAUAUAUAUAUAUAUAUAUAUAUAUAUAUAUAUAUAUAUAUAUAUAUAUAUAUAUAUGUUUUUUUUUAUUUUAUAAAUUUUGUCCAUUGCAGCCCAAAGUGACCAUCCCUUGAAAUGGCAUCAUCAACGGUGCCAGAGUUGUCCUCGAAUGACGCCUACAGUGAAACGCCGCUGCCAUCAUCGGAACGGUGAUUUCCCAUCGCCAAACGACGGUGUCACUACCGGAAUGAUGCUGUAACGGCAUCGCUGGGAAGCAGCCUAACCUGUGGCGUGACGUCGUGACAAGCAGUGCCGCCAGCGGUGAAACGCUGUCGCCAUCAUCGGAACGGUGAUUUUCCAUCUCCAAACGACGGCGCCACCACCGGAACAACGCUGUAACGACGUCACUAGGAAGUAGCCCCACCCGCGGCACCAAAAUGGUGCUUGGAUGGCGUUUGGAAAGCUUGGAACAACACUCAAAUCAGGGCUUCUCACUGGCAAAUGACGUUUGAACGGCGUCUGGAAAUAAUGCCUGUAGCGCCUAAAAAUUGUGCUCUUUUGAACACCUGAAACAACGUCGAAAUGACGUCUAACGACGUCUGGAAUUGCACUGUUGUCUAGAAUGAUGCCAUGAUGGUGUCUCACUCGCCUUAAAUGGCACCAACCACUGUGACUUGCAGCCCCAAAAAUGGCGCUUGAACAGUGCCUGAAGUGUGCUUGGAACGACGCAGCAAACGAUGCCUAAAAUGGUGCAUUUUGUAUGCCUGAAAACGGCACAGGAAUGAAGCCUAAACUACGUCCAUUUUGAACGCCUAAACGGCAUCCUAACGGCGCCUGGAACGGUGCCUGAAUGACGCCUGGAAUUGGCCCAGAUUUAUUUUCUGUUGUUUCCUUCCUCUUGUAUAUUUUGUUUGUGUUUUAAAAAAAAAGUGUUCUGGUGAAAAUGGGAAAUGCAACCAGGCUCUGAUACCAUUUUGUGAGACGUUCAUUCUCCAUUAUCAUCGAACACAUGCAGGAUAUAUUUUAUAUAUCUAUCAAUUCAUUCAAAAUAUGCCUUCAUUUUAUGGAACAUACUCGAAUCCAUUUUGUUUGUGUUGAAGAGGUACAGAUCUUCUAAGGCUAUGGGGAGGGGAGGGAGGGGAGGGGGGUACCACCUUUUCUGAGAAUUCUCUAUGACGAUGGGAAGCCGGAGAGAACAAGUUCUAUUUUUAUUUUGAAAACGUUGUUAUCCUUAAAAAACAAACACUAUUAUUUGGAUUUAUACUCUCCUACCUUAGGGACCAUACCCUUUGGCUAUUGGGCCUCACGAGUCUUAGGUCCAUCAUCUAAGGCUCAUGAUGGCACUAGGCUUUACACAUAAGGUGACCCAUACUCUGAAACGAAUAGAAAUCAUAUGUGUAUAUAUAUAUAUAUAUAUAUAUAUAUAUAUAUAUAUAUAUAUAUAUAUAUAUAUAUAUAUGAAUAUUUAAAUCCUGAACAAUGGUUAAUAUGAUGUCGGUUCACAUUUAUUAUAUCAUAGAGACUUCCUAUCUGAAGAAAAUCGACAGCAGAUAGCUUUGCCAUUCUUAGUCCGUAUACAACCAACCUUAGCAAGGGUUGAACCCUUUUAUGCUUAGUUGUGCCAUACAGAUCCUUACCAUUUGAUAAUGUCAUCUAGUGAACCAAUACCUCCAAAUGAGAGACCAUUGCCUCGGUAACUAGGGCUCAUGACUGAGAAUUGUGUGAACCCUUUUGCUUGGGAUGGAGCUUGACUGAUGAACAAAAUAUUCAUAGGCCUCUUCCCAUAACUGGCACCUUGUGUUUGCAACAUAAUUGAACAUGUAUUGAAGUGAGUUUUUUUGCAUCUUUUUGUAAGAAAAUUCUAAACAACAUAGACUACUUAGUGUGCCCAGCUCCUCGGGGAAUCAAGGUUCAUUCUUGUAGGGCCAAUUUUAUCACAGUCGAACUAGAUAACAUGGAGAGUAUGUUGCAAUGCUUCAAUGGGGUAUUUCUUAGGAAAAUCCACUUGAAGCUGGUACAAUUCGUUGGCGUACUGAGUUCUUGGAGCUUUAUUGACUUCAAUCACCCAUCUCUGUAGAUUAUCAGUGACUUUAUGCUCGGAUCCUGUAGGAAGAUUGACCUGACAUUCCACUAGCUCUUUCUGGAAGGUAAUCUUGUUUAACACCGUAUGAGAAGAGGCAGGGGAACUGGUCAUUGUUUCUUUGAGAAGAUCAAUGGCCGAGGAUGGGUUUGGACCAGAAUUGCUAUAUGGGUUUUCUUUGGGUGAACCAAUUAGCGGAGUGGGUGGCUAUAUAGCAACUGAAGGGUGGUCAUACUAGCUGACAUUCCACUAGCUCUUUCUAGAAGGUAAUCUUGUUUAACACCUUAUGAGAAGAGGCAAGGGAACUGGUCAUUUUUCUUCGAGAAGAUCAAUGGCCGAGGAUGGGUUUGGACCAGAAUUGCUAUAUGGGUUUUCUUUGGGUGAACCAAUUAGUAGAGUGGGUGGCUAUAUAGCAACUGAAGGGUGGUCAUACUAACGAGGAGCUAUUAUUUCAUGCAAGUGGACAGGAAAUGAGUAGCUUCUUCAAGGAUAUAUGAUUAUUCAUCUUUAGCUUACGUUGAAUAUCUCCUAACAAAUUUCUGCUUUGAAGCUCCCUUAGUUUCACUACAGCUAACUUGGCUAACUUGGUUUCAUCAUGUUUCCUACAACCUCUAAGCAAAGCACGCCAGAUCACCGGAUUAGGUUCUAUUCGCAUUUUGUCCAUAAACUCCUUUGCCUAUUGACAAUAGACUGCCCCUCAAAAUUUGAUGAGAUAACAUCAAUGCUGACAUGUUGGCCAUCGCCAUAAGCAUCUUUAUAGAGAUUGAUUCUAUGUUUACAUAUUUCUCUCUCCUCAAGUGAGUUCAACUUUUCUGUAACAUCCUUCUCCUUCUCAACUAACAGUCUUAGUUGAACAUCCAACCUAUGUUCCCAAAGUGCCAACAUCUCAUAUCUGAUGACAAGCCAACAACCUUGUCCUUGCUAAGACCCAAAUAAGUAUCUAGAACCAUCAGCAUCAACCCUUUCAUAGGCCUUUGUAUUUGAAGGUCGGAUUAGGAUUGCUUUGAAUGCAUUGGCAUUGCAAUACACAAUUGUUUCUUCUCCAAUAAAAACACCACAAAGAGGUGAGAGGACUGGUAUUAGCAAAGAAGUGUUGUUAUCUAUAUUGUUCUGAGCCCAAGUACCCUCAACAAAAUCCUCAUCCUCAUCUGUACUUUUCCAUUACAUCCUUAGGCGUUUCAAUGUGAUCCACAUGGCUUACAGGAAUCCAGAAAUACCGGUCUGUAUAAAAGUUGUUCUUAAGGGGCUCUCCUAGAAAACAUCCCAAUCAAGAUGAUCAACCUAGCUUAGAUGCUCAACACCCCAAACUUACCAUAAAUAGAGGAAUAAAAAGCAAGGAUAGGAGCCAGAGUAAAAACUGAGGGAAGAGCAAAUAGGAAAUCAAGCAAAACAUGAAUGUAUAGAGCCUCAUUUCAGGUGACAUCUUUGGGCUAAUAAUAGGUGGAAUUAGCAAAGUAGAUAAGCAUGAUUGUUAUAAAUAUCAAGUUCAAGGAUGAAGCCGUGCAUCAGCUACUUAUAGGGGGAGUCAAGGAAACCAAGAUAAGAUCAAAGAGAGCAUGUAUGCAAAUAAACAGAUUCGACAAAAUAGACCAAACAGAUCAUGAAUAUCCUCCUACAAAAAACUACUACACGUGGCAAAAAGUGAUGAAACAAAAAGAGUCGGGUCCGCAUAUACAUAUCCUAUUCUAUCCUAUUCCUUCAAAUCCAAAGCAACCUAUAUUUUCAAUGGGAUUUGUUGUGAUGAAUUUUACUGGAUUGUAACAUGUAAAUAUGUUAAAAGAGGCUUGGGACAUUCCUAUAUAGUAACGCAUAAAGGUACUUCCAUUGUGAAGUUAUCAAAAUUGCAAAUUUAAAUUACAAAAUUUGAAAACAUAGAGAUGAAAGAUGAUGAAACCUUCUUUGAAAUUUUAUAUUGAACUCAUUAAUAUUAUUAAUUUUCAUUUCAGUCUAGGGGAUAGAAUUCUUUACUCUAAAGUGGUCACAAAAAUAUUAAAAUUCCUUGUCGAGAGAUUUAGACCUAAAGUGAUCAAUAUAGAAGAAAGUAAAAAUCUUCUAAGUGUAGGUAAACUUGUGACUCUACCAUUUCAUAAAAAAUCCUCAAUUUUAUAAAUUAUAUAGAUUUCUUCAUUUGAUACAAAAUUUGAAUAAAGAUUUUUCAAAUGACAACACAAGGAAAGGGAAAAAAAAUUCUCUCCAAAUCAUAUUAUUUAAUCACUUAAAUUAUUUAAAAAUAAAAAUGCUUACUGCUAACAUUAUUUAGUUUCAUCUUUCUUUUGAUGGAGGUUAAAAUUCAUAAUUUUGAGGAAAAAGAUGAGGAUUCUCAUUUUUUUUCCAUGUAUGAAUGGGAUUCUCAUUGUGUAUAUGUGGGUUACUAAAUGGCAAAUUUGCGGGCCACCAGAGUCUGCAAUAUGAGUGAAAAAAUGAAAUUGAGUUUGUCACCAAGAAUAGACAUGGUUCCUACAAAGGUGGCAUCUUUAAUUUCAUGUUUGGAUUGGACUUGUCAUGUAACAACUUAACAAGUGAAAUCCCUCAUGAACUUGGAAUGUUAAGUUUGAUUCAUGCAUUGAACUUGUCUCGUAAUCAACUAAAAGGCUCCAUUUCAAAGAGUUUUUGCAAUCUUUCUCAAAUAGAGAGCUUAGACCUUUUUAAUAAUAAACUAAUAUAAUAAAAAAUAUUUAGGUAGAUCACAUUUAAAUAUAGCUAAUAUAAUAAAAAAUUAGUAUUAUUAGAAAGACAUGAUCAAUUAAAUUUUUUUUCUUAUCUAUGACACGACUUUAUUUUUUUACAUAGUCAAUAUAAUUUAUUACAACUUAUAUGUCAUUAAAUUAUACACGUUUAUAUUAAAUAUAAUAUAAUAUCAUUAAUGGAAUAAUUAUGCAAGUAAUAUAAAUUGUAUAUAAUAUAAAAAAUUUAAACUCCAUCAAACUAAUGGAAUCUAUUAUAAUAAGUAGACUAGACACCAUGUUGGCCCGAGUUGGAAGCCUGGGCCAGAUUUUAAAGGCUGGGCUUUGAGUUGCCCGUGGGCGUGAGCCAAGGUCUUCUCUUGGUAUCAUCAUUUUGAAGAAAUAAAUUGCUGAUACAGAGAAAAAAACUAUACUAAAUAGAAAAAUAAAUAAAAGCAUUGACUAAAAUGAAGGUCAAGGUCCUUGAAAAAUAAUCUUUAAAUUGUUGCAUAUAUAAUUUCAAUAAUGCAUAAAUAAUUGCAAUAUAUAUGAUAUGAUAAAGAAUUUGGAAUUAAAAGAAGAUUGAUCUAUUUUAAAUGUGGUUGGAAUAUUUCUAAAUUUGUGAUGGGAAGUUAGACAGCCAAUUAGGGAUCCAUAUUAUUUAUUUUCAAUGAUAUGAAUUUAUUUAUUUUUAUUAAUAUUCUUAAUGCAACAAUAUAAAAUAUGUCAAUUUUCUAAAAUUUAAAAAGUAAUUGUAAAAGAAAUUUUUUAAUUAUUUUUCUGAAAUUGAGUUUAUUAUAACAUUUUUCUUUACUUAAAUUUCUUUUUUAUUUUUAUUUUUUUAAAAAAUAAGAUAUGAAAAAAAAAGAUCAAUAUUAGUAAAAGUAAAACCCAAUAUAUAAAAAAAAAUGAAUAAAUGUUUAUGAAAUAAAAUUUAAAAGUGAGAAGGUAAUAAAUUUUUUCUCUUUUAAUUCCCAUUCAAUUCAUUACAAAAAAUAUUUUUGGUUUUUAUGCUAAAAUUUAUUGUCUAUUAAAAAAUUCUAGUAUAUCUAGCUAUCAUAGAAGAGCUAUAAAAUUUUAUUGUUUAAGAGAAUAUGUGUUGCUACUUUAAAAGAUUUAUAUGCAAAAGGGAUUGAUAUUUUUUUCCUUUGGAUAUGUUUAGUUCCCGGAAAAUGUGAGGGAAGAAAAAUAGAGAAGAAAAGUAUAACAAAAUAAAAAGUGAAGGAAAAUGAAAAAUAGAUUUAAAGUUAAUAAAUUAUUUUCAUUGGUUUUUUCAAACUUAUUUUACUUAUUUUAUUCUAUUAAAUAAAGAUUAACUAAUUUUAAUUAUAUUUGGUUUGAUUUUUAUUAUUUUUCAAAGCAAAACCAAAUAUGAAAAAAAAAAACAUUUUUUUUUGUUAUUUUUUUUUUCUUUAUUACUUUUCUGGACUCAAACAUAGCUUUUAGAUUUGGAGCAUGGAAAGAUAAGAGUAUUGAAUAAAGGUUCUAUAUAUGCUCAUGCCCAUGCCCAUGAUACCAUUGAAAAAAAUGGAGAGAGGGUGAAACCUUUACUAGAUGAUAAAUUAUUCUCUUCAAUGGAAAUCAAAUAUAAUUAUUUUUAUCUUGUAUUAAUUGAAUGUUAUACUCCAUAAACUCAAAAUUAAAAUAAAUAAAUAAUUUAAAAACUAGGACAAUCCCAUUUUUUUUUCAAUUUCUUAAAAAGAAAUUAAAUUAUAUUUAUUUAUAUCUAUUUUCAUCCCUACCCAACAAAAUAAUAAUAAAAAAAAAAAACAAGGUGGGACAUGUAUGAGAAAUUCUCACACUAACUCUCCCUAGUUUAUUUUUUAUUUUUUUUAAAAAAUCAAUUUCUUUUAAAAAAAUUAAACUACAUAAAAAAUAAACAAAUUUUACAAAAUUUUUUUUAAGAAAAGUAAAUUUCUUAUUUUAUAUAUGUUAAAAAUAAAUAUAAUCUUUUAUUUUUUAUAUAUAUAAUCGGGAGUGGGACAAAGAAAUAAUCCCCUUCGAUUCCAAUCCAAAAUUUUAAAAUAUAAAAUAAAAAUCUUAAACUCAUCCCUAAUCCAUUUAUUUUUAAUCCUAAACUUGUCUUAUUAAGAAUAAGACAAAGUGAGCACAUGAAAACACUUCUUUUAUCAUCAUCUCUACAAGUUCUAAUGUUUAGAUUGCAAUCCAUAUCAAAGAUUUAUAAAGAAAGAACAACGAUGAAUUUCAUAAACAUUUGAAAGCAUAUACAAAGUUUUAAAUAAUAUUGCUUGAGGUGCAAAUAUUAUUUGGCGCACAUGUUGAGGGACUUCAACUGGUGUAGUCUAGGUUUUUUACACUAGUAAGUAAUCUUGAAUAUCUAGAGUAACUUGAUCAAAAUCUCUUUAAUUUUAUUUUCUUUGAUGGUUGUAUGAUGAAUUAGAAUGCUUAUAUAACAGGAUUAAAAAUUUUAAGAAAAAAAACCAAGAAGAAAGAAAGAAGCACCGAUCUUCCAAAUAUUGCUUCCACUUUAAUAUCUAGAAGGCUCUAAGAAAAUAACUUUAUUCAUGAAUCAUAACCCAAGUCGAAAAUAAAUUGAACCCAUUUUCUAAGUUAAAUUUUGAAUUUUUUACUAGUGAAUGCAAAUUGGGAAAAUGUAUAUAAAUAUAAUUAAACUAGAAUAGUAGAUUAGGUUUGUAGGUGGAGUUUGUUUGAAUUGUUGGAACUUCCAAGUCGUUGUGGGUCUAGUGGUCCCAUAGCUCUCUAUUAAUUUCCACCAUCAAUUUUCUACAAUAAAGUCAAGUCAUUCCUAACCCCUAUAUUAAGUUGGCCUUAAAAGUCAAGUCAUUGAUCAUAGUUACAUUCAUGAAUCACAACCCAAGUCGAAAAUAAAUUGAACCCAUUUUUCAAGUUCAACUUUGAAUUUUUUACUAGUGAAUGCAAAUUGGGAAAACAUAUAUAAAUAUAAUUAAACUAAAAUAGUAGAUUAGGUUUGUAGGUAGAGUCUGCUUGAAUUGUUGAAACUUCCAAGUCAUCGUGGGCCCAGUGGUCCCAUAGCUCUCUAUUAAUUUCCACCAUCAAUUUUUUUGCAAUAAAGUCAAGUCAUUCCUAACCCCUAUAUUAAUUUGGCCUUAAAAGUCUAGUCAUUGAUAGCUAAAUCCUAACCCAAGUCAAAAAUAAAUUGAACCCAUUUUCUAAGUUCAACUUUGAAUUUUUCUUAAUUGGAAAAAUGUAUAUAAAUACAAUUAAACUAGAAUAGUAGAUUAGGUUUGUAGGUGGAGUCUGCUUGAAUUUGUGAAACUUCCAAGUCAUCGUGGGUCUAGUGGUCCCAUAGCUCUCUAUUAACUUCCACCAUCAAUUUUCUGUAAUAAAGUCAAGUCAUUCCUAACCCCUAUAUUAAUUUGGCCUUAAAAGUCUGGUCAUUGAUAGCUACGUUCAUGAAUCCCAACCCAAGUCAAAAAUAAAUUGAACCCAUUUUCUAAGUUCAACUUUGAAUUCUUUUAAUUGGGAAAAUGUAUAUAAAUACAAUUAAACUAGAAUAGUAGAUUAGGUUUGUAGGUGGAGUCAAGCUUGAAUUUGUGAAACUUCCAAGUCGUCAUGGGUCUAGUGGUCCCAUAGCUCUUUAUUAAUUUUCACCAUCAAUUUUCUGCAAUAAAGUUAAGCCAUUCCUAAACCAUAUAUUAAUUUGGCCUUAAAAGUCAAGUCAUUGAUAGUUACGUUCAUGAAUCACAACCCAAGUCUAAAAUAAAUUGAACCCAUUUUCCAAGUUCAACUUUGAUUUUUUUACUAGUGAAUGCAAAUUGGGAAAACUUAUAUAAAUAUAAUUAAACUAGAAUAGUAUAUUAGGUUUGUAGGUGGAGUAAGCUUGAAUUGUUGAAACUUCCAAGUCAUCAUGGGUCUAAGGGUCCCAUAGCUCUCUAUUGAUUUCCAUCGUCAAUUUUUAUGAAUUAAGAUUUAAAAGUGAGAAGGGAAUAAAUUUUUUCUUUUUCAAUUCAUUACAAAAAAUAUUUUUGGUUUUUAUGCUAAAAUUUAUUGUUAUUCAAAAAAUUAAAGUAUAUAAAUAAUAUAUAUAUAUAUAUAUAGAUAUAUAUAUCUUGCUAUUAUAGAAGAGCUCCAAAGUUUUCGUGUUUAAGAGAAUAUGUGUUGCCACUUUAGAAGAUUUAUAUACAAAAAGGAUUGAUGUUUCUCCUUUGACUAUUUUUGGUUCCCAAAAAUUCGAGGGAAAGAAAAUAAAAAAAAAAAAAGUAGUAAAAAAGAAAAAUAAAGGAAAAUAAAAAAUAGUUUUAAAGUUAAUAAAUUAUUUUUAUAUGUUUUUUCAAACUUAUUUUACUUUUUUUUUCAUUAUAUAAAGAUUAAAUAAUUUUAAAAAUGUAUAAAUUUCUAACUAAUUUUAAUUAUAUUUAAUUUUUGUUUUUAUAUUUUUUAGACGGGAUCCGACACAUGAAAAAAUCCUUUUUUUUAGCAUCUUUUUUUCUUUUCUUAUUACUUUCCAAUAACCAAAUAUAACCUUUAGAUUUAGCCUUUAGACUUGGAGUAUGGAACGAUACUGACUAUUGAAAGAAGGUUUUGUAUAUGGCCAUGAUACCAUAGAAAAAAUGGGCGAGAGAGAAAAAACCUUUAUUAAAUGAUAAAUUAUUUUUUUCAAUGGAAAUCAAAUAUAAUUAUUUUUAUAAUAAUUACUUUAUUUUUAAAAAAUAAUAAUAAAACAAAUAAUUUGUUGUUGCAUUAAGUAUUCUUGCAUUUGGAGAAGCAUGUUACUACUUACUACAUAAAUAGAUAUUCAUGGAGUGCAUUCUCUAAAAAGCUCCAGUCUCAUGAAAAUGGAAAGAUGGACCGGCCGGUGAACCGGUUCGAGUUUGGAUUUAUGGGCUGCCUCAGCCUUACACGCAUGAUAGACGGUUGCAGGUGAAGAACUAAUUAAUUUAAAGCCUUCUUCUAUCCUCUCCUAUUCCUCUAUCACUCCAAAUGUUCCACAUGAUAAUGACAAUUCUUUUGUUAAAUGGUAAAAAAAAAAUUUAACAAUUAAUUUUUAAAAAUUUUAAAUUCUAAAUCCAAUUGAAAUUUGACUCUAAUUUGAUGAUAGUUAAAUUACCAUUUUGGGAGAUUCCACUCACUAGUAUUCUCAUUUAUAAAAUCAUGAACUUUGGCAUCCUAAUUAAUGCAAUUUAAACUUUUUUUUUUGUUUACAAAUGAAAUAAGAGGCAACAUAAAAACCCAAAAGUUAAUUUUCCUACCAUCUCUAUGCACCAUUUUAGCUUUACUCCAAUAUAUUUUCUAUGAUUAAUUAUUUUCAUUCAAACAAUAAUAUCAAAAUAUUUUAAAAUUAGACAUAUCAUAAUCAAAUAUCAUUAUAUUAUUAUCGAAUAAUAUUUAAUGUAAUUUAAUAAUCAACUUAUACUUAUAAAAUUUAUUUUUUUUAUUAAUGCAUAUAAUAUUAUUAUCAAAUAUCAUAAAUUAUAUAUAUAUAUAUAUUUCUUUAACAAAACAACUUUAAAAUAUCUAUUAUACUUCUAAUUUCAUUUCUAAGAGGUUUUUUUUUUUUUUUUUUUUUUUUUUUUUUACAUUUUUAUAAGUUUUGAUCAAUUGUAGGCUAACCGAUAUUUUUUAUCAAAAUAUCCACCAAUAUAUCUCCGAUAUAUUAGAUAUAUCCGUAAAAUCGAAAUACCAAUAUAUCCAUGAUUAUCGAUAUUUUUAUCCUUGAGGGAUAACAACUAAUCUAGUUUUUGCACUUAUUGAUAUUCCUCAACAUUUAGAUUGAUUUGACCAAAAUCUUUUUAAUUUUAUUUUCUUUGAUGGUUAUAUGAUGAAUUGGAAUAGUCAUAUAACAUUAACAUAUUUAAGAAAAAAUGAUAAAAAAGAUCGCAUUUUUCAAAUAUUGGUUUCAACUUUGAAUAUUUUUAUUGGUAAAUGAAAAUUGUGAAAAACCUACUAAUGCUAAUACUUUUCACCACAUAAUUAAAUAUAAUAAACUAGAAUAGUGAUUCAUUGAUGUCUCAUAAAGCUACAUGCCUUCUUUGACUUGUUAGUUGAUUUUUGUAGGCGGAGUCCAUUUCCAUUUGAAUUGUUGAAACUUCCAAGUCCUUGUGGGUCUAGUGGUCUCUCUAAUAAUUCCCACCAUUAAUUUUUUGUGAUGAAGUGCAGUCAUUGAUAGCUACUAUAUCAAUUUGCUAUUAAAAGUCAAGUCAUUGAUAACUACUAUUCAAUCUUUUUCAAUAUGGAAAUUGGAAUCGCUAGCACUACUCUUCUCAUUGUUCAUUUUUAAAUUUUAGGUAAUGUGAGAAUGUGUGAACAUAAAUGUCUUCUAAUCAACCAAUUUUUUUGAAAAAAACAUGUACAAAAUUGUAAAACUUGCAAAAUCAAACUUUCUUGUUGAAUAACCAUAGCUUGAUGGUUUUGAAGAAUCAAAGGAUGAAUCCUAAAAGGGUAUUUGAUAAAAAAUAAAAUUUAAAAAAUUAAAAGACAACUACUCCCUUAAGUGUAAUAAGUGUUGUAGACCCCCGGAAGCAGGGACUUUUUUUGAAUUUUUAUUUUUAUUUUCCCGGGGCCCGACAUGAUGGUCAGGAGCUGAUUUUUGGGGCAGAGAGGGGACUCAAGUGGGCGGCUCUCGGGGGGGCAGAUUGGACGGGAUACGGCUGGCUUGCUGAGGAAGACAGGAACAGAAGAAAAACAGAGGAGAAAAGAAGAAAAAGAAAGAGAAAGGAGAGGGGGAUUUCAGACAAGAGGGAGGGAGAAAAAGAAAAGAAAAAGCUGACUGGAGAGGAUUUUGUGGACAGAGGAACCUUCGAGGUAUGAACACUAUCGAUNNNNNNNNNNNNNNNNNNNNNNNNNNNNNNNNNNNNNNNNNNNNNNNNNNNNNNNNNNNNNNNNNNNNNNNNNNNNNNNNNNNNNNNNNNNNNNNNNNNNNNNNNNNNNNNNNNNNNNNNNNNNNNNNNNNNNNNNNNNNNNNNNNNNNNNNNNNNNNNNNNNNNNNNNNNNNNNNNNNNNNNNNNNNNNNNNNNNNNNNNNNNNNNNNNNNNNNNNNNNNNNNNNNNNNNNNNNNNNNNNNNNNNNNNNNNNNNNNNNNNNNNNNNNNNNNNNNNNNNNNNNNNNNNNNNNNNNNNNNNNNNNNNNNNNNNNNNNNNNNNNNNNNNNNNNNNNNNNNNNNNNNNNNNNNNNNNNNNNNNNNNNNNNNNNNNNNNNNNNNNNNNNNNNNNNNNNNNNNNNNNNNNNNNNNNNNNNNNNNNNNNNNNNNNNNNNNNNNNNNNNNNNNNNNNNNNNNNNNNNNNNNNNNNNNNNNNNNNNNNNNNNNNNNNNNNNNNNNNNNNNNNNNNNNNNNNNNNNNNNNNNNNNNNNNNNNNNNNNNNNNNNNNNNNNNNNNNNNNNNNNNNNNNNNNNNNNNNNNNNNNNNNNNNNNNNNNNNNNNNNNNNNNNNNNNNNNNNNNNNNNNNNNNNNNNNNNNNNNNNNNNNNNNNNNNNNNNNNNNNNNNNNNNNNNNNNNNNNNNNNNNNNNNNNNNNNNNNNNNNNNNNNNNNNNNNNNNNNNNNNNNNNNNNNNNNNNNNNNNNNNNNNNNNNNNNNNNNNNNNNNNNNNNNNNNNNNNNNNNNNNNNNNNNNNNNNNNNNNNNNNNNNNNNNNNNNNNNNNNNNNNNNNNNNNNNNNNNNNNNNNNNNNNNNNNNNNNNNNNNNNNNNNNNNNNNNNNNNNNNNNNNNNNNNNNNNNNNNNNNNNNNNNNNNNNNNNNNNNNNNNNNNNNNNNNNNNNNNNNNNNNNNNNNNNNNNNNNNNNNNNNNNNNNNNNNNNNNNNNNNNNNNNNNNNNNNNNNNNNNNNNNNNNNNNNNNNNNNNNNNNNNNNNNNNNNNNNNNNNNNNNNNNNNNNNNNNNNNNNNNNNNNNNNNNNNNNNNNNNNNNNNNNNNNNNNNNNNNNNNNNNNNNNNNNNNNNNNNNNNNNNNNNNNNNNNNNNNNNNNNNNNNNNNNNNNNNNNNNNNNNNNNNNNNNNNNNNNNNNNNNNNNNNNNNNNNNNNNNNNNNNNNNNNNNNNNNNNNNNNNNNNNNNNNNNNNNNNNNNNNNNNNNNNNNNNNNNNNNNNNNNNNNNNNNNNNNNNNNNNNNNNNNNNNNNNNNNNNNNNNNNNNNNNNNNNNNNNNNNNNNNNNNNNNNNNNNNNNNNNNNNNNNNNNNNNNNNNNNNNNNNNNNNNNNNNNNNNNNNNNNNNNNNNNNNNNNNNNNNNNNNNNNNNNNNNNNNNNNNNNNNNNNNNNNNNNNNNNNNNNNNNNNNNNNNNNNNNNNNNNNNNNNNNNNNNNNNNNNNNNNNNNNNNNNNNNNNNNNNNNNNNNNNNNNNNNNNNNNNNNNNNNNNNNNNNNNNNNNNNNNNNNNNNNNNNNNNNNNNNNNNNNNNNNNNNNNNNNNNNNNNNNNNNNNNNNNNNNNNNNNNNNNNNNNNNNNNGGCCCGCCAUACGUGCUUUCCUCAUGAUUGAUUGAUUUGAUUGAUUGAUUGACUUGGCUAUCAUACAUGAUUUAUUUAUCCUGCUCUCCGACAUGCAUGCUAUUAUUUCUUACUUGUGCACUAACCUCUCUCUUGAUAGCGCAUGGUGGCUCGUCGCCCAAGUACGCACCUACUUUCACUCUGGUAAUUGCCCAAGCAUAUUUUGAUUCUCACGUGUGCAUGAUUUAUUCUGGGUACUCAUUGAUCUACUCGUCCAUUGCCAUGAUUGCUUCAUUUUAUUAGUAGAGACCCGACUUUAGGGACUUAGAAGGGUGCUACGGUCCUUACCGUACCUUCCCGAUAAGUAACCUGACCCCCGAACCCGACCCGGUUUUUCGCAGACCGCCUUUUUCAAAAUAAGGAGUCACACUUAGGGUUUUUCUUUCUUAUUUUGUUUACCCUUUAAAAAUAAAACAAAAAUAAGUGACGACUCCAAGUCAUUUUUUUUUUCUUAAUCAAAUAAAAUCAUUUUUCUAACAAAAAUCGAGUUCGUCAUCGAGUGGGAAACACAUGAGCCGAAAUGCGGGGUCCACAAAAUGGCGACUCCGCUGGGGAUUUUUAGAGGGUCAAACUUGAACUUAGAAUGAAGCAAGCGUGGCAUUCGAUUGGACGAUCAGUGGAUGCCCAUUUCUUGAUGGCACAUUGAGGAUAUUUGAUGUAUGCUCGGAUUUUAUAUCUGUUCGAGACUUUUGACAUGUUGAUUAUGGUGAUUGAUUUUAUCCUAAUUGAGGCUUUCGAGGCCAUGUUUUUUCGUGCCUCACUGAUUAUAUCUGUUUGCUACAUCGACAUUGUUGAUUUAUUGAUGAUUGAUCUUAUUGCAUUGAUUAGCACAUUGAUUCUGAUUUUGCCAUGUUUGUUCUGAUCACUUCACAUGCAUACACUCACCACUGUAUAUCACUCGACUUGACAUGUUGAUUCUCUGACUUGUAAUACUGUUUUGACCGUCUUUGAGCAUGAUGUUUGUAUCACUAUUCGUCCCGAUCGUCGUAUUCUCGCUUAUCUUGCGUGUAUAUGAGUGAUAUAUCCUGCUCUGCCUGACUGUAUGAUGCAUGACUGCCCUACCUCUGCAUGAUUGCAUGUCGUCUGUCUAUGUGGGUCUCACUUCUAUCCCCCUACCUCCAAAUCUCUUGGUCUCGGUCAUUCUUUUCAUCUCGGUUCUCACUAUUGCAAGUGUGAGACCUUCUGUGUGCUUGCUCUCUGACCGAGCCAGAGAUUAGGAGUAGGGUCUAGCGACGGGCUAUAUCGAUGCACGGGAGCAUUCUGGAGGAGAGCGACACUUUGAUGUCGAUUGGAGUCCGAUCAUUGAAGACCUGUAUAGCCCCGAGCUAGGUUUCAUGGAUAGUCGUGCGACCAGUGUGUUUCCUCUUCUGCUCUAGAUUCUUAGGGUUUUCGGAUGUACCCACACCUUUCACUGUGCACUUUAGUUGACCAUUGAGCGUCAAGAGUUUGAGAGGUUUCACCAUAGGAAACCCCCUGGGAUGUCGAGGUAGUGCAUGUGUGGAGGUGAUGACCACCUUGCAUGGAAGCACCCCGUCUCUUUUUGAGGCGUGCAGAAGGUUGCGUACCGUCGGAGGGUACGAUCGCUUCUGCUAGGGAUCUUUUAAAGUCCACCCAUAUCCAUUUAGAGUCACCUUCACCAUGCAGGUUGAGCCAUAGAUCCUUUCAAUCAGGACUCCCUCCCUACACGUGGGUGCAUCCGUGGGCCUUCAGAGACGGUUCAGUAGCAACAGGUUUGGUUACCUUCGCAGUAGUCUCUUAUAUAUCUGCUCAGGGUUGGAUAUCAGUUUGUUCGCUUCCAGGCUACCUUUUGACACAUUUGAUAGACAUUCUUUGUGAAGUUUCCCUUACCCCGCACCUUAUCUAGUAUUUUCACUAUUGUAGGAGUACCGAUACGUUCAGUCUGGGUUUGACUUCUUGGAUCAGAGUUGGGGGUAGAUUGAUCAGGGUAUCGGACCAGUUAGGCCAGAGAUCAGAUCAGAGGGAUAUGGAUUCACAGAUAGUUACCGUCGAUCAGUUCGCUGAGGCCAUGGCUUCGAUUCAGGAGGCUAUAGCUAGCCUUGGCCGAAAGAUAGAUGGGCAGCAGGCCCAGCAGGUCCCGCCCCCGGUUGGUGCCCAGUAUGACCCUACAAUGCCACCACCUCCUCCACCCAGUCAGUCAGCGCCACAGGCCAUGCCGUUCACUCUGCAUAGUCAGACCGGGGUUGCCCCACCUCCCAUCACCGCGCCCACCCCGACCUCAGAGGACCCACAUGCUCGCAUGGAUAGACUUGAGCAGGGUUUGAGACAGUUGAGGGCUUCAGACAGAGCCACUACUUGGGAGGGUUUUGAUGGAGUACCGGUAGCUAGCUUGCCGGCUAAGUUCAGGAUGCCUGACAUUGAGAGGUAUACCGGCAUUGGUUGUCCACGCCUCCAUCUCCGAUUAUACAACACCGUGAUGAGGGCUCAUGGACUGGACGAGCCUUAGAUGAUUACUCUUUUCCCACUAUCUUUGAGUGGGGCGGCCCAGCGUUGGUUUGCAUCUUUGGAGGCCUCGAGGCGCCGCACAUGGGACGACUUGGCCCAAGAGUUCCUACGACAGUUUUCGUUUAACACUGUCGUAGAUGUAUCGAGGAGGGAGCUCGAGGCUUUGAGACAGAGGGCGGAGGAGUCUGUUUCUUCUUUCAUUUCUCGCUGGCGCGGGAAGAUAGCUGAGAUUAUCGAUAGACCAUCAGAGAGGGACCAGAUUCAGAUGGUUUUGAGGAGCCUGCAGCCGCGGAUCGCCAGACAUGUGGUAGGGGCCCCGUUCACAGAUUUUGGGUCUCUGGUUAUGGCUCUGUACGAUGUCGAGGACGGCAUCUCGAGAGGCUUAUGGGCAGAUUCUUCCCCUAGUGAUAUUAAGGGGAAGAAGCCCUUCGUAGGAUCGAGGCCAGCAGAUGUGAGCGUUAUCGGUUCUUCCAGUCAGAGGCCUCUCAGGCGCCAUCAGUCGAUCCCACAGUUUCCCGAGCCUCAUUCAUCCUAUGCAUCUCAUCAGUACAGACCACGGGCACCUCGUCCAGCUUAUGAUCAGACAUAUACUCCGCAGACUCUGGCUUUGCCUUAUUAUGCCUCCCAGGGCAUUGAGAGACCCUCAGUUUCCUACACGGCUACAGGACAGCCAUGCUAUGCUGCUCAGUUCACUACGAGACCCGCAGCGUCUUAUCCCCGACCCAGAGCUCAGCAGACUUCUGCUCCCUUUGCUUUGAGGGCGCAGAGGCAGUUCUCACAGAUAGGCAUGCCGUUGAGCCAGGCUCUUCGGAAGCUUACAGAGGCUGGGUUAUUGACUACUCUCACCCCUCGGUCGCCGCCUCAGCCGAUUCCACCUCAGUUCAGGAUGGAUCUACACUGUGCAUACCAUUAGGGGCUUGGACAUGAGACCGAUCGAUGCACCGCUUUGAGGCAUGCCGUUCAGGAUUUGAUUGACCAGGGUUUGGUACACUUGGGUCAGCCGAGUGUGACCACGAACCCGUUGCCUGCUCACACCACACAUGCAGUCCCUCCACCAGCCGAUGACAUUCAUUUCUUAGAGUUUGAUGAGAUCGAUGAUCACAUCCACAUGCUGAGUGAUGUUGAUUCAGACCCAGAGCCCAUCAUGCCAGAUGUGAUUUAUGAGACGAGUGGGGUGACUCUGGGUCCUCGGAUGCCUGCUCCAUUCCGAUUAGUUCCCGAGGCGGCGUCCGUGCAGGCUGCCACAGUUGAGCCAUUGAUUUUGCCGCAUUACAGUGUCCAGACGCCUUUCAUCUUGAUCCCGGAUGUUGAGGGGGUUCAGGCUCCGUAUGUUGAUGAUUCUCAGACUCUGGACAUUCAGUACGUUCUCCGAGGAGGUAGAGUGAUGAGAUAGCCACCUCCAGCUGCUGCCGCUAGACCCUUAGGGGGUGCGUCAUCCCAGGAGGAGGUUAGAGUAGAGGAUGACGAGAUUUUGAGGCAGUUGCAGAGCACUCAGGCUCGUAUUUCUAUCUGGAGCCUUUUAGCGUCCUCCAAUACUCACCGGGAUGCACUGACUCGAGCUCUGAGCCAGAUUAGAGUUGAUACCACGACGACUCCUGAGGGACUCAUUCAUAUGAUGACGGCUGGCAGAGCCACUUGUAUCAUCUUCUCCGAUGAUGACUUGCCACCAGAGGGUUCUGGCCACGCGCGUCCUCUCUAUAUAUCUGUUGGUUGUUCAGGUCGCCGAGUUCCAUCUGUCCUUCUGGACAAUGGCUCGGUCCUGAACGUAUGUCCUCUGGCCACCGCCAUCGCUCUUGGGUACGCACCAUCCGACUUCGGUCCAUCCACUCAGACCGUUCGAGCUUAUGACAUCACCCGUAGAGAGGUCAUGGGUACAUUGGAGAUUGAGCUCCUGAUAGGUCCGACCACAUUUAUCACUAUCUUUCAGGUUUUGAGGAUUCCUACAUCCUUUAACCUGCUUUUGGGCCGACCGUGGAUUCAUCGAGCUGGAGCCGUUCCUUCUUCACUUCAUCAGAAAGUGAAGUUCAUCCAUGAGGGCCAGGUAGUCGUCGUACAGUCGGCAGGGGACAUGUUCAUUUCCGCUGAGCCCGUGCUCCAGAUCAGCCACAGUGACGAUGAUUUACUACUGACCGGGUUCACUUUUGAUGAGGUACAGACUCUUGAGCUGGGAGACUUUUGCCGGGACUUCAUCGCUAUGUCCUUUGACCAGCAUGGGAGCACAGUGGUGCUUGAUAUCAUGAGAGGCAUGUCCUAUCUACCCGGCAUGGGGUUGGGUCGACGUCAGCAUGGACCGAGCGAGUUCAUCACCAUUCCUGAUCAUGACGUACCAUUUGGGCUUGGGUUCAUCCCCACCGAGGCUGACUAUCGAUACAUGGCGCGUUUGCGCAAGGAGAGAGCGAGGGCUCGGCUGACCCACACGCCUUUCGACUAUCCUCUUCGCCCAUACACCAGGAGCUUAUCUGAUUACUUUGUGAGGGCAUCGGAGUCACAUGCACCAUCUGAUGGGAUCAUCGGAGGACUCAGCACCACCCAGGAGGCCGAGCUUCAACGCCUUGUCCAACAGUUACAGUUGAGUGACGGAGCCCUUGGCCCUUCGGCUUCUGUGUUGAUUGCUCCUCCUUCCCCAGAUCGCACGAGCCUUAUGACGCUUUGCUUCCCGGAUGAGAUUGAUGAUCACGGGACUUUUGCCGAGAUUGGAGACGUAGUGGAUAGAGCCGUGCCGCGUGACGAGUACGUUGAUGAGAUGCUCGCGAUGAGUUUGAGCCAGACCGAGGAGAUGGCCCCGCCGGAGCUCGCUUCACCUUUUGAUCUCUUUGGGGUGUCCGUCCUCGAGAUCACUGAGGAUAUCCAGGUUGCCCCCACUCCAGAGGCCGUCGAGGAUGUUAUAGUUGUUGUUGAUUUGUUUGAUGGCCCUGUUGGCCUAGUUGAGGGAGCGUCCGACCUUGUGGACCCACCUCUCACCUUUGAUGUUUUAUCGGGAUUUGUCUCCCGUCAUGACUAUGUUUCUGACUUUUCAUCUAUGGAUUUGAGCACCUUUGAGUAUUUGCCUGUCUCUCAUGUUAUUGAUUUAUCUGCACCAUCUUCACCCACAUCACAGAUUUUUGACAUUGAUGAUGAGAUUGCGCAGCACGACUCAGACGAUGAUUCGUCUUCUGCUUCCGAUUCAGACCCCGUUGAUCAGAGAGUUUCACCUGCUGUAGGGGACACCGAGAUUGUUGACUUUGGCACAACAGAUCAGCCUAGGGAGUUGAGGAUCGGAUCAGAUUUGUCUACAAAUGAGAGAGAUAGCCUCAUCCAGCUACUCAGAUCCUACUUGGACGUUUUCGCAUGGUCCUAUGAGGACAUGCCAGGCCUUGAUCCAUCUAUCGUCCAGCAUCGUUUGCAACUUCUGCCCCGGGCCCGACCGGUUAAGCAGAAGUUGAGACGAUUGCACCCUCGUUGGAGCUUGCAGGUGAAAGAGGAGAUCCAGAAGCAGCUCAGUGUAGGAUUCUUAUCAGUGGUUGAGUACCCGGAGUGGCUGGCCAAUGUCGUCCCUGUUCCCAAGAAGGACGGCAAGGUGAGAGUCUGUGUUGAUUUCCGAGAUCUCAACAAGGCCAGUCCUAAGGAUGAUUUUCCUCUUCCACACAUCGACAUGCUAGUUGACAGUACGGCAGGUCAUUCGAUGUUGUCCUUUAUGGACGGAUUUUCCGGGUACAGUCAGAUCUUGAUGGCUCCAGAGGACAUGGAGAAGACGUCCUUCAUUACCGAGUGGGGCACUUAUUGCUAUAGAGUCAUGCCAUUCGGAUUGAAGAACGCAGGAGCCACAUAUCAGAGAGCAGCGACCACACUCUUCCAUGACAUGAUGCAUCGGGAUGUCGAGGUUUACGUAGACGACAUGAUAGUGAAAUCCCGAUAUAGAUCAGAUCAUUUGGCAGCUCUUGAGAGGUUCUUUGAGAGGAUCAGACAGUUCAGAUUGAGACUGAAUCCCAAGAAGUGCACUUUCGGAGUGACUUUCGGGAAGCUCUUGGGAUACAUGGUCAGUGAGCGAGGCAUAAAGGUAGAUCCGGACAAGAUUAGAGCCAUUCUUGACAUGCCUGCGCCGAGGACAGAGAGAGAGGUCAGAGGCUUCCUGGGCAGACUUCAGUACAUCAGUAGAUUCAUAGCCAGAUUGACAAACAUCUGCGAGCCCAUAUUUCGACUCUUGAGGAAGAGUCAACCUACUGUUUGGGAUGACCAGUGCCAACGUGCCUUCGAGAGGAUCAGAGAGUACUUGUUGUCACCUCCUGUUUUGGCGCCUCCUACACCAGGCCGUCCUCUACUCUUAUACUUGUCUGUAUCAGACGUGGCCUUGGGUUGCAUGUUAGCUCAGCUCGAUGAUUCGAGCAAGGAUCGAGCCAUUUACUAUUUGAGUAAGAGGAUGUUAGACUACGAGACGAGGUAUGUCAUGAUUGAGCGUUAUUGUUUGGCAUUGGUUUGGGCCACUCACCGGUUGAGACAUUACAUGACCGAGUAUUCCGUGCAUUUGAUAUCUCGCUUGGAUCCUCUGAGAUAUUUGUUUGACAGACCCGCUCUGGUUGGUCGCCUUAUGAGAUGGCUGGUACUUCUUACUGAGUUUGACAUCCAUUAUGUCACUCAGAAGUCCAUCAGAGGGAGCAUUGUAGCAGAUCAUCUAGCCUCAUUACCAGUUUCUGAUGCCAGAGCUAUUGACGAUGAUUUUUCAGACGAGGAUGUCGCUGCUGUGACUAGUCUGUCAGGUUGGCGCAUGUACUUUGAUGGCGCGGCCAACCAUUCCGGAUAUGGGAUAGGCGUCUUGUUGAUAUCCCCUCACGGUGAUCACAUUCCCAGAUCAGUUCGUUUGGCAUUCUCGGAUCGGCACCCUGCCACGAACAACAUUGUUGAGUAUGAGGCUUGUAUCUUGGGAUUAGAGACGGCCCUUGAGCUUAGGAUUAGACAGAUGGAGGUGUUUGGUGACUCCAAUAUGGUAUUGAGACAGAUUCAGGGUGAGUGGAAGACUAGAGAUGUGAAGCUUAGGCCUUAUCAUGCAUAUUUGGAGCUACUGGUUGGGAGAUUUGAUGAUUUGAGAUAUACCCAUCUGCCUAGAGCGCAGAACCAGUUUGCUGAUGCUUUAGCUACUCUAGCUUCCAUGAUCGAUAUUCCCGUUGACGCCACUGUUCGAUCUUUGUUGAUCGAGUCGAGAUCUGCUCCUGCUUACUGUUGCCUGAUCGAUGAUGUAGAGCCAGAUGAUGGUUUUCCAUGGUAUCACGACAUAUAUCACUUUUUGAGACUCGGCAUAUAUCCUGAGGCCGCCACGGCCAAGGAUAAGAGAGCAUUGAGACAGUUGGCCACUCGAUUCGUGAUUUGUGGCGAGACACUGUACAGGCGAUCACCUGACGGGAUGCUAUUAUUGUGUUUGGACCGCGCCUCUGCCGAUCGGGUGAUGAGAGAGGUUCAUGCGGGAGUCUGCGAACCACAUAUGGGAGGACAUAUGUUGGCUCGUAAGAUCAUGAGGACAGGAUACUUCUGGUUGACCAUGGAGACAGAUUGCUGCCAGUUUGUUCAGAGGUGUCCCGAGUGUCAGAUACACGGAGAUCUCAUUCACGUGCCGCCCUCCGAGCUGCACGCACUAACUUCACCAUGGCCAUUUUCCGUCUGGGGUAUUGAUAUCAUCGGGAAGAUUUCACCGAAAUCUUCCAGUGGUCAUGAGUUCAUCCUGGUCGCCAUCGAUUACUUCACCAAGUGGGUGGAGGUCGCUUCGUAUGCGAGAUUGACAUCGUCUGGAGUUGCUAGUUUCAUCAGAUCACACAUUAUCUGUCGCUAUGGAGUCCCUCAUGAGUUGAUUUCAGACAGAGGAGUACAUUUCAGAGCAGAGGUUGACACCUUAGUACAGAGAUACAGCAUCCGGCAUCAUAGAUCGUCUACGUACAGGCCGCAGACGAAUGGGGCAGUAGAGGCCGCGAAUAAGAAUAUCAAGAGGAUAUUACGGAGGAUGGUCGAGACUUCUCGGGAUUGGUUAGAGAAGCUCCCAUUUGCAUUGUGGGCUUAUCGAACUUCUUUUCGCACCUCUAUAGGCGCCACACCCUACUCCUUGGUAUAUGGCAUAGAGGCGAUGCUACCCGUUGAGAUUGAGAUGGGUUCGUUGAGAGUAGCACUAGAGCAGCAGAUUCCCGAGGCAGAUUGGGCUCAGGCUCGAUUUGAUCAGCUCAAUCUCCUAGAUGAGAGGAGAUUGAGAGCAGCAGACCAUGUUCGUGCGUAUCAGAGGAAGAUGGCCCGCGCUUUCAAAAAGCGGGUCAAGCCCAGACCAUUACAGAUAGGUGACUUAGUUCUGAAAGUCAUCAGGGGAUUGAUCAGAGAUCCUAGAGGGAAGUUCAGACCCAACUGGAGCGGACCUUAUUUCAUCAGGGAGUUGACCCCAGAGGACGCUGCAUGGUUGAUGGAUUUAGAUGGAAACCGAUUCUCAGAGCCAACCAAUGUGGAUCAGCUAAAGAGGUACUAUGUUUGAGACCAUGGUCGCAGGAUGGGUGGCCAUCAUUUCGGUUAGCCAUUUACCUUGUUACUCCCUUUUGAUACAUAGUCCAUUGCUAGCCCAUUGAGCCUCGCAUGCGCAUUAUAGCCUUUCUUUUUUAUCGCCUUGCUCACAUUUUCACACCGGGAUAGGGGCCCUUUAAUGUAUGCAUGCAUUGUUUGGUAGUUUCAUGAGCUUUGGACCUAGAGGCAUGUUUUUUCUCAUUGUCUUUUUCUAUCACUACACCUUUGCAUUUUCAUCUCAUCUUAUUGGUUAUGUUAUUCAUCUCUUCUUCCUUAUCCUAUCUACUAUCUGUUUGUUUCAUAUUUCGCUUCACCCUGGGGGGUGAUCCUCCUCAGUUCAUCACAUGGAGGGUAGUCACAUCAUUUCUGCCAUCUAUCUCGCGGACACUGAUUUAGAGAUCCUUAGUUUGAGAAGGUCAUCUUGUCAAAGAGAGUUUGUUUGUUACCUUAGCACUUGGGGGUGUGUCCAUUUGUUAUCGAUAUCAUCUUUGGGGUUCAUUUGUUCAUGUUCAGGGUACGCGUAUUUGUAUAUAUGUAAAAAAAAAGAGAAAAAGAAAAUUAUUAUUAUUAUUAUUAGCACAUGUGUGUAUGUGCAUAGUGUUCUCGAUCAUUGGGUAUGUAUAUUGAUGUUUGGGGGUCAUUUUUAUCGAGUAUGUUCGUUAUUGGGAGUUCGUAUGUGAACUCUCUGAGAUCCCACGCUAUUUGUAUUGCUUCGUCAUAUCUAUUUGUGAGAGAGACGAGUGACCUUCUCCUAAGGACUCCGAGUCAUUGCCUUUUCCAUCAUUACCUUCAUUAUUGAUGUGACUUCACUUCAUGUUUGAUCUGAGUCGUUCACCACCUUUCUUCACAUAUUCAUUGUUUCGCCGUCGUUUUUAUCAUUGCUUGUGAUUCAUCUCAUUCCCUUCGCGUCUUAUUCCCUCCUUAUAGCGACCCAUCUCGGUUUCGAUGCUCACUUCGCAUCAUCAUUACACAUGUCACUAUCAGUUCAUUUUGCUCCAUUUGUCUCCUUAUCGAUAUCAUAUUCACGUUAGGCAUCCUCAGGUCCAUGGCUCAUGGGGUUCACUAUACAUGUUGCAUUUCAUAUAUGAGGGCAUGAGUUUUGAUCAUUGGGUAUUUGAGCCUAGUUUCCUUUCGUUUCUAUCACCCUAUCACCUUGGCCUACGUUACGUCCCGUGUCUUAAGACCACCCUGAGGUCAUGGGAUCAGAUGUCGUCUUCGGCAGCCCCUACUUGGACAGGUGAUUGAGAUCUGGUUGAUAUUUAGAUAUUGUCAUGCUUCUUCUUCUGGGAGUCGCCCCUUUGAUGUGUAGGACUGAUUCAGUUGUGUUCGGAUUACCAGGAUCGUGAGUUUGACGAUGAUUGACUUGGUGUCACCUGUUUUUUUGACCUAUCAUACCUCUGGUACCACACUGGGGCAUAUCCCAUUUCAUUUGGAGGUUCAUGGAUCCUCACGGAGUUGCGCGAUCAUCACUUACUGGAUGCUCAUCGAGACGUGGACAUGAUCGUUACCUUACGAAGCCUCUGAGACCCAUCCAGCCAUAUGAUUUCUUGUCGCUUGAUUUCUGGCCUAUCGUGCGCCCGAUGCCAUACUGGGGCAUAUUUUCGUUUCGGAUGAGAUAUACGGAUCUUCACGGAGGUCACGUGCUCGACGAUAGAUGAUUUCAUGUCAUUUGUUCUGCAGACCUAUCGUGCGCCCGAUGCCAUACUGGGGCAUAUUUCCGUUUCGGAUGAGAUUUACGGAUCUUCACGGAGGUCACGUGCUCGACGAUAGAUGAUUUCAUGUCAUUUGUUCUUCAGACCUAUCGUGCGCCCGAUGCCAUACUGGGGCAUAUUUCCGUUUCGGAUGAGAUAUACGGAUCUUCAUGGAGGUCACGUGCUCGACGAUAGAUGAUUUCAUGUCAUUUGUUCUGCAGACCUAUCGUGCGCCCGAUGCCAUACUGGGGCAUAUUUCCGUUUCGGAUGAGAUAUACGGAUCUUCACGGAGGUCACGUGCUCGACGAUAGAUGAUUUCAUGUCAUUUGUUCUGCAGACCUAUCGUGCGCCCGAUGCCAUACUGGGGCAUAUUUCCGUUUCGGAUAAGAUUUACGGAUCUUCACGGAGGUCACGUGCUCGACGAUAGAUGAUUUCAUGUCAUUUGUUCUUCAGACCUAUCGUGCGCCCGAUGCCAUACUGGGGCAUAUUUCCGUUUCGGAUGAGAUUUACGGAUCUUCACGGAGGUCACGUGCUUGACGAUAGAUGAUUUCAUAUCGCUUUUCUUCUGACCCGUCCCACGUUCGAUGCCAUGCUAGGGGCAUAUUUCCGUUUCGAUUGAGAUUUACGGAUCUUCAUGGAGUUGCAUGCUCAUCCCCACUUACGAGAUACACACUGACAUGGUUGUUUCCUCCGUGGAGCCUCUCAGGAGUUACCCAGUUAGGCCUACACUUCGCGACGCCUCGAUGUCAUCAUGUUUUCCUUCCGGGAGACGCCCCUUUUGAUCUAUGGGUUUGAUUCAGUUGUACACGUGGAUGAUUUGGAUCGCGCAUUUGAUGACGGGUGAUCUGAGCUCAUCUGGUUCUUCUGACCUAUCACACAUCCGAUGUCAUACUGGGGCAUACCCCCAUCCUUGAGUCCACCAGGUAUUUUGCGAUUUUUCUCAUCACUUGAUCCACAUCUGGAUCUUUGCGGGUCGUCAUGCUGGGGCAUCCCCCCACUGUCAUUUACGUUUGGGGCAUCCCCCCACUGUUAUUUACGUUUGGGGCAUCUCCCCAUUGUUAUUUACGUUUGGGGCAUCCCCCCACUGUCAUUUACGUUUGGGGCAUCCCCCCAUUGUUAUUUACGUUUGGGGCAUCCCCCCACUGUCAUUUACGUUUGGGGCAUCCCCCCAUUGUCAUUUCGUUAGGGGCAUCCCCCCGCUGUCUUUACGUUUGGGGCAUCUCCCCACUGUUAUUUACGUUUGGGGCAUCCCCCCACUGUCAUUUACGUUUGGGGCAUCCCCCCAUUGUUAUUUACGUUUGGGGCAUCCCCCUAUUGUCAUUUCGUUAGGGGCAUCCCCCCGCUGUCUUUACGUUUGGGGCAUCUCCCUACUGUUAUUUACGUUUGGGGCAUCCCCCCACUGUCAUUUACGUUUGGGGCAUCCCCCGCUGUCAUUUUCGUUUGGGGCAUCCCCCCACUGUCAUUUUCGUUUGGGGCAUCCCCCCACUGUCAUUUACGUUUGGGGCAUCCCCCCAUUGUCAUUUCGUUAGGGGCAUCCCCCCGCUGUCUUUACGUUUGGGGCAUCUCCCCACUGUUAUUUACGUUUGGGGCAUCCCCCCACUGUCAUUUUCGUUAGGGGCAUCCCCCCGCUGUCUUUACGUUUGGGGCAUCUCCCCACUGUUAUUUACGUUUAGGGCAUCCCCCCACUGUCAUUUACGUUUGGGGCAUCCCCCCAUUGUCAUUUCGUUUGGGGCAUCCCCCCACUGUCAUUUUGUUUAGGGCAUCUCCCCAUUGUUAUUUAUGUUUAGGGCAUCCCCCUAUCUUCAGUUUGUUUAGGGCAUUCCCCUACCGUCAGUUCGCUUAGGGCAUCUCCCUUUGUUUCAGAUUUAUCACCACCGUAGGUCUUCACCUAUGGGCCUUAUAGUUUAGUGUUUAGAGUUAGCUUUUUGGUUUGACUUUCAGAGCUAUUAUUUUCUCAGUUUAUCAUUUAGAGUUAGUUUUUUUUUGUUUGGCUUCCAGAGCCAUUAUUCUUCUAGUUUAGUGUUUAGAGUUAGCUUUUUUAUUUGGCUUCCAGAGCUAUUAUUGUUUUUUUCCAGUUUGACGUUCAGAGUCACCAUCAUCACUUUUCAGUUUCGGCGUUCAGAGCCAUCACCGUGUUUUCAGCUCCGGCAUUCAGAGCCAUCAUCGAUUUUCAGAUCGACAUUCAGAGUCGCAUCCUCGGUUUCGGCGUUCGGAGUCGUUAUCACUCCUCGGUUUGACGUUCAGAGUCAUCAUCAUCACUUCUCAGUUUCGGCGUUCAGAGCCAUCAUCAGUUUUCAGAUCGACGUUCAGAGUCGCAUCCUCGGUUUGACGUUCAGAGUCAUCAUCAUCACCUUUCAGUUUCAGCGUUCAGAGCCAUCAUCGGUUUUCAAAUCGACGUUCAGAGUCAUCAUCAUCACUUCUCAGUUUCGACAUUCAGAGCCAUCAUCGAUUUUCAGAUCGACAUUCAGAGUCGCAUCCUCGGUUUCGGCGUUCGGAGUCGUUAUCACUUCUCGGUUUGACGUUCAGAGUCAUCAUCAUCACUUCUCAGUUUCGGUGUUCAGAGCCAUCAUCAGUUUUCAGAUCGACGUUCAGAGUCGCAUCCUCGGUUUGACGUUCAGAGUCAUCAUCAUCACUUCUCCGUUUCGGCAUUCAGAGCCAUCAUCGGUUUUCAGAUCGACAUUCAGAGUCGCAUCCUCGGUUUCGACAUUCAGAGUCGUUAUCACUUCUCAGUUUGACGUUCAAGAUCAUCGUCAUUACUUUUUAGUUUCGGCGUUCAGAGCCAUCAUCGGUUUUUAGAUCGACAUUCAGAGUCACAUCCUCAGUUUCGACGUUCCAAGCCAUCAUCACAUCUUCGUUGACGUUCAGAGCCAUCAUCACUAUUUUCAGUGUGGCGUUCAGAGCCAUCAUCGCUUCUCAGUUUAGGCUUCCAGAGCCAUUACUGUCAUCUUGUUUAGGCUUCCAGAGCCACUACUGUCAUCUUGUUUAGGCUUCCAAAACCACUACUAUCAUCUUGUUUAGGCUUCCAGAGCCAUCAUUGUCGUCUCGUUUAGGCUUCCAGAGCUGUUAUUUUCUAGUUUAGCUUUUAGAGUCAGUUUUUGGUUUGGCUUCUAGAGCUUUUACUUUCUUGGUUUAGUGAUUAGAGUUAGCUUUUCGGUUUGGCUUCCAGAGCUUUUAUUUUCUCAAUUUAGUGCCUAGAGUCGGUCUUGUCAUCCAGAGUCACAACUCCUGGCGUUCAUGUCCACUGGCAUUGCACAUCUUACCUUCAGGGUUUUGCAUUCGUCCUCGGCUUUCCUCACUUCGUUACCCGGUGCUUAUCCCAUAUUCAUCUCGUACUCCAGGGUGGUUCGACCGUUACUCAUCUUUGACAUUGAUCUCUUGAGUCACCUGUAGAGAUGUCUUAGAGGGAAUCUGGGUCCUCGAUGCAGCUUUCGAGGCGCCUUGAGCCUCUCUUAGAAUUUUAGAGCCUCGAGCGAGUUUGUGUUCUACUUGUACCUUUCGGGUUCGGGGGUCUUUCUUUGUUCUUCGAUAGAGUUCACUUCAUUUCACUCUCUUUUCACACUUCUUUUUCACUCUAGUGUUCACAUUCCUUACACUCGUGAACUCUAUCAAAGAGGGGCAUAUUUGUAGACCCCCGGAAGCAGGGACUUUUUUUGAAUUUUUAUUUUUAUUUUCCCGGGGCCCGACAUGAUGGUCAGGAGCUGAUUUUUGGGGCAGAGAGGGGACUCAAGUGGGCGGCUCUCGGGGGGGCAGAUUGGACGGGAUACGGCUGGCUUGCUGAGGAAGACAGGAACAGAAGAAAAACAGAGGAGAAAAGAAGAAAAAGAAAGAGAAAGGAGAGGGGGAUUUCAGACAAGAGGGAGGGAGAAAAAGAAAAGAAAAAGCUGACUGGAGAGGAUUUUGUGGACAGAGGAACCUUCGAGGUAUGAACACUAUCGAUCUCUCGUUUUCUUCCACAUUUUUUUUAGUCUUCAUGCAUUUUUGCUGCUGUUUCUAGCUCCCUUUCAUUGCUUGGACAUGGAUAUUAUUGGUUAUGUGCCCAUUUGUUAUUGUUCCUCUGAGAUUUCCAUGGCUGCGUUUAGGUUAUUCAGGUUGCUCUUUCUAUGGUUUUGGAUUCUACCUGUUCAUAAGUUCAGUGGUUUUCAUCAUGACAUGGGCAUUGGUUUAUAUCACCCGCCGAUUUGUGUUCCAUGUUGUGUUCUAUUUCUAAAGUUAUUUAUUUUUUUUCUUUCUUUCUUUGUUAUUAUUCUCCCCUGCUUCCAUUUCUUAUCUGGACGUGUGGCUUCUUUUGGGUGCAUUGUUUCAUCACGACAUUCCCACUCCAUUAACUUUCAUAUUCAACCUCAUGCUCUCUCUCUCUACCCUUUACUCACACCCACCGAACCCAUUCCUCCCCGCCACUUUCCAUCACCUGCCCCAAGCAUCACCCAUUCAAUCAUUUCAUUCCUUCUCCGUGUACAUGAAGCUCCAUGCAUGCGUGCAUGGGAGCCAUGCAAAGGUGGCACGCUCCUGUAAAGGCCACAGCUGCCGGAUCCGUCCUCGGACACAGACACCAGGCCGCAGCUGCAGGUUCCACUCCCGAACGCCGACGCUGGAACGCGAUGGCGAAGGCGGCAUGGGUGGCGAUAAUCGAGGCGGCGGCGUGGAAAUCGGGCAUCCUGGACAGAUUUCGAGGCCCUCCGGCGUUGCCUCUCUCACCUUCAUUUCCUCCGUCGCCGUCUUCGGAGGUGAGGAAGAAGAUGAAGUUGGCUUUUGGGCUUGCCCAUGGUGUUGGGUUUGGGCUUAAGUGGGAGCCCAGCCCAAGCAAGGUGAUGGAAGUCAAUGUCUUCUCAAUGAAUGGGUUGAGACAGGGAUGGGCUUGGGCUUGGGCUUUGCUAGUGGACUUGGAGGCUUGGAUUUGGGCUUGAGGCUUGCUGAUGGACUUGGACUGAAAUAGGGUUGAUAGGGUGAUAUUAUUAUUAUUAUUAUUAUUAUUAUUAUUAUUAUUAUUAUUAUUAUUGUUAACGAAUAUUAUUAUCAUUAUUAGCAAAAUAUUAUUAUUAUUAUUAUUAUUAUUAUUAUUAUUAUUAUUAACGGAUAUCAUCAUUAUUAAUUAUUAUUAUUUCUAUUAUUAUUAUUAUUAUUAUUAUUAUUAUUAUUAUCAUUGUCAUUAUUAUUAUUUGCUCAGUUUUUUCAAAUCUUUUCAUCGUUAUUAUUUAUUAUUAUUAUUAUUAUUAUUCAUUCAAAUUUUCAAAAUCUAUUUAUUAUUAUUAUUAUUAUUAUUAAUCCAAACUUCCAAAAAUCUCAUUAUUAUUAUUAUUAUUAUUCAUUCAAAUUUUCAAAAUCUAUUUAUUAUUAUUAUUAUCAUCAUUAAUCCAAACUUCCAAAAAUCUCAUUAUUAUUAUUAUUAUUAUUAACUCAAUUUUCAAAAAUCUAUUUAUUAUUAUUAUUAUUAAUCCAAACUUCCAAAAAUCUCAUUAUUGUUAUUAUUAUUAUUCAUUCAAAUUUUCAAAAUCUAUUUAUUAUUAUUAUUAUCAUCAUUAAUCCAAACUUCCAAAAAUCUCAUUAUUAUUAUUAUUAUUAACUCAAUUUUCAAAAAUCUAUUUAUUAUUAUUAUUAUCAUCAUUAAUCCAAACUUCCAAAAAUCUCAUUAUUAUUAUUAUUAUUAACUCAAUUUUCAAAAUCUAUUUGUUAUUAUUAUUAUCAUCAUUAAUCCAAACUUCCAAAAAUCUCAUUAUUAUUGUUAUUAUUACCUCAACUUUCAAAAUCUUAUUAUUAUUAUUAUUAUUAUCAUUAUCAUUAUCAUUGAUUAAAGCUUUCAAAACCAUAUUAUUAUUAAUUCAAACUUUCUAACUUCCAAUUUCCAAGCCCAAUUUAUAAAAAUUCAACCUUCAAAUAAUACUUCAAAAUUCCGAUCUUUAAAACUCAAUUUCGAUUUCCGAAAACACUCAUACUCACUUUAAUCUAUUUAAUUAUUGUUAUUUUGAUAAUUUAUUUCAAAACUCCAUUUUAAAUCGAAUUCUCUAAAACUUCUGAUUUUCCGAAUUAAAUUCCUAAUCCCAAAAAUUCUCAUGUUCCCACUAAAUUAUUUGAUCAUUGGUAUUUUAUUUAUUUCAAAACUCCGUUUUAAAUCAAAUUCUUUAAAAUUGUUGAUUUCCGAAUUAAACUCCUAAUCCCGAAAAUUCUCAUGUUCUCAUUAAUUUACUUAAUCAUUAGUAUUUUAUCUCCAUUUUAAAUCAAUUCUUUAAAACUUCAGAUUUACAAAUUAAAUCCCUAAUCUUGAAAAUUCUCAUAUUCACAUUAAUUUAAUCACUAAUAAUUUGUUUAUUUAUCUUAAAAUUCUAUUUUAAACAAUUCUUUAAACUUUCUGACUUCUAAAUCUAAUUUCCAAUUUCAAAAAUUUCAGCAUUCCCAUUCAUUUAUUUAAUCAUUAUUUUCGUCCUUAUUAUUAUUAGUUCAUUUAUUUAUUUCAAAAUUCCAUUUUUAAACAUUUUUUUUGAAUCCCAACUUUCGAACUUAAUUUCCGAUUUCUAAGAUUCUAAUUUCCUUCAAGUUUGACAUCCCAAAAUUCCAACUUUUAAAUUUAAUUCUCAAGACUCCAAUCUUCAAAUAAUUUUCGAGACUCCAAUUCCCAAAUAAAUUUCAAAAAUUCAAUUUUCUCUCUAACAGUUUUAAUUCUCUUCGGGUUUCAAAUAAUCUUCGAUUUCUCUUGGUUUUAUAUAAACAUGAAUGCUAUUUUCAUAAUUCCAGAAUAAUGGGAUUUGUGAUAUUAAUUCCUGCAAAAAUGAAUGGGCUUUGGUGGGGGCCCGCCAUACGUGCUUUUCUCAUGAUUGAUUGAUUUGAUUGAUUGAUUGAUUGAUUGACUUGGCUAUCAUACAUGAUUUAUUUAUCCUGCUCUCCGACAUGCAUGCUAUUAUUUCUUACUUGUGCACUAACCUCUCUCUUGAUAGCGCAUGGUGGCUCGUCGCCCAGGUACGCACCUACUUUCACUCUGGUAAUUGCCCAAGCAUAUUUUGAUUCUCACGUGUGCAUGAUUUAUUCUGGGUACUCAUUGAUCUACUCGUCCAUUGCCAUGAUUGCUUCAUUUUAUUAGUAGAGACCCGACUUUAGGGACUUAGAAGGUGCUACGGUCCUUACCGUACCUUCCCGAUAGUAACCUGACCCCCGAACCCGACCCGGUUUUCGCAGACCGCCUUUUCAAAUAAGGAGUCACACUNNNNNNNNNNNNNNNNNNNNNNNNNNNNNNNNNNNNNNNNNNNNNNNNNNNNNNNNNNNNNNNNNNNNNNNNNNNNNNNNNNNNNNNNNNNNNNNNNNNNGGCUGCGUUUAGGUUAUUCAGGUUGCUCUUUCUAUGGUUUUGGAUUCUACCUGUUCAUAAGUUCAGUGGUUUUCAUCAUGACAUGGGCAUUGGUUUAUAUCACCCGCCGAUUUGUGUUCCAUGUUGUGUUCUAUUUCUAAAGUUAUUUAUUUUUUUUCUUUCUUUCUUUGUUAUUAUUCUCCCCUGCUUCCAUUUCUUAUCUGGACGUGUGGCUUCUUUUGGGUGCAUUGUUUCAUCACGACAUUCCCACUCCAUUAACUUUCAUAUUCAACCUCAUGCUCUCUCUCUCUACCCUUUACUCACACCCACCGAACCCAUUCCUCCCCGCCACUUUCCAUCACCUGCCCCAAGCAUCACCCAUUCAAUCAUUUCAUUCCUUCUCCGUGUACAUGAAGCUCCAUGCAUGCGUGCAUGGGAGCCAUGCAAAGGUGGCACGCUCCUGUAAAGGCCACAGCUGCCGGCUCCGUCCUCGGACACAGACACUAGGCCGCAGCUACAGGUUCCACUCCCGAACGCCGACGCUGGAACGCGAUGGCGAAGGCGGCAUGGGUGGCGAUAAUCGAGGCGACGGCGUGGAAAUCGGGCAUCCUGGACAGAUUUCGAGGCCCUCCGGCGUUGCCUCUCUCACCUUCAUUUCCUCCGUCGCCGUCUUCGGAGGUGAGGAAGAAGAUGAAGUUGGCUUUUGGGCUUGCCCAUGGUGUUGGGUUUGGGCUUAAGUGGGAGCCCAGCCCAAGCAAGGUGAUGGAAGUCAAUGUCUUCUCAAUGAAUGGGUUGAGACAGGGAUGGGCUUGGGCUUGGGCUUUGCUAGUGGACUUGGAGGCUUGGAUUUGGGCUUGAGGCUUGCUGAUGGACUUGGACUGAAAUAGGGUUGAUAGGGUGAUAUUAUUAUUAUUAUUAUUAUUAUUAUUAUUAUUAUUGUUAACGAAUAUUAUUAUCAUUAUUAGCAAAAUAUUAUUAUUAUUAUUAUUAUUAUUAUUAACGGAUAUCAUCAUUAUUAAUUAUUAUUAUUUCUAUUAUUAUUAUUAAUUAUUAUUAUUAUUAUUAUUAUUAUUAUCAUUGUCAUUAUUAUUAUUUGCUCAGUUUUUUCAAAUCUUUUCAUCGUUAUUAUUUAUUAUUAUUAUUAUUAUUCAUUCAAAUUUUCAAAAUCUAUUUAUUAUUAUUAUUAUUAUUAUUAAUCCAAACUUCCAAAAAUCUCAUUAUUAUUAUUAUUAUUAUUCAUUCAAAUUUUCAAAAUCUAUUUAUUAUUAUUAUUAUCAUCAUUAAUCCAAACUUCCAAAAAUCUCAUUAUUAUUAUUAUUAUUAACUCAAUUUUCAAAAAUCUAUUUAUUAUUAUUAUUAUUAAUCCAAACUUCCAAAAAUCUCAUUAUUGUUAUUAUUAUUAUUCAUUCAAAUUUUCAAAAUCUAUUUAUUAUUAUUAUUAUCAUCAUUAAUCCAAACUUCCAAAAAUCUCAUUAUUAUUAUUAUUAUUAACUCAAUUUUCAAAAAUCUAUUUAUUAUUAUUAUUAUCAUCAUUAAUCCAAACUUCCAAAAAUCUCAUUAUUAUUAUUAUUAUUAACUCAAUUUUCAAAAUCUAUUUGUUAUUAUUAUUAUCAUCAUUAAUCCAAACUUCCAAAAAUCUCAUUAUUAUUGUUAUUAUUACCUCAACUUUCAAAAUCUUAUUAUUAUUAUUAUUAUUAUCAUUAUCAUUAUCAUUGAUUAAAGCUUUCAAAACCAUAUUAUUAUUAAUUCAAACUUUCUAACUUCCAAUUUCCAAGCCCAAUUUAUAAAAAUUCAACCUUCAAAUAAUACUUCAAAAUUCCGAUCUUUAAAACUCAAUUUCGAUUUCCGAAAACACUCAUACUCACUUUAAUCUAUUUAAUUAUUGUUAUUUUGAUUAUUUAUUUCAAAACUCCAUUUUAAAUCGAAUUCUCUAAAACUUCUGAUUUUCCGAAUUAAAUUCCUAAUCCCAAAAAUUCUCAUGUUCCCACUAAAUUAUUUGAUCAUUGGUAUUUUAUUUAUUUAUUUAUUUCAAAACUCCGUUUUAAAUCAAAUUCUUUAAAAUUGUUGAUUUCCGAAUUAAACUCCUAAUCCCGAAAAUUCUCAUGUUCUCAUUAAUUUACUUAAUCAUUAGUAUUUUAUCUCCAUUUUAAAUCAAUUCUUUAAAACUUCAGAUUUACAAAUUAAAUCCCUAAUCUUGAAAAUUCUCGUAUUCACAUUAAUUUAAUCAUUAAUAAUUUGUUUAUUUAUCUUAAAAUUCUAUUUUAAACAAUUCUUUAAACUUUCUGACUUCUAAAUCUAAUUUCCAAUUUCAAAAAUUCCAGCAUUCCCAUUCAUUUAUUUAAUCAUUAUUUUCGUCCUUAUUAUUAUUAGUUCAUUUAUUUAUUUCAAAAUUCCAUUUUUAAACAUUUUUUUUGAAUCCCAACUUUCGAACUUAAUUUCCGAUUUCUAAGAUUCUAAUUUCCUUCAAGUUUGACAUCCCAAAAUUCCAACUUUUAAAUUUAAUUCUCAAGACUCCAAUCUUCAAAUAAUUUUCGAGACUCCAAUUCCCAAAUAAAUUUCAAAAAUUCAAUUUUCUCUCUAACAGUUUUAAUUCUCUUCGGGUUUCAAAUAAUCUUCGAUUUCUCUUGGUUUUAUAUAAACAUGAAUGCUAUUUUCAUAAUUCCAGAAUAAUGGGAUUUGUGAUAUUAAUUCCUGCAAAAAUGAAUGGGCUUUGGUGGGGGCCCGCCAUACGUGCUUUCCUCAUGAUUGAUUGAUUUGAUUGAUUGAUUGACUUGGCUAUCAUACAUGAUUUAUUUAUCCUGCUCUCCGACAUGCAUGCUAUUAUUUCUUACUUGUGCACUAACCUCUCUCUUGAUAGCGCAUGGUGGCUCGUCGCCCAAGUACGCACCUACUUUCACUCUGGUAAUUGCCCAAGCAUAUUUUGAUUCUCACGUGUGCAUGAUUUAUUCUGGGUACUCAUUGAUCUACUCGUCCAUUGCCAUGAUUGCUUCAUUUUAUUAGUAGAGACCCGACUUUAGGGACUUAGAAGGGUGCUACGGUCCUUACCGUACCUUCCCGAUAAGUAACCUGACCCCCGAACCCGACCCGGUUUUUCGCAGACCGCCUUUUUCAAAAUAAGGAGUCACACUUAGGGUUUUUCUUUCUUAUUUUGUUUACCCUUUAAAAAUAAAACAAAAAUAAGUGGCGACUCCAAGUCAUUUUUUUUUUCUUAAUCAAAUAAAAUCAUUUUUCUAACAAAAAUCGAGUUCGUCAUCGAGUGGGAAACACAUGAGCCGAAAUGCGGGGUCCACAAGUGUAUAUGGUAGCACAAAUUUCCUACCACUUAUUAUUUUUUCCUUUCUUAAAAAAUCAUUUACUCUAUUAAAUAAACUAACCUUGGCUUAUCACUUAUAGCAAAAUAGGUUAAGUAGUUUUUAAAAUUUUAUAAUAUUAGAUUUACAUUUUUAUCCUUCAAAAUUUCAUUAAUGCUAGAUUCUUCUAUAUGCUUAACUAAUAAAUAAUUUUUAGCAUUUUUCUUUUCUUAUAAACAUAAAAAAAUAAAAAUAUUAUUAACUUAUUGGUAUAUUUUAAAUUUUUAAUUAGAUUUAAGCUUUUAUUUGUUUGGAUUACCAAUUAUACAUAUAAAUCCUUUAUUAUUAUUGUUAUUAUUGAAAGAAAGGGGUUGAAUAGGUAGUCCCUGAAUCCCCAAAUUAAAUUCUUUAUUGCCUACUUUUGGUUUAUUCCUUUACAUGAAUUCCUUGGUGAGAGUAAACAUUUCAUUAAUAGAUAAAUAAAAUUGAUUCCAUAUCAUAGGGUAUAAUGUGGAAAAAUCACCAGUCUCAUGUGUUCCUUAGUGGAUCCUUUGGAGCCCUUAUCAAAGUUUCAUGAUGAAACCAUUGACUUUUGUUUAACCCAAAUGUGCUUUCAAGACAAAUCUUGAAAGAUUUGAGAGAUGGAGGUUCAAGUCUUUUAUGAACGACCAUGUUCUCUUAGGGUUCAUGAAAAUUCACACCUUUUGAUAAAUAAAACUUAUCUAUUUAUACAUCUAAAACCCAGUAUUUAUUUAUUUAAUUAUAGAAAGUUUCUUAGUUUUAAAAACAUUACAAAAAUCAUUUUUAGAAUCAAAUAACAAUUUUAGAGAUAAACACAAUAUUAAAAUUUAACAAAAACAAAAUUUCGAAUUAAAAACACAAUAUAAACUAAAUUACAAAAUAUAAAGUAAUUUUUAUCCUAAUUUCUUGUUUCAAAACCAAAUGGAACACCUAGAAGGGGAGUGAAUGGGUGAUUUUAAAUUUUUUCAAUAAUGAUUUAUAAGUUAUACCCAAUUCUUUUACCUUGCGAGUUGUUAGGGACUAUCAAUUCUUUUCUUUUGGCAAUUCAAACAAUAUAUCAAAUAAUAAAAAGAUAUAAAUAAUGAGACAUAAAGAUUUUUAUGUGGAAAACCCCCCACACUAACCAUGGAGAUAAAAAGUCAUGGAGUCUAAGACCUAUUAAUCUAAAUUCACUUUACGAAAUCAAGUUACACAAAUUUAUUUGGCAACUUUACCUUAAAGACUUACUCUUCGGUACUGACAACUUGAUUCACGUCCACGACGUAGCAACCCUCGAUUACUCCAAUGGAUCACUUCAAGCUUACUAAAAGGAUGAAGGCCUUCAAACCAAGAUUCAAAAAUCAAUUCCUUGAAUGAGAGAUCAGGAAUGGUGUGCCACUUUAGGCUUUCUCUCUAAGAACUCUAAAAUGAUCUCCUCAAUGAAAACCUCUUAAACAAAAUGAGAUAUUUUCCCACAAUCUCUAAUCCUUAAGGGGUUAUAAUGAGAUAUUUAUAAGCAACUAAGUUGAAGAGUUUCAGUUUUGGAAGGUUUCUCAAUUGAAUUUGUGUGAAAAACUCGGCAGAAUCAACAUGACUGCUCGAGCCAACACACUUCCCACUUGAGCGUUUCGGGCACUUGAGCGGUAAGGCUCGCUUGAGUUGUCCCAAGCGCUUGAGCAUUCCAGGCUACUUGAGCAAUCUUGCUCUAUUUCAAAAGUUAAUUUUAAAUCAUUUUAAGUUCAAAACAAAAUUGAUUCCCUUUAUACCUCAAAGGAGCCUAACUUGCCACAAACCAAACCUUUUUAGAUAUACUUGUGACUUCCUGGUUGGACGAAUAACAACUCUUAAUCUUCAAUGGAAAGCAAGUCAUUAUCUAAAAAGAUUUAUAUGGUCAAAUAUAAAAAAACAAAAAAAUUUCCAACAUAACAACAAGACUCAAUGUCCUAACAAUCUCCCCCUUUGGCAAUUUUAUGACAAAAACAACGUUACAUAUACCCACCUGAACUCUCAUAAUGGAGUUUAAUAAUACACAUUAACGUUCAAUUAAAAAUAAACUAAGGGAAUACUUUGUAUCACUUUGUAGUAUUUGUCUUCCAACUUUGUAACCUACACACAUAUAGAAAACUAUGCCAAAGGUAAAGCAAUGUGCAAGAUAAGAUAUGAUCAAGAAAGCAAAAUAGGAUAAUUGGAAAUUUUGCUUGAUGCCUUGUGAAAGCAUGAAAAAAGAACAAAUUCAUAUAGUAAUACCAAGGGACAAAGCAAAACUCGAGAAGAAUAUAUAUGUAUGCAAAUCAACCAAACAUAAUUAAAGCUACAUAAGAUGCAAUAGAUCAAUAAUAAUGCCUAGGGGUCUAUCUCCAACCAGAAAAUAGGGAGUGAAGAUCAUAGGAAGAACCUUCUGUGACUUAGAAAGGUUCUAGAGAGAUAGUCAAUUCAAAUAUAAAUAUCUUGCUGGAAACAUCUAUGUUAUGUAUCUCUCUAAACCUUCUAAGUUAUGCUUUCAUCAGUUGAUUUGGUUUUUCUCCAAUGUCUUAGGUUUAAUUUCCUCUAAUAUUUCAAUUAGAAAGAAAUUGGUAGUCAAUUGACUUAGUGGGUGUUUGGUAAAACUUAAUACUUAUUAUUUAAUGAUUAACUUUAAGUUAAAUUGUUCUUAAGUUCUUAAUUUAAAAUUUAUUACUUAUUCUGUAUUUAAGUAUUAAGGUUAUUUGAAAAAAUCGACUUAAAAUUUAUUCUAAAUCAUCAAAUUGACACAUUUACCCUUAUUAAUUUUAAUUAUAUUUAUUUUCAUUAAUUUUAAACAAUAAAUUUAUUCAUAAAACAUCUAUAUUUUUGUAGAUACAUAAUAACCAUAAAAUAUUUACUAUAAAAAAUGAGUCAUGGAUGUAGAAUUAUAAUUCAAAAAUAUACACUUAUGAGUGUGGGUAAAUAAGGCAAAAAUGAUUUGAGAUUAAGAGUAAAGUUAAUUAUUUUGACUUAAGACUUCAAGUUAAAAAUAACUUUAAGUUGCAAUAUUAAGUUAUUUUAUCAAACAUGGUUAAUUUACUUAACGACUUAAAUUAAGUUAUUAAGUUGAUUUAUCAAACACCCCACUAGUAGUAUGUUGAAAAUGAAGAGCAUCCAUAGUAGAUAAUGUAUAUGUAUUUGUGUUUAGAGUAGAAGGGCACUACAACAAUGGACUUGCAUGUGAUUUGGUCGCGAUAUGAUUUUGGUGAGAAUAUUUUAUUGUCUUUAAAAUAUUGUUAUAUGAAAUGCCAGACUAUGUUAGUAAAUAAUAGUUAUGUUAGUAGAAAUGAAAGUUUGUUUUAUAAUGCAUUGACCAUCCUAACACAUGUACUUAAUUAUCAUUAGUAGUUAGACAUGUAUUCCCUUUUUUCAAUUUUUUUCUUCUUUUUAAAUACAUUCUAGUGGUACUUUGCCUUAUGACUUAAUUUUUGUUACACUUACUACUUUUGGUUUUAGUCAUAUUUCGUUUUAUUAGUAUUUUCAUUUUGUGUUACAAUUUUAUUUAGUUUCUCUAUAUUCUCUUUUGGAUGGUGAUUUCACUUCAAAAUUUAAUUCAAAUUAGGCUUAUUAUCCCCUUAGUAAGCCUUUUCUAGGCGAGUUGUUAUAGAAAAUUAAACAAACCUCUCCUAAGGUUGGCCUUGUUACGUAGACUUCUUUUCUAUUUUGAAAUAUUAUAUUGACCUCCCUUGUUAGAUAUUGGUUUUUACAAUUACUAAGAAUAAUGCUUCUUAAUCAUUAUUAACGACGUCUUCUUUCUCCAAUUUUCUUCUUCUUCCUCCAUACAUGCUAAUUUGCAAAAAUUUAUACCCAUUAUUUAAAUGAAAUUUUUUGAAAUAAAUUAAAACCUUCCUUAUUUGAUAUUAUAGAAACCUAAUUUAAAUAAAAUAUUUUGAAAUAAAUUAGAUAAAAAAAAAAAAAAAAAAACUUGUCAUCAUUCUAACCCAAAUCAAAUUUUAAAGAAUAAUUAAAUAUUUCAAGUCUCAUUUUGUCUCAAUAUCACCUUUGCUAAUCAACCUAUCCAAUCUUAGAUCAAACCCAAAUUGCAAUCAAAUUUUGACAAGAAAAAAUCAACUUAAGACUGAAUAAGAAAACUUGUGGAAAGAGUCUCAUCAAGAAGGUGCAUGAAACCCUCCGUUCAAAAACUUCUUCUAAAAUAAAAUUAAAAAAGAAAAGAAAAAGAAAAGAAAGAUAUUCAAUGUUAAAGGACUUUUAAGAUAAAUCAAAAUUUGAAAAUGAAUGUUAAUACUUGCAAUAGAUUCCACAUUCAUGAACAAAUUACCAUUGCACCACUUAUUUUCAAUUCACACUUUAAUUUACUAUCCAUAGAAACUUUCAUUAAAUUUUCCAUAAAACAAACAAAGAGCCUUAACCCCCAAAUAUUUUAAUUCUUAAAAAUACAUCAUUUCAUCAAUUUUUGAAACCCUCAUUUUAACACAAAUUAUUUUUUUUACAAAUAAUUAAAAGAAUAAAAAGAAAAUUAAGAAGAGGUUGUCAUUAUUAUUCUUGCAAAGUCACCACAAAAUAAAUUAUAACAAAUAUAGAAAAUAAAAUAAUAUGACGAUGAAGAUAAUGCUUAGAAAGUUAGAAUGAGGAAGAUAAUAUCAUUUAGAUGAUUUAGGUUAAGAUGAGGACUAGAUAAGGAAAGUGACAUCAAUUGCCUAAUUAUUUGGGGUUUUAGAGAUACAAAAUGAGGGAGAUGACUAAAAUUAUGGUUUAAUUAUUUUUGGUUAAGGAUUAUUAAGUUAUUUUAAGGAAUUAAUUAAUUUAUUUAUAAUAAAUUUAGAAAUUAAUUAAAAGUUAAUUAUAAUAAUUAUUGAUUCAUAGUUUAAUUUAAAGCUAAUUUGAAUAAAAGAUGAAAAACUGAAAGUCCAUUAGGGUUCCACCUAGAGAGGGGAGAGGAGGUGGAUGAUUUAAAAAAUUUCAAUAAAGAUCUAUAUGUUAUAUCCAAUUUUAUUUUACCCUGUGAGAUGUUAGGGAUAACCUUUUCUAUCAAUCUUAGGCAAUUCAAACAAAAUAUCAAAUAUAAAAGAUAAGAACAAUAAGGUAUGCGAUUUUUAUAUGGAAAAUCCUCACACUAACUGUGACGAUAAAAACCACGAGGUCUAAGACCUAUUAAUCUAAAUGCACUAGAUGAAAUCAAGUUACACAGAUUUACUUGACUGCUUUACCUUAAAGAUUUACUCUCCGGUAGGUACAACUUGAUUCAUAUCCACAACAUAGCAACCCUUGAUUGCUCCAGUGGAUCACUUCAGCUUCCUUGAAAGGAUGAAGGUCUUCAAAAUAAUAUUUAAAGAACAAAUCCUUGAAUGAGAAAUUGAGAAUGGUGUGGCAAUCUAGGUUUUGUCUCUAGGAGACCCUUUUUAGAGAAUAAAGUCUCUCAACAAUCUAUCUCGAAUCUCUUCAAGAUCUCUAACCCUCAAGAGGUUAUAAGGGAGGUAUUUAUAGACAAAAGUUUGAAGAGUUUCGAUUUUGGAAGGUUUCUUAAUUGAAAUUUCGUGAAAAACUUGGUAGAAUCAACAUGAUUGCUCAAGCGCCUCAAGCACUUGAGUGGUAUGGCUCACUUGAGCGGUCCUAAGCGCUUGAGUAGUCUUUAGUGCUUGAGCACUCUAGGCCACUUGAGCAGUCUUGCUCUAUUUCAAAAAUCAAUUUUAAAAUCUUUUUAAGUUCAAAACAAAAUUGAUCCUCUUUAAUACCUCAACAUAGCCUAAUUAACAUAAGUCAAACCUCUUUAAACAUGUGACUUCUCAAUUGGACAAACAACAACCCUUGAUCUUCAAUGAAGAGUAAGUCACUAACUAGAAAGACUUCUAUGACCAAACAUUACAAAGAACAAAAUUGCCAACAUAUAGGCAAGACUUACUGUCUUAACAAUCUCUCCCUUUGACAAUUUUGUGACAAAAAAUCGUUACAUAAACCCACUUGAACUCUCAUAACGGAGUUUACAUAACACACUUUAAUGCUCAAUUAAAACUAAAUUAAGGGAAAACUUUGUAUUAGUUUAUAGUACUUAUAUUUCAACCCUGUAACCUACACACAUACAAAAAACUAUACUAAAGGUAAAGUGUUACGACCGCCUCUACCACGGCUUCCAGCACGUUUGCCACGAGGAGCUAUGGUGAUUCUUUGUUGUAACAAACCUGAUCAAGAGAAUAAAUAUGGUUUUAAUUCGAGGAAAAACCAGACCUCCCAAUAGCAAACUGCUAUAUAAUAUUCUGAUUGUUCCCCAUUGAUAUGCCGUGAAGCUCUAUAAAUAGCUUUACAAAGUUAAACAACUCCAACAUCCCUAAACUACUCAUCACCUAGAUAAGGAUAAACACUAUUCCUAACCAAACUCCUAAUACUUUAAUCUGAUAACAAUUCAGAUUGCUAUUAUUAUCCUAAAACAAAUAAAAAUAAGAUAAUUAAAUAAAAAAUGAGAUAAUCCUAACACAAUCCUACUCAGCAACUCCUAUGCCUCAUGAAUACAGCAACUCCUCUUGCUAGUGGACAUAACAUUUCCUACCCCUUUAGAUUCGACCCUUGUCCUCAAGGGUGAUAUCAGGAAAACGAAGCCUCAUGAAUACAACAACUCCUCUUGCUAGUGGACAUAACAUUUUCUUCGAUAUCUCCAAUUCCGUCACCGUUAUCCUCCUCUGGCCAGCAUCCUUCAAUCAAAAAAAGCUUCUUACACCGAUGCCCAGGGGCAAACUUUUCGUCACAAUUGAAGCAAAGGCCCUUAUCUCUACGUUCUUUCAUCUCCGUUGGUGACAAUCUUCGAAUGGCGGGAGUAGAUGAAAGUGGGCGACUGGUGACUGUUGAGUUCGUUGAUACAGUCUUUUUUGGCUCAAGGUUGAAACUGGAUCGCUUAUGAUAUUUAACCUCAUAGAGCCGAGCCAAACCUAUUGCUGCAGACAACGUUGGUGGUUUCAUGGCUUGAACAUCUAUCCUCACAUCUUCGUUUAGACCACCAAUGAAACAAGCAACCUGUUGAGACUGAUUUAACUUCCCCACUCGGCUGAGGAGUUUCUCGAAUUGGCUUUGAUACUCCCGUACUGAACCAACCUGUUUGAGCCUUAUAAGAUCUCCAAAAAAAUCAUCAAAUUUCGUUGGCCCAUACCUGGAAUUCAGCCCUUCCUUGAGCGUGAGCCAUGCAACUUCCCCUUCUUCCUUCAGUAUUUGAUACCACAAUUGUGCCUCGCCUUCUAGAUGAUACGUCGCUAGCGGAACCUUCUCUUCCUCAGCAAUUUUCUGAAAUUCGAAGAAUUGCUCUACUCGACAAAUCCAACUCGUUGGAUCUUCACUGCCAUUAAAGCGAGGAAAAUCAAGUUUAGUGACCCUUGGAAUUACCGCACCAUAAGACUCAGUGGAGUCACGAGGGCCUCUAUAAUUGAAUCGCCGAGACCCCCCACCAUUGUGUGAACUCUCUCCUCGUUCCAAACUUUGGUUGCCCGAUAUUUGAUCUAAUCGGGUAUUCAUUGACGUUAUUACUUGCAUCAGUGUUUCUUGUAACUCCUGGAACUUCCUAUCUUGCUCUGCUGCUAUAGAGCCUAUCUCUGUCUCCAAACGAUCAAUGCGUGAUUCAUCCAUAACCUGCUCUGAUACCAAGUUGUUACGACCGCCUCUACCAUGGCUUCCAGCACGUUUGCCACGAGGAGCUAUGGUGAUUCUUUGUUGUAACAAACCUGAUCAAGAGAAUAAAUAUGGUUUUAAUUCGAGGAAAAACCAGACCUCCCAAUAGCAAACUGCUAUAUAAUAUUCUGAUUGUUCCCCAUUGAUAUGUCGUGAAGCUCUAUAAAUAGCUUUACAAAGUUAAACAACUCCAACAUCCCUAAACUACUCAUCACCUAGAUAAGGAUAAACACUAUUCCUAACCAAACUCCUAAUACUUUAAUCUGAUAACAAUUCAGAUUGCUAUUAUUAUCCUAAAACAAAUAAAAAUAAGAUAAUUAAAUAAAAAAUGAGAUAAUCCUAACACAAUCCUACUCAGCAACUCCUCUGCCUCCUCUUGCUAGUGGACAUAACAUAAAGUAGUGUGAGGGAUAAAGUAAUGUUGAGAAAGCAAAACAGGAUAGUUUGAGGUUUUGCUUGAUGACUUGUGAAAACAUGAAAAUGGAACAGAUUUUUGUAGAGACACUAAGGCACAAAGCAAAGCUUGAGAGGAAUAUAGAUACACACAAAUCAGGAAAACAUAAUAGAAGCUUGAUAAGACAUAAUAGAUCAAUAAUAAUGCUUAGAAGUCUAUCUCCAACCAGAUAAUGGGUAGUGAAAACCAUGGAAAGAAGCUUCUAUGACUCAGAAUAGUUCUAGAGUGAUAAAUAGUUCAAACAUAAAUAUCUUAUAAGAAACAUUCGUGUCAGGUAUCUCUUUAAACCAUCUAAGUUAUGCUUUCAUCAGUUGAUAUGGUUGUCUCCAAUUUCUCAAGUUUAAUUUCCUCUAAUAUUUCAAUAAUUUCCCUUAAUGGAUGAAUGAAUGAAUGAAUGAAUUGAAUUAAAGAAUUCAAAAUUUUUAACUCAUAGUAACUCCCCUUAAAUUACAAUCAAUACAAUAAUUCAAAUCAAGUAUACCAAAACAUAAAUAAUAGAACAUUUAUGCAUUAGGUGGCGGUAGAGGGAUAGAGCUUGAAGCGCCCUGAGAAUGGAUACAGGAAAAGAUGUAGUUAAGUUAUCCCUAAAUCUCUCAGAGUUGGAGAUCCUAAGAGUCCAUCUUCUGAUGAAGUCGAGCCAUGGAAUUUAGAGCCUCAUGGGCGUUGGGUCUACAGAAGUAAAAGCCUUGUGUGUAGCUCGGGAAGAACUAACACAACCUCAACUCUAGAGUGAGUCCUCGGAGCAGACUCUAAAUAGUCUGUCUCUAGAAUUCCACUCUACUCCAUAGCUCGAAGCUCAUCCUCCUGGACAACUGCCUCUGCAUGCUGGCCUACAUCAUGCAGUUCAUAAGCUGGAACAACCAUCAAACUGUAUACAUGAAUGUAGUGCUUGGCCCAGGAACUCCCAUCCAAAAAGGCAUGGGUAGCUUAGACCCCUAGUGUAGGAUCAAUCUUAAAUCCCACAUCCUCGAGUAUCCGCGUGAUGAGGAGGGUAAAGGGGAGAGUGCCUCCUCUAAAGGAUAAACCACGAAGGGGAAUGAUUGUAUCCAGGAUGACCUAGCCAAUGUCAAAUUGUUGGCUUGAGAGAAUGGCGUGAAUAAAGUGAGCAGAUGGUCAACGGAUUUGGGUGCAGUGUGUAAAUGGGUAGAAGGAGUAAGUGAAUAAUGUUGCAAACAACCAUGUUUGCUUGGAGAAGCCAACAAUCAGGAUAUAAGAAGGAAAGAGGCAAAGACUGCCAUAAAGAGAAGUCAGAAUGGUGUCAAGUUUCUCUCGGGUGAGAGCCUGAACCUCUGGGGAAAACAAAGGAAUGAGAGCCUUAAUUUGCGACUUGCUAAGGACACAUUGAAUGGAAUGAGAGGAAAUAAGGAAAAAUUGACCAUGCAUGGUCACCUGAAAGCUGACUCCGACCAUAAUAUAAUGCAUGUUCUCAUAGAACAUGUGAACAAGAUGGGGAUAGGAAGUCCCCUAGAGAGAAAACAGUCUCCUAACCCUACUCUUGAAUGAUGAUAGGGAAGACAGUGUCCUGAAAAGCUUAGAGGUUAAUGGCAUGCUCAGGCUCGACACACCGAUAUGUGAAAGAAGCGUAAUUAUGGUCCCGUGCCACCUGGCAGUGAAAGCGCUCAACCGGAAGUGCAUCUAGGUUAAAAAGACCCUGGAGUGGGAUGCCCUAGACGGUUUCAGUGACCUAGGAAAGGUCACCUCCCUUUGACAUCUAUGACUAGCCAUAUCUAAGGUAUAUAAUAUGAAAAAACAAAAGCUAAAGAAAAACUAAAGAAAAUCCAGAGAAAAGCUAAACCACUAAAAAUGUUAAACUCAAUGCGUCGAACAAUACUAUACAAAUGGAAAUGAAAAAUAUGAAGCGAACUGACCUCAGAAUACAAAAGGACAGUAACCCAGAGGGCUCGAAGAGGAAUAGGAAAGUUUGAAAUGAAUAUGGCGUCCUGGAUGACCUUUAUAUAGCUUAUAGGAGUGCUUGAUGCAGAUUAGCACUCGAGCGUCCUUACUAACUUAAAUCAAAUUAUUUAUUAAUAUGUAAAUAUUUUAAAAGUUUCAAAGGAAGUAUUCAAUUUAGAACCUUUUUAGAUUUUUUUUGAAAGAAACAAAAAUAAAGCGUGAAAUAUUAUGUGUUUAAGGUGUUAGAAGACAAUAUUGUCUAAUCCAAAGCCUUACACAUUCCCACAAAAAAAAAAAAAGGAAAAAGAGAGAUAUUAUAUAAGAUUUUGAUCACAUCUAAUAGAAACUCAUAUUUAGCAACAUAUCACCAAGCACUAUCUUAUCUGAAAGCUCUAACAUGUUGGAAAUUUAUUUAAGGUUCCAUAACAACUAACAACUUUUUCUGACGACUCAGUAGUGGACCAUUUGCACUUUAACUGCAUUAUUGAAUUUAAAUCAUAUUAGAAUAGUAAUUGACUUCUCUUUUGUGAGGCUACAUAUCUUGUAGGAUGGGAUAGGUGAUUCAUUUCAUAUAUGAAAUUUAGUUAAUUUAGUAAUGCAUCCAAGUUCAUUAUGAAUCUAAUGGUAUCACAACUCCUUGAAUAUUUGUAAUCUGUAAUCUUUGAUUCAACUUCUCAAGUCUAGUCAUUUUAUCGGCAUAACUAGUUUGCUUCAAUUAUCUCUCAACUUUAUUAUAAAACUAAGGGAAAAAAUUAUCACGGAUUUUAUAUUAACUUAACCAAACAUCUUUAUAUAUAUAUAUAUAUAUAUAUAUAUAUAUAUAUAUAUUGUAAAUUUAGGAAAAUUUCAUCCAUUAGCCAUAGUAAGUAAGAAUCAAAUAAGGGAUAUGUAAGCCAAUGGUGAUAUUGAUGGCGUCAAAUCAAUGACAUAGUAGAAAAGUGGAUUGUCUAUUUUCAAACCUUUAUAUUUUCAUCCAAUAGUAAAAAGGUUUAGGCAUCACUUGAAAAGUAGUUCGUUUUUUUACCUUGGACUAUGAUUUAUGAAUAAAGUUCUUCUAUUGUAUACCUUUUGUGAUGCCCCAAACCUAAUUUAUGGGUAAAAAAAAAUAAUUUAGAAAAAAAUAAAUAAAAAGUUAAAUAAAUUUAAUUAAGGUAAAAAUGUAUUUUCGUAUUUAAAAUUCCUAGGUAUCAAUUAUAUAUUUCUUGUCUUCUCUAUUCAAAAAACCCUAUUACACAAAAAUCAAAUAUUAGAGAACAUAGGACAACGCAGGGUUGAAGAUUUGGAGGUUUAGGGUUGAAGAUUAGUUUUCCGGGUAAGAUUCUAACCCUUAAAUUAGUAUUUUAGAUUCGUUAAUUAGUUUAAACACUUCAGAUAUUCUUUGAAAAUCUGAAUCUAUGUUAGGGUUUGUUAAUUUAAUUUUUAAAUAAAAAAGAUUGAAAAUUUAUGAACAUAAGUAGAGUUAUUAUUAAAGAUUGAAAUUUUUUGAAUAUUUGAAUUAAAAAUCUAGAAAAAAAGAAGAAAAUAAAUUAUAGCUUUGGAUGUGGAAAAAAAUUAAUAUUAAUAAAUAAAUAAAACCUAUGAGUAUGGAGGUAGAAAAAUAUGAGAGUUGAAAGCAAAGAAAAAAAAAAAGAAUAAGGUUUUGUGGUUGUACAUGCCUCCUUAGUGGAAAAAAAAUACAAGGUUGCUUGCAAUAGGAUAUGACAAAGAGAGAGAGAUAAAUGCUUAGAUGUUGAUUUUUGUGGGGAAAAAAAGAUUGGGUAAUGUAGGAGAGAAAUAGGUAGCACUUGUAGAGUUGGUGGAGUUGUUGUAAAAGCUCGUAGGGGUAAUUGUUAGGUAGUGUAGGGUAUGAGAUUAAUUGUUAGGAAACAUUAGGACUUGAAAUAAUAAUAAUUGCUUCUAGUAAAAGUUUUAAUUUAGUUUAAGUAUAUAAAAGAAAUAGAUGAUUAGAAUAAGAUUUGGAAGGAAUAUGAAUUCAUAAAAAUUUCGAGAUUUACUAAUUUAGAUUAUUAUUGUUUUGGAAGUUGAAUAUAAUAUAGGUGAUAAUAUUAUUAAUAUAGGAAAUGAUUCAGAUUCUCAAACCUACAAUUUUAGAUAAAUAGUUAAUAGUAAUAGAUGAUUUUUUAUUUUUAUUUUAUUUUUAUUUUUUAUGUUAUGUUAAGUGAAGAAUGGAUUCUUUGAGAUUAAUUCUCUAAGGUUUCUAAGUGUUUCUUUAAGGUAAGGGAUGUUAAUACUGAUUUUGUAAAUGAAAAUAUUUCUUUUUAUAAGUUAUUUUAAAUUAUGAAAAAUUUUAUUUUUAUUUAUGCAUGGAUCAAAUAUAUAUUUUUUCACGAGAAACAUGUUUGGGCAAUUUCUUUGUUUAUAAAUAAAUAAAUAAAUAAUGAAAACUUUGGAAAUAUAAUGUUUUGUUUUGUAAGUUUAAAAUAAUGAAAUAAAGUUUUUUGACUCUAGUUUAUAUGACCUUAGUUAAUGGGUUAUAAUUGUUGACAUUUUCAGCUCCAGUCAAUGAUUAUAAUUGUUGACAUUUUUGGUUCCAAUCAACGAUUAUAAUUGUUGAGAUUUUCAACCCUAGCCAACGGGUAUAAUAGUUGACCUUAUAGCCCUAGUCAACAGAUAUAAUUGUUAACCUUUGGUUUUGCCCAUCUUAAAAAGAACAAAUUUAAGGCUAGCCAUUUAUUUGUAAAGUCCCACUUAACUAAGUACCAUUUGUUAUUUAAUAACCAGAGUAAAGAUAUUUUGAAUGUAUUUGAUAUGAAAUUGUUUUGAUAUAAAUAUGAAAAUGUUUGGUUGAAAAGUUCAAAUGUUUAAUGCAUGUUGAAUUCAAAAGUUUUUAUGAAAAUGAUUAUAUGUUAUAUCCCCUAUUUGUAAGUUUGAUCCAUGAAACUGUAUUAAUAUUCCUUAUUGGACUUUGAGCUCAUUCCCCUUUGUUGAGAAUUUUUUUUGGUAUUCUCAGUUUGGGUAAGGAGUGAUGACUGGGUUGGGGAAUUUUCUUUGCUAUGAUUUUGGUUCAAUCUUUAUUUUGGACAUUGUUUAGAUGUUAAAAUUUAAUUGCCAUUUAAAUUAUUUGAGUUUGGAGUUAUUUGGACGAUAACACUUUGAUUGAUGUGUUAGUUUUAAAGUUGAGAAUUGAAAAUUAUAGAAUUUAUUUAUCUUACUACUUUGAACAGAAAUUUAGUAGUUGGAGAUCAUCCAGUUACAAGAUGAAUAUUUGUGUCGUUUCCACUUUGAGCGUUCAGGCUUAGGGUGUGAAAUGACCGUUAUGCCCUUGGAGUGGGUAUAUUGUUUAUUUGAAUUUAAUGGUCCCUGAACUCCUUAAUUACUCAUAACUUUAUAUCACCUUCUCAAAGUAAGUUGUUUUACAACUACUAUCUAGCUACUUAUCUCUACUAUGACAACUUUAUUACAUAGUGAUUAAUUGAAAGAAUCUACAUGUCUUAUUUCAUAGGAUAGUUGAUUUUUUCACUCAAUGAAUCUUGCUUUUAUUAUUGAAAUUUUCAAAUCAUUGUAGUCCAACAAUUUCCUAUCCAUUGGUAAUUUCAUAUUACAUUUCCAAAGUCUAAUCAUUUAAAAACACUUGUAGUUAAUAUAUUGGCAAUUGCAUUGUGGGAAGUUGUUCACUUGAUUUUAAUGUUGAAACUUUCAAAUUGUUGUAGUCCAACAAUUCCCUAUCCAUUGGUAAUUUCAUAUCACAUUUUCAAAGUAUAAUCAUUUACAAAUACUUGUAUAUAGUAUAUUUGGUGAUUGUAGAGUGGAAAGUUGAUCGUUUUUAUGAAGACCUCUAAAAUAGAAAUUUUUUUCAUUCCAUUUAAUAAAGAAUUUCAUUAAUUGAACAUAUAUGUUUUUUAACCGGAAAGUAAAGGCCACAUUAGGCCUUAGGUGACAAUACUAGGUGAGGGUUUUUCUUAAAAUUUAUUUAUUACGAAAUAUAAAUAAUAUUAUUUAUUUUAUAAUAAAGAUUAUUAUAAUAUAUUUUUUAUAGAUUUGAAAAAAAUAUUAAUUGAGUUUUAUUUAUUUUUAAAUAAUUGUUUUCAAUAAAUAACUUAUUUGUAAAAAUAAAACUAUUAAAUAUAUGCAUUUGAAAAAUAUUUAAUUUUUAUUUGAUUUAGUAUCAAUUAAUAUUUGUAAUAUUUUUUAAUAUUAUAGAAGUUAACAUACCCAAUUAAGAUAUUCAAGAUCAAGAGAAUAUUAUAGAAGUUAACAUACCCAAUUAAGAUAUUCAAGAUCAAGAGAAUAUUUGAGAUUGAAUUAAUUUCUUUAUUGUUUAUGUUUUAGUAAAUUUUUAUAUCCAUAACAAAAUUUUUAUUGUUUAUUUUUCAUUCAAUGUUUGCAUUUUGUAAUAGAUAUUAAAACAAAUUUUUUUCUUGCAUGUUAAAAAAAUAUUUCAAUGUCUUUAAAAAUAAAAUAUUGCAGUAAAAUCAAAAUUACAUUGUGAAACUUUAAGCAAAUGUUUUAUACUUAAGAAGUGCCAAUUAGAGUAAGCAUGCAUCUACAAUUGUGAUUUAGAUGUCAUAUUGAAACAAUAGUUCUCUUUGACUAUAUCAUAAAAUUUGGUUCGAAUUACUUUAAGUCAUCUUGUAGAUUUUCAAGUUCCAAUGAUAUGCAUCAAGUAUGUGCAACAUACUUGAUAUAACUAAUAUUUUCUUAAGUAAUUGGACACUUUUUUCUAUAAAUUUACUUGAUUAUCAAUGAAUACUUUUAUGUAGGGUAUUGAUAUAAUUCGAUAAAUAUUUUAAAAUAGUAUUAGAAUAGCUUUGCUCUUUCCCAAUUAACAAAUUUACUAAAUUAACUUAUAUAUAUUUGUUUAUUUGAAUUUACUGGUAUUUGACGCAAAUUGUUAUUAUUUUUAAAAUUAUAGGAAAACCAUUAUUUAUAGAGUUUAAUUAUAUUUGGUAAAUUAUCUUUUUAAGUUUGACUAAGAUUAGGAAACUAUUAAUUUAAUAUUAAUCCAUAAGGCUCUAUAAAUUUGUAGUUUUAUAUAGGAUUUAAAAAAAGAAAGAAAAAGUAAGAAAAAGUAAGAAAAAGUGAAGAGAGAUAGGCAAAGAGUGCAUUGGGUUUUAGAUAGAGAAAGGUUGAGAGAGUUUUGAUUACUACUCAAAAAGAACAUAUUUUAGAUAGUAAUUCUCAUGGGUUUCACAUCUUUUGAGCAUUAAUUAUGCCUAAAAAUGCUCAAUUAACAUGUUGUUGCCCUCGCAAGAGUUACUAACAAGUUUUAUAAAGUUUUGGAGUCAUUUCAAGUUAUGAUUUUAAUAAAUUGAUGACAAAAGAGAUGAACUGAUUUGAAGAAGGCAAAUAAUAUUGAUGAUGAUCCAAAUGUAAAAUGAAAGAAGCAAUAUAAUUAGAUUGAUCGGGAUUUGCUGCUAAUUUGGAGGUAGUUAAGGUGGAGUCAAAAGAAGAAAAUGGAAGAAAUGACAAAGAGGACCUUAAAAACCAAAUGUUGCAGAUUUGUAUGAUCAUGCAAAAAUUUUACAUGACUAUGCGAAAUGGAUUAGAGAAGGAAAAUUGACUAUGGUAUAAGGAGGAUGCUUAAGUUGAUUUCACAUGAACAUGAGAAAAUUUCGCAUGAACAUGUGAAAAUUUUGCACAAUCAUGUGAAAUGGUCCAAAAAGCUCUCUAAUGUUGUUGUUGCUCCACUAAUUUCUCACCACCAUGCGAAAUCGAUCUUUUCAUGCAAAAUGGUUGAAGCUCAUGUGAAAUCAUGAUUUUGAUGCUAAACUCUAGAUUUGUGAAUUUGGAAGGUUUUAGAAGACCAAUGAGAGGUUGCCAAGUGUCCACUUGACCUUGGUCUAUAAAUAGAAACUGGAAUUUCCCAUGUAAAGGGCUUUGAGAUACUUUUGAUUUUAGAUUUUUCUAGAAACUCUUUCUCUAAAUAGAAUUCUUUAUUUUCUUUAAUUUUCCCUCAUUUUCUCAUUAGCCAAACAUGCCUAGUGAGACCAAAUCUCCAAGUAUGAGUGGCUAAAUCUCGUUUUUCUCAGAGGAAUGAGGAUCUAGAGGUAAGAUCUAUGGUGAAUUAUAGAAAUGAGUUUUAAUUGCAAAUGUAAUUUGAUCCAAUUGAUUGAUUAAUUGAAAUUUGAGGAUUUUUCUCUUUAAAUUGUCCUGAAUGACUAUUACAUUGCAAACUAGGUAGAUUCAUUAAAUUCUUAAAGCUAGAUUUAAUGAGACUGAAUAGUUGCAUUUGUAUGAAUCAUUGGAAAAUGAUUUAAGAUGAAUUGAAUAUAUAAUUUAAAUUGAUCUCUUGGAUUAAAUAACCUAAUUUGAAGAGAAAUUAGGUUUAGACUUAAAGGUAAAUCUAAAAUUGGUUUAGAUAAGAAUUUAGGUUUUCAAUCUAACUUGAUGAAAAAUAAAUCUCAACAUCUAUUCGCCAUGGAAAUUUUUUUCUAAAAAAUAUUAACUCCAAGAAUUCCUUUUCCUUAUCAAUUUUCUUAUGUCAUCUAUAAUGUUCUGGUUUUGUCCUCUGUAAUGUUCUUUAUUGUAUUGUGGAAUUAUUCUCUCUCAUCUAUGUAGGCAAGUUGCUAAACCACGUUAAAACCUCAAAUACCAUUUGUGUUGAUUUUUUUUUAUCUUUGUGUUCUUGAUUAAUGAUGCUUGCAUCAAAGCUUCUACCAACGUAACAAUGUGCAACAUAUUUGAUAUAACUUAUAUUUUCUUAAGAAAUUGAACACUUUUUUCUAUAAAUUUACUUGAUAUCAAUGAAUACCUACAUAUACGGUAUUGACAUAGUUUGAUAAAUAUUUUAAAAUAGUAUUAGAAUGGCUUNNNNNNNNNNNNNNNNNNNNNNNNNNNNNNNNNNNNNNNNNNNNNNNNNNNNNNNNNNNNNNNNNNNNNNNNNNNNNNNNNNNNNNNNNNNNNNNNNNNNUUCUUUUUCCCAAUUAACAAAUUUAUCAAAUACACACACACACAUAAUACUCAUUAGUAUGUCUUUUAUGAAAAAACUAUAUUGUUUAUUUGAAUUUAGUAGCCAUUCAACUCCUUAGUUACUCAUAAACUUUAUAUUACCUUCUUAAAGUCAAGUCAUUUACAAUUAUUUCUAUCUAGCCGGCCUUCUCCAUUAUGACAACUUUAUAAGAUAGUGAUUGAUUGGAAGAAUCUACAUGCCUUUGUUGAUAGGAUAAUUGUUUUUCUUUUUUUCGUAUUCAAAGAAUCUUGCUUUUGUUAUUGAAACUUUCAAAUCCUUUAUGUCUGAGAUUUGAUGUAAAUUUGCUUAGUUACCAAUGAUUUCAAAUUUCAUUAAUUAGUACCCCUAUAGAUGUAAUUUGUGUACAAAAUUUAUUUUUUAAAAGAAUUUAGGGAAAAAUAUUUUAGGUAUAUGUCUUUAACAAUUCUCUAAAAUAAAUUUUACUUGCUAAAAAAUAACUUAUAUAGAUAGAAUACAUCUACAAGAGUUCUAACUAACGAAAUUUAAAACUAAUGGUGGUUUAGCGUAUUUAAACUAAACAUUAGGAAGGGUGACUGAAAUUAACCCUCUAGGUAUAUAUGUUUAACAAAAUUUUUAUUGUUUAUUUUUCAUUUAAUUUUUGCAUUUUUCAAUAAACAUUGAAAAGGAAUUGUUUUUCCAUAUGUUAACAAAAAGAAAUUUGAACACCUAUAAAAAUAAAAUCUUGUAGUAAAAUUGGAGUUACAUUAUCAGACUUUUAACGAGUGUUUAUGUUUAGAAAGGCCAAUUAAAGCAAGCAUGCAUCUAGAAAUUGUAACUUAGAUGCAUCAAACAUGAGCAACAUAUUUGAUAUAACUAAUAGUUUCUUAAGUAACUAAACACUUCUUUUUCUAUAAAUUUACUUGAUUAUCGUGAAUACUUACAUAUAUUUACAUAGUUUGAUAAAUAUUUUAAAAUAAUAUUAGAAUAACUUUGUUUUUUCUCAAAUAUUAGAAAAUAAUAUAAAGUUACUUAUAAACUUUAUAUCAUUUUCUCAAAGUCAAGUCAUUUACAAUUAUUUCUAUCUAGUCUUCUCCAUUUUGACAACUUUUAUAUGAUAGUCGUUGAUUGCAAGAAUCUACAUGUCUUUUUUGAUAGGAUAGUUGUUUUUAUUUUUUUUAUUUUUUUUAUUCCAAAAAUUUGCUUCUAUCAUUGAAACUUUCAAAUCUUUUAUGUAUAUUACCAAUCAUUUUACAAGUGAGUUAAUUUCACUUAGGGUAGAUAUACUUAGCCACACCCCUAUAGAUGUAAUUUGUGUUUAAAUUUUAUUUUUUAUUUAGGUAAAAAUAUCUUAGGUAUAUGUGUUCAACAAUUCUCUAAAAAAUAAAUUUUCUUAUCUAAAAGUUUAUAUAGAUAAAAUACAUUUAUAGAAGUCCUAACUAAUGAAAUUUAAAAUCAAUGGUUGUUUAGUGUAUUUACAUUAAACCUUAUCGGGUAUGAUUGAAAUUAACUCUUUUACAAGCACUUGUAGCUAAUAUGUUUGUAGUUGUAGUGUUGGAAAUUGAUCAUUUUCUUGAAGGCCUCUAAGAUAUUGGAAAUAUUGCCAUAGUUUUAGACUUUUUUUUAUUACACCUAAUAAAAAAUAUUAUUAAUUUAACAUAUAUAUUCUUAACUUAAAAGUAAAGUCUCUCCAUAUUGUAUGAGCCCUUAGGUGGCAAUAUUAGGUGAAGUUUUUCUUUCGUUUAUUACAAAAUAUAAAUAAUUUAUUAUUGUAUGAUAAAAUUUUAUAUAAUAUAUUUUUAUAGAUGUAAAAUUAUUAUUGGGUUUUAUUUUAUUUUUUUACUAAAUUGUCAUUUCAAUAUAUAAAACUUAUUUGUAAAAAGACAAUUAUAAACUAUAUGAAAUACAUUUAGUUUUUUUAUUUAAUUUAGAAUUUUAUUUGGAUUAAUAAUUGAUAUUUGUAAGAUUUUUUAAUAUUAAAAAAAGUUAGCAUACUUAAGAAAGAUAUUCAAGAUCGGGAGUGUUUGAUAUUGGAUUAAUUUCCUUAUUUUCCUAUUUUAAUAAAUUUUCAUGUCCAUUACAAAAUUUUUGUUGUUUAUUUUUCACUUCAAUAUUUUUAUUUUGUAAUAGACAUUUGAAAAGAUUUUUUCCUACAUGUGAAAAAAAAAAAGAUUUGAACACUCCUAAAAAAGAAAUAUUGCAAUAAAAUUAAAGUUUACAUUGUAGGACUAUUAGCAAGUGCUAUAUACUUAAAAUAGACCAAUUAAAGUAGAAAUACUUCUAAAAUUGUAAUUUAGGUAACAAUAAUAUAAAAAGAUAAUAUUUUUGAAACAAUAGUUCUCUGGAGUUUUGGGUACGAUGGACUAGACUUUAUGUAACAAUAGAUAUACGAACUUUCCAUUAACAUCUUGAGAGACAUGAUGAGGAGCAAAGUCAUCCAAGAAGGUACCAUAGAGGUACCUUAGCUCCAUUCAUCUAGACUACAUAAUGUUUAAAGAUCAAAUUCAAUGACUAGAUUUCAAAAAUCAAUAUAAGCUUUCUCAUAUUCUACUCUAUAUAAGACAAUGGUAUCAUUUUAACAUCAGUUUGAAACUUAGAAGUCACUUAGCACAUUCUAGUUAUUAAUUUAAGAGCAUUAAAAGAAAAUAUAAAAAAAGUUACUUUAUCCUUGUGAUUUUGAUCUAGGACUUUUAAUGAUAUUAAAAAAAAAAAAAACAGAAAAAUAAAUGGAAAUAAAAUCAACAAAUUAAACAAUUGAAUUAUGUUAGUUUAAUUUUUGCAUCGUUAAAUGGGUAAAUAAAGACUCUUAGAUUUGAUAUUAAUAUGAACAUCAUGACUUCAGUGAAUCUUACAAGAAAAUUUUAGUUUGAAAGACUUCAUUCAUUAAACGUGUGGCACAUAUUAAAGUAAAACUAAGUCUUCUCUAUAAUUUGUACCUAUCAUAGUUUCUUUCCUCAUAAAUAGCCUUUUUUGAAUAUAAUAUAGACUUCAACAUGCAUGGUGGGGCCGAUCAAACUACUAGUCAAGACAACUCAUGGGCAACAACGAUGUACCAACUACAUUUAAAUACUCUUCAUCUAUUUGCAUAUCAAGAGUAAUUUAGUAGUGUCUUUCUUAUGUACCUCAUAUCUAGAUUUUCAAUGGAGAGUUCUUCAUCUAAAAUUUUGACUUGGGUUUUCAUACUAGUUUUGGUUUAGACAUGUGGAUGCAAAGGUUGCAUCAAAGAAGAGAAGUGGGCUAAAUCAUCUUACAAAUUUUCAAGUUCAAAUUAGAUGCACCAAACAUAUGCAACAUAUUUGAUAUAAUUAAUAUUUUCUUAAGUAAUUGAAUACAAUUUUUUUUUUAAAUUUACUUGAUUAUUAAUGAAUAACUACAUGUAUGGUAUUGACACAACUUGAUAAAUCUUUUAAAAUAGUAUUAGAAUAACUUUGCUAAAAAAAAGUAAAAAUAAAAAUAAAAAUACAUCUAUAUAUAUAAAAUUAAAUAAAAUUAAAAAUUAAAAAAGAAUAUAUAUAUAUAUAUAUAUAUAUAUAUAUAUUCUGUGUGUGUGUGUGUGUGUGUGCAUGGUCCCACAACUCAUUAGCUACUCAUAAGCUUUAUAUCACUUUCUCAAAAUCAAGUCAUUUUGUAAUUAUUUCUAUCUAGCCUUCUCCAUUACGACAACUGUAUAGGAUAUUGAUUGGUUGGAAAAAUUUUCAUGUCUUUUUUUAUAAGAUAGUUUUUUAUUAUUAUUAUUAUUCAAAGAAUUUGCUUUUAUUAUUGAAACUUUCAAAUCCUUUAUGUCUAGUGGUCCUACAAUUCCCUAUUCAUUGGUAUUUCAUAUUACCAAUCAUUUUAAAAAUAAGUUUAUUUCACCCGGUAAAUAUACUUAACUACCAAUGGUUUCAAAAUUAAUUGAUUAACACACUUAUAGAUGUAAUUUGUUUUUAAAUUUUAUUUUUUUAGAAGAAUUGUAGGUAAAAAUAUUUUAGGAAUAUGUGUUCAAUAAUUCUCUAAAAACAAUUUAUAUAGAUGGAAUACAUUCAUGGAAGUUCCAACUAAUGAAAUUUAAAACCAAUGACGAUUUAAUGUAUUUGCACUAAAUCUUAGGGGAGGUGUACUAAAACUAGCCCUUAUACAAAUAUUUGUAGCUAUAAUAUUUGUAGUUAUGGUGUUGGAAGUUGAUCAUUUUCUUAAAGGCCUCUAUGAUAUUGGAAAUAUCGCCAAAGUUUUGAACUUUUUGUUUCACCUAAAAAAAAUAUCAUUAAUUUAAUAUAUAUACUCUUCGCUUGAAAGUAUAGUUUUUUCAUAUUGUAUGAAGUUGUAGCUAGGUGACAAUAUUAGGUGAAAUUUUUUUGGUUAACUACAAAAUAUAAAUAAUAUAUUUAUUAUAUGAUAAAAUUUUAUAAAAUAUAUUAUUAUAGAUGCAAAAUUAUUAAUGGAGUUUUAUUUUUUACUAAAUUAUCAUUUCAAUAAAUAAGAACUUAUUUGUUAAAAGAAAAUUAUAAAAUAUAUGCAGUUGAAAAAAAUUUAAUUUUUUUUAUUUAAUUUGGUAUUUUAUUUGAAUUAAUAAUUGAUAUUUGUAAGAUCUUUUAAUAUUAAAAGAAGUUAACAUACUUAAAAAAGACAUUCAAAAUCAAGAGAGUAUUUGAUAUGAAAUUAAUUUAUUUAUUUUUCUAUUUAAAUAAAUUUUUACAUCCAUUAAACAAAUUUUAUUGUUUAUUUUUCACUUCAAUAUUUUUAUUUUGUAAAAGAAAUAGAAAUAAAAUCAACAAAUUAAACAAUUGAAUUAAGUUAGUUUAAUUUUGUCACCGUUAAAUUGGUAAAUGAAGACUCUUAUAUUUGAUAUUAACAUGAACAUCAUGACUUCAUUGAAUCUCACAAGAAAAUUUUAGUUUGAAACAUUUUAUCCUUUAAACAUGUGGCACAUAUUAAAGUGAGACCAAGUCUUCCCUAUAAUUUGUAUCUAUCACAAUUUAUUUCCUAAUGAAUAGCCUUUUUGAAUAGAAUAUAGACUUUAGCAUGCAUGGUGGGGCCUAGCUAUCAAACUACUAGUCAAAACAACUCAUGGGCAAGAAUGAUGUGCCAACUAGAUUAAGUAUUCUCCAUCUAUUUGCAUAUCAAGAGUAAUUUAGUAGUAUCUUUCUUGUGUACCUCAUUUCUUGACUUUCAAUGGAGAGUUUUUUAUCUUAAAAUUUGACGUGGGUUUUCAUACUAGUCUUGGUUCAGAUAUGUGAAUGCAAAGGUUGCAUCGAAGAAGAGAAGUAGGCUGAGUCAUCUUACAAAUUUUCAAGUUCAAAUUAGAUGCAUCAAACAUGUGCAACAUAUUUGAUAUAACUAAUAUUUUACCAAGCAACUAAAUACUUUAUAUAUAUAUAUAUAUAUAUAUAUAUAUAUUAGUGGUCCCACAACUCAUUAGCUACUCAUAAGCUUUAUAUCAUUUUCUUAAAGUCAAGUCAUUUACAAUUAUUUCUACCUAGCCUUCUCCAUUGCAACAACUGUACAAUAUAUUAAUUGAUUGAAAAAAUCAUCAUGUCUUUUUUGAUAGGAUAGUUUUUUUUAAUUCAAAGAACUUUCAAAUUAUUUUUAUCUAGCCUUCUCCAUUAUGACAACUGUAUAAGAUAUUGAUUGAUAUGAUAGUUUUCUUGUAUUCAAAGACUUUGCUUUUAUUAUUGAAACUUUCAAAUCCUUUAUGUCUAGUGGUCCUACAAUUCCCUAUUAAUUGGUAAUUCAUAUUAUCAAUCAUUUUAUAAAUAAGUGAAUUUUUCACUCCGUAAAUAUACUUAACUACCAAUGGUUUCAAAUUUAGUUGGUUAGCACACUUAUAGAUGUAAUUUGUUUUUAAAUUUUAUUUUUUAGAAGAAUUUUACGUAAAAAUGUUUCAGUAUAUGUGUUCAAUAAUUCUCUAAAAUAUUUAUAUGGAUGGAAUACAUUCAUGAAAGUUCCAACUAAUAAAAUUUAAAACCAAUGACGAUUUAAUGUAUUUGCACUANNNNNNNNNNNNNNNNNNNNNNNNNNNNNNNNNNNNNNNNNNNNNNNNNNNNNNNNNNNNNNNNNNNNNNNNNNNNNNNNNNNNNNNNNNNNNNNNNNNNGGGGGGGGGGGGGGGGGUGUAUACUGAAAUUAGCUAGUAUAUUUGUAGUUGUGUUGUUAGAAGUUGAUCAUUUUCUUAAAGGCCUCUAAGAUAUUGGAAAUAUUGCCAAAGUUUUGAACUUUUUGUUUUACACCUAAAAAGAAUAUCAUUAAUUUAAUAUAUAUACUCUUCACUUGAAAGUAUAGUCUCUCCAUAUUGUAUGAAGUCGUAGCUAGGUGACAAUAUUAGGUAAAGUUUUUUUGGUUUACUACAAAAUAUAAAUAAUACAUUUAUUAUAUGAUAACAUUUUGUAAAAUAUAUUAUUAUAGAUACAAAAUUAUUAAUUGAGUUUUAUUUUUUACUAAAUUAUCAUUUCAAUAAAUAAGAACUUAUUUGUUAAAAGACAAUUAUAAAAUAUAUGCAGUUGAAAAAAAAUUUAGUUUUUUUAUUUAAUUUAGUAUUUUAUUUGAAUUAAUAAUUAAUAUUUGUAAGAUCUUUUAAUAUUAAAAGAAGUUAACAUACUUAAAAAGACAUUCAAAAUCAAGAGUCUUUGAUAUGAAAUUAAUUAAUUAAUUUUUCUAUUUAAAUAAAUUUUUACAUCCAUUAAAAAUUUUUUAUUGUUUAUUUUUCACUUCAAUAUUUUUAUUUUGUAAAGGAAAUAGAAAUAAAAUCACCAAAUUAAACAAUUGAAUUAAGUUAGUUUAAUUUUGCCACCGUUACAUUGAUAAAUGAAGACUCUUAGAUUUGAUAUUAACACGAACAUCAUGACUUCAUUGAAUUUCACAAGAAAAUUUUUGUUUGAAAGAUUUCAUCCUUUAAACAUGUGGCACAUAUUAAAGUGAGACCAAGUAUUCCCUAUAAUUUGUAUCUAUCACAAUUUAUUUCCUAAUGAAUAGCCUUUUUGAAUAGAAUAUAGACUUUAGCAUGCAUGGUGGGGCCUAUCAAACUAUUAGUCAAGACAACUCAUGGGCAAGAACGAUGUACCAACUACAUUAAAUACUCUUCAUCUAUUUGCAUAUCAAUGGUAAUUUAAUAGUGUCUUUCUUAUGUACCUCAUUUUUAGACUUUCAAUAGGGAGUUCUUUAUCUAAAAAUUUGACGUGGGUUUUCAGACCAGUCUUGGUUCAGAUAUGUGGAUGUAAAGGUUGCAUCAAAGAAGAGAAGUAGACUAAGUCAUCUUAUGAAUUUUCAAGUUCAAAUUAGAUGCAUCAAACAUGUGCAACAUAUUUGAUAUAACUAAUAUUUUAUUAAGCAAUUGAAUACUUUUUUUGAAAAAAAUUUACUUGAUUAUUAAUGAAUACCUACAUGUAGGUAUGGCAUUGACACAAUUUGAUAAAUCUUUUAAAAUAGUAUUAGAAUGACUUUUCUAGAAAAAAAAAAGUAAUAAUAAAAAUAAAAAUACACAUAUAUUAGUGGUCCCACAACUUAUUAGCUUCUCAUAAGCUUUAUAUCACUUUCUUAAAGUCAAGUCAUUUACAAUUAUUUCUAUCUAGCCUUCUCCAUUACGACAACUAUAUAAGAUAUUGAUUGAUUGCAAAAAUCAUCACGUCUUUUUUGAUAGGAUAUUUUCUUUUUUAAUUCAAAGAAUUUUCUUCUAUUAUUGAAACUUUCAAAUCCUUUAUGUCUAGUGGUCCUACAAUUCCCUAUUAAUUGGUAUUUCAUAUUACCAAUCAUUUUACAAAUAAGUUAAUUUUACUCGGUAAAUAUACUUGACCACCAAUGGUUUCAAAUUUGUAGCACCCUUAUAGAAGUAAUUUAUUUUUAAAUUUUAUUUUUAAGAAGAAUUGCAAGUAAAAAUAUUUUUGGUAUAUAUGUUCAACAAUUCUCUAAAAACAAUUUAUAUAGAUGGAAUACAUUCAUGGAAGUUCCAACUAAUAAAAUUUAAAACCAAUGUCGAUUUAAUGUAUUUGCACUAAAUCUUAGGGGGCGUAGACUAAAAUUAGUCCUUUUACAAAUAUUUAUAGGUAGUAUAUUUGUAGUUGUGGUGUUAGAAGUUGAUCAUUUUCGUAACGACCACUAAGAUAUUGGAAAUAUCGCCAAAGUUAAGAACUUUUUGUUUUACACCUAAAAAGAAUAUCAUUAAUAUAAUAUACAUAUAUAUAUAUAUAUAUAUAUAUAUAUAUAUAUAUAUAUACUCUUCACUUGAAAAUAUAUCUCUCCAUAUUGUAUGAGGUCUAAGGUGACAAUAUUUGGUGAAGGUUUCUUUUUUUGUUUAGUACAAAAUAUAAAUAAUUUAUUUAUUAUAUGAUAAAAUUUUGUAAAUAUAUUGUUAUAGAUGCAAAAUUAUUAAUUGAGUUUUAUUUUUUACUAAAUUAUCAUUUCAAUAAAUAAGAACUUAUUUGUUAAAAAACAAUUAUAAAAUAUAUGCAGUUGAAAAACAUUUAGUUUUUUUUUUUUAUUUAAUUUAGUAUUUUAUUCGAAUUAAUAAUUGAUAUUUGUAAGAUAUUUUAAUAUCAAAAGAAGUUAACAUACUUAAAAAGAUAUUCAAGAUCAAGAGUGUAUUUGAUAUGAAAUUAAUUUCUUUAUUUUUUUUUUCUAUUUUAAAAAAUGUUCACAUCCAUUAAAAAAAAUUUAUUGUUUAUUUUUCACUUCAUAUUUUUAUUUUGUAAAGGAAAUAGAAAUAAAAUCAAUAAAUUAAACAAUUGAAUUAAGUUAGUUUAACUUUACCACUAUUAAAUUGGUAAAUGAAGACUCUUAGAUUUGAUAUUAACAUGAACAUCAUGACUUCAUUGAAUCUCACAAGAAAAUAUUAGUUUGAAAGACUUCAUCCUUUAAACAUGUGGCACAUAUUAAAGUGAGACCAAGUCUUCCCUAUAAUUUGUAUCUAUCACAAUUUCUUUCUUCAUAAAUAGCCUUUUUGAAUUGAAUAUAGACUUUAGCAUGUAUGGUGGACCCUAUCAAACUACUAGUCAAGACAAUUCGUAAGCAAGAAUGAUGAACCAACUAGAUUAAAUACUCUUCAUCUAUUUGCAUAUCAAGAGCAAUUUAGUAGUGUCUUUCUUAUGUACUUCAUGUUUGAACUUUCAAUGGAGAGUUUGUCAUCUAAAUAUUUGAUGUGGGUUUUUAUACUACUCUUGGUUCAAAUAUGUGGAUGCAAAGGUUGCAUCGAAGAAGAGAAGAUGGGUUUGCUUGAAUUCAAGGCUUUUCUUAAAGUGAAUGAUGAGCACACAGAUUUUCUUCUUCCUUCGUGGAUAGAUAACAACACUAGUGAAUGUUGUAAUUGGGAGCGAGUUAUUUGCAAUCCCACCACAGGUCGAGUUAAGAAGCUUUCCCUCAAUGAUAUAAGGCAACAACAAAAUUGGUUGGAAGUCAGUUGGUACGGUUAUGAAAAUGUCAAAUUCUGGUUACUAAAUGUCUCUAUAUUCCUUCAUUUUGAAGAACUUCACCAUCUAAAUUUGUCUGGAAACUCAUUUGAUGGGUUUAUUGAGAAUGAAGGUAUGUUACCUCUCACCUUUCAAAUUUCUUUUCACUUAUACUCCAAACAUUCUAAAGGAACUACUAGCAUAUGUUCUUAAGAGUGUUCAAAUGGAGACCAAAUGGUCACUAAUAACUAUUGAAUUUAAUAUAAAUUACUAAUGAUUAAAAUUUAAAAUAUGAAUUAACAUUUAAAUAGAACAAUAAAAAAUUAUUAUUUUAAAAUAUUAUAGAUUACAUUAGCCUUAUAUAUAUAAGCAUACUUGUUAUUUAUUAAUUAACAGGAACACUUAGGCUCCCGUAUUCUUAUCCUUUUUGCUUAAUUGUCUUUCUUUAUCUUCCAUUCCUAAAAAGUUUGAUUUCUAUAUUCCAAAUUGAUAGAGAUUGGUUAAAGAAAGGUGAUCACAAAAAUUGACUAUUGCUUUCAAAUGAGGAAUCACCAUUUUUAGAAUUUCACAUUUACAAAAAAAAAAAAAAAAACUUAGCCUUGGGUAGGGCCCAGGCCUCAUUGUUUUAUUCUGAUGUUGGGUUGGUUUAACAAUGAACAGAGUAAAGCCCAACCCAUGACUACUACGCAUUUCCAAAUUCCACCCAUCCACAACCCAUUGAUAUGACAUUUUCAGGGACUUAAUUUAAUCAAUUAAACCUAUUAGAUGGAUUCUACAUACAAUGUUAAAAUGAAUAUAAAAACUUUAAUUCAGAAAAUAAUUUCCUUUAUUUAGUUAGGAUUCAGAUUAUAGGGGCACAAAGCAUGAAAAAUUUCAUUUUAAAUUCACAAAGAUCACAAAAUCUCUUUGAAGCUCUAUGGACUUUUUUAUUUCUAACAUUUAAACACAAAAAUCACAAAAUUGAAUUAAUAAUUUGGAUACAUAUUCUUAUAUUAAAGACAUGUAAGCUUACAGAUUUAAAUAUGAAGAUCUCAACUUGUAAUUACAUGCUUCUAAUUAAAGUUAUAUUACUCUAUUUUAUAGGAUUUAAAGGGUUAUCAAGUUUAAAGAAAUUGGAGAUCUUGGACAUAAGUGGUAACGAGUUUGACAAAAGUGCCUUAAAAUCUUUGAGCGCAAUAACAUCACUCAAGACAUUGGCUAUUUGCAGCAUGGGACUGGCUGGAUCUUUUCCCAUUCGAGGCAUGUUAUAUGUUCACAUUGUUUCUUCAAAAUUAAGUAUAAUAUAUUUCUAACUUUUAAUGUUCCUUAGUUAAUCUCUCUUUUGAUUCAUGUUUGUUGCAGAAUUAGCUAGUUUGAGAAAUUUGGAAGUGUUGGAUCUAAGCUAUAAUGAUUUGGAAAGCUUUCAACUAGUGCAAGGUACUUCAAUAACUUGCUAAAAAAAACUUAUGAUAUUUUGUUAUUAAAUUAACAAUAUUAGCCAACAAUUUCAUCUCUCUUUUGAUUUGUAUUUGAUGCAGAAUUAACUAGUUUGAGAAAUUUGAAAGUGCUAGAUCUAAGCUAUAAUAAUUUGGAAAGCUUUCAACUAGUGCAAGAUACUUUAUUAACUUGUUAAAAAAACUUAUGAUCUUUUGUUAUUAAAUUAAAUGUAAGAUUAACCAACAAUUUCUUCUCAUUAGUUAUUUUUCUUUUGUAAUAUCAUUAAAUUUGAUAUAAAGUAGUCUAAGUCAUCCUUUCAAUUUUUUUAGUUUUAAUAAAUGCAUCAAGCAUGCACAAGAUGUUUGAUAUAACUAAUAUUUUCAUAUGUAAUUGAAAACUUUUUUUUAUGAAUUAAUUAACUCGAUUAUCAAUAAAUACUUACAUGUAUAAUAUUAAUAUAGUUUCAUAAGUAUUUUAAAAUUGUCUUACAACACACACACACACACAUAACAUACUUUUAUGCUAUGUUUGGUUCUAAGAAAAUUUGAGGGAAAAUGAAAGGUGUGUGAUACUUUUAUGCUAUGUAUGGUUCCCAAAACAAUUGAGGGAAAAUGAAAGGAGAAAAAGUAGAGAGGAAAAUUAAAAGAAAAGAAGAGAGUGAAGAAAAAUAUAAAAUUGAUUACAGUGAAUAAAUUAUUUUUAUGUGUUACUUUAAACUUGUUUCACUUAUUUUAAUUCUUCAAUAUAAAGAUGAAAGAUUUGAAAAUGCAUAAGUUUCUAAUUAUUUUAUAUUAUAUUAUAUUUUAUUUAAUAUUUUUUACAAUACAACCAAACAUAAAAUCUUAAUACUUGAGUUAUGUUUGGUUUGCACAAAAUAUGAGGAAAAGAAAAUAUAGAAGAAAAUUAGAAGGAAAGGAAAAGUGAAGUAAAAUAAAAGUAAAUUUAAAAUUAAUAAAUUAUUUUUAUAUGCUACUUUAAACUUAUUUCACUUAUUUUAAAUUAUUUAAACUCAUUUCUAGCAAAUAAUAAUGGAAAUUACAGAGAAGUUUGUGUUAUUCAAGCUUUACAAUGACUUUUCAGGUGAAAGAAAAUAUUUUUGUUGAAACUAAAAAAUGAAAUACCUUCCUAAAUAGCCUAUUGACUGAAAGCACAUUACCCUAACACAUACAUGCACCCUUAUUAUUUAUACAAUCAUGUAAUAAUUAAUAUAGUUAGUAGGAUUCUGAUGGUCGUUUCUGUCUUGGUUUCCAAUAUUUCUGAUUGAUAGUGUUUCGUUAAUGAAAUAUCAUAAAUUUUGACUCUAACAAGGACCUCAAUUAGACCUAAUCCUUGUUAAAUGUAACUAGGUGGCCUAAGACUAAAUAUUAGACCCAACUAAUAAAAACCCAUCUAUUUAUUGGAGCCUAAAUAACCUGGCCUUGGUUAGGGCCCACGCUUUAUUAUUUUAAGAUGUAGUCCACCUGGUUUGACACUAGAUUAAGUAAAGCCCAACUUAUGAGCAUCUGUGCAUUUCCAUCCAUCCACAACCUAUCGACAUGGACAAACUUUGAUCAAUUAAACCUAUUAGAAAUGUAUACAAAAUUUUAAGUUCAAAAGAUAAUUUUCCUUAUUUAGUUAGGAUUCAUAUUAAAAGGGCACAAAGCAUGAAUUUUCAUGUUUAAAUUCACAAAGAUCACGAAAGCUCCUUCUUGCUCUAUGGACUAUUUUAUUUGUAACAUUAUAUUACUCUUAAUUAUCAAAUUAACCAACAAAUUCUUCUCAUUAGUUAUUUUUCUUUUGUAAUGUCAUAAAAUUUGAUAUAAAGUAGUCUUGGUCAUCAUUUCAACUUUCAAGUUCCAAUUAGAUGUAUCAAGCAUGUGCAACAUAUUUGAUAUAACUAAUAUUUUUUAUAAGUAAUUGAAGUUUUUUUCUACAAAUCAAUUAACUUGAUUAUCAAUGAAUACUUCCAUAUAUGAUAUUGAUGUAGUUUCAUAAAUAUUUUAAAAUAGUCAUAGAAGUCUUUUAUCUAAUUCACUAGAAAGAAAAAUAAACUAUUCUAAUGAAAAUACUUGAUGAUUUGAAGUGAUUGCUUUUGAUUUUAUUUGAUUGCUACCAUUAUUAAUUGUUAGAAAUUUGCAACAAAUACCCAUUUUGCAUCACUUCUAUAUGCAUUGGAAUGAAUUAUAUUUCAUAAAGCUAACAAGUCAAAAAUCAUACUUUUGGAAUUAUGGAAAAGACUGCUAUAAAGCUAAUUAACCAUUUGUAAUCUAAUUAAGACUAGUUGGUUUCGAAAUAAUUCAUAUGGAGAUUAAAACAACUAUGUAAUUUAGUUUAGUAGCUUGGGUGCUAUUGUAAUGAUUAAUGAUCUACAACUUGAAAACAUCCACUAGUGCUUCCUAAUUGUAUAGCUAAAUUCAUGUUACCACUUUGAACUAUAGUACUUACAUGAGAAGAAAGCUUUUCCUUAAUGAUAAUGCAAAAGAAAUUAAGUAUCAAUUUUUGUUGAACUAACAAGUGAUAGUUUAGAUAUGGUUUGAAUACACUUCCUUUCUUCUAUUUUUUUUUUUUUUAUUUUGAAAAAAAAAACUCUUUAAUGAAAUAUAAGAACUCUUAUAUGCAUAAAAAGUAAAGACUUAUAUAAAAAAAUUAUUUUCAAAAAUUUUUAAAGCAAAAGAAUUUAUCUUCUUCAAAUUUUAAAAAUUUUGAGAAGUGUUUUUAAGAAUUUGUACUUUUAGUAUAAUAAUUCCUAUAUUUUAUAUAAAAGUUUUUGUUUAAAAAAAAUAGAAAUGUAUCCAAAAUACAACUUAUUUGUUAAAUUAAGAAUGUUUGUCAAAUCAAGAGAUAAUGAAAGUUGCAGAGAGUUUGCAUUACUCAACAUUUGCAAUUACUUUUUGAAGGUGAAAGAAAACACCUUCUUGCAUAACAUACAAUGGCAGGUUCUGGUUUGUAAGAAAUUAAUAUCUAAAUAAAAAUAUGAAUAAGACUUCCUUUAUAAUAAAUAUGUAGAAAAGAAUAGUGGAUGAUAGGAGGUGAAAAUCUUGUAAUAAAAUAUAAAUGUCGGUUAUAAGAUAAUCAACAUUUUCUCUAUUUCUUGUACCUAUGUGAUUAAGAAUCUUGUAGCUCCUUUAUUGAAAUAUAAUAUAAAAAUAUAAAUAAACUAUUUAGAAGUAAGUGCAUGUAGUUUUCAACAUGAGGAAGUUCAAAAGCAAGUUAAUUAUGAUAAUUUUCUAUAGUCUAUAUUGAACACAAAUUAUUUUUGCUAAAGGUUCAAUCGUUCUAUGAAGGUUAAAAGUUUGAAUUGUUUACAUAUGCAAAUGUGAAAUUUGAAAUUUUAUAAUUUUUUAUAAUUUUCUUGUAGAUUCAAAAGGCUUGUCCAUAUUCAAAAAGCUCGAGACCUUGAACCUCGAUGACAAUAAGUUCAAAAACACCAGCCUACAACAAUUGAAUAUAUUGACAUCCCUUAAAAAUCUUUCUCUACGAUGGAACAAUUUUGAAGGAUUUUUUCCUUUCCAAGGUUUGUGUAAUUAUUAUUACUUUUAAUGGUAAAAUAUUAAAAUUAUCAACAUCUCUUAUCUUUUUUCCUCUCAAUGGUGCUACAGAAUUAUGCACUCUGGAAAACUUGGUGAUGUUGGACCUAAGUGGGAAUGGCCUUAUUGGCAUGCAAGGUAAAUACAAAGUGAAGUUUUGGUUAUGUAUAUAUCAUCUAAGAACAUAACUAAAAUCAACAUUCUUUGUCUAUCAAUCUGUCUAUCAACAUAAUUGAAGGAAUGUCUAGCUGUACAACAUUUAAGAAUUUUGCAUGGCACAAUGAAAAACAUGGUAAUCAAUGUAUGCAAUAAAAUUCUAAUAGUUGAAAAAGAAUUUUGUUGUAAUUUUAUGUUCAUGUAUAGGUUAGAACAAAGAGAAAAUCAUGAAAAUGAAUAUUAGUUAGACUUUAUAUAUCGAUAGACAAAAAAAAAAAAAAAAAAAAGAUUAGUUCCUUAACUUAUCCUAAAAUUUUCUAGAUAACAAGGAGUUUACAACCUGAAAAGUGAAGAUGGUUAAUAUUAGUAAUAUAAUUUUGAAAUAUAAAAAUUAAUGAAAUAAUGUUCUUUAUAACUAUAAUUGCAACUAUGAAUAAAAUAUAAUAAAAUUACUUUAGACUUUGAAUCCAUGGUUAGGUUUGCAAUUUUUUGAUGAUCAAUAAAGCUACAACUUGUGCUACAAAAGAUUACAAAAUGUAUUAGUAGCAUUGCUAAGCUCAUUUAUCAACAAAAGAAAUCCAAUAACACUUUAAUUGGAAAAAACCUAGAAUCUUGUUUGAUAUAUAUAAUAGGUGAAGAAACAAAAUAAUAAUUCCAUGGUAUUAGUUAGUUUGAUAUCUCUUUUGUUAUAUGGAAUAACUAUUCCAUUUUAAAACAAUUAUUUCAUCUUAUUGUUAGAACAAAAAGUUUCAAAUAGUUAUAUGGGCUUUUGAGUUUCUUAAGAAUUUAAGCAUUUAUGAGUCACACACACACACACACACACACACACACAUAUGUAUAUAUAUAGGAAAAAUAAAAAAAUAUUAUAUGGAGACAAGGGUAGACACCCAUAACUAUACAUAUAAUUAUUUAAAUAAAAAUAUCAAUAAGAAACAAUAUACAAUAAAAUAGAAAAUUUUAAUCUUCUUAAAAUUUAAAAAUAAAAACUUAAUGAAAACAAGAAUUUAAGAAGUAAAAAAAAAUAGUAAGAAGGUCAAGAGUACAAAUAGAGAUGUAAACAAAAUAAUAAAUAAAUAAAUAAAAAUAAAAAUUUAAAAGAAAAAAAAUACAUAGAUUAACAUGAACACUAAAUGAAGAUUUUUGAGAUAGACUUAGUUAAACUUGAACUGGAUGGAUAUUAAAAAAAAAAACAAAUUUCAAAGAAAUAAAAACUAAUUAGAUGCUAAAUAUUGGAUUAAAAUAGCCAAAUGAAUAAAGAGUAAUUAUUAUUUUUUAACAUUUUUUUAUUGCCUAGAAUUAUUAUUUUGUGUAUUAAAUGUAUUCUGAGUGUAGUGACAUAAAAAAUGUAGUUAAGAAAACUAUGAAGAAUAAUAAUGGUGAUGACACUUAAUACCUUUUAUUGUACAUUUAGAAAAAAUGAGGUCCUAGAUCUUUGUGGAGAUUAUCAUUACUCAUUCGCAAGCAUGUUGAUAGUUGAAACUACCCAAUUAUCAAAAAUUGAAUUUCUAAUCUUCAAUUUUUUUCUCUCAAAUGUAUAUGUGGGUGAGAAAGCAAUAGGAAGAUUAUAAGGUCUCACAUGUAUAUGAGUCAUAGGAUAAAAAAUAUAGAGGCAAUACUAGCAUUUAUUUGAUCUAGUGGCAAGUAGAGAAAUAUAACAUAACCAUAACCAUAAUGUUCUAACCUUAUAUAUACAAGAACCAUGUUUCCUUCAUUCAAUUUUGCAACUUUUUCUUUUCAAAUUAGAAUGUAACUCGUAGGAUCCAUUGCCCAUCGAAAUUUUGAAUCGAAUAUUAUAAGAUAUUUCACAUUUCUACAUACUAAAGCAUGAGCUUCAAUGUUUUGAUGCACUUUUUGCUACUAAGUUAAAGAACUCUUUGAGGAUCAAUGGAGGUUCUAUGAGUAGAAAAGCAUUAUAAUCACAAAUGGGCUGCACUUAUGGUCUUGUCAGUGAUAUGCAAUUUGACCAAGAACCUAUUCCCAACUAUUUUAUGACUUUUAUGACUUUUAUGACUUUUCUUGGCUACUUGUAGGCAAGCUAAAGAAAUUUUCUGGUUUGUUCAAGUCUAAAAAGUGGUUUCAAGUUUAGGACCAAGCUUGGGUUGCACCUAGGUCCUUGGGCCUUGUUCAGCUCCACGUUUAAACCAACCCUGAGCCCAUCUUUGUAAUUUUUCUCCCAAUUCAUUGAUUAAUGUUAGGGUUUUAUAGAGCCUAUAAAUUGACCAACUAAAUAAAGUAAGUUUAUAAACUUUUAGGUGAAAAUUUUCUCUCUAAUAAAUGUUAAUUCAAGAGUCUCCGUAAUCUUUUUAUAUUCAUAUUAAUUGGUAUUUAAACCAGCCUUAUUAUAUUAAAGUCAAAUACUAAAUAGUGAACACUAUAUCUGCUACUACCAUUAUGAUGGUCACAAACAUAGAAUGCUCAUUUUUUUUAGAGUCAAUUGAUACUUAUAAACAACAACUUUGUUUGAAAAUAAAAUACAUUGAGUGAUUGCAUCAAGAGAUAGAUGUAAUAAUUGCAUACUUGAUGUUGAUAAUGCUAAUAUGAGUUGAUUAAAUUAAUGAGUAUUUACUUAUAAGGUAGCCCAUAGAGCAUUAUUUGUGGAAAUAUUCAUGCACCUCUACAUAUGUUCAUGAUAACUUAGGUCGAUAAAUUUAAGAAGAACAAAUUCAUAACCUUGGACAUAGUUAGUAAGAAAUUUCACCAAUAUAGUUUGGUAUCAUGAUUCUAAUUGGUCAAAUUGUUUUAAAAGAAUAUUUUAAAUUGCAUGUUAAUUUGCUUCUAAUAAAUGGAGAGAAACCAAUUCAAGAAGAGAAUUGUACUCAAGCUAUGUAUAGCAUUCAUGAAGAUGUAGAAAAUAUUGAUGAACUUACUUUUGAGCAAGUUGAAAUCAUAAUUAAAUAAAAGAACAAAUCCAAGGGUUAAGAUUGUCAAGUAAAACUUUAACUAAAAUUUAUUGAUUUUUUAAAUGCCUAUUAGAUGAACAAUAGAAGUUCUAGAUAGAAAGUAAGAACUUUUCUAAGAAAUCACUUGUUAGAUUUUAACUGAUCAAUAAAUAUAAUGUCCAAUUUAAAACUUUUAUAAAAGCAAUGCUUCUAAAGAAUAACUUGAUUUGAAUUUAAAGUUAUUAUUGAUAUUUGUUUAUAAUGGAUGUAGUUAAUCAAUUGAACACAGUAAAAAACACAUAAUUUUUUCAAAAUACCUUCUAGUUGUUGGGUAUAUUUAAGUAGUUAUUCAUAUCUCAUUAUCUUUUUACUCACAUACUAAUCUCCUUAUUGAGAAUUUACCAAUUACAAGUAGGUUGAAAGUUACUUGAAUUUAAGUCACUAAUCAAUGUUAACUUGAUGAUAAAUAAGUCUCCCUUUGAAACUUGUUUUACAAGAUAGCGAAAUGUAGUCGGUCAAUCAUCGAAACAAUGUUUAAGCAUUAGGAUUUAGUUGUUAUUUUUUAUUUUUUAUUUUUUGUGCUUUAAACAAAGACAAAAAUGAUAAAAACUCCUAAAAAGUACAUAUUAAUUGAAUUUAAUUUAUACAUCAAACAAGAACAAACUAGUGUUGGAUUUAAAAUUCAAUAGGUUUUGUAAUUAUAAUUCCUAAAAAUUUGUAAGACAACAAAAUUAUUGGACACUAGGCUAUUGGGUGUGUAUGACUAAGAGGUGAAGGAGGGUUCAUCUUAUACAAAGGAUGAUUUGAUUAAUUUUAAAGAUUCGAUAAACAAUAAUUGCAUAAUAAAGUAAAAAUAACAUUUCUAAAAAGGAAAAUAAGUAUUUUAGUCCUCAAACCUAAAAUGGCUAAAAAUUUUAAUUAAUACAAUUACAACUUCACCUACAAAAAAAAAAAAAAAACCCAAAACUUUUCAAUAGCACAACUAAGUCCAUUUAUCAAAAGCUCUAUGAACAACAUCCACUUUCAAAUCACAUAAAUCAUGUUGUUUUCAAAGUGCCCUUGAUGUUUUAAAACUUAAUAUAUUACAUAAAAAUCAACCAAUAGUGUAUGGCAUUAUAAAAAAACAUAUCCAAAUCCAUUGUCGAACUUAAACUAAAUUCAACUUUAUAUGCAUAGUCACAAGUGGGUCUUUUUGUCUUUCAAUUUGGGUUAAAUUCAUAUGUUAGUUUUUUACACAACAAGGGAUUAUCAAGGUGAUAAUUCAUGCAUAUAAAUAGUAUUACUAAUAUAAAAAAAGAUGGUAAAUGUAAUUUUUUUGUAUUCACUCACCAUUUGGCAUAUCAAUAAGAAAAAAUGUAUAUAUAAUAGGUGUUAUCAAUAAUAUUACUCAUCACUAGAAAUUAUAAUUUUUCAUUCGUUGUCACUAUUUGUGCACUUUGGAAAGCUUGCUAGGUACAACAUAUUAGCUCAAUGAAGAAAUUGAUCAAUUCCUUCAUUUCUAAAUAAAUUUGCAUAUACACUAGAAUAAAAACAACUUUUUAACUUAACAAGUUGACUGAGUCUCAGAACUCAAUAGGUUGAAGGUAUAGACUUCCAUCCAAACUCAUUGACUGGCACCAUAUGUUGGAAAAAUAAAGAAAAAUCAAAACCCUUGAGUAUAGUUGCAGACAAAUCUAAAUAUAGAGUGAGAUCUACAUUUCUUUGAAAGUUUAGAACAAAUUUUUAUUUUUAUGAUAAGACUAUGCAGUACUUAUCAUUCUCUAACAAGUCUAUAAUCAGUCCAAAGCAUGGGAUAUUGCAUAAAUUCUUGAACUCAAUUAGUCUUUAAUCCAUGCAUUUCAAGUAAAUUUAAAACCUGGUGUACUUGUUCUUGAUUCACAUCCUUGUCACUAUUAUCAUUACUUGUUCUUGAAUAUAGAACCUUAUUGUCCAUUAACAAGCGGGCCUAUGUUCCUCCAUGAUUCAAGAGUAUUAUGUUUUGUUCAUCAUCAGUUGGUCUUGCUCUAAAGCUUCUUUUUUAUGACUAUCAAUAACCAGACUUAGAUACCAAAAUUUAUGCAAGAGAGCAUGUACUUUAUACAGUCAAGAACUUGUGAGUCUAGACUUUGUUAUCUAGGUAAAAGAAUAAAUUGGUUUGUCAAAAUAGCUAGCAUUAGGUAUCUAUUCAAUUCCUAUCUUAGACAAUAAAGAUAGAAAUGAUCAAAUACAUUCUUAUUAAGAAACAUUUGAUACCAAAAGUGAUGUAAGACAACACAGUUCCUCUAUUCAAUCAAGUUUAAGGCUUAGAUGAACCUAUGAAUUUAUAUUAAUUAAUUGGGAAAGAGAAUAAAUAGGCUAAGUAGAAGUGAUAGGAUUGUAAUAGCAUUAAGUUAAUGAUCUUGUUUAGGUCUUCUACUAAAUUAGAGAAGAAACAAACAAAAGUAAUCAAACGUGUUAGUGAUAAUUAUAUCUACUUAACAUUGAGACAAUAGUUGUACUAAUGGUAAUUAUAUUAUUUCUUGAGAGUUUAAACAAUAUAUAUUGAAAAUAUUUUUAAAGGUUUAGCAACUACCAAGGUUAUAAUCAACUACGAGCUUUUUAUUUUUAAAAAUAUGAAAUAUUAAUAUCUUUACUUUCUUUGAUCUUCUUGUAGGUUUUAAAAGUUUGUCUAAGCUGAAAAAGCUGGAAAUCUUAAACCUUGGUGAUAAUCAGUUCAACAAGACCAUUAUAAAACAGUUGAGUGGACUCACAUCCCUUAAAACACUAGUUGUAAGGUACAACUAUAUUGAGGGACUUUUUCCUUCCCAAGGUAUUGCUUAUUCUUUUAAUAUCCUUAGUAACCACUCUACCAUGAUUUUUUUUUUUUCAAUUUUAUUUUCUUUCUUGAACCAUACAGAAUUAUCUAUUUUUGGAAACUUGAUGACACUGGAUUUAAGCUGGAAUAGAUUCAAUGGCUCCCUAUCAAUCCAAGGUAAAUUCUAAUCAGAAUUAUCAUUAUAUUUAGGGCAUAUAAUAAAUUAAUUAAAUUAUUUUAUCUAUUAUCAUUACUUGGUUAUUUGGAUUUUCUUGAUAUUGUUUAGCAUUUUACAUAGGAAAAUGAAAUGGAAAAAUCAACCCAUGCUUAGUGUUUAAGCACUGGGCUAGAAGUAUAUUUGUCUUCCCAAUUUAAUCAAAGAGAAAAGUCAUAAAUAACAUAAUUUAACUUAUACCUUAUAUUGAUUGAAGAGGUUAGACUACUUUUGGAUUUAAUGGUCAAUAUUUGUUGAAGAUAGGGUUUCCUAAAUUUGAUAAAAAGAACUUCAAUUUAAAUUACCAUAACUACAUAAAGGUGUGACUAGCAUAAUUAAACUCUUUUAUUAAUAGAUGUUCAUAGACUAGUAUUAUAUUCCCACACACACAAAUAAUCAAAUUUUGAAAUUAGUCUUCAAAUAACUAUGUAAUAUACGAAACUACAAAAUGAAUGGUAGGUCAUAAUUAAUUAAAUUCGUACUAUAUUCAAUGUUGGUCAACACGUGUCAAGUAAAAGUUUUGGCCUAAGUGUAAGGGCUCACUUUCUCCUAUAUAGAUAUUAUUCACUUUGGGUUGAGGCCUACUUUAAAAUAUCUCUAUACAUUUAUGAGAAGUCUACUAAAUAUAAAGUCGUAGAAACUUUUCUUCUUAGGUGAUAUGGAAUUUCACAUUAGGACCAACAUUUUAUAUAUUUUGAAAACAUAAUUUAAUUAACAUUUUAGAACUAAUUAUUAGUUAUCCAUUUAUAAUCCUAGAGGAAAUUCCUUUUACCUAUGCAAAUUAUAUACCUCUAGUAAUUACCUUUAAUUUCUCAUUUACAACUUCCUAAAAUAAUAUGAAAAAUGACAAAGUGUACAAUAUCUACCAAUAUGGGUGGAAUAUGCAGUGAGACCCACAAUGCUCAAUAUAGUACUAGCAUCUAUGUCAUCUAAUAGCAAUGAAAGUACUAAGUAAUAAAAACAAUUGUUUUGGGCACUUUAUGCAAUUGGCCUUGUAAAAAAAGAAAUCUAAGGUAGUUGGACUCAUUUACUAGUAAUUUAACAUAUGACUAGAACCUAUUGAAUCAUUUGCAAUAGCACUUACUUUGGUCAUGUCCAAAUUUAGUGCACAUGGUGCAAAAAGGGGUGUUGCUAGAGGAUGCUUUGUUUUCCCACUUAUGAAAGUCUCAAUCUUGCUAAUAUAUUUUAUGCCAUGUUUAUCAUAUACAAAUUUAGCCUAAGUGUAAGGGCUCGCUUGCUCCUAUAUAGAUGUUAUUCACUUUGGGUCGAGGCCUACUUUAAAAUAUCUCUAUACGUUUAUGAGAAGUCUACUAAAUAUAAAGUCGUAGAAACUUUUCUCCUUAGGUGAUGUGGAAUUUCACAUUAGGACCAACAUUUUAUAUAUUUUGAAAACAUAAUUUAAUUAACAUUCUGGAACUAAUUAUUAGUUAUCCAUUUAUAAUCCUUGAGGAAAUUCCUUUUACCUAUGAAAAUUAUAUACCUCUAGUAAUUACUUUUAAUUUCUCAUUUACAACUUCCUAAAAUAAUAUGAAAAAUGACAAGGUGUAUAAUAUGAGCCAAUAUGGGUGGUAUAUGCAGUGAGACCCACAAUGCUCAAUAUAAUACUAGAAUCUAUGUCAUCUAAUAGCAAUGAAAGUACUAAGGAACAAUUUAACAUAUGUUUUGGGUACUUCAUGCAAUGGCCUUGUAAAAAAAGAAAUAUAAGGAAGUUGGACUCAUUUACUAGCAAUUUAACAUAUGACUAAAACCUAUUGAAGAAUUUGCAAUAGCACUUACUUUGGUCAUAUCCAAACUUAUUGCACAUGGUGCAAAAAGGGGUAGUGGUCGAGGAUGCUUCCACAUAAGAAAGACCCUACUUAACUAUUACAAAGGUUAUUUUCCCACUUGUGGGAAUGCUAACCUUGCUAAUAUAUUAUAUGCCAUGUUUAUCAUAUACAAAUUUUUCUUUACUAAAUAUUUCUUUAAUGAUCUUGAACCUAAAAUUAAAUAUUUCAUUAGUAUUGGUCAUGUCGUUCCUCAACUUUUCAACUUUUAGAGUUAAAUCUUUAUCUUUAUCAUUGAUAGUUUUAUGUUUAGUCCCUAGAAACUUCACCUUAUUAACAAUAUGUUCAUUUAAUAUAUUGAUAUUUUUAAUUUUCAAAGAAUCAUAGAGCUCAUUAAUUUUAAUGUCUUUUUAUUCACUUUUAUGCUUUCAACCUUUGUUUUUAGUUUUCCUAUAAUAAUGCAUCAUAGACCCCAUGUACAUCAUUAAAAUAAAACUCAUUUUUUUCAUUAGGAUUCAAUUAACCCAGUGGAUCAUAAUCAAAAUUAGUUGCAUAUGAACAAAAACAAUAAGAUUAUCAUUUUGUACAUCUUUACUUUCAUUUGAGUUCUUAGCCCUACAAUCAUGAAACAUGGAAUUACUCCAAGUCACCUACAUAGCCUUCAUACCUAAUGUUUUUAAGGCAAGGACAAUCAACAACCAUGUGUCCCAUUCCCCCAAUGGUUCACUACAAAAUCAAGGUACAUAUGUUAUGCUUUCUUUGUUUCAUAGAGAUUAGAGAGGAA